GGAGGAGGUUGCAUUUCAGAAUGAAUAGUGUCUUCUGGUGAGCUCGUAGAGAUGAAUCUUAACAUAUUACUGCAACAACCAAUCAUGAGGUUUAGCAAAGAAGGGAAUUCAACAACUAAAUCUGAAUGAAUAUGUCCCAUAUUGGCAAAACCUUUAAUUCAAUCAACUUUCCUUCAUCUCUUUCUGACCAUCCCGUGGUGUCGACUACCCCUUCCAUUGACUCACAAUAGCUUAUCUCAAGAUGUUGGAGUUGCAAAAGGCUAUUAACCAUAGAAUAUGAAAACAGAUACUUUAGACGAUAACACCUUUCCACAGUCACUUUUGUUAAAUUUUGACGAAAGUACAUUCCUUGAUUAUGAUCGGCCCAUAAUUUUUUCAUGUUUCUUAAGUCCCUGAGAUUCAAUUCCUCUAAGCUCGGAAGAAUAACCUGCAAAGAAAACCCGUACAUUUUUGUUCCUUCAAGUACAACCGUCUAGUAUAAUAUUCUUUUGAUGAUCAAAGAUUAAUUGUGAUAAUAAAUUAAUCAAUUAAUUAUUGAACAGAAAAUUAUCACCUUUGGAGCAGGAUCAUCAUCAGCAAUGAUUUCGUUGAAUCCCAAAGAAGUUGUUGGUUUGCUAAUUGUUGCACCAAAGAAGUAAGAUUUGAAACUUGUUUUUCUAGAGAAGUAGUACUUACCUCAUUGACUCGCUUAGGUGGCGGCAGUAGAUCGUUCCUAGUGUUGAACUGUUGGGAAUUAGCAGCCAUGUUAGCAAUGAGAUUUCGGGCUGCUUCUGGUGUCUUAUCCACGAGUGCUCCUCCACUAGCGGCAUCAAUCAUACUCCUAUCCAUAGGUAGUAGAACCUCAUAAAAGUAUUGAAUAAGAAGUUGAUCACUUAUCUGAUGGUGAGGGCAACUAGCACAUAGCUUUUUGAAUCGUUCCCAAUAGUCGUAGAGCGACUCUCCAUUAUACUGUCGGAUUCCACAAAUUUCUUUUCGAAUGCUGCCAGCUUUUGAUGCUGGGAAAUAUUUCUCCAAAAAUAGCUGACGCAUCUCAUUCCAUGUAGUGACAGUACCGGAGGGAAGAUAGUACAACCAUUCCUUGGCUGAAUCCGCCAAAGAGAAUGGGAAGGCCAUUAGCUUAACUUGCUCUUCAGAAACUCCGGCUGGUUUCAUUGUGGAGCAGACCACAUGGAACUCCUUCAAGUGGUUAUUUGGAUCCUCUCCUGCAAGACCAUGAAAAGUAGGAAGAAGAUGAAUCAUCCCAGAUUUGAGUUCAAAGUUUACUUGAGGGUUUGGAUUCUCAAUGCAUAAGGGUUGUUGGUCCAAGUUAGGAGCUGCCAACUCUUUAAGUGUUCGGUUGUUAUUCUGAGCCAUUGGUUGGGGUUCUGGGCUGCUUGGNNNNNNNNNNNNNNNNNNNNNNNNNNNNNNNNNNNNNNNNNNNNNNNNNNNNNNNNNNNNNNNNNNNNNNNNNNNNNNNNNNNNNNNNNNNNNNNNNNNNNNNNNNNNNNNNNNNNNNNNNNNNNNNNNNNNNNNNNNNNNNNNNNNNNNNNNNNNNNNNNNNNNNNNNNNNNNNNNNNNNNNNNNNNNNNNNNNNNNNNNNNNNNNNNNNNNNNNNNNNNNNNNNNNNNNNNNNNNNNNNNNNNNNNNNNNNNNNNNNNNNNNNNNNNNNNNNNNNNNNNNNNNNNNNNNNNNNNNNNNNNNNNNNNNNNNNNNNNNNNNNNNNNNNNNNNNNNNNNNNNNNNNNNNNNNNNNNNNNNNNNNNNNNNNNNNNNNNNNNNNNNNNNNNNNNNNNNNNNNNNNNNNNNNNNNNNNNNNNNNGCUAGUCCCCGGCAACGGCGCCAAAAAUUUGGUAGUGUCGUUAAGGUGCACCAAAUUUAAAACCUUACCACUAAUAUAAAUAAUUAGUACAGAGCGAGUAAGGAUCGAUCCCAUAGAGACUAUGCUAGUUAUAUUUAUUAUUAACUCCAAAGCAAGAUUUAAAAUAAAAUAAUAGUAAUAGUAAUAAUAAUAUAAAUUAAUCUAACUAAAGAAAAUGCCAAUUAAAAAUAAAAGGGGGGUUUAUGAAUUUUUAACUAAAUAGUAAGAAAUAAAGAAAUUAAAAUUACGAACAAGAAUUUAAUAAAAACUCUAAUUAAAGGAGAAAGAAAUAAUAAUGAUGAAAACUUUGGUUAAAGGAUCAUUCGCCACCACCAAACAUGCACAUAAUAAAUCAAUUCUAUUAUCAAUUUAUAUUGAAACUAUCAACCAUAGACAACAAUAAGCUCUGUUAGUCUCAAUCUUUCCUUAGUGUGUCGUUAGGUAAAAUAAGCUCUUCACCUAAUCUAUAACCAUUAAAUAAUUUAAAACAAGCUCUUUAAAUUUAAGAUAAUGGAAGCAUUAAACAAAGAAAGAAAUUAGGUUGAUCUAGGCAAUAAACACACAAGCUCAGAUUAUUUAACCUAGGUUAUGUUCUCCAAUUGAAAUCAUUAAUUCCAACCUGCUACUAAUGAUUAAAAUAUCAAGACAAUUACGGAUCAAGAAUUUUAAUCUAGCAAUAAAAUUUAUUCAAGUCCUAUCUAAUUGGCCACUCAAACAAAACAAGAAUAAACCAUGAACAUUAAUUAUAGAAGAACAUAAACAAUCUCAAUUAAAUAAAUUGAAUGAUAGAAUUUAAAUUUAAUUGCAUAGCAUGUUUAGGGUUUUGAAUUCACCCUCAACCAAAUAAAAAUCUAGCCUAACAUAAUUGAAUUGGGAAUAAGAGAAUUGACAAAACCAAUCAUAGAGAUUAAUUCAAGCGGCUGCCUUUUUCUUCAAUUGAAUUCCGGCUGCUGAUUUUUUCUUCUUCUUGCGGCUAUUGAUUUUCCUCUUGCUGCCGAAUUGGAUUUGCCCUCCCAAAGUCUCUUGCUGCCCGAAUUCUUUUCCCUCUAUUGCUUCCGCUUGAUCCUAUUUAUAAUGCUUCAAUUGUGGCUUUUUUUAAAUCCUUGCCUGGAAAGAAUUAAAUUCAAAGCUCAAAACCGCCACCUCAUGCUUCAAUUAAUAAGCCAAUAAUGAUUUCCUAAAGCCAAAAGGCUUUAUUCUCUUUCCUUUCACGUGGCAACUUUUGGUUUGCAUCUUUGUUUUCCAAUUUUGCUUUCAUGUGAUGGCUUGGCUUGUUAAUUGGCUUGGCUUCCUUUUUGACUUCCAUUUUCUAAUUUUAGCUCCAUGUGCAACAUUAAUUUUGCUCGGCCCAUACAAGCUUUAAUUAAAUUUAUUUUCUAAUUCCUUCCAAUUCUUGAUCUCUUGUGCACUUUUGUCUCUCAAUCUUCAAUCAAAUUUUUUUUCUUGAAUGCUCCGAUUUAAUUUCUCUUUAAUUCCAGAAUAUACCUAAAAUAACAAAAUAAAUAAAACUAAGAUAAAAAUUAACAAAAUAAAAUAUAAUUUACUAAAUUAAAAAUUAACUAAAAUAACUAGAAUAUUUAAGACCAAAACAAGAAAAAGAUAGAGAAAUUAAUAGCAAAAUAUAUGAAAAAUAUGCACUUAUCACAAGCCUCUCAUUUUUCAAAGCUUUUGCAAGGGUAAUAAGUGCAACAGGCAAUCCUCCGCAUUUUUCAACGAUCUCAUCUGCUAAAGGUUGAAAAGCAGAUGCUUUUGCAGAAUUACACACUAUCUUUCCAAACAAUUGCAAUGCUUCUUCCUUUGAUAAAACUUCAAUUGAGAAAUCCUUCUGAGAUUUCAUAUCAUUGCGCAAUAAAUCUCGACUUCUAGACGUCAAUAUUAUUGUGCGUCUUCUCCGAUCGUCCUCUCUAUCUUUCUCAUCAACAUCCCCAUAAGGAAUUCCAACUGUAUCGAACUCAAGUUUUGUCCAAAUAUUAUCCAGUAUAAUGAGGAGCCGCUUCUCUUGCUUCAACCUUUGACACAGUCGAGAAGCUCUUUGAAAUUCAUUCUCAUUCAAGUCAAAUUCCAUGCCUAAAUCAAAAGCAAGUUUGUCUUGAAUUUUAUGAUGAUCUGGGGUCUGUGUUAUCUCAGCCAUAACGAACUUAUCGAACAACUUAUCUUCCAUCACUUGGUUUGCAACUUGUUUGACCAGCGUGGUUUUGCCCACGCCGCCCAUCCCAUAGACCCCAAUUAUGUUGACCUUGUCAUCCUUCACCGCCUCCAUAACAUCUUGAAAUACUUUCAUUCUUGAAUCAAACGCCUCGAAAUCUUUCACUUGCAUAUGUUCUGCCCGCUUUGGAGCAGGACUGUAGGAAACAUUGGAGAAGUUGCCUUUUCCCACGAGACUAGCGGCAGCUUCUGCCGCCUUUGCUGCUUGUUUACUAAGCUUGUAACGAGAAAUCAAGUUUGGGCAUAAUCCUUUGAAGCAGGACUUCUUAGCUCUAUCUUCAUCAUCAAUGAUGGAUUUUGCAACCCCUUCACUGAUGAAUUCAUCAACGCUAUGUAGCCAGUCUGUGACACCCUCAUAAAGCUCAUCCCCUUGUAGCCUAGCAUGAUUAACUGGUUGCUGCACCAUUUCUCUCUUAUAUCCCAGCUGCUUCACUUGAUCUUUUAGCUCAUCUAUGUAGCUCUGGUACUUGAACACAUAAGAUAUCUGCCGUGUAAUCGGGUUGAACAGUGACUUUGCACCUUCUGAUACACAGUUGGUUAAAAAAGCCAGACACGCUUCUAUAGCCAUUGCCGGUUGCUUAACAAUAUAUAUCUAGUUUUUGGCUGUUGAAAAAAAAAAUGGAUUCAAAUAAAUUAAAUGAACUAGCGGGGAAGAAAAAGAAAGAAACGACAACAAACAACUUUUUAGAAAAAGGUUUCAGGGGCCUGAAUGGAAAACCAACAAUUUUUUGAAGAAAGAAAACUUUUUUGGAAGAUGGAUGCAAAUUAACCAUUAAUAAUACUGCAUAAGAACACAGAAGUUAACAAUAAACAGUAACUUAAAACUCAAGAAAAUUAAAUGACAAGAUUAAGACAAACAAGAGAUAGUUUUUGUUGGACAUUAAGAAACAUCUGCUAUCAAGAUCAAAGAUUAGAAAUUAUGCUAUUGAAAGAAAUUAUUAAAGUAUUUAGAACAAACGCACCUCUUCAAUUAUCGAGGAUCACAGAGUUUAUGAGCUUCACUCUUGGCCUUCGAUUUAUAAGAAAAAUUUUAAUGAGCAAAAGAUCACUGUUAACUGCAGAAGAAUGUGAGUAAAGAGUUUAUGGGAGUAAGCAAUACAAUUGAAUUGUAAAAGAACAAGACUUAAAGCGUGCACCCCGUGUUCAUAUAAACAGAACACAUGUUCAUUUUUAACAAAGUGAUCAAUAACUCUAUUCGUUAUUUAAUUGAUAUUGUAACCAAUUCUAAGAGAAUAUAAUAAUAAUCAUUCAAUCCAUAAAUUUAGAAUUAGAUUUUUUUAACUCUUUAUUUAAAUAUAAACCUUAAUGGAAAAUUAUAAAAGUUUAGAGAUAAAAUUUUUCAAUCACCAAACGAAAAAAACAGGGGAAUGAAAACAGAGGAAUCUUGUUUUAACUAUUUUUUUCCUCAACUCUCGUUCUUAUAUUAAUAAUCUUGUUUUGAUGAUAGUGCUCGUGACUGCGGGAAAAUUUCUACUGGAAACAACUCAAUUUCGGAAGAAAACUUAAUUUUGCAAGUGAUGAAUUUGAACUCGUUGGAUUGGUUGAUUUAUGAUUGACUGAAUUUCACUUUUGCCCAAAAGAUCUUUAACCAAAGUUUAAUAGCCAUCAUGUACUCCUUAAAAGCAAUUUUUUUUUUUAGAUUUGACUGAAUUUGAACUUGUUGGAUUGGUUGUUUUUAGAUUAUUAAUAUGAGAUAUUACAACGUAAAUAUUUUCAUGUGGUUGAGCCCUAUUCUAAAAUCUGUAUAGUUAGCUUUAGAAAAAGGGCUUUUCCUGCUGAUCUGUAAUCUUCAAAUAAACUUAGAUACAAAUAAUGAAAUAAAAGACAACAAACAAGCAAUACUGAUACAAAGCCAACAGAUCAGAGUUUUUUCUUGCCUUCUUUUGUUGAAGGAUUAGAGUUUUUGGUAUUAUCAGUAAAGGUUUCAAGGAGUAAAGCCUAUAAACUUUUUUUUUGGGGGGGGCGCCGCCGCGGGGAGGGGGGGGGGGGGGAGAGCAUGCAAAUUAACCAAAAGAAAUAAUAAGAGCACAGGCUUUAACAAUGAAUACUGACUUAAAACUCAUGCAAAAUAAGUUACAAUAUUAAAACAAACCAGAGAAAAUUUUUUCUUGGAAAGUAGAUGGAACUUAUGAAAGAGCAGAUGUCAAGGAUUUAGAAAACGCGCACCUCUUUAAUUAUCUGGGAUUAGAGAGUUGGUGAGCUUCUCUAUUUAAGAACAAGUUGAAAGAGGAAAAAGAUCACUGGUAACUGCUGAGGAAUGUGUGAGAAAAGAGUUGAUGAGAGCAAUAACAAAGACCUGCAAAAGAAAAAGAAUUAGUCAUGCACCGCUUUUCUAUAUCAUGUAUUUGGUUAUUGUUGCCCUGUUGACGCAUGUUGAAGAAGAAAGCACUAGUUCACAACUCUACGUUUUCAUAUAUUCUAAAGAAAUAAUUAAGUUUUCAUAGAAUGAUACCUGUUGUGUUUGAGUAAUUUUGGUAUAUACAUUGCUUGUGUACUGUGAAAUUGAAAUGAAUAUUGAUGGAAUGACUGAAUUUCACUUUUGCCCAAAAGAUCUUUAACCAAAGUUUAAUAGCUAUCAUGUACUCCUUAAAAGCAAUUUUUUUUUUUAGAUUUGACUGAAUUUGAACUUGUUGGAUUGGUUGUUUUUAGAUUAUUAAUAUGAGAUAUUACAACGUAAAUAUUUUCAUGUGGUUGAGCCCUAUUCUAAAAUCUGUAUAGUUAGCUUUAGAAAAAGGGCUUUUCCUGCUGAUCUGUAAUCUUCAAAUAAACUUAGAUACAAAUAAUGAAAUAAAAGACAACAAACAAGCAAUACUGAUGCAAAGCCAACAGAUCAGAGUUUUUGGUACAAAGCCAAUAAAAGACAAUAAACUUAGGACCUUUUUUUCUUGCUUUCUUUUGUUGCAGGAUUAGAGUUUUUGGUAUUAUCAGUAAAGGUUUCAAGGGUCUGAGUAAAAGCCUAUAAUCUUUUUAUAAACUUUUUUUUUUGGGGGGGGGGGGGGGGGGGGAGCAUGCAAAUUAACCAAAAGAAAUAAUAAGAGCACAGGCUUUAACAAUGAAUAGUAACUUAAAACUCAUGCAAAAUAAGUUACAAUAUUAAAACAAACCAGAGAAAAUUUUUUCUUGGAAAGUAGAUGGAACUUAAGAAAGAGCAGAUGUCAAGAUCAAGGAUCAGGGAUUCUACUAUCAAAAAAAAAAAAAUUAUUCAAGGAUUUAGAAAUCGUGCACCUCUUUAAUUAUCUGGGAUUAGAGAGUUGGUGAGCUUCUCUAUUUGGCCUUCAAUAUUUAAGAACAAGUUGAAAGAGGAAAAAGAUCACAGGUAACUGCUGAGGAAUGUGUGAGAAAAGAGUUGAUGAGAGCAAUAACAAAGACCUGCAAAAGAAAAAGAAUUAGUCAUGCACCGCUUUUCUAUAUCAUGUAUUUGGUUAUUGUUGCCCUGUUGACGCAUGUUGAAGAAGAAAGCACUAGUUCACAACUCUACGUUUUCAUAUAUUCUAAAGAAAUAAUUAAGUUUUCAUAGAAUAAUUUUGGUAUAUACAUUGCUUGUGUACUGUGAAAUUGAAAUGAAUAUUGAUGGACAGAGCAAUGCAUAUGCCUAAAAAAACAUAAAGCAAAUCCUUGAACGAAUGAUUCAGGACUAAAACUUUUAUAAAAGCAAAUACCGGAAACACACAAAAAGCAUUUAAGAGAGAAACUAAACCGCAAAUAAUCGAAGUAAGAUCAAUAAUAUAUGAUUUGAUUUAUGCAUAUUCAAAAACCAAAAUAUAAAAUAAAAUACAAAAUUAAAGUUUGGUUUAUUCUUUCCACAAAAAACAGGGGAAUGAAAACAGAGGCAACUUGUUUUACCAAUUUUUUCUUCUUAAUUUCCGGCAAAAAAAAUCAAUAAACAGGGGAAUGAAAACAAAGGAACGAAAACAGAGGAAACUUGCUUUUCAGGCUAUCUUGUGACAUGAUGAUAUUGCUCGUGAAUGCAUGAAAAUUUCUAAUGCAAACAGCUCAAUUUGGGAUGAUAAGCUUAAGUUUGCAAGUGAUGCAUGAUAAUCAGAUAUUUGUGGCUUUUAAAACUCAAGAAAACUCAAGAAAAUUAAAUGACAAGAUUAAGACAAACAAGAGAUAGUUUUUGUUGGACAUUAAGAAACAACUACUAUCAAGAUCAAAGAUUAGAAAUUAUGCUAUUGAAAGAAAUUAUUAAAGUAUUUAGAACAAACGCACCUCUUCAAUUAUCGAGGAUCACAGAGUUUAUGAGCUUCACUCUUGGCCUUCGAUUUAUAAGAAAAAUUUUAAUGAGCAAAAGAUCGCUGUUAACUGCAGAAGAAUGUGAGUAAAGAGUUUAUGGGAGUAAGCAAUACAAUUGAAUUGUAAAAGAACAAGACUUAAAGCGUGCACCCCGUGUUCAUAUAAACAGAACACAUGUUCAUUUUUAACAAAGUGAUCAAUAACUCUAUUCGUUAUUUAAUUGAUAUUGUAACCAAGAUCAAGGAUCAGGGAUUCUUAUGCCUACUGAUAUUUAAACAGAGAAUUCUUUCUUCUUUUUCUCUUCAUGGAUUAGAGUUUUUGCUAGUAACAGAAAGGUUUCAAGGGUCUGAAUAAAAUCCCAGAUUUUUUUUUAACUUUGUUUUUUGUGGGAAAAUGGAUUCAAAUUAACCAAAGCCAAUAAUAAGAUCACAGACUUUAACAAUGAACAAUAACUUAAGCAAAACCAAUGACAAGAUUAAAACAAACCACAGAAAUUUUUUCUCGGAAAGUAGAUGAAAAGCAAGUAAGAACUGCUAUUAAAGGAUAUUAUUAAAGGAUUUAGAACAUGUAUACCUCUUUAUUUAUAUGGGAUCAGAGAAUCGAUGACCUCCUCUAUUCGCUUCAGAUAUUAAGUAAGAACUGCUAUUAAAAGAAUGAAUUGAUGAGAGUAAUAACAAUGAUUGCAAAAUAGGAAGACUCAAUCAUGCACCCCUUUUAUACCUGAUCAUAUUAAGAAGUCGUUAAAGAAUAACGACUAAAUUAGGAAUUAAUUCUGAAGUUCAGAAUCAAGAACAAAGACGAAGCUUUAAUAACGCAUGCAGUGAGAUACAAGAAAUGGAUCUGGUAAAAUACAUUAAAAAAAUUUGUUCAACUUCAACCUAGUUAAGCUGAUGAAAGCACUAGUUGUUGGCUCUACGUUUCAUAUGUUCUAAUGAAAUAAUUAAGUUGAAGUUUUCAACGAAUAAAUACCUGUUUCGCUUGAAUAGCUUUGGCAUAUACAUUACUUGUGUCCUGUGAAAUUGAAAAGGUUAUUGAUUUACAAAGCUUAUUAGUAGAGAAAAGCUACGUAAGAUGCCUGAUAAAAGAUAAAGCAAGAGCUUGAAUGAAGAAUGACAUUUUAGAAAGAAACUAAAGUGUAAUCAUCAAAGUAGGAUCAAUAAUGUACCACUUUCCUUGCAAAUCUGGUGGGUUUUCUGAAUAGAUUUUUACAUUAUUCUAUUUAACCAUUUUGGGUUUACCCUAAGCAUUCUUGGUUGGCAUUGUCCUGUAAUCUGCGUGCCCUGGAUACGUGUGAGGGAAAGAUGAGGGUAGAUAUGCAAUUUCAAGAAGCGAUUUGCUUGCAUAAUUCAAUGCAUGGAAAGAGAUGUACCUGACCAGAAAAAAAAGGGCACCAUCCAUAUCUGAGCUUGACUUUUUAGAUGGAUAAAUAUUCUUAUUACUGUUGAUAAUGGAGAAGGGUUCUACUUUUACUUUGCCAUCUUUGAUAUAAAACAGCAUGAUUCCUUUUUAUCAAACACUUGCCUAAGUCUAUUUUUUAUUUUUCUUAUUUUCAGAAAGAGAUUAGCUUAAUUUAAAUUAUAUUCAAGUACAAAGUGUUAUACACUCAUAAAACGAGAAAUAGGCAUGUAUUGAUCACGCGCAAUCUAGUUUUUUUUUUUUUUCUUUUUUUUUAAUCCAGUCUUCUUAUUAAAAAAAAAAGAAUUUAUUUGCUUUAUUUUAAAUUAUUUUUUCAUGCGGUAAAUGCAAUACUGAGUAAUGGGUGAGCAAAAUAUUUACAGGCACACCCCCUUUUAAUGAUUUCGUACUAAAAUUAAAAAUUGACGAUUCCAUGAUAAAGUUCAAAGAGUAAAUGAAGACCCAUAAAUGUUUUUUGGUCAUGAGCAAUUUUUGAGUUGGGACAGCACUCGUAUGAAAAAAAAUAGUUUUUUUUUUUCUUUAAGCAUGAGGAUAUUAAUUCUUUUUUUAUAAAUCAGCGUGAAUAUAAAAUUAAAAAAAUAGUUUUGAAUAACUUCUUUUCUUUUUUCAUAAAUAUAGAUAAAAAAUUUUAAAGUCACCAAACACAAAACCAGGAAAAUGGAAAGGAAGCCCCUGUUUCUCCGCUGCUGCAAGCACAAAUUCGGUUUCUACAGGAGUACCUUCUAAAUGCACCAUUUGUAUUGCUUUGUUUCCACGUAAGCUAACGGAAUUUGAUGAAGACAAAAUAGAUAUGAGUCGUGCUAUUCACACCCCUCGAUAAUUCUCUCAAAAUCCCCUUUCUAAUUAUACCGCCUUGAAUAAUUUCAAAACUGACUUUUCCUCUUAUAAUACCACCUUCAAUUCCCUUAAUACCCUUGUUCGCUAUGAAAAUAAGGAAAAUGCCUACAUAAAAAGCUGGCUCUGAUAAUCUACCUGAAUUUACAUUAGAAAAGAGUGGACUUUGAGAAAUAAGAAGACAAUAUAGGGAAUUUUACCAAAAUAAUCCAUUUUUAUAUACAGGGAAUGGUAUUUUCUAAUAUAAGGAGGAGUGGAGAAAUUAAAUUUAGCAAAAUAAAGAACCUCCAUCGAGAAGCAAAAAUGAUGAUAUCUUUGUCGUGAAGAGAUUUCAAUUCAAUUGCAUACAUUGACGAAACAUUAAAUACGGAAAAAACAAAAAAGAAAUAAUAGAACAUGGGGAUUUCGAGAACUUCUAAAGAGAGAAAUGUAUUUAUAAGCAUUGAAAAUUAGCUCAUUAAAUUUGACAGAAUAAUAUACAAUCUCACUGUUGGCCAGAAAAUAAUAGUAAGAACUUGUGAACAUAUAUAAUCAAUUGCUUAUUACUUAAGCUUUUUCUCCGUUAUUUUGAAUGGGUGCAAAGAGGAGAAGUUUUGUACCCAAAUUCCAACUCGAAUUGUGUAGGCUGCUUGCAAGAGCUUCAUUAGAUUUUUAUUUGUCUUUUAAUAGUGCUACUCGAUAAAUACAGCUAGCUAUCUGUCCUUUUUGUUACUGGACUAUAGAUCAAUUGACAGUUGAAGUUAUAUUAAUUUGUUGUACUGGAAUUGAAGCUUGUAUCUUAGCCAUUUCGUGAAGUGUCAAAUAUAUUUUUAAUUUCCUUAAAAUUGUUCAAAAUAUGUUUACACUUUUAAAGUCACUAUUAUACAUGAGUGCCCUAAAAUCAUUUCCUUAAAAUUGUUCAAGUGGGAUCCUAGUUCUCUAUGGCAGUUGAAGAGGUAAAUGCGCAUAGAGCUAUGCUCUAUCAUAGGCCUCGGCCACUAUAAGAAAUUUGAUUUUUUAAGACGAUAUUUUUUACAACAACUUUAAAUUUGGUCACAAAAUGGUAUUUAUUGUGACAAAUUUUUUAAAUCGUAGCUAAUAAUCUUGUCCUAACUUAUAUUUUUUUUUGUAACCAAUUAUUUUUAUUUUGAGACUUGUUCAUUGGUCAUUAAUUAAAUUUUUUUAUACCAAAAAUUAUUUUAGUCACCAAAAGAUAUAUUUUUUUGGCGCAAAAUCUUCCCUCCAAAAGUGAUUAUUUUGAGACAAUAUUUCACUAUUUAUGACAAAAUAAAUAGUCAUGAAAUAUAAUUAUAGGCGACCAAAUUAUUUGGUAACUAAAAGAGGGGUGUAAAAUUAACUAAACAAUCUAUGACACAAAAUAUUAGUAGCCAAAAUUAUUGUUCUUUUGGCAUAUUUUAAGACCAUUUUUUUGGUCAUAUAUAAUUACCUACAGUGACAAAAUUAAAAAAUAGUCGUUGAAUGUUUUAUCUUGAAUAAUUUUAUAUUUGAUAACCAAUUUUUUUUUCUUUUUGAGACAUAUUACUUGGUCCCUAUUUCAACUUCUUUUUGACUAACUUUAUAAUAGUCACAAAAGACAUUUUUUUUUUUUUUGGCAUAAAAAGUCUGUCCAAAGUUAGCUCUUUUGGGACAAUAUAUAAUCUUUUAUGACAAAAUAUAUAGUGGCGAAAUAUAAUUAUUUUUUACAAAGUUAUUUCGUAGCUGAAAAAGAGGUGUAAAUUUAGUUAACCUAUUUGUGACAUAAAAUAUUAGUCUCCAAAACUAUUAUGCUUUUAGCCAAUUUUAAGACCCGAUUUUGUUGUCAUGGAUAAUUACCUAUUUUCAAAAAACUAAGAGAUAGUAAUCAAAAGUUUGUCUUGAUUGACAUUGUAUUUUAUGAGCAAAAUAUUUUGUUUCAGUGACACUUUACUUGGUCUCUGAUUAGACUUGUUUGUGAUGAUCAAUAGAAAUAUAUAAUAACCACUAAAUUUUUUUGGAUUAAAUUUUAUAGAUACUAUUAAUUAAGUUGUUGACGAAAAUGAUCGAACCAAUACUAAUAUGGGAUACCAUCAACAGCCGUAAUACUUAUGAACCGAGAAAUUAUAAUAUGUAGUGAAAAAGUUUUAACAGUAGUCCCUAGUAUUUAGAAUUAUUUUGACUACUUUAUUUAUUUCCAAAACAUAAAAUUCUCAACCCAAAAUUCCCCGCAUUGUGUUUUAUUUUGUCUCCUCACUCAGUUACUCUUAUUAACUCACGGCUUGACAAAAAAAAGAAAAAAAUUCUCACAGCUUGAUGUUCUCCUCUCUUUAAAAAUAAAAAUCCCCAGUUACUCUGCUCAAACUCGUUAAUAUUUGUUUCCACCACCAAAGCAGCCACUCGUAUCUUUUAUUAAGCAUAACGUUUUUCUUAAAACCUAAUUGAUCAUUCUUUAACGUCUCCAGGAUUAUAUUUGGCACGCUAUUUUUCUCCUUCAAUUGAAUAGAAGUCUAGAACCUUUUUUUUUUCGCAAUUCACUUUUGCUGUGUUUCGUGGUUUGGACUAAGAUCAUGACAAUUAUUGAACGAUGGGGAUAAAUAUCAAAGAAGGAGCUUACAUGCCCUAUAUAUCUCUCUUUGGAUGAAUAACGAAUGUGAGCUUUCAAAGUACAGAGAUUUACAUGUUUUAAUUGUCAUUUACAUUGCUGCAUGCCAAUUGCUUGAUAAAAUACUGCAACAAAUACGCAUUCUCGAUUUUCUUAUAAAUUUAUUUUCUUAAUCUGAAAAAAAUUGAAUGUUCAGAGAAUUUUGAAGGUUUUGGUGUAUGCAUUAAUAUUUCGAUUCUAUUUAUGUUGUUUAACUAAUGAAGAUGAUACAUCUAGCCUCUUUUUGCCCCUUGUUGUUUUUAUUCUUGUGCUUUAUAUACGGUUCAAGUGUGAUACACUUUAGUUUUUCUCAAGUGUUUGUUAGUAUUUCCCGAAGCAAAAUUUGUCACAGACUUUGAGUUCAAAAGUUGAAAUCAUAACUAACAUACUUCGAUUUUUUAUUUUCCUUUUUUCUUCGGUAUCCUUCUAUAUGGCAUUGGUUGAGAAAUUGGUGUACUUAGAUCGUAAUAUUCUGUAGAAAUAAGCCAAUAUUUCAUUACGUACAUUGUUUAAUAUGAUGAGUAUUGUAUAGAAGUUUUACAUAUAAGCUCCUUAUAUAUUAUGCAUUAUGUUUUUAUCAUAUUGUUGCUUGGAACUUUGAAGGAUUGGCCACAGGGCUUUAGUCCUACAUGGACAUUUUAUAUUUAAUAGCUGGUUAGGCAUUUUAUUUGAUGUUAUUUGGACUUGUAGGUGUUAAAAGUUUUGUUCAGUAAUUUUAUAAUUCAGAUUCCCAUUGUGAUAAGAUAGCAAUUUUUUGUGUGUCAGAUUCUGUCAACUGAUAUUUAGCUAAAAUAUCUCACUAACCCCUAUUGGUUAGGUAUUAUUUUAAAUCACAUACUUGAUUUUUAUUUUCUUUUUAUCUGUGGAAUCCCAUGUAUCAUUCAUAAGAAACAAGCUAUUAUAUAAUCUAUUCUUUAGAUCCAUUUAUAUGUAGUGAGCACUCUGAUUUCUAUUAUUUGAAUUUUUUGCUACUGUUACUACUCUUUCGGCCCUUCAAAUAGGGGUUAACAGAAAUGGUGAGUAUAUUAAUACAAAUUCAAACUUUCUUUUUCUAAUUUUAUCCAAAAUAACCUACUAUUUUAUUUUAAUUUCAAACUUUUGUCAUAGUCUAAUGGGCAGUUGUCUUGUCAUUAUUUGGUUUCAAGUAAGAAGAGAGAAAGUUAGUGAGAGGAUGAAAAUUUUGCAAAAACUUGUUCAUAGCUAUGGUAAUUAAGUAGUUUGAGUUCUUUUUUUUGUUGUUUUCUAUGUUGGUUUUGGAUCAUUGUAGUUGCUGAUUGUGAUUUAUUGUCGCCUAUGGUUGCUGACUUUUGUUUACUGUGGCUACUUUAUUAAAGCAAUUUUGGAUAUUGAAGUUUAUGGCCAACUUUUAUUAGACACUUCUGACCUUUAUCGAUAUAUUUUCUGAACCUUUACACUUAAGAUGUGUGUGUGUGUUUUUAAAAAAUACAUGUGAAUGAAAUAGUACUUGAAAUAAUAUAUUUUCUCAACUUUUAUUAGAUAUAGUGAAAUAGUACUUGAAAUAAUAUAUUUUCUCAACUUUUAUUAGAUAAUUCAAAGUAUAUCCCACUUAUUAUCGAUAUAUUUGCUCAAGUCUCAUGUGCAACAUGUGAAUGAAAUAGUACUUGAAAUAAUAGAGACUUUGUUUUAUGACUCAUAUUUUUACAUUUCUUUGCAAGGAACCAUACUUAAUUGUACCUAAUAGAAGAGAUAUCUUUUCACUAUAUAGUCUUAGUAUAAAAAGAUACAUCUUCUAUAUAAGGCACAAUUGAUGGGACAUAUCUUUAUACUAAGACAUCAUUCAUAUUUAUCACACAAUAAUAGAAACUGCAAUGGUAGGUGGAAUAUUAUGAAGUCAAAAUUGAGAACGACAUUAAAUCAUGAAUUCUUUAUGUGUUUACUCGAAUGCCUGACAGUAUUUAGUUCAAUUAACACAGAUUGGAAAUCCAAAUGAUUGAAGAGUUGUAUGAGUUCAAGUUCAGUAUUUAAUUACUAUAUAAUUAUACAUAAAUGUGGAUUUUGCAAGCUUGAACCCAUGUGUGUUAGCCCAUUUCGGCCCAAUAAACAUAUUGUUCUGGAUAAAAAAUAUCAGGGGAUCUCUGAUGUUUCUUUGGUUUAACAUAAAUUUAUUCCUAACUCUAUAACCAUGCAUUAUUUAGACAAAAAUUUUUGCAAUCACCAAACAGUAAAACAGAGAAAUAAAAACGGAGGAGCUCUUUUCUAAAACAGAAGUAGGUGUUUUGUCUGAACGUACCACUUUCUGUUUAAUUAUUAUGUUUACGGAAUAGAUUUUUUUUUAUUAUUCUGUUUUAUGUUUCCGUCUUUACCCUAAGCAUUCUUGGUUGGCAUCGCUGCAUUGUCCUGUAAUCUGUGUGCCUUGGUGAGGAGGGGAAUGGAUAACUGUGGUGCUGGAUACGUGAGAGACAAUGAUGAGGGUAGAUUUGUAAUUGCCAGAAGCGAUUUGCUUGCAAUAAUUCAAUGCAUGGAAAGAGAUGCCUCUAACAAAAAAUGGGACUAUCCAUAUCUGAGCAUUAGAGCUCUACGUCUUAGAUAAAUAAAUAUACUUAUUAGUAUUGUUUUUGCAUAUAUCUUUCACAAAAUUAUUGUAUUCGCUUAUAUAGAGAGGACGAUUUAGAUAAGUUUCAACUAAAAAUUGACAAUUCCAUGAUAAAGUUAAAAAUCACCGAAUAAAAAACUGGAAAAUCCCCUGUUUCUCCUCUGCUUUCUUUUGAUUAUUAUUAAAAAGGGGAAUUAAAAAAUGAGUUGCAAGCACAAAUUUUAUUUCUACAGUAGUACCUUCUAAAUGCACCAUUGUUUGAUACAUUAAAAUUAAACAUUACUUAUGCUAGUAUAUCGGUACUUCACAUGUCCGUUCUUCAUUAAUGUAUAUUCAUUUACACCCAAGCUACCUGUCAGUUUUGCGAAAACUGAAUUUAAAGGUGUGGCUUAAAUUAAAAUAAUAAUCAGCCUCAUAGAAUACAGAGAAAAAAGAUAAUUUAUCACAAUCAUAUCCUAAUGCAUCAUAAAUUUAGAUUAUUUAAUUACUGUUAGGAAAUCUGCUUAGAUAAGGCGCACACUACAAAUUCUAAAUUAAAUUCCUAAUUAACAAUAAAAGAUAGACCCUAUUAAUCGUCCACCAGGUACCUUGUAGCCUGCAUCAUAAGUUUAGAUUUAAAUUUUUGCAAUUACCAAACGGAGAAACAGGGGAAUGAAAACAAAGGAGCCCUAUUUUUUCCAUUUUUGUCCCCCUUAACUCUUGUCCUUAUACAAAUAUUUUUCCUUGGAAUUUCAGGCAUACGAAAAAAUAUUGAAAAUUAUUUAAAGCAAACAGGUGGAUGAUAACAAAAAUAUAUUUAAUUAACCAAAUCAAGACACUAUAUUGGUCGUCAAUGUUUCGGCAUCACUGUCUUCUUCAGAUGUUACUUGUUUUUCACAUUUAUUUUGCGCUGUUGUGGAUUAAUAUGGUUCUGCUGGGUGCACAUUUUUACGUGCUACUGUAUUUUCUCUCAGUCCUUUUUAAAAGAACAUACACCCACAUACUAUGUAGAGUGACCUUUUUUAAUGAGGAAUCUGUCAUUUUAAUAAAAUGAAGAAUAAACUAAAAGGUAGAAGUACACGAACUCUAAUGCAAUAUACCUUUUCUUUUCUUUUACCUUUACUAUAAGAUAGGGAAUGAUAUAAUUGAUAAUGGAACUUGGGGUCAGAGCAGCGGUGUAAUUUUGAGAGGAUUUACAAGAUGGUAAGUGCAAUAAUUAACAGGCUCAUUUAAUAUAUCAAACUGCUAGAUAAUUGUACUAGUUAAACAUAAUUUUCAGAGAAUCUUUUUAAGGGUUUAUUUAUUAAUAUUUUGUUUCUUUCCAGCAUGAACACUUUGUUUUGACACGUGCUUAACAACCUUCAACGAACUGGAACAACCUUCAUCACAUGCUUCCUCACGUGAUUACUUAAAUUGAUAUGUAAAACGUGCUCCAUCCAUGUCGUUUCCACUAAAUCGUUUUUUGUUAAGAAUCAGCUGAGCAGCACGUGAGCUAAUGAAGCUUUUACGGCUUCAAAACGCAGCCGUUUCUGGGAACCAAACUUGAUUCAUCAUCUCACAACUACAGAUGAAUUAUCGAAGUGGCUGAUUGGUGCUGUACGUGUUUUUCGUAUUGAACUCAACUCUGCUAUAAUACAUGCGUGCAUCUGAUACAUGCACAAAAACCACCACUCCCACUCCCACUCCCACUCCCACGCCCUCGCGUCACGCGCCUUACCACUCCCUCGCCUCACCUCACCUCUCUUCUUGUUCCACGGCCAUCAACGGCGGCACGAGUCGGCAACGAUCAACUGCGGCUGUAAAUUGACCACAAUCAUCUCUCUCUCUCGGCUUUGCUCAAAUUUGGCCGAUCUAUGCGCUUGCUUAAGCUUGGCCGAUCUAUGCUUGCUCAAUUACUCUUCCUAUAUUCAGUCGGAGUCAACUGUUUGACAAGAGUCGAAGUCCAAGGUUCUUUUUUACAGGAUUUGAGCUACUUCUUUUAUUCUUCUUCCAUGUUCACUGAUACGAAGCUUUGAUGUGGUGUUCUGAGAGCGGGUGGAAUUUGAGAUUCUCCUUUCUUCUCUAUAUGAAGGUGCUUGUCAUGUGUCAAGAAAAAUAAAAUUAUUUACAAAAGAUUAUUUUAAGGAGAUUUAUUAUUAUUCGUGGAUCGGGAAGCUCAAAAAAUUUUCUUAUGUAGACUCAAAUCAUUUCUAUAGGGCGAAGCAUAUGAAUGAUACAUAUUAUCUUUUUUUGGCCUUAUGUAUUGUUAUUUGCAGUGUGAUUUGGUCUAGCUUAAGAGCUUAAGCUUGCAGGCUGGAUUUGUCUGACAUGGAACAAUUUAAUUUGUUCAUCGUGAUGUUUAUAUCCAUUUUGUACUACUAUCAAUUUCAAUCAUGGCUAAUUUUUAUAUGUAUUUCUCGUGGACUCUCAGGUUCAGUGCACAAGAGGAUGAAGACGAUGGACACCCAAAUUUGAUGUGGAGAACAACUAUUGCAAAUGGUCCUUGAUUUACUUCUCCAAUUGACUUGAAUUGGUUUGACGCAAUUUAUAGUGUAUUUUUGUCAUCUUUGUAUGACUGGCAGGUCGUCCUGAUUUGGUACAUGACUGGACACAGGAAUUGGACUCAUAUUUUUCAAACCAGAAUGCCAACAAUCAAGCAUUUUCUUUUGAAAGCACUGGCGUCUUCUUCAGUGCCAAAAAGGUUAGAGAUUUUCUGUAUCCUGUUUUGUAUUUGAUCAGUUUAGCAUGUGGGUGGCAAUCAAGAAAAGUUAUUAUAACAUUUUUGUGUUCCCGAAAAACUGCUGCUGAUGUGUAGUGCAGGAAAUGAAUUGUUUGUGACUUCUUUUUAUUUGUAUUCUUUCUUUUUUCUUUUCUCCCCAACAGAAUUACGUAUUUCUGAAGAGCUUCUUGAAGUUGAUUACCAUGUAUGCCACUUUCUUUACUCUAUGCUCAGGAUGUGAUUUUGUUUAGGUCAGAACCAUCAUCUAAAGUUUACUUAAUGCUGCCGAGAAGCUGUAGUAGAGCAAUGAAGGCUGUUGGUGUUAUGAAGGCCAGCUGUGAAGAAAUAUUUGAACUUGUAAUGAGCAUGGAUGGGACACGAUACGAGUAUGCUUCUUUUCUAUUUUUUAUUUUUAGUUACUUUAACAUAAUCAAGACUAUAUUGGCUGUCUGUGUAAGCUGAGUAUUAUAUUUCCUCUUGUAUGCUGUGAAAUUCACAUUGUCUCCAGUCCCGAUUCUGUAUGUGCCUUUUUGAAUAUAUUUAAUUAAUCUGCAUGGUGCUUUCUAAAGAUUAUUACAAACUUUUGUUGCUUAAGUAUAUGAAGAAUGUGGAAAUGAAAAUAGCUUUUGAAGUUUGAUGGAUUGCUUCAUUAAUAAAGAAAGACUAGGACUCAUUUUUAUAACUUUUCUCCACUUAGCUAAUGGUAUUUGAUGAAGACAAAAUAGAUGUAGCUAUCUAUAUUUUUUGUUGCUGAACUAUAGAUCAAUUGAUGGUUGAAGUUAGUUAUAUUAAUUUGUUGUACUAGAUUAAAGCUUGUAUCUUAGCCAUUUCAUGAAGUGUCAAAUACGUUCUUUCCUCUUUUUUUUUUUUUUCGAAACAUGUUACACUUUUGAAGUCACUAUUACAUAAAAGAGUGUUCUAAAACAGGAGAAGGCGUGCUGCCUGAAAUUACCUGUUUCCUAGCAAAUCUAGCUGGUUUGCGAAUUAGAUUUUAACAAGUCUCUUGGCAAGGUUUGCUAGUAAUGUGUUCAAAUUAUUCUAUUUAAUUUUACUGUCUGUACCCUAAUAAUUCUUGGUUUGCACCAUUGCAUUGUUCCAUAAUCUCUGUGCGUUGGCUUAUAAAGGCCAGCAAGGCUGAUCAUUUGUCGAAUAGUUAUUUCCAUGAAAUUCCUAUCAAUUUGACUCAGUAUUUAGAGGUCUUGAAGAGGGCAGUGUACUAGACAUGGAUUUCUACCUCUUUUGGUUGUACAAUUGUUGUAUUUCUUGGCCAUCAGAUCUUUUUUAUGUACCUUUCUCAAAGUUCUUGCCGCACGUACACCGUUUUUCAUGUUUUGUGCAGGUGGGAUUGUAGUCUUCUGUAUCGCAGCUUAGUUGAAGAGGUAGAUGGUCAUACGGCUAUUCUCUAUCAUAGGCUUCAGCUGGACUGGCUUCCAAUGUAAUAGUCUCUUGAUUCAAUCAUCUCAUUUAUGCUUUGGUCAGAAUAGAACAUUUAUUGUUCUUCUUUCCCCUUUCCUCUCUUCUGAUGUAAUAUGUGAGGAAAUUACCUAAAAUUUCUGUAUCCCAAUGUAAUUGUUGGCAUUCAGAAAUAAAAUAAAUACACCGUCUUGUUUUUCCCUCGGUUCAGUCCUAAGUUCUCUUUGGGCCUUCUGCAAGUUUUUAAACAUACUGUGACAGUAAAAAAUCUAGUGAUUGAGAUCAUUUUGAUGAAUUUAAUUUUAAUUCUUAGCUGAUACUUUUUCUGGAAUUUUUUUCUUAUGUUUCCUCAAUAUGACUUAAAUAUAGGGCUUAGUCAUGGAUCAUGCACCAGAGUGAUGGAAGCACCCCUUGUUUAUUAGGAAAAGCAGUUGAUUGUAACUAUAUCCGCGGUCCUAAGUAGUUAGAAGUAAAUGCUCUUCGAAUUCCUAUAGUACAUGGGAUGUGUUCCCUUUCAAAUAGCUUGUUCAAUACCAUUAACAUGGUUUAACAUUGUUCAUCUUUCUGUAGAUUGAUGUUGACGUGUUCUUCUAGAGUUGCUAAUGGAGUUUUGGGCCUUGUAAUUGGUGUAAUUACGGCAUUGGUGGUUGACAUGGCUUUCCUUGUGCAGGUAUGUAUGAUUGUUUUUUUCCCCCACUUCUAAAUGACACGAGGGAAGAGACAUGAUUUUGAGAUAUUGUACUGCAAUUUGCAUAUUUGCAUACUUGAAUAGUAACUCAAGAAUCAUUUUCAGAAUGGUAUAAUGCUUCGUGUAUGCAGGCAAAUACUACAGAUGAAUUACCGGAGCGGCUGAUUGGAGCUGUACGUGUUUCUUAUAUAGAACUCAAGUCUGCUAUUGUCCCAAAGUUGGAACCAGAGACAUCAUGACUCUGGUUUCAUUUCACCUCAACUGUUUUUUUUUUAAUUGAAAAAAAAAAUCAUUUGUUUUAGGUAUGCAUACAUGUAUUUUGAUCCCGUUUUCAUUGUAAUUUCUCAUUUACUUUGAAAGAAAGUCACUGGUGUUUUCGAAUAGGAAUUUUGCAUUAAAAAAUAAAGAAUACUUAAUAGGAAACUUAAUAAUUCUUUAGUUACUAUUUUUGGAAUGAGUGUAAUAGUAUUGAAGUUGGUUUCUACUCGCAAUCAAGUGAACUACUCGAUCCCCAACUGCGACCGCACUAAUUGUCAUUGUUUAAUAGCCUACUACUUUUAAAACUCAACAACUAAAAAAAUGAUUUUCUUAUGAUGCUGUGAAAACAUUUAUGGGUUCACUUAUUUCCACAAGAUCUAUAACAUGGUCUUGACUUCACGAAAUUCUUUUAACUUAAAGGGUUCUGGUCUGAGAAAGUUAAUUUGACGGAUUAAUUCCUUUUAAUAAUGGUCGAGUUAAUUUUACUAUACUCGUAAAACUAUUAUUAUUCUGAUAAUGCCACAAAUGUUAUGAUGUUUUCUUCAGCCAAUAAUCUUCUAUUAGGACUAGUUAGAAAUCAAAUGCUUAAAACACCAAUUGAAUGAAUAAUGCAGAAGUUUAAACAGUAUCUAAUUGAAAAUUACAUGAAGCAUGAAACAUCAAUUCAAGUCCUUCCUUAAACAGAGAAUGCAUCAAACAAAUCCAAAGUGUCUUGCAUGUCUGUAAAUAAUUGUAAAUGCGUUUAGAUUAUUCAAGUACAGGAGAACAAGCAAGUUGAAUCAUGUACAAGAGGUUGGCCUGGUUCGAGAUAGCUUCUUCACAGUACCUGAAGGGUUGGCUCAAUCUUUUCUUUAGAAUUCUGCACAUUUUGUAAUUACUCGUGUAAGCAAGCAUACAUUACAACCAUAAUAAUAAUAAGGCAAGAGUAAUGAUACGACCACAGCCUCUUGUGCACAAAUAAUAUUGUACAAACUAAUAUGACAUAAUAUGAUUGAUUAAACAAAAACAUAACAUGACCCUCAUAAUUUAUUUAUUAUUAUUUUAUAUUUUCAGUCAAGCAAUCAUAUUAUGCCACAUUAAAUAGAAAUAAUUUACUAGAUAGUGCCAACACUUCAUUGAUACUCACCAUUUCAUUGAACAAUUUUUUUAUAGUGUCAUUGAGGUUGCCUUCCCAACAUCCUUCAUCAUCACCAUCUUCAUCUUCGGUGGGUUUCACUUUGUUUAGCUUUGGUGCGUCUACGACUCCUGGAGAGAAAAUCUUCAUCGUUGGGCAUUGUCUCACAACUACGUGUGCCAAGGACGGGAACUCAAGAGCGUAAUUACCCAAACUAAAGCUUGUUAGGCUUGGCAAACAAUCAAUUCCCAAGUACUCCAAUUUCCUGAAAACAAUGCAAUCUUCCGCUUCUUCUCCAACCUGCGACUGUAUAAUUUCUUCCAUCAUUUUGCAAUCAGUUAUCUUCAUUCUUUCAAGAUUCACUAGACUUUCAGAUGUUGAGAGUGUCAAUAAAUUUAUCAACCCAUGACACUUCGAUACUUCCAGAGUCGCAAGAUUUUCCAAAUGCCACAAAGCUGGUACUAAUUUCUGCAACUUACUACAUUCAAAUAUUUCUAGACUUUUCAAGUUUGCAAACACUUUGUUGGAUUCGGCAUUUUCCUUCCAGAGAUGCUGCACUUUGUGUAAUCCAGAUAGCUUUAACUUCAUCAAUUGAGGGAAUGCAACCUGAAAAUCAACAAAAUUAAGUUGUAAAUGAAAAUAUGUAUCCAAUCUCUACAGUCUUCCCCUACAUAUUUUAUGGACAAGAUUAAUCACGGCAUUUUAUAUUUUAUUUCCAAAUUAGUAUGCUUUGCAGUAGGAUCCCAAAUAUAAGUAUCAAAUCGAUUACCCUUUGAAACACAUAAAUGAAAUCUGAUCAUAAAUCCAAUAUGAAUUAGCUAGGAAAACAAAGAUCUAACACGCAUAAUUUAUGCGAUAUAGUUCAUCACCUCCUGUCACUAGGCAUCUAAUUAAUUUGAGACAUUUUUUUAAUUCAUACUAUAAAGUUAGUUAAUAACUACAAUUAUAUUGUUAAAUCAGAUAUAAAUUAAGACGACGUGCAAAAAGAUAAGUCAUUAAAUUUGAUUUGAUUCUAAUGAAAUUACAUCUAUGCGAAUGAAAGUGAAGGGAAAAAUAAUAAUAAUGAUUACCUUUUUAUCGAAGAGAUGUUGUAUUUGAUUAGCUACCAAGAGGUUCUCUUCUGAUUUUAAUUUUUGAGCUUCCUUAUUAUCUGCUGUCAUGUGCAAUACAGAUGUAGAAUUGGAUAUGAAUGUUUCCAUGUCAGGGCAAUUCUCAAUAGUUAGAUAUCUCAACUCAGGCAGUUCAAUUAUAUUCCCAGUGAAGUUGCAGAAUCUUUUGAGUUUUGGAAGAUCAAUGAGCCUUAGAUUGGAAAGCUUAGGAAACAUGGGGCCUAUAUGUUCUUUGUCAGCAUUUAGCUCUUCCAAACGAAGCACCUCUUCUAGUGAAUCACAAUUCCUCACUUCCAGCCGUCGCAAAUUGUUCAAGCAUCGUAGCAGAUUGGCAGGAAUAGCACUCGACAUAUUCGUGCAGUCAUCCACCACCAGCCGUGCUAAAUUGUUGAAGAAGCUGACAGGCAGUGCUUGGCCAUGCCAUAUUUCUUUCAAACGUGGAAAAUGUGAGAGUUGCAAAUACCAUAUGUCACGGAAUCCAAUCUGCACAAACCAAAACAAUUGCACCGGAUAUAUACAAUUUUUUUUUUGAAAGGCAUUAUAUAUAUACACAUUAAACUUACAUGUUUUGUGUUUUAACUUCUAAAAAUAUAUAUACAAGACCGGGGUAUAUGCUUAAAUGUGCAAUUGCAGGGGAGAUGCAUAAACAAUUUGGGUGAAUCGAUUAACACAUACCAUUUCUUUGUAAUACUUUUGCAUAAUGGAAUUAAGGUUAUUGCCUUCCCAAUGGUGCAGUUCACCCUCUUCCUUUUCAGUCACUUGCACUUUGCAUGGCUUUGGAAUGGAUAAGAUUCCCUGAGAAAAAGUCUUCAUAUUUGGACAACGUAUCAUAGAAACUCGUUCCAGUGAUGGGAAUUCAAGAGUGUAAUUCUCCAAACAAAAGCUGGUAAGCCUUGAUAAAUAAUUAAGUAUCAAAACUUUUAAUUCGCUGAAAGCAAUACGAUUCUCCUUCACUUCUUCUCCAACAUGUCCUACGAUUUCUUCUAUUUUUUGGCACUUCGAUACUUUAAGAUUCACCAAACUACUAGGAAUUCCAACCUGAAAAUAAGCAAAAGUGUGUGUAUAUUAAAAAAGUAAAAAUGUAAGAAUAUCAUUCAACUAGGUUCAAAGUAUGUUUAAUCAUACAAUUAUACGUUUUAUAAAGAUAACAAACCAUGAAAUGUCUACAAGAUAAUUUUUUGUUAAACAAAAAAAGCAACAAGAUAAAUAAAUAAAUAAAAGCCAGAUAAACAAAGAUAUUAAAUGCAUUUACACUAUUUAGUAUUAGGAACGUACGAAGAAUUUAAGGCAAUUUCUAAAUAUUUUAGACUUAUUUUGCAUCUUGAUGCCAGUUUUUAAACAAAAUUUGCAAAUUUCAACUAUUCCUUUUGGGAAAAAAAAAUCAACCAAAAUGCCGCUUUUUCCCUUUUCCCUUGGUCCCUUUUUUUUAUGUAUAUUUAAUUUUGGAAACAAAAUUAAAGUGGAUCUUUAUUAAGUACUUCCAGACUCGAGGAAAUUUCUUUACAAUCAAGGAUCAGUUGUAAAUAAUCGUGAAUUUGUGGUUAAUUAAUGGCAUAAUCAGUUCGUAACUAAACAAGAGAUAUUAAUUAAAUUUGAAGACUUUUCUUUUCUUUUUUUCUUUUUCCAAUCGAAAUGUGAAGAAUUAAGGAAAAGAGAAAUAUAUAGAUGAAUUUGUGAACCUAUAAGAUGAGUGACUAUCCUUUAAUUUUUGAAAAUUGUACUUAUUAAGAUAUGAGCAGAAACAAUUAAAUUGAAUUAUAUUAUGAUGUUGAAUCGUGAUUAAAAAAAUUAUAUUGUUGAUUCUAAUGCUGGCGAACCUAAAAAAUGGACUUAAAAUGUAGAUUUGAGAGUGGUGGUUCGAAAUACAAUACUUGAAAUAAAUAAUCAGUGGCUGAAUAUCAUUUGUAAACCCAAAAAUGGUUAAAAUAUUGUUGGAUGUAAUUUAAAAAAAAAAAGAUUCGAAAUGAAUACAACGACCUUACCAAUGGAGGAAAAAUAUUCAUUAGGUUAUGACACUUAUAUAUCUCCAAAUUCUUCAAUUUGCUGAAAGACUCCGAAGGAAGCUGGUGGUGCCAUAUUUUUCUCAAAUUAUUCAUCCAGCUAAUAUCUAAUACCUCCAACCUAGGAAGUCGUACCUGGAAGUUAAAGAUUAAAUAACUAAUUAAUCAAUUAAUGGCAUAAUCAAUUGAUAACUAAAUUAGAGGCGGAUAUUAACUAAAUUUGAAGACUCAAGGAAAAGACAAAUUAAGUAUUGUGACUAAAAUUAAUUUUAUUUAUUAAAAAAAAAACCUUUUCGUCAAAGAGAGGAGGAGGUUGCAUUUCAGAAUGAUUGGUGUCUUCUGGUGAGCUCGUAGAGAUGAAUCUUAACAUAUUACUGCAAUUACCAAUCUCGAGGUUUAGCAAAGAAGGGAAUUCAACAACUAAAUCUGAAUGAAUAUGUCCUGUAUUGGCGAAGCUUGUCAGUUCUGUAAGCCAAUAGAGCUGCAGGGAGUGUAGUUUAGGAAAAACCUUUAAUUCAAUCAACUUUCCUUCAUCUCUUUCUGACCACCCCGUGGUGUCGACUACCCCUUCCAUUGACUCACAAGACCAUAUUUCAAGAUGUUGGAGUUGCAAAAGACUAUUAACCAUAGAAUACGAAAACAGAUACUUCAUACGAUCACAACUUCUCACGUACAGCUUUGUUAAAUUUUGACAACAGUACAUUCCUUGAUUAUGAUCGGCCCAUAAUUUUUUGAUGUUUCUUAAUUCCGUGAGAUUCAAUUCCUCUAAGCUCGGAAGAAGAACCUGCAAAGAAAAGCCGUACAUUUUUGUUCCUUCAAGUACAACCGUCUAGUAUAAUAUUCUGUUGAUGAUCGAAGAUUAAUCGUGAUAAUAAAUUAAUCAAUUAAUUAUUGAACAGAAAAUUAUCACCUUUGGAGCAGUAUCAUCAUCAGCAAUGAUUUCGUUGAAUCCCAAAGAAGUUGUUGGUUUCUCCCUGUCGGGUCCUGUAAACAAACAAAAACAAUAUACAUAAUUAAUCUUUGUCGUUGUCUUUUUUUUUUCAAAAUAAUUGAGGCGAAGUCCAUAAAUCCACCAACACUUAAUUUCAACACUUACCAACAGUCAUUUCCAGUUUAUUGCAGGAAGCCACUUUGACCUUUUGAAGCCGCAGUAGGUUUCUGGCUAUGGAAAAUGAGAAAAGAUGCUUCAAUUUAUCACAGGAUUCUACUUCUAUAAUCUUUAAGUUGCUGAAAAAUUGAUCUUCUCUGAGUUGGCUGUGGCAUAUGGCCUCCAAAUUGAUCAAUUUAUAGAGAGACAAUGACUCCAGCAAGGGGAAGACUUUGCGAUGAACCCGUCCAACUGAACCGACAAUGUGUAAAAUCUCAGAACACCUUUCUACCCAAAGAUGCUUCAAUCGUGGAAAACCUUCCCCAUCAUCUAAUUCAUGAACAACAUUCUGAACACCCGUCAGUUCCUCUAGACGGAUAUCUUCAGUUAACUUCAGCAACAUUUUCAUCCCAUAAUUCUCCAAAAGAGUGCUAACAUUUUCUAACCCAUGGAGCUGCACCAAUCUUGAUGUUUCAGAAUUAGCGCGCCAGAUGCCCCACGCUUCUCCUAUACAUAUCCUAUAUCUUGGCAAUUCGACAAAGACCAAAUCCUGCGGCAGCAUUUGGGCAUCCUGAACUUGUAUCUCCAAAGUAGUUAGCUUUGACAGCCCCUUCAAUUCAGCAAGACUGGCGUUACUUCCUCCUUCAACCUUAUCCCACUGCGGAAAGCUGUCACCCAUAUAUAGUUCUUCCAAUCGAGAAAAUUUUGAUAUGACAUUUGGUGCUAUCACUACAAGGCUGCUACAAUUGCUCAAAUCUAGCAAUUGUAACUGCGCCAAUUGACCAAUUUCAAGUGGCAACUGCUUAAUGUCGGAAUAUCGAAAGCUAAGAAUCUCUAAUUUCUUUAGCUGUCCAAUUGCCGCUACAUCUUCUAGUUGGCACCAGUCUAAACACAAUGUUUGAAGGUUAAUGAGGUGACCAAGUGAUGAAGAUAAUGAAGAGAAAUGAAUUCCGCUAAGACUUAAAACUUUGAGAUCUUCCGUCCCUUCAAAAAAGAGGUGUGAAAUUUCCAAAUAGCUAUCACCAUUUGCAAGCAACAGUAAUAACUUGAGUUGGGGACAUUCCAACCUUUCGGGAAGCUCUUGAAUAUCUCCAUAAGGUAUAGAAAUAGCAAUUGCACCUUUCUGUAUGAUCUUUUCUAUCUCUUCCUUCAAGUUGGUAACAUUUGGGAUACUAAACAUGAGCUUCUCUGAGGCAAUUGAUACGGCAACAACAUGAAUGACGUCAUGCAUUUUAACUUCAUCUUCAGCAUCGCCGUCCAACAAUAAGCAUGAAGCUUUGAGAUUGUCGAUCAAUGCGUCCACUCUAUUCCUUGCAUUUUCCAAUGUGCGAACAUUUUUAAACAAACCCUUACCAUAUCUCAACAAGGAAGCAACUUGUAUAGGAGUACCUUCACCAAAUAGAGUACAAAGAAGGAACAAAGAUUUUGCUUCAUCACUUUCCAAGAAGUUGUAACUCAAUUCUAUGGAAGAGCAGACAUUUGCAUCCAUUCCAUGAAUUUCUCUUGGAUUAGAAUUUCGCAGCUGAGUCAACGCAUCCUUCCAAACGGGAAGCUUCUUAUUUUUCAGAGCAUUUGCAACUGUACUCAGUGCAACAGGCAAUCCUCCACAUUUUCCAACAAUCUCAUCUGCUAAAGGUUGAAAAGCAGAUGCUUUUGCGGAAUUGCCCACGAUCUUUUCAAAAAAUUGCAAUGCUUCUUCCUUUGAUAAAACUUCAAUUAGGAAAAUCUUCUGAGAAUUCAUAUCAUUGGUCAAUAAAUGUUUACUUCUAGACGUCAAUAUUAUCGUGCGUCUCCUUAGAUCUUGCUUUCUAUCUUUCUCAUCAACAUCCCCAAAAGGAAUUCCAAUUUCUUCCAACCCAAGUUUUUUCCAAAUAUUAUCUAAUAUAAUGAGGACUCGCUUCUCUUUCGUCAAUCUUUGACAAAGUUGUUUUGCUCUGUGGGGUUUGCUAUCAUUCAAGUCAAAGUUCAAGUCUAAAUCGGAAGCGAGCUUGUCUUGAAUUUUCUGAACAUCUGGGUUCUCUGUUACCUCAGCCAUAACGACCUUAUCGAACACCUUAUCUUCCAUAACUUGCUUUGCAAUUUGCUUGACUAGCGUGGUUUUACCCACGCCGCCCAUACCGUGGACCCCAAUUAUGUUGAGCUUAUCAUUCCUCAAUGCCUCCACAACAUCUUGAAAUAAUUUCAUUCUUGAAUCAAAGGCCUCGAAAUCUUUCGCUUGCAUAUGUUCUGUACUCUCUGGAGCAGGACGGUGGGAAACACUAGAGAAGUUGCCUUUUCCCACGAGACUAGCGGCAGCUUCUGCGGCCUUUGCUGCUUGUUUACUAAGUUUAUAACGAGAAAUCAAGUUGGGGCAAAAUCCUUUGAAGCAGGACUUCUUAGCUCUAUCUUCAUCAUCAAUGAUGGAUUUUGCAACCCCUUCACUGAUGAAUUCAUCAACGUUAUUAAGCCAGUCUGCAACAUCCUUGUAAAUCUCAUCUCUUUGUUGAGUAGCCUCACGAACGGGUAUUCCCACCCUUUCUCUUUUAUAUUCUAGCUCCUUCACUUGAACUUUUAGCUCAGCUAUGUAGCUCUGGUACUUGAACACAUAAGAGAUCUGCCGCAUAAUCGGUUCGAACAAUGCCUUUGCACCUUCUGUUACAAUGCCGGAAAAAGUAGUGGAAACCAGGUCUGCAGCCAUUGCCUAGCCUGUUGCUUUCAUACAUACAUACAUACAUAUAUAUAUAUAUAUAUUAGCUGUUGGAAAAAUUAGAUUCAAAUAAAUUAAAAUGAACUAGGGGAAAGACGGAGAAAGAAAUGACAACCAACAACUUUUUAAAAAAAGGUUUCAAGGGCCUGAAUGGAAAACCAACAAUUUAAAAAAAAAAUUGUAAGAUGGAUGCAGAUUAACCAUUGCUAAUAUUACAUAAGAACACAGAAGUUAACAAUGAACAGUACGUAGAAAAUUAAAUGACAAGAUUAAAACAAACAAGGGCUAUUUUUUCUUGGACAAUUGUACCUAUUUAAUUAUUAAAGAGUUAAUGACCUUCACUGCUGGCCUUGAAUAUAUAAGAACGACCAGAAGAUGAAUAUUAACUGCAGACGAAUGUAAGUAAAGAGUUCAUGAGAGUGAGUAAUACAAAUGAAUUGUAAAAGAACAAGACUUAAGUGUGACCCCAUCUUUUGUUUUAUUAUAUAAAUAGAACACAUGAUCAUUUUUAACAAAGUGAUCAAUAACUCUAUGCGUUAUUUAAUUGAUAUUGUAACCAAUUUUAAGGGAAUUUAAUAAUAAUCAUUCAAUGCAUAAAUUUAAAAUUAGAUUUUUUUAAUUCUUUAUUUAAAUAUAAAUCUUAAUGGAAAAUUAUAAAAAUUUAGAGAUAAAAUUUUUCAAUCACCAAGGAAAAAAAAUGGGAAUGAAAACAGAGGAAUCUUGUUUUACCUUUUUUUUUUUUUCCUUAACUCUUGUUCCUAUACAAAUAAUCUUGUUUUGAUGAUAGUGCUCGUGACUAUGGGAAAAUUUCUAAUGGAAACAACUCAAUUUCGGAAGAUAAGCUUAAUUCUGCAAGUGAUGAAUUUGUUCAAUUGACUCUGUACUUGAACUCGUUGGAUUGGUUGAUUUACGAUUGACUGCAUUUCAAUUCUGCCUAAAAGAUCUUUUUAAUAGCUAUCAUGUACUCCUUAAAAGCAAUCAUUUUUAGAUUUGACUGAAUUUGAACUUGUUGGAUUGGCUGUUUUUAGAUUAUUGAUAUGAGAUACUACAAUGUAAACAUUUUCAUGUGGCUGAGCCCUAUUCUAAAAUCUGUAUGUUGCUUUAGAAAAAGGGCUUUUCCUACUGAUAUUUAAUCUUCAAGUAAACUUAGAUAUAAAGUAAAUCAAAUAAAAUGACAAACAAGCAAUAUAAUAAAAGACAACAAACUGGCAAUAUUGAUACAAAGGCAACAGAUAUUAAACUUUAGGACAUUUUUUUCCUAGCUUUCAUUUGUUGGAGGAUUAGAGAUUUUGGUAUUACCGGAAAGCUAAAAGGUUUCAAGGGUCUGAGUAGAAACCUAUAAUCUUUUUAAAAACUUUCUUUUUCUUUUUUCUUUUUUCUUUUUUUGGGGGGGGGGGGGGGGGGGGGGGGGGAAGAAUGCAAGUUAACCAAACGAAAUAAUAAGAGCACAGGCUUUAACAAUGAACAAUAACUUAAAACUCAUGCAAAGUAAAUUCAAUAUUAAAACAAACCAGAGAAAUUUUUUUUCUUGGAAAAUAGAUGGAAAUUAUGAAAGAACAGAUGUCAAGAUCAAAGAUCUACUAUACACAAACACACACAUUAGAGGAUUUGGAAAAUGUGCACCUCUUUAAUUAUCUGGGAUUAGAGAGUUGGUGAGAUUCUCCAUUUGGCCUUGAAUAUUUAAGAACAACCUCAAAGAGCAAAAAGAUCACCGGUAACUGCCGAGGAAUGUGUAAGAAAAGGGUUGAUGAGAAUAAUAACAUUGACUUGCAGAAGAAAAAGCAUUAAUCAAGCACCCCUUUUUUAUAUCAUGUAUUUGGUUAUUGUUGCCCUGUUUACGCACGUAUAGGAUAAUUAUAUGCAAUCUUUUUUUAAAAAUCCACAUGCACUUUAGGGCUUCUUUCAUAAAAGCAGAUACCGGAAACACACAAAAAUCAUUUGAGAGAGAAACCGAACAGCAAAUCAUCAAAGUAAGAUCAACAAUAUAUGAUUUGAUUAAUGCAUAUUCAAGAACAAAACAAAAAUAAAUAAAUNNNNNNNNNNNNNNNNNNNNNNNNNNNNNNNNNNNNNNNNNNNNNNNNNNNNNNNNNNNNNNNNNNNNNNNNNNNNNNNNNNNNNNNNNNNNNNNNNNNNNNNNNNNNNNNNNNNNNNNNNNNNNNNNNNNNNNNNNNNNNNNNNNNNNNNNNNNNNNNNNNNNNNNNNNNNNNNNNNNNNNNNNNNNNNNNNNNNNNNNNNNNNNNNNNNNNNNNNNNNNNNNNNNNNNNNNNNNNNNNNNNNNNNNNNNNNNNNNNNNNNNNNNNNNNNNNNNNNNNNNNNNNNNNNNNNNNNNNNNNNNNNNNNNNNNNNNNNNNNNNNNNNNNNNNNNNNNNNNNNNNNNNNNNNNNNNNNNNNNNNNNNNNNNNNNNNNNNNNNNNNNNNNNNNNNNNNNNNNNNNNNNNNNNNNNNNNNNNNNNNNNNNNNNNNNNNNNNNNNNNNNNNNNNNNNNNNNNNNNNNNNNNNNNCCCCAGGGGAAAAUCUGGAAUUCCUUUUUUUAAUUUUUUUUUUUUUAAAAAAACCCCACCGGAAAUUCUUAAAAUUUGGAAAAAAAAAUUUUGAGUCCCUUAUUCUGGGGGGGGGGGGGGGGGGGACGAAAACAGAGGAAACUUGUUUUACAUUUUUUUGAUCUUAACUCUUGUUCUUAUAUAAUAUUUUCCCUGGGAUUUCAGGCAAACCAAACAAAAAAAAAAAAAUUCAAUAAAGAGCAAGUUGCUCUAAUUGAUUUAUCUUGUUUUUCAGGCUAUUUUGUGACAUGAUGAUAUGUAAUGCUCUUGAAUGCUAGAAAAAUUCUAAUGCAAACAUUUUUGCAAAUGACGAAUGUAAAUAACUUUUUUUGAUUAAUUGAAUCUCUAAUACUCUUACCCUAUUCUAAAAUUUGUAGGUUGCUUCAGAAAAAAAGGGUAUUUCUCACUCAUCUUCAAUCCUCAAGCACAAUUAGAUUAAAAGCAAAUCUAAUAAAAUAACAAACAAAUUAACAAAAAAAAGAAAAAGAAAAAAAACAAUGUUGAUCUUGAGACAAUUGAUACUUAAACAGAGAAUUCUUUGUUCUUUUUUUACUCCCCCUGGCUCGAGGAUUAGAGUCUUUCUUUGCUAUUAACAGAGAGGUUUUAAGGGUCCGAAUAAAAACCCGCGCUUUUUUUAAAAACUUCUUUUUUUUUUUUUAUUGGGGAAGAUAGAUUCAAAUUAACCAAAGCUAGUAAUAAGAACACAGGCCUUACAAAUGAACAAUAACUUACAACUCAAGCAACAUAAAUAAUAAGAUUAAGACAAACAUGAGAUUUUUUUCUUCGAAAGUAGAUGGAAAUCAAGUAAGAACAGCUAUUAAAAGAAAUUACUAGAGAAUUUAGAACAUGUGUACCUCUUUAAUUAUUUGGGAUCAGAGAGUUGAUGAGCUCUCUAUUCGCCUUGAAUAUUAAGAACUGGUAUUAAAAGAAAUUAUGAAGAACAAUUUUAGUGAGCGAUAGAUCACUGUUAACUUCAGAGGAAUUUGUGAGUAAAAAGCUGAAAAGAGCCGUAAUAAUGAAUUACAAAAGAAGAAGACUUAAUCAAGCACCCCUUUUAUACCCGAUUUUUAAGAUUUAGUCUUGAAGUUCACAAUCAAGAACAAAGACGAAGCUUUAAUAAAGCAUGCAGUGAGAUACAAGAAAUGGAUCGGGCAAAAUACCUUACGAAGCGUUUCAUAUUUUCUAAUGAAAUAAUUAAGUUGAAGUUUUCGACGAAUAAAUACUUGUUGUGCUUGAAUAAUUUUGGCAUAUACGUUACUUGUAUCCUGCGAAAUUGAAAAGCACAUUGGUUUAUUAGAGCUUAUUAGGAGGGAAAAGCUUUGUAAGAUACCUGAUAAAAGAUAAAGUAAAAGCUUGAAUGAAGAAUGACAUUUUAGAAAGAAACUAAAGUGCAAUCAUCAAAGUGGGAUCAAUAGUGACUUGAUAUUUCAAUUGUUCUGUCCACAAAUGAUGCUUCGUUAUUACUAAUUCCAGAUGGACAUUAUUAGAAAAUGAUCUUAUGUUUAACAGAAAAAUAAAAACUCGUCAUCAUACAAAACAGCGUGAAGAAAUCUUCAAUUUGAUUAUUAUAAAAUAAUAAGUUUCAUUACUAGAUUAUGCGGACAUUAAUGUUAGAGAUUUGAUCAGAUUAUCAUAUAAUUUACUAAACGCUUUGAGAAGAACAAUAAUUAAUUUUUAAAAAAUUGAAAAAUAAAUUAAAUAAAGAGUACACGCAAAUAAUGUUACUUCCAAUCACCAAACUGAAAAACAGGGGAAUGAUAACAGACGAGUCCCUGAUUAUCCUCUCUCUCUCUCUCUCUUUUUCAAUCUCUCUCUUUGAUAUCCAUAUCUGAGCAUCAGAGCUUGACAUCUUUGAUAAAUAAAUAUGCUUACUGGUACUGUUUUUGCAUAUGUCUUUCACAAAAUCAUUGUAUACGCUUACAUAGAGAAGAAGAUUCAGAUAACUUUCAAAAUCUGAAUCCGCCUGAUGGACAGGCUUGACCACACAGCCCCGAGACAAGGAAGUCCAAGCAACUAAUCUAAACCGUUCUCCUUUAUUAGCUAGAUUUAGUAUUUGGGUUCUUUAUGUAAAACGACACUAUGAUCUUGAAAUUUUGAUUUAAUUAAUAAAUAGUUAAAUUCUUAAUGUUUCAGGAGUAGAUACAUAGACUCUCUUCUAAUUUUAGUCAUUACAAACAAUGCCAUUGUGCGGUUAUACUAUUGCUUCUUUUAUGAAACCAUUCUCACCAUCACAUAGAUCUUGGCAUAUAGAGUCUCAUAAUGUCAUCAAAUAAUUUUUUUUUUUUUUAAAAACAUAAAAUAUGAUACAUGUAUUCAUUUUUUUUCAAAUUAGGGUGUAUUAUUCUUAAAACUUAAGUGUUCUACUUAUAAAUAUCUUGAAGGUGUGAGUGUUUUCUUUUCGUAAACAAACCGUAAAAGAAAAAGAGGAACAAUAAUUUUUUACUUAUCCUUAGAGAUAAGAUUCAAUCGGGAUGUGAGUAAGUGUGUUUUUCUUUUUUUAUUAUGCUAAAUUAUCGAGUCACAAAGCAUAUUGAUUCAAAAGUAUAACUUUAUACUGAUGAUAGAUAAUUUCAAAACAAUGGAAUGAAAACAGAGGAGCUCCCCCCUCCCCCACCCCAAUCCCCGCCCCCCCCCCCCCCCCCCCCCAAAAAAAAGUUCUUCUUCUUUUAUAUAUUUUUCUUGGAAUUUUAGGUAAAAGAAAAAAAAAACUGAGAUUGAUUUCAAGGGAACAGGUGGAUAAUAACUAAAAUACUUAUUUUUAUAUAUUUGAUAUGUGCGCUCACUAUUAAUAGAACUUAUUAGAUACUACAACUUAAAUAACUUCCCAUGGUUGAUUGAGGGUAUGUUUGAGAUUUCCUUUACUUUCCAAGAAUUAAUUUCUACCUUGAUUCUGAACAAAAAAAUAAUUUUACAAAUAAUCUAUUAGGGUGUUUGGUAAAUGAUGAUUAUUUGACAAUCAAUUUUUAAACGGUUUACUAUACAAAUCUGGUAAAUGAAAAUUAAAAGUGUAAAAUGUUCAUGUACAAUGACAAAAAUGUACUUGUUUACUUGUUUGUAAUUUAUUUAGAAUAUUAUUAUUUAAAUCUUUUUUUAUUUACAAGAUUUUUUAAGAGCAUAUUCUAUUUUCUUUAUUACAUAUUUAAAUAAUUUUUUAUUAACUAUUUUAAUUUGCAAUAAAAUUAACUUCAAUAUCUUUUUAACUAAAAAAUUUGUUAUGUAGUUCGUGAUAUAACAAAUACUAACAUAUCAUUAGUUUGAUUAAUAAAUUAAGUGCAAAAAAGAAAAUGCAAAAAUUUAAUCUUUAUAUAAACUUUUAUGUACAUAAAAUCAUUGUAAUCAAACUAGUUCAUAGAAAUAUAAUAUUAUAUACAUGUGUGUAAAAAAAAAAAACAUAUGACCAUAAUAUUAUCCACUCAUUAAACUUGCUGCACUAUUAUUUCUCAAUCUCUCCAUCUCUCGACCUUCAAGAACAUUACUACCAUAAUCUUCUUCUUCUUGAAUCCAACCUCUAUUUCCUCAUCAUCAACAAUGCGACCAAUUUGCCUUGAUAGCCUUUCAACUAGAAUAGAGUUGGCAGUAGAUAUUUUAGUACUCUCAAACUAUGCCCAAACAGGGUCACCAGUGAUUGUUGUAUUAAAAGACAUUCUAUUUAAUUUUCCUCUGACUCUGGGUCGAUACCUUUUAUGCAAAAUCUAUUUACUUAAGGAAUUUUCUACACAUGUCGAUAUCAUAUUAAAGUGAAUUCAGAUCCUAUAUUAUUGACAUUAAAAUUUAGCCGAAUAGUAAAAAAUUUCCCUUUUUGUUUGUCACACAACCAUAUAGUCCCAUUUUUGGUUAUAAGCUCACAAUAUGUAAGGGAAAUGAAGAUCUAUUAAAACUUUCCCAUAAUAUUAAACAUUAAACAAUAUCAACAUUUUGUGCAUAUGGUGCCUCAUCAACAAUUUGAUGUUCAUUUUGUUGCUCGGAGGAAUAUGACUACCUAUUAAUUAAUUAGCAAGAAUUGCGUUGCGAGUCCAUGUUUUUGUCGUUUGGAUGGAGGAUGUGCCAUCUUUUUAUUGUAGAUGCUUUGUAAGGCUUUUGAUUUAAUGAUUUAAUGCAGUCAAUUAACAAAAGCUUACAUAUAUUAUUAUGUAGUUGCUGAGAUGUCUGUUCUUGAUAAAGUCGAUUUAUUUACACCCAAGCCAACGGAAUCAAAGCCUUUUCGUUAAUAAUAUACACGGUAAUUGUUUUUGUUAAAUUGAUUUCUGGCUAACAAGAUAUUUGAAAGCAUUUAGGUAGCGUUUACAUUUUGCGUUGGAGUGAGAAUCGUGAGAAAUGAGAAUCCUGGGAUUAGGAGUGUGGAGUGGGAGUCGAAGUAUGUUGUUUACUUACACUGAAAUGGAAGUAUGGAAUUGAAAUCAGAAUCCAAUUUAUUUGUUUACAUUGUCUUAGAUUGUGAGUAAUGAUUUUAAAUUACAGCUUUACUCUUAAAGAAUUAUAGUUAUUAAUUACAAAAUUAAUAAAAAUUAUAUUUUUAAAUUAAUAAUAAUUAUUAAUAUUCUUAACUAUGUAAAUCACAAUUAUUUUAUUAAUUUUAAUUUUAAUUAUAUAAAUAAAAAAUUAUUAAUAACAACAAUACAAAUGAAACAUUAUUAUUGAUAAUAUAGUACAAAAUUAAUUUUUUUAGAAUAAAAUAUUUAUUAUUAUUAAUUACUAAUAUUAAAUAAAUAUAAUAGUAUUAUUUUUAAAUAAGUAUAAUAAUAUUAUAUUUUCAAAUAAAAAUAGAAUAUAGUAAUAUUAUUAAUUCUUUAUGAAUAUAAUGAUAUUAUUUUUAAGUAAUUUUAACUUAGAAUCAAUGUAAAUUAUUAUUUUUAACCAAAAAAUUAAUAUUAUUUUAAAUAUGUUUAAUAUUAUUAUUUUUAAUAAAUUUAAUUUAUAAAAUAAUAAAAUAUUAUUAUUUAAAUAAAUAUGAUUUUACUUAUUUUAUUAAAUUUAAUAAAAUAAAUAUGUUUAAUAUUAUUAUUUUUAAUAAAUGUAAUUUAUAAAAUAAAAUAAUAAUAUAAGUUAAAUAAAUAUGAUAUUAUUUAUUUUAUUUUAUUAAAUAUAAGGGUGAAAAAGGAAGAGAGGCGAGUGAAUUUCCACUCCCACCUUCCUCCAUGGGAGUGGGAAUCUCACUCCCCCACUCCAAAAUUAGGUGGGAUCCACGGAGUGGAAUUCUCACUUCCCCUUUGAAAAUUGUAAGUAAACACUGGAGUAAGAGGAAUCCACACUCCUCACUCUCACUCCAAAAAGUAAACACUAUAUUAAAGAAGUCAUUGACUUAUAAGAAAGCCAUGAUUAAAUACACGGCGAAGCAUGUGAGCUCGUUUUUCAAUUUCUUUGAUCACUCAUAAGUAGGGGUGGGCAAAAUCGGAUUCGGAUUGGGUUCGGGUUGAUUUGAUCAAUUUCGGAUCAAUCGGGUUGGGGAAAAAAUCAUCCGAACUCAAUCCGAAUUAUUAACCCGAUCCAAUCCGAUCCGAAUAUAAUUCGGAUCGGAUUGGAUCGAAAAUUCGGAUUAAUUCGGAUUAGAUUCAGAUUUAAAAGCAUUCGGGUUAUAUAUCCAUUCUAUAUUUCUGGGUUAAUUUCAGAAGCAAUCAAGUAAAACAAUCAACCUUUUCUCAAGAUAUAGUUUUGUUUUAAGCUUUUUAAAUUAAAUUAUUUAAAACAAUAUAGUCAAUACCACCAAAAACUUGGUGACAGUGAAUGUGGAGGUGAAUUUAGUUGUAGCAGUUGUGGUAACCGGUGAAGCUAGUGGCAGCAAGCGGUAGCAGUCGAGGUGUAGUAGAUUCCAUCGGCACGUUGCGGUUGCAGCGAUGGCUUAGCUUUGAACGAUCGCGUCGGUGACUGAUGGCUGCUGGUUCACGCAGUUGCAUCUCCGAUUUGCUGGCUGCUGCUUCUUGCGGUUGCAUCUCCGAUCUGCUCGCCGCUGCUUCGCUGACAUCUCCGAUCUCCGAUGGUUUGGCUUCGCACGAUCACAUCGGUGAUUGCUGGCUGCUGGUUCGCGGCUUCGCGCGGCCGCAUCUCCGGUCUGCUGGUUGCUGCUUCUUGCGGUUGUAUCUCCAAUCUGUUGGCUGCUGCUUCGUUGUUUGGCAUCUCAACAUUUCCGAUCUCCGAGGCCAAACCUCUAUUUGUGUGUGACCGUGUGUGAUGUGAGUGUGUGUGUGUGCACUUACAGAUUAUUUUAAUUUAGAUCUAAGAUUUGCUUUUUGUGUGGUGUGAAUCCGAUUUUGUUGUGUUUGCCACUUUGUUAGUUUGUUACACAGUUUUUUUUUUAAGCCAACCCGAUCGGGUUUUCGGAUCGGAUCGGGUUUCAUCCGAUCCGAUCAUGAUCCGAUCGGGUUGGCAAAGUUACAUCCGAUUGGAUUUUGUUAACAAUCCGAUCCGAUCUGAACCCGAUAUUUUUUGGGUCAGAUCGGAUCGGAUCGGGUCGGAUAUUUUGCCCAACCCUACUCAUAAGCUUUUCUAUACCACUCACUAUAUCAUCCUUUUAAGUCAAUUUCGACUGAUCAUCAGAGAUCAUGCACCCCACCUUGAGAUGAUUGAUCACCAAUUUGGCAUUGUAACGUUGAUCACCUCUAAUUGCCCAUGCUAAAAUUGAGACCCCACAGCCAAUUGCUUCUACAGUUGAAUUUUAUCCACAGUGAGAUAAAAAUCCACCUAUUAAUUGAUAACUCGGCAUCAAUAAUUGUGGUGCCAUUCCAUCUAUUAUCAAACCCUUUUUACCGGCUUUACUAUCUAAACCACUAUGAAAAUAAGCUGGUUAAAUGACGUGGAGGAUCCAAUCUAUUUACAUCAGUUUGAAUUACCUAAAUAAUCGGUGGAUUUGAUGCUUCUAAAUCAUUGGCUAAUGUUGAAUAAUCAUUUAAGGUGGGACCCAUUUCGGUACCAAAUGACAUGUAUAACACUGAUCCACAUGAUUUCAAAUCUAACCAUUGAAUGAUCUCAUCUUUGGUCAUGUUAGAACUCCGCCGGUUGGUUCUCAUCUCACAAUCACGAAGCACUGAACCGGUCGAUUUGUAAAAUUGUUCAGGUAACAAUGGGCCCACUCCCCACACUAGCAUCAACACCAUCGAUCCCUCCACUUGCUUCAUCCAGUGUGGUUGAUCACUCGGUUCUGAUGGACCUAUUUUCUCUGAACCGGGUGCACCUCACAAAGGUUGUGGGCCACCAGGAAGGGACCCGUGAGGCCUGCGUUUAAGAUCUGAUUGGAAUAAAGCAACAUCCUUGGGUAACCCAAGAAGUAAAUGGGCCUCUCCCGGUUUGGCAUCCUGGAUGCGAGCCUGCCACAUGGCACACUCCACAGCUGCUGAGCAAGCAUCAGAAGUGAAGAACCCAACAAUGGGAACUUCAAAAUUCUUGAAAACAUCAGCCGUCCAGCCCAUCAUAACGCCGAUGACUACGCAAACAGGUCGGCUUUCGGGUUCCGGGUUGAAAGGAGGUUUCGAAGACCCUGAAGCAUUUGGUUGUGCAUGACAACAUGGAGGUAAGAAGGAGGCGAUGGUAGUAGUGGAGAUGAGGAGGGUAUUUCGGUAAUUUCACAUAGAGGGUAUUGGUGAAGAGAGGAAGGGGUGAUGCUGGUGGUGGAAACGUGAGAGGGAAUAAUGAGGGUAGAUUUGUAAUUACGAGAAGCAAUUUGCUUGCAUAAUUCAAUGCAUGGAAACAGAUGUCCCUGACCGAAGAACGGGACAAUCCAAAUCUCAGCCUCAGCAGCAUUCGCAACAGAGCUUGACAUCUUUUAUGAAUUAUUUGAGACUUAAUUGUUAUUGACUGCUUUUGCCAUCUUUCAUAAAACAUUCUUUGUUAUAUAUUCAAGUAAAUAAAUUUAUCGUUUAAAAUUAAUUUUUCAUGUGGUAAAAGCAAUACUAAAUAUGGGGUGGAGAGAAUAAUUUGUAGGGCAUACCCCCACCAUUUAUUUAAUUUCAUUAAAAAAGAAAGAAAAGAAAUAAAGGCUUGUUCAACAUUCAAUUAAAAUUAACAAUUCCAUGAUAAAAUUACUUGAGAAUAAAAAUUUUUAAAAAAAAAGUAACUCAAAAACGAGGAAUUUUUGAGUAACUGAAGAACCAUAGAUGUUUUUUGGUCAUGAGCAAUUUUUGAGUUGACACAGAACUUGUAUAAAAAAAAUAGUUUUGAAAACUUCUUUUCUUUUUUCGUAAAUAUAGAUAUAAAAUUUUAAAAUCACCAAACACAAAACCAGGAAAAUGGAAGGAGAGCCCCUGUUUCUCCUAUGUUGCAAGCACAAAUUCGGUUUCUAAAGUUGUACCUUCUAAAUGCACCAUUUGUAUUGCUUUGUCUCCACUUGAGCUAACGGAAUUUGAUGAAAACAAAAUAAUUGAACGAUAGGGAUAAAUAUCAAAGAAGGAGCUUACAUGCCCUAUAUAUUCUCUUUGGAUGAAUAACGAAGGUGAGCUUUCAAAGUACAGAGAUUUACAUGUUUUAAUUGUCAUUUACAUUGCUGCAUGCUAAUUGCUUGAUAAAAUACCGCAACAAAUACGCAUUCUCGAUUUCUUAUAAAUUUAUUUUCUUACUCUGAAAAAAAUUGAAUGUUUAGAGAAUUUUGAAGGUUUUGGUGUAUGCAUUAAUAUUUUGAUUCUAUUUAUGUUGUUUAACUAAUGAAGAUGAUACAUCUAGCCUCUUUUUGCCCCUUGUUGUUUUUAUUCUUGUGCUUUAUAUACGGUUCAAGUGUGAUACACUUUAGUUUUUCUCAAGUGUUUGUUAGUAUUUCCCGAAGCAAAAUUUGUCACAGACUUUUAGUUCAAAAGUUGAAAUCAUAACUAACAUACUUCGAUUUUUUAUUUUCCUUUUUUCUUCGGUAUCUUUCUAUAUGGCAUUGCUUGAGAAAUUGGUGUACUUAGAUCGUAAUAUUCUGUAGAAAUAAGCCAAUAUUUCAUUAUGUACAUUGUUUAAUAUGAUAAGUAUUGUAUGGAAGUUUUACAGAUAAGCUCCUUAUAUAUUAUGCAUUAUGUUUUUAUCAUAUUGUUGCUUGGAACUUUGAAGGAUUAGCCACAGGGCUUUAGUCCUACAUGGACAUUUUAUAUUUAACAGCUGGUUAGGCAUUUUAUUUGAUGUUAUUUGGACUUGUAGGUGUUAAAAGUUUUGUUCAGUAAUUUUAUAAUUCAGAUUCCCAUUGUGAAAAGAUAGCAAUUUUUAUUGUGGGUCAGAUUCUGUCAACUGAUAUUUAGCUAAAAUAUCUCACUAACCCCUAUUGGUUAGGUGUUUUUUUUAAUUCACAUACUUGAUUUUUAUUUUCUUUUUAUCUGUGGAAUCACAUGUAUCAUUCAUAAGAAACAAGCUAUUAUAUAAUCUAUUCUUUAGAUCCAUUUAUAUGUAGUGGGCACUCUGAUUUCUAUUAUUUGAAUUUUUUGCUACUGUUACUACUCUUUCGGCCCUUCAAAUAGGGGUUAACAGAAAGGGUGAGUAUAUUAAUACAAAUUCAAACUUUCUUUUUCUAAUUUUAUCCAAAAUAACCUACUAUAUUAUUUUAAUUUCCAACUUUUGUCAUAGUCUAAUGGGCAGUUGUCUUGUCAUUAUUUGGUUUUAGGUAAGAAGAGAGAAAGUUAGUGAGAGGAUGAAAAUUUUGCAAAAACUUGUUCAUAGCUAUGGUAAUUAAGUAAUUUGAGUUCUUUUUUUUUGUUAUUGUUUUUUAUUCACUUUUUCCUGUCUUAAAACAAAUAACGAGUUUUUGUGUUUUUAAUAUUUCUUAUAAACUUCAUGUUGUUUGGUAUAAAAUUAGGUAAUUGGAAAGGUCUCAUGUUGGAUGAAAUUAUCAAUUAUGUGCAGUCCCUACAAAAUCAAGUGGUCGUCAAUGUGUCAGCAUCACUUUCUUCUUCAGAUGUUACUUGUUUUUCACAUUUAUUUUUCUCUCAGUCCUUUUUAAAAGAACAUACACACACAUACUAUGUAGAGUGACCUUUUUUAAUGAGGAAUCUGUCAUUUUAAUAAAAUGAAGAAUAAACUAAAAGGUAGAAGUACACGAACUCUAAUGCAAUAUACCUUUUCUGUUCUUUUACCUUUACUAUAAGAUAGGGAAUGAUAUAAAACUGUUCGAUAAUAGUAAGUGAAAUAAUUAAAAGGCUACUGUUCUAGCUCAUUUAAUAUAUCAAACUUUUCUAGCUCAUUUAAUAUAUCAAACUGCUCGAUAAUUGAAUUGGCCUAGUUAAACAUAAUUUUCAGAUAAUCUUUUUAAUGGUUUAUUUAUUAAUAUUUUGUUUCUUUCCAGUAUGAACACUUUGUUUUGACACGUGGUUAACAACCUUCAACGAACUCGGAACAACCUUCAUCACAUGCUUUCUCACGUGGUUACUUAAACUGAUAUGUUAAACGUGCUCCAUCCACGCCGUUUCCACUAAAUCAUUUUCUGUUAAGAAUCAGCUGAGCAGCGCGUGAGCUAAUGAAGUUUUUCGUAUUGAACUCAACUCUGCUAUUUUCCCAAAGCUGGAAAGCAGAAACAUCAUCCCUUUGGUUUUAUUUCACCUCAACCUUUUUCUGAUCCCAUUUUCAUUGUAAUUUCUCAUUUACUUUGAGUGAAAGUCAUUGUUGCUUUCGAACGAGGUUUUGCAACUAAAAAGGAAAAUGGGGCGGCUACAAUACAUGCGUGCAUCUGAUACAUGCACAAAAACUGACCAUUGGAUUAAAUGGAGUGAUCUAAUGGCUGAGAUUUGUUUCAUUAUUAAGCAAUAAAAAAAUUUGAAACAACCAGAAACCUGUAAAACCGGUCAUUUGGUUUAAGGUAAAAAUAUAUAAAUGAAAAAAAAAAAAAAAAACCCACCACUCCCUCGCCUCACCUCUCUUCUUUUGGGUUUAGUAUUGCUGCUUUUAACAUAAUUGACCUAUGGCCCAAAUCAUUUCUAUAGGGCGAAGCAUAUGAAUGAUACAUAUUAUCUUUUUUUGGCCUUAUGUCUUGUUAUUUGCAGUGUGAUUUGGUCUAGCUUAAGAGCUUAAGCUUGCAGGUUGGAUUUGUCUGACAGGGAACAAUUUAAUUUGUUCAUCGUGAUGUUUAUAUCCAUUUUGUACUACUAUCAAUUUCAAUCAUGCCUAAUUUUUAUAUGUAUUUCUCGUGGACUCUCAGGUUCAGUGCACAAGAGGAUGAAGACGAUGGACACCCAAAUUUGAUGUGGAGAACAACUAUUGCAAAUGGUCCUUGAUUUACUUCUCCAAUUGACUUGAAUUGGUUUGACGCAAUUUAUACUGUAUUUUUGUCAUCUUUGUAUGACUUGCACGUCGUCCUGAUUUGGUACAUGACUGGACACAGGAAUUGGACUCAUAUUUUUCAAACCAGAAUGCCAACAAUCAAGCAUUUUCUUUUGAAAGCACUGGCGUCUUCUUCAAUGCCAAAAAGGUUAGAGAUUUUCUGUAUCCUGUUUUGUAUUUGAUCAGUUUAGCAUGUGGGUGGCAAUCAAGAAAAGUUAUUAUAACAUUUUUGUGUUCCCGAAAAACUGCUGAUGAUGUGUGACUUCUUUUUAUUUGUAUUCUUUCUUUUUCUUUUCUCCCCAACAGUAUUAUGCAUUUCGAAGAGCUUCUUGAAGUUGAUUACCAUGUAUGCCACUUUCUUUACUCUAUGCUCAGGAUGUGAUUUUGCCAAGCAUUAAAAUGGUUUAGGUCAGAACCAUCAUCUAAAGUUUACUUAAAGUUGACGGAUUAAUUCCUUUUAAUAAUGGUCUAGUUAAUUUUACUAUACUCAUAAAACUAUUCUUAUUCUGAUAAUGCCACAAAUGUUAUGAUGUUUUCUUCAGCUAAUGAUCUUCUAUCAGGACUAGUUAGAAAUCAAAUGCUUAAAACACCGAUUGAAUGAAUAAUGCAGAAGUUUAAACAGUAUCUAAUUGAAAAUUGCAUGAAACAUGAAACAUCAAUUCAAGUCCUUCCUUAAACAAAGAAUGCAUCAAACAAAUCCAAAGUGUCUUGCAUGUCUAUAGCAUGACAAAAAAGUUGUAAAUGCGUUUAGAACCAAAUUAUUCAAGUACAGGAGAACGAGCAAGUUGAAUCAUGUACACGAGAUUGGCCUGGUUCGAGAUAGCUUCUUCACUGUACCUGAAGGGUUGGCUCAAUCUUUUCUUUAGAAUUCUGCACAUUUUGUAAUUACUCGUGUAAGCAAGCAUACAUUACAACUCUUGUACACAAACAAUAUUGUAUAAACUAAUGCGACAUAAUAUGAUUGGUUAAACAAAAACAUUACAUAGCCCUCAUAAUUUAUUUAUUUAUUUAUUAUUAUAUAUUUUCAGUCAACCAAUCAUAUUAUAUUACAUUAGUUUCUAUAAAAUAAUUUUCUAAAUAGCACCAAAACUUAAUUGAUACUCACCAUUUCAUUGAACAAUUUUUUUAUGGUGUCAUUGAGGUUGCCUUCCCAACAUCCUUCAUCAUCAUCAUCUUCUUCAUCAUCAUCUUUUUCUUCUUCGGUGACGUUCACUUUGUUUAGCAUUGGUGUGUCUAAGACUCCUUGAGAGAAGAUCAUCAUUUUUGGACACUCUCUCACAACUACUUGUUUCAAGGACGGGAAUUCAAGAGCGUAAUUACCUAAACAAAAGCUUGUUAGGCUUGGCAAACAAUCAAGUCCCAAGUACUUUAAUUCCUUGAAAACAAUGCAAUCUUUCGCUUCUUCUGCAACCGGCGACUGUAUGAUUUCUUCCAUCAUUUUGCAAUCAACUAUCUUCAUUCUUCCGAGAUUCACUAGAUUUUUAGAUGCUGAGAGCGUCAACACAUUUAUCAACCCGUGACACUUCGAUACUUGUAGUCCCCACAGAUUUUCCAAAUGCCACGAAGGUGGUACUAAUUUUUGCAACUUACUACAUUCCGAUAUUUCUAGCCUUUUCAAGUUUGCAAACGCUUUGUUGGAUUCGUCAUUUUCCUUCCAGAGAUGCUGCACUUUGUGUAAUCUAGAUAGCUUUAACUCCUUCAAUUGAGGGAAUGUAAGCUGAAAAUCAACAAAAUUAAGUUGUAAAUGAAAGUAUGUAUCCAAUCUCUGCAGUCUUCCCCUGCAUAUUUUAUGGACAAGAUUAAUCACGGCAUUUUAUAUUUUAUUUCCAAAUUAGUAUGCUUUGCAGUAGGAUCCCAAAUAUAAGUAUCAAAUCGAUUACCCUUUGAAACACAUAAAUGAAAUCUGAUACUAAAUCCAAUAUGAAUUAGCUAGGAAAACAGAGAUGCGACAAGCAUAAUUGAUAUAGUUCAUCACCUCAUGUUACCAGUCAUCGAAAUAAUUUAAGACAUUUUUUUAAUUCAUACUAUAAAGUUAGUUCAUAACUGUAGUUGUAUUGUUAAUUCAUAUAUGAAUCAAGAUGACAUGCAAAAAGAUGAGUCAUAAAAUUUGAUUUGAUUCUAAUGAAAUUACAUCUGUGCGAACAAAAGUGAAGGGGAAAAUAAUAAUAAUAAUAAUAAUAAUAAUAAUAAUCACCUUUUCAUCGAAGAGGGGUUGUACUUGAUGAGCCAGCAAAAAGUUCUCUUCUGAUGUUAAUUUUUGAGGUUCCUUGUUAUUUGUUGUCACAUGCACUACAGAGUUGGAUAUGAAUGUUUCCAUAUCAGGGCAAUUCUCAAUAGUUAGAUUCUCCAACUCAGACAGUUCAAUUAUAUUCCCAGUGAAGUUGCAGAAUCUUUUGAGUUUUGGAAGAUCAAUGAGCCUUAGUCUGUUAAGCCUAGGAAACCGGGGGCCUAUAUGUUCUUCCUUAGCAUUUAGCUCUUCUAAAUGAAGCACCUCUUCUAUUAAAUCACAAUUCCUCACUUCCAGGCAUCUCAAAUUGUUCAAGCAACGUAGCAGAUUGGUAGGAAUAGCACUCGACAUAUUCGUGCAGUCAUCCACAGCCAGUUGUCGUAAAUUGUUGAAGAAGCUGACAGGCACUGCUUGGCCGUGCCAUAUUUCUCUCAAGCGUGGAAAAUGUGAGAGUUGCAAAUGCUCUAUGUCACGGAAUCCAAUCUGCAUAAACCAAAACAAUUGCACUGGAUAUAUAUAAAUUUCUUUUUUUGAAAGGCAUUAGAUAUAUAUAUACAUUAAACUUACAUGUUUUGUGCUUUAACUUCUAAAAAUAUAUUUACAACGCAGGUGUAUAUGUUUAAAUGUGGUAUAGUGGAAUUAAGCUUAUUGCCAUUACUUCGUAAUGGUGUUCGUAACACCAUUACUUCGUAAAGUGAAUCGAUUAACACAUACCAUUACUUCGUAACACUUUUGUAUAGUGGAAUUAAGCUUAUUGCCUUCCCAAUGGUGUUCACCCUCUUCCCUUUCAGUCACUUGCACUACGUAUAGCUUUGGUGUGGAUGAGAUUCCCCGAGAAAAAGUCUUCAUGUUCGGACAAUGUGUCAUAGAAACUUGUUCCAAUGAUGGGAAUUCAAGAGUGUAAUUCUCCAAACAAAAGCUGGUAAGCCUUGGUAAAUCAUCAAGUUCCAAAAGUUUUAAUUCGUUGAAAGCAAUACGAUUCUCCUUCGCUUCUUCUCCAACAUGUCCUAUGAUUUCUUCUAUUUUUGCACAGUCUGAUACAUCAAGAUUCACUAGACUAUUGGGAAUUCCAACCUGAAAAUAAAGAGUAGCAUUCAACUAGAUUCAAAGUAUGUCAAAAUCAUACAAUUGUUUUAUGAAAAAUAACAAACCAUGAAUGUCUACUAGAUAUUUUUUGUUAAAGAAAAAAAAGAAAAAAUAAAAAUAAAUAAAUAGAAGUCCAGAAAAACAAAGAUAAUGAAAAUGCAUUUACACUAUUUAGUAUUAGGAACGGAGAAAGAAUUUCAGGUAAUUUUUAAAUAUUCUAAAUUCAUUUUUCAUCUCGAUGCUAGUUUUUUAAAAUUUUUAAUUUUCAAACAUGCCUAUUUUUAAAAUAACUAAACUAAAACGCUGUAUUUCCCUUUUUUUUUUUUUCCCGAUAUUCAUGCUUUUAAAAAUGGAAAACAUUUCUGGAAAACACUUCCCAACGCCAUCAACAUGGGACUGUUAUAGAGUGAAUAUUUGAGGAAUUUUUUAAUCAACGGUCGAUUCAAAAUGACCAUCAUGAAUUUGUGCUUAAUCAAUGGCGUAAUCAAUUCAUAACUAAACUAGAGAUAUUAACUACAUUUGAACACUUUUCUUUAUUUUUUUUUAAAUCGAAAUUUGAAGACCCAAGGAAAAGAGAAAUAUAUAUGAAUUUGUGAGCUUAAAAGCUGAGUAACUAAGUAUCUUUUAAUUUCUAAAAAUCUUAUUUAUUAGGAUUUAAGGAAAAAAACAAUUAAAUUGAAUUAUAUUAUGCUGUUAAAUCGUGUUUAAAACAAUUAUAUCGUUGACUUUAAUGCGGGUGAACCUAUAAAUUAGAUUGACAAUGCAGAGUUCAGAAUGGUGAUUUGAAGUACACUACUUUUUUGCCCUCCUGAUGUUUGAAGUAAAAUACUUGCAAUAAAUAAUUUGUGAAUGAAAAUUAUUUGUAAACACAAAAAUGAUUAAAAUAAUUGUUGAAUGUUACUUGAAAUAAAAAUUCAAAAUGAAUAUAGCAAUCUUACCAAUGGAGGAAAAAUAUUCAGUAGAUUAUUACACCCAGAUAUCUUCAAUUUUUUCAAUUUGCUAAAAGACUUCGAAGCAAGCUGGUGGUGCCAUAUUUUUCUCAACUUAUCCGCCUCACUAAUAUGUAAUACCUCCAGACUUGGGAGUCGUACCUGAAGUUAAAAAUUCAAUGCAAUUAGAGAUGUAUAUUAAUUAAAUUUGAAGACUCAACGAAAAGAGAAUUUAAAAAUUCAAUGAAAAAAAACCUUUUCAUCAAAGAGGGAUUGAGGUUGCAUUUCAGUGUGAAUGACGUCUUCUGGUGAGGCAAAGCUACUUAGUUUUGGAAGCCAAUGGAGCGACAGGUAGUGUAGUUUGGGAAAAACCUUAAAUUCAUCUCUUCCUCCUAACGUCGUGGUGUUGACUACCCCUUCAAUUGACCGGCAAUUACGAAUCUCAAGAUGUUGGAGUUGCCCAAGACUAUUAACCAUAGAAUAUGAAAACAAAUACUUCAGACGAUGACAACUCCACACGGUCACUUUUGUUAAAUUUUGACAACAAUAUAUUCCCUGAAAUUGAUCGGACCAUAAUUUUUUUAUAUUUGUUAAACUGACAAGUUCCAGUUCCUCCAAGCGUGGAAAAGUAACCUGCAAAGAAAAACCAUACAUUUUUGUUCCUUCAACUACAACUUCUAAUAUAAUAUUCUUUCGAUGAUUGAAGAUCAAUCGUGAUAAUAUAUUAAUUAAUUAAUUAUUAAACAGAAAAUUAUUACCUGGUGAACAGGAUCAUCCUCUGCAUUGAUUUCUAUGAAUCCCUGAGUUGUUGUUGGUUUCUCCAUGUCGGGCCCUAUAAAUGAACCAAAACAAUAUAUAAUAAACAUCCGUUGUUUUUUUCCCCAAAAAAAGAAAAAGAAAAAAAGAAAGAGUCAAUGUCAAUAAUCCUACCAAUAAUUAAUUUCAACACUUACCAAUAAUCAUUUUCAAAUCAUCGCAGUCUUCCACUUUUACUUUUUGAAGCCGCAAUAGGUUUUUGGCCAUAGAGAAUGAGAAGAGAUACUUCAAUUUUCGACAGGAAUCUACGUUUAUAAUCCUUAAGUUGCUGAAGGAUUGAUCUUCUCUGAGUUGGCUGUAGCAUAUCGUCUCCAAAUUAGUUAAAAACAUAAGAGACAAUGCCUCCAGCAAGGGAAAGACUUCGCAACGAACCCUAACUGAACCGACAAUAUGUAAAAUCUCAGAACAGUCUGUUACGAGAAGACGCUUCAAUCGUGGAAAACCUUCCCCAUCGUCUAAUUCAUGAACAACACUUUGAACACCCUCCAAUGUUUCUAGCCAGAGAUCUUCAGUUCUCUGCAGCAACAUUUUUGUCCCAUCAUUCUCCUGAAGAAUGCUAACUUUUUUUAUCCCCUUGAGCAUCAUCAAUCUUGAUGCUUCAGAUUUGACGAGCAAUGGGUCAAACUCAUCUUCGGGCCCAUCUCCUAUACGUAUCUUAUAUCUUUGCAAUUCCACAGAGACAAAAUCCGGCGGCAGAAUUUCGGCAUCCGGAACUUCUAUCUCCAAAGUAGUUAGCUCUGUCAACCUCUCCAAUUCGACAAGACUGGCAUUACUUCCUCCUUCAACCUUCUCCCACCCUGAAAAACCGUUACCCAUAUACAAUUCUUCUAAUUGAGAAAAAUUUUUGGAUAUGACAUUUCGGUGCUAUUCACCUUCAAGCCCACCAAACAAUUGCUCUCAAAUCUAGGAAAUUGGUAACCGCGGCCAAUNNNNNNNNNNNNNNNNNNNNNNNNNNNNNNNNNNNNNNNNNNNNNNNNNNNNNNNNNNNNNNNNNNNNNNNNNNNNNNNNNNNNNNNNNNNNNNNNNNNNGCGAGGCUGAGAAUCUCUAUUUCUUUAGUGUCCCAAUUGCGCUAUAUCUGCUAGUCGCACCAGUCUAAACACAAUGUUUGAAGGUUAAUGAGGCGACCAAGUGAUGAAGGUAAUGAAGAAGAGCCAAUUCCAGGAAACUGUAAAACUUUGAGUCCUUCCAUCCCUUCAAAAAAGUGGUCUGAAACUUGCAUAGGGCCAUUACCCUCCGUAUACAACAAAAAUAACUGGAGAUUGGGACAUUGCAACCUUUCAGGGAGCUCUUGAAUAUCUCUAUGAGGUAAUGAAAUAGCAAUUGGAUCUUUCUGUAUUGUCUCUUCCAUCUUUUUCUCCAAGUCAGCAACAUUUGGAACAUUAAACAUGCGCUCCUCUCUGGCAAUUGAUACGGCAACAACAUGAAUGACGUCAUGCAUUUUAACUUCAUCUUCAGCAUCACCGUCCAACAAUAAGCAUGAAGAUUUGAGGUUGUCGAUCAACCGAUGCACUCUACUCCUUGCUUCUUCCAAUGUGUAAACAUUUUCAAACAAACCCCAACCCACACCACAUCUCAAUAAGUCAGAAACUUGUAUGACAUUACCUUCACUGUAUAGACUACAAAGACGGAACAGAGAUUUUGCCUCCUCACUUUCCAAGAAGUCAUAACUCAAUUUUAUGGAGGUGUACACAUUUGCUUGCAUGCCAUGAAUUUCUCUAGCAUCCGAUCUUCUUAGCUGAUUCAAUGCAUCUUUCCAAAAGUAACUAUCCUUAGUUUUCAGAGCAUUUGCAACUGUACUCAGUGCAACAGGCAAACCUCCGCAUCUUUCAACGAUCUCAUUUGCUAUACUUUGAAAAGCGGAUAUUUUAGUUGAAUCACCCACUAUCUUUUCAAAUAACUGCAAUGCUUCUUUUGGUGGCAAAGCAUCGAUCGGGAAAUUUUUCUGAGAAUUCAUAUCAAUGCGCAAUAAAUCUCGACUUCUAGACGUCAAUAUUAUUGUGCAUCGUCUCUGAUCAUCCUUUGUAUCUUUCUCAUCAACAUCCCCACAAGGAAUUCCAACUUUUUCGAACUCGAGUUUUUUCCAAAUAUUAUCCAAUAUAACGAGGACCUGCUUCUCGUUCUUCAAUCUUUCACGUAAUCGAUCUGCUCUUUCGAAUUUAUUCUCAUCCGAGCCAAAUUUCAUGCCUAAGUCAAAAGCAAGUUUCUUUUGAAUUUCCUGAUGAUCUGGGGUCUGUGUUACCUCAGCCAUAACGACCUUGUCGAACACCUUAUCUUCCAUAACUUGCCUUGCAACUUGCUUGACUAGCGUGGUUUUACCCACGCCGCCCAUCCCGUAGACCCCAAUUAUCUUGAGCUUAUCAUCCUUCAACGCCUCCACAACAUCUUCAAAUACUUUCAUUCUUGAAUCAAAGGCCUCGAAAUCUUUCACUUGCAUAUGUUCUGCCCGCUUUGGAGCAGGACGGUAGGAAACAUUAGAGAAGUUACAUUUUCCCAUGAGACUAGCAGCAGCUUCUGCGGCCUUUGCUGCUUGUCUACUGAGCUUGUAACGAGAAAUCAAGUUUGGGCACAAUCCUUUGAAACAGAACUUCUUAGCUCUAUCUUCAUCAUCAGUGAUGGAUUUCGCAGCUCCCUGACUGAAUUCCUUGACGCUAUUAAGCCAGUCUGCAACAUCCUUAUAAAUCUCAUCUCCUUGUUGAGUAGCCUGAUGAACGGGUAUUUCCACCCUUUCUCUUUUAUAUCCCAACUGUUUCACUUGAUCUUUUAGGCCAUCUAUGUAGCUCUGGUACUUGAACACAUAAGAGAUCUGCCGUAUAAUCGGUUUGAACAGUGACUUUGCAUCUUCUGAUACGAUGCUGGAAAAAGCAGCCAGACCCACUUCUGCAACCAUUGCCUGUUGCUUAACAAUAUAUGUAUAUAUAUGAAUAAAAUGAAUAAAAAUGUCAAAGAAAGGAAUACAAAUAAAUUAAAAUGAACUAGAGGGAAAGACAGAGAAAGAAAAGACCGCAAACAACAUCGCGAUAUUGAUUUUGAACCAACUGAUACAUAAGUAGAGAAUUUCUUUUUCUAUCUUAAGGAUCAGAGGUUUUGCUAUUAACAGAAAGGUAUCCUUUAAGGAAAGUUGAUGGAAAUUAAGAAAGAAUGGCUAUCAAGAUCAAGUAUUCUGCUACUAAAAAUAAAUGAUAUGACUUAAGAAAAGUAAAUGAUAUGAUUAAGAAAAACCAGAGAAUUUUUUCCUAGGAAAGUUGAUGGAAAUUAAGAAAGAACCGCUAUGAAGAUCAAGUAUCAGAGAUUCUGCUACUAAAAGAAUAUUACAGGUUUUAGAACAAGUGCACCUCUUUACCUGUCUGGGAUCAGAGUCGAUGAGCUGCUGUAUUCACCUUGAAUAUAGAAGAAAUAUUACAGGUUUUGACUAAAGAGGAAUGUGAGGAACGAGUUGAUGAGAGUAAUAACAAUGAAUUUCCAAAAGAAGACGACUUGAGCAUUAAGCAUGCACCCCCUUUAUCAAUCAAAUAUUGGUACGUAUGUACGUAGGGACCAUUAUGCGUAUAUGAAGUCCAUUAGUUGCAAUCAGAAACCCUGGCCCAAUUUAAUUGACACUCGAUUUUUGAUAAGAAGAAGGCAAGGAUAAGGACAAAGUCAAUCAAUCACCAACAGUAAUUACUUCAAUCUUUGUCAAUCUACUUAAAUUGUCGAUCAACAUGAAAAUUGUUUAAAUUGAUAUUUGUAAAUCAAUCAAUUUUCUAGUUACUAUGAUUAUAACGUUUCACCUUUCAUAUUGGAUUUUAUCUUUUCGAAAGUUUUCAAAUAUGAGUGUCAAUAAUUAUUGAGACUCCAAGCCGUGCUCUCAAGAUCGUGCUGACAAAUCACUAUUGACUUUGUUUAUGCAAAAUUCAAAGAAAAAAAGUUAUGGUUUUGUAUUGCCAGCCCUGCUACUUUUUGUUUUUUUCAUUUGUAUUAUUUACGAAUUAUUUUUUAACAGAAACAUGAGAACUCAUCAUCGUAUAAAAUUGCAUGAAAAAAUCUUCAAAUUUAUAAAAGUAAAUUUCAUUGACAGAUUGUGGAUAUGUUAGAAAGAAUAAGGAUAAGAAUGAGUUAAGAAAUAAUAUAUAUAUAUAUAUAUAUAUAUAUAGAUAGAUAGAUAGAGAGAGAGAGAGAGAGAGAGAGAGAGAGAGUGAAAGUAAACAAUGUUUUGGUACAUUUGGUAUUGUUUUCAAAAUAUUUUGAAAAGAAAAAUUUUCAAUUAUCCAUCUAAGAAUUAUCUUAUUAUCCAAAAAGUUAUAAAAAUUUAAAAAUAUUUAAUUUUAUACCCAUUAUUACAAUGUGUAUCAACUGUUUACUAAAAAAAUAAAGUUACUCCUAAAACAUAAUCACCACUACAAUUUUGUGUUCGGUUCUAUUUUGUCACUUUGAACGAAUAACUUUAUAUUUUUAACAGAUGUUUCAUACAAAUUGCAUACAUUGGAUGUAAAAUUAAAUAAAUUUAAAUUUUUAUAAUAAUUUUAAUAAUUGAAUAAACUUUGAGUAAAUGACUGAUAAUUUCUCUUUUAUAAGCUACAAGAAGUUAAAAAGAAAAAAGAAAAAAUAGGAUGAUAAUUUCUCUUUUAUAUGCCUCAGAUGAUUUAUUGUUUCGGGUCUAAGAUUUUAAUUAUUCAACUUAAAAGAUUAAUAUAUUAUAAAUUAAUUAAUUAAAUAAUCAUUAAGCAACUAAAUUGGGUCCCCUGGAUGUCAAUUCCUUUAAUAUUGACGCAACUAUUUUUUUCUGGCAAAUAAUUAUUAAUGCACUGACGGAACUUUUGCAUAUCUACACAGCGAUUUUAAAUAUUACUGGUAACUGCUGAGAAAUGUGCGAGAAAGAAGUUGAUGAGAGUAAUAACAGCGACUUGCAAAAGGAAAAGACAGAAUCAUUCACCCCUUUUUGUAUCACCUAUUUGGUUACUGUUUCCCUGUUGACGCAUGUAUAAAUUUGACUGGUUUUUCUGCACUUUUUUGGCUGUUGCUUAACAAUGUGUGUGUGUAUUUGCUGUUGAAAAAAUUGGAUUCAAAUAAAUUAACUGAAAGAUUAGAGUUUUGACUAUUAACUGAAAGGUUUCAAGGGUAUGAAUGAAAAGCAACAUUCUUUUUUAGAAACUAUUUUAGAGGAGAGAUGCAAAUUAACAAAUGCUAAUAACAAGAACACAGAAGUUAACAAUGAACAGUAACUUAAAUCAAGAAAAUUAAAUGACAAAAUUAAGACAAACAAGAGAUAUUUUUUUCUUGGACAUUAAGAAAUAACUGCGGUCAAGAUCAAGGAGAUUAUGCUAUUAAUAGAAAUUAUCAAAGGAUUUAGAACAAGUUCACCUCUUUAAUUAUCCGGGAUCAGAUAGUUGAUGAGCUUCUCUAUUUAGCCUUGAAUAUUUAAGAAUAAUUUUAAAGAGCAAAAAGAUCACUGGUAACUGCUGAAAAAUAAGUGAGAAAAGAGUUGAUGAGAAUAAUAACAAUGAAUUGAAUAAAAAAAGGACUUAAUCAUGCACCCCCUUUGCAUAUCAUGUAUUUGGUUACUGUUGCCUUGUUGACGCAUGUAUAGAAUAAUUACAUGUAUUAUUAUAAUUUUGGAUUCGAUAUCCUUGUAUUAGUGUCUAAGAUUUUCAUGAAGAAUUAAACUUGGAAUGACCAAAAGAGGAAGCUGCAGUGUAUUGUUGGACCCAAUUAAGUUGAAGAAAGCACUAGUUCACAACCUUACGUUUGGAUAUAUUCUAAAGAAAUAAUUAAACAGCAAAUCAUCACAUGCACUUUAAUGAUUUGAUCUAUUGUUUUCAAAAGAAAUUGCAAUUAACAGUUUUUGUCAAAAGUUCGCACAGCGUGAAACUAGUGUUAGUAUAAUUUAAAAAAUUAAUUUCAGUAUUAUUUUUUAAAAUGUUAAUUAUUAGAUUUAUUUUAAUAAUAUAUUUAUAUUUAUUAUAAAAAAUUUAGUUAAAUAUUUGUGUUAAAUAGAAUUUAUAAUUAAUUUAAUAUAUCUUAGGUAUUAAUAAUAUUAUAAUUAUUCUAUAUGCUAUUGAAAAUAAUUUAAAUUUUUAGACAUUUAUUUUAUAUUAAGUUUCUAUUUAUUACAAAAUUUAGUUUAAUAUAGUAUAAGCUUGUAAAGUAUUAAAAUAUUUUUUUCAUUUUUUUUAAAAUAUUAAAAUUAUUUUAAAAUAUAUAUAUUAACAUUGAAGCUAAUUUUUUGAGUUAAUAGAGCUAGUAGGUGUUAUAGUAAAAAAGAGUAUCUUAGUAUCUCUUAUUGAAAAUAUAUAGAUCUAUAUAAUCAUUUUUUCAAAUAUUGAGAUGUAGAAAAAUAAAUUAAAAAAUUUUAAAUUUUAAUAUGGCCAUCGUAGGGUUAGAAUCCCCGCUCCAACCCGAUUUGGAGAUUUAUGUUUUUAAAAAAAAAAAGAACAAAGAAAAAAUACACACCCGACCAAAUCAAGCACCUCAUCAAAUCAAAAAUAAAAAAGGAAAGAAAUUAAUGGCUUGCAUGCAAUUUUGGAUCUGAAAUUAAAAUUACAUAAAAAUUAAGGCUUACGUACCUUAAUAUUUACAGCUUGUUUGAUGGCCCCAACAAGUUUAAGCAGCAUCAAAAUGUUGUGGCUCCUUAAAUGACAACAUCGACUUGUUUGACAGCUCCAACAAGGCUACGAUGAUCAGAAGAUGAGCCCUCAAUCAACAAGGCUAAGAUUGGCUUCUCUAUCCUCUGCCGACAUGUCCUCUUCUCCCAACAACCAGCGCCUUGCUCUUUGUCAUUUUUCCUCUUGUUAGUUUUCUUCUACAUAUAAUUAUUACACUGGGAAGUAUACACACACUUCUUUUCUUUUUAUAGUACCUUACUAUUAUAUCUUUACAAAACAAUAUCACCCUAAGACAUAUAUGUAUGAAAUAAAUAUAUAAGGAACGGACGAAAUAAAAUUAGAUCUAACACUAGUUUCAUGUGGUGUGUGAACUUUUGACAAUCCUCUCAUACCCCAACAAAAACUUUGUCAUAUUACAAAAGUUAUCACGACCAUAGACUUUUCAAUUGCAUAUUGGAAUUGCAAUGUCAUUUUAUUAUAGUAAUGUCAUUUCCAUUAUUCAUAGUGGCAGACAAUGGACAUCACGGGACACGGCUAGAAGUUAUCACGACCAUAGACUUUUCUAAUUUAUGAAAUAAAUGAAAUUAGAUCUAAUUCUAGUUUCAAGUGGUGUGAACUUUUGACAAUCCUCCCAUAUCCUAACAAAAGCUUUGUCAUAUUGCGAAAAUACCUUUUCAAUGUUUCAAUUGCAAUGUCAUUGCCAUUAUUCAUAGUGGCAGACAAUGGACAUCACGGGACAUGGCUAGAAGUCUAUGUUACGGCUUCUGUAAGUAACAGCAGCCAAUGGGGAACUUCCAUGGGGGCUAUAGGAGAGAGAAAGAGGUCCCAAUACAAGUGUUAGAGUACAAUUUAUACACUAGUUUUGCAUUGUUUACUUCCCUUAAUAUCGAUGUUUUGCAUUUAAUAAUAAUGAUUUACUUGUGUUUUACUUUUGUAAGUGCAAUUCUAUUGAUUUGUGAUAGAAUUGAGGUAUAAGAUGAUGUUUAAAGAUGAUUGUUCUCUUGGAGAAAUUUAGAGCGUCAGAAGAACUUUAUAGAUAAGGCGUGGGCGCGUGCUGUCAACUGCGGACCUGCAGUUUUUAGUUUAAUGUGUUUUGUAUUUUUGGCUAUUUUUGUAAUUACGAAUUUAAUAUUUCAAAUAUUAUUAUUUUAUUUUAAAUAGAACUUUAAAAGAGAAGAGAGAGAGAGUAUUUAAGGGAGGAAUCUAUUGUGAAAAAGGGGGGAUUUUAAUUGGAGAAAAAGAAAGAAACCCUAGAUCUAAUUUUUCUCUUCUCUCUAUGAAAAACUAAACUUAUUUUUUCUAGUUGAAGGUUAAUGAAUUUUUGAUUCAUCACUACUGUGAGAUCUUUCUUAUGCUUUAAUUGUUUUAUUACUUUUUGGGUAUUUGUUUAUUCUCUGAAUUAGUUUCAUGAUUAUGUUUGUUAAUUAGGUAAUUGGCCACUAUUUAAUUAUCAACUUAAUCUAUUGUCAAUUAAAGAAUUCAUCGUAUGACGAGUUUAAUGUUUGUGACAAAUAACAUAGCAGUGAGUUGUGUUAUGGGAAUAAACAAUCUAAUUUAAAUGAAUCAUCAUAUGUGUUGAUUAGGAUUUGGGUCGCUCUGGUUUUUCAGGCUGUCAAUUGAUUAAAUCCUAUGAUCGUAUCUAGGGUUGUCUAUUAAUUAGGGAAAUAUCCAAUGGUCGUACCUUGGUUAUCGACUAGUUAAGGAGAGAUUGGCUAUUAGAGGGUCUCAAUAGCUAUAACCAGUUUAUUCAUAAGUAAUAAUAAUCUAUUUUUGAAUCAAUGAUCAGUAGUCGAAUCAAACUGAGUUAAUUCCUUCAACCAAAGCUUUCUCCAAUUUGAAUUACAACUUUAAUUUGCAUUUUUGUUAUUUUAAUUUGAUUUUUUAUUAUUGUCAACAAUUCUCCCAUUUUACGUUUUACGUUUCAAAAGAAUUUAAAUAAUUACCGAUCUCUGUGGACACAACCCUGCUCAAUCACUAUACACAAUUUAUUUAGAGUAGGAAUUUAUUUUUAUUGGCUUCAACAACCAUCAACAAGGUGAUGGAAAUGGGAAAGUUCGAAGCUGUUACUUUCAGCUUCUGCACCGUAGCCAUGUCCCACGGGACAAGGCUAGAAGUUAUCAUGACCAUAGACUUUUCUAAUUUAUUUUUUCCUUUCAAAAAGGGACAAGGAUAAGUUUGGGAGAAUGAUUAUAUUUUUAAUAAAAGAAUUCUUUUUUAUUAUAAUACUUUUUGUCUUUAUUAAUUUAAAAAUAUUAACUCUUAUAUUUUAAUAAAUAUAAAUAUAAUAUUAUAAUAACAUAUAACAAUAUAUACAAAUAUUUAAAAAAAUUUAAGAUUUUAUUAAAAUAAAUUUUAUAAUAAAUAAAAAUACAUUAUUAAUAUAAUUUUAAUAAUUUGCAUUUUAAAAAGUAAUACUGAUAUUAUUUUUUAAAUAUUAAUUUUUUAAAUUAUAUUACUCUACCAAAAAAAAUUAAACUAUUAAAUUAUAUUGAUAUUUAUUACAAAAUUUGCAAUUAAUUCUUAUUAUAUUUUUAAUUGGAAUUUGUUCCUGUGAUAUAACAACAAUUGCUACAGUUUUUUCCCUAAAUAAAGAUGGAGUUAUAAAUUAUUUGUGUAAGUGUCAUGAAAGUAAUAGUUGAAUAACAAUAAUGGGGCUUUAGGCAAUUUUUUUUAUGAGGUCUUCUUGCAAUUUCAACACUUAAACAGACUUGUCCUUGAUCCCAAUUUAUUUACCCCAUUUGGGCCCACGAUGAGAUAAAUAUAUUCCUGUGAGAUGAAAAACAUCAGGAGAAGAAAAUGUUUUAUUAUAAUAAAAAAACAAGUGGUCCAUAAGUCUAUUUAUUACUUUUUUUAUUCAAUACAAAUGGCCAACUUAAAAAAUGAUAAAAAUCACAUAACGCACAAGCAAAAAUUUAGAUUUACAUUUUUUAGUUCUCUCCGUGUCUCUCUUUCUCUUUUUUAAAAAAAAUAAAUAAAUGUCAGUGUAAAAUUAGAAAAAUUUUAGAUAUAAACUUUGGCGAUGACCAAACAAAAAUUGCAAGGGAAAGAAAAUAGAGGACCCUUGAUAUCAUUAAAAUACUGAUCAUAGACACUACAAUAUAAAUAACUUGUUGUGAUCCACUCAACUUGUAACACUUUAAUCCAUAUUCUAAAAUUUGUAUGUUUGUUAGGAAUUUUAUUAUUGACAUUACUGUACCAAUAAAAUUCUAAUUUAUUCAUAUGGAAAGAAAACAUCAAGAAAGGACCUCUGAUUUUUAUUAUAACAGAAAAAAGUGGUCCAUAAGUCUAUUUAUUAUUUUAUUUAUUCAAUACAAAUUGCCAACUUAAAAAAUGGUAAAAAUCACAAAAUGCACAAGUAAAAUUUUAGAAUUACAUUUUUUUUAAUUCUCUUUGAGUCUCUCUCUCUCUCUCUUUAAAAAAUAAACCUCACUGUAAAAUUAGAAAAAAUUUAGACAUAAAAUUUGACAAUCACCAAACAGAAAAUGUAGGGAAAUGAAAAUGGAGGAGCCCUAUUAUCAUUAGAAUAUUGAUCAUAGAUACUAUAAUGUAAAUGAUUUGUUGUGGUUCAUUCAACCUGUCACACUCUAAGCCAUUUUCUAAAAUUUGUAAGGUUUAUAGGAUUUUUAUUAUUGGCAUCAUUGUAUCAAUAAUAUUAUAAAUUAUAUAUUCUAUUGUAAUGAAAAUUUGUGUAAUCUUAGGUAUUUAUUGUAUUAAAUUGUGUGGAUUAAUUAAGAAUAUUUUUGGAGACAAAAGAGGUGUGUGUACGUAGGAUUAAUAAUAAAAAAUUUCUAAAUAAAGGUGAUUGCUUCAUUGACAAGUACAUAUUUAUAUUCUCUAUUAGUAUUUGGGUUGUAAACUUUGUUUAUAAAGUGAAUAUAUUGUGGUAAGCGAUGUGGGCAAUAUCGGAUGCAAAAUAUUGAGAGAUCAUUAACGCAUAUAUUUAUUGCAUAUAGAGGAAAGAGUGUAGAUCCGGCCGUAACAAUUAUGAAGCUUUCCCCAAGUAUUCUCACGCUUCCUUAACUGUUCCAAAGUAUUUUUCAUAGUGUGCAGAUUUACUUUAUGGUGUCUUAAUUCGUCUAAAAUGAUUACUUUAGUUCUUUUGGGAUGAAAGGUCAUUUAUUGUGUUAGGAUUAAACAAUAGAAAAAAUAAGUAAUGGUAACGAAAGACUAAUUUGUGAUAUUGAAGCAUACAUGCUUAACUCAAUCCAAAACUUAGUAAGUUAGCUCAAGAGUUAAGAGUUGUCCAAAUCUUAUAUGCUGAACCCAAGUUCAAUACUCAAUUGAUGCAGGAUGUUAUUCCUAACACCGCCCGUCAUGCGUAGGAUUGGCAAAAAAACUCGAGUCAAUCCCGCCUAGACCUGCAAGCUUUAUUUAUGGCCAGCAUGAUGAAGUUACAGAUAUUAACCUAAAAAUUUGAAACUUACUAUGAAUGGCCUUGGUUAAAGACUUUUGUAACUUUAAUUUAUAACAAAUAUGUAUACACACACACACAUGUUUAGAUUGCAUUUGGGUGACUUUUUUUAUCAAUGCAAACAAUAUCAAAUUUAUCGGAUUAAUUUGAAUCUGAUCUAUAUCCGAUUUUGCCCGCCAUAAGCCCAAGUGACUCUCUUUUACUAAUUAAUAAGGGAAUUUUUUGACCUCAUGUCCUUGCUGUGGCAUUAGACUGUUGGUCAUUUUGAUUGUUUCCUACCUUCCAUUUACGCCAGCUGUAACAUUGUAUUAUUCACCAUUUUAGCCAUUUAAAUGAAAUUUUAUUUUUGUCAAAAAUAAAAUGACACCCUUAAAAUAAAAAAAAAUAGUUAUGUAGACCUCAAAUUUUUAAUAAAGAAUGUCAAUACCUCUUUUAACUACAAGAUUCGUAGUAGAUGAUAAAAAGAAAAUUAACUUCAAAUUUUUUCAUUAAAUGUAAAUCUGAUUGAAGUAGUUUAAAUUUUUCUAGUAGACUAAUAUAUAUAACUUAAAUAAUUAAUUUCAUUAUUAAUUGUUAAAAUGUUAACCAAUAUAUUUUUAAUUUAUUAUAAAAAUUUUAAAUAAAUCCUUGGAUUAAAUAGAUUUUACAAUUAAUGUAAUACUUCUGAUUUAUUAAUAAUAUUAAAAUUAUUUUAUAUGAUAUUCAAAAUAAUUUAAACUUAUAUAUAUAUUAAUAUUAUGUCUAUUUAUUAUAAUAUGGUUUAAUAUUAUACGGGAUUGUAAAAUAUUAAAAUAUUUUUCAAUAUCCAAUUAUUUUAAUAUGUAUAUAUCAUUACAUUUAUUUUAGUAUCAUAUUUAUAUUUAUUAUAAAAUAUAAAAUUAAUAAAAUUAAAGAGUAUUGCAGUAAAGUAAAAAAGAAAAGUCUUAUUAUCUCUUAUUCACGAUAUGAGAUUCUACAAAAUUAUUUCCCGAAACGGGUGUCCUUUUCUCAUUUUCAAAAGAAAAAAUAAAGUAAGAAUAAGUCCAUGGGUUUCAAAAACUUCUAGUCUUAUCCCGGGACUACAUUGUCUGCCACUAUAACUAAUGGAAAUGACAAUACAAUUGACAUUGCCUUUCGCAACAUGACAAAUUUUUGGUGGGAUAUGGAAGAAUUGUCAAAAGUUCACGCCAUGUGAGAGUUUUUGGUGGGAUGUGGGAGGAUUGUCAAAAGAUCACACCACAUGAUAUAACCACAAUUGCUAUGGUUUUUAUUUUUUAAAUAAUGAUGGGAGUUAUAAAUUAUUUAUAUAAAUUUGCGUAGAAACUAAUGUAACAUAAAAGAAGUAGCUGAAUAACAAUAUUUGGUGCUUUAGGUAAUUUUUAUAUGAGCCUUUCUUUUAUUUAGCGGCUCUAGUGCUUAAACAAACUUGUUCUCGAUCUUAUAACAGAAAAGGCAUCCCAUUUAAGCCUAUGAUGACAUAAUUAAACAUAUUCUUUUGUGACGAAAACAUCAAGAGAAGACAUCUCAUGUUUUAUUAUAACAGAAAAGAAGUGGUCCAAACGUCUAUUCGUUAUUUUAUUUAUUCAAUAUAAAUGGCCAACUUUAAAAAAAUGAUCAAAAUCACACAACACUCAAGUAAAAAUUUAGAAUUACAUUUUUUAAUACUCUCUAAGUCUCUCUCUCCUGCCCCCCCCCCCCCCACCCCGUCCCCUUUUUUGAAAAAAUAAACCUUAGUGUAAAAUUAGAAGAAUUUUAGAUAUAAAAUUAGAAGAAUUUUAGAUAUAAAAUUUGGCAAUCGCUAAACAGAAAAGCAGCGGAUUGAAAAUAAAAAAACUCUAUUACCAUUGGAAUAUUGAUUAUAGACAAUAUAAUAACUUGUUGUGGUUCAUUGUAGCACUCUGAGCCAUAUUCUAAAAUUUAUAGGUUUGUUAAGGCAUUUAUUAUUGACAUUAUUGUGUCAAUACUAUUAUAAUGAUAAUUUGUCUAGUCUUAGGUACUUAUUAUAUUAAAUUAUGUAAAUUAAUUGAGGAUACUUUUAGAGACAAAAGAAACACGUGUAUGUAGGAUUAAUAAUCGAAGAAUUGUAAAUGAAGGUGAUUGCUUCAUUGAGAGGCAUAUUAAAUAAUUAUGGAGAGUUGCACUAUUUCGGAAGCACAUAAUUAUACUUCCCUAUCAGGAUUUGGGGUAAACGAAGUGCUUUAUCUAUUGCAGUAAGCAAUGUGGACAAUAUCAGAGGCGAAAUAUUAAAAGAUCAUAACGCAUAUAUUGGAGCCAUUUAUCUUCCGCAACUGUUCUGAACUAUUCUUCAUUGUGGGCAGAUUUACUUAAAUACCUGCACAAUGAUUCAAUACUUCAAAGGUCAAGGAAAUGUCAAAAUAUGAAAUGAAAAUACUUAAAUACCCUUCUACCUAACAAAACUCGCAGAGAAUCUAUAAAAUUAAAAAAAAAAUAUUCAUCCAUGAAAAGCUUCGUAACAGAAAAACCGUCUUUCAAAAAAUAAAAACAGAAAAACUGACUCAUUUAUCUGCAAAUGAACCAAUCGGGACUCAUUUAAAAAAGAAUACAAAGCAAAAGUAAAUGACACAAAUUGCAUAGAUAUCUAGGAGCCGCAUCAAAAGACAAAGGUGUUAAUUUGUCCAAGAAUAAAUUCUCCUAGGUCAAAAGCAAUUAACGAUGAAAACUUUCUUCAUUAAGGUUCUGGCCUACGUAAAAAAACAGAAAAAAACCACCCCAAGGUCAAAGCACAACGAUAAAUUUAGAAAUGAAGUUUUUAAUUUUUUUUUAAUAAAUCAACGUGUAUCAAAAAUAGAUAAUAAUUUUGGAUAACUUUUUUUGAUAAAUAUAGACAUAAAAUUUUAAAAUCACCAAACAGAAAAACAGGAGAAUUAAAACAAAGUCCCUGUUUAUCCUCUAUUUUGCUUGUUAUUAAAAAGGGAAAUGAAAAGAUUGCAAGCGGAAAUUUUGUUUCUGCGUUGUCUCUUCUCAAUGCUGCAUGCAUUCAAAUUAAACCUUACAUAUGCUAGCAAACUAGCUACGCUGCAUGUAAGUUCUCGAUAAGUCCAAAUAAUAGAAUAAUUGUAAAAUGUUCAAAUUCAGUAAUUAAUUUUAUUUAUUUAUUUAUUCAAAAAUUAUUAUUAUUAUUAAUUAUUGUCAAUAAUAUAUUAAUAUACUAAUUAAUUGUAAAAAAAUUUAUCAUUCAUAACAAUAAUAAUGAUGAUGAUGACGAUAAUAAUAAAAAUUCAAAAUAUAUUAAUUAAUUAUAAUAAUAUAUUAAUUAUUUAAUAAUAAUAUAUUUAAAAUAUAUAUAAAUUGAUUAGAAUAGUUAUAUUAAUAAAUUAUAAACAUAUAUUAAUUAAUCAUAAUAAUUUUUUAAUUGAGGACAAAAUAGAUAUUUUAUAGUUUGUGAGAGGGGGCAAAAUGAUCAAUCUUGGGAAUGGGGGAUUGAUUCCCACCACCUUCCUUAGGAAUCAAUCUUCCAUUCCUCACUCCUAAUUUGGGUGGUCCCCAUAGUUCUGAUUCGGAUCCCAGCCUCCAUUUUAUGAAGUAAACAUCAUUAAUGAUUUCGAUUUCGGAUUUCGAUUCUCCAGUCCAAGAAGUAAAGGCACCAUUAUUGUUAAUUGGUUCAAACACACAAAGAGAAUGUACCAUGUAGCUAGGCGUCAAGGUUGUGUGGCACAAGUAACCUUUUUCUUUUCUUUUUAUUUUUCUUGUUUUCCUUAACGGAUCAGAAGAAAUCGGUGCCUUUGAGAUACUACAAUGUAAAUAAGUAUUUGUGGUUCAUUGAAUCUGUAACACUCGGUACCCUAAGGUUGCUUUUGAAAAAGGGCUUUUCUCACUGAUCACCAAUAUCCAAGUAAGUUUGUUUCAUUUCAGAAGGUGCAAAGUUUCAAACUUUUUGUAUUGGGAUGUAACAAACUUUGGCCUUAUAUGCUUGCUGUGACGUUAGACUGUUCAUUUUGAUUGUUUCCUACCUUCCACUUGCGCCACUGUAGCACUGUAUUAUUCAUCAUUUUAGUUGUUUAAAUGAAAUUUUAUUUUUGUCAAAAAUAAAAUGACACCAUUAAAAUUUAGAAAAAUAAUCAUGUAGAUCCCAAAUUUUUAAUAAAGAAUACCAAUAUUCCCCUUGACUACAAUACCCUUAGCAGGUGGUAAUCAAACAAAUUGACUUAAAAUUUUUUACGAAAUGUAAAUAUGAUUUAAAUAAUUUAAAUUUUCCAGAAGACUAAUAUAUAUAAUUUAAAUAAUUAAUUUCAAUAUUAAUUUUUAAAAUGUAAAUUAAUUUAUUUGUACUUAUAAAAUAUUUGUAAUUAUUUUAAAAUUUUAACUAAAUCCUUAGGUUAAAUAGAUUUUACAAUUAAUAUAAUAUUUCUCAGGUAUUAAUAAUAUUAAAACUAUUUUAUAUGACAUUGAAAAUAACCUAAAUUUUUUAUAUAUUUAUUUGAAUAUUAUGUCUCUAUUUAUUAUAAUUUGGUUUAAUAGAAUACGAGAUUGUAAAAUAUUAAUAUUUUAGAUAUUGAAAUUAUUUUAAUAUCUAUAUAUUAUUAUAUUUAUUUUAAUAUCCUAUUUAUAUUUAUCAUAAAUUAUUAGAGUUAAUUUUUUUAGUUAAUAAAUUUAAAAAUAUUAUAAUUUAAAAAAAGUCUUAUUGGCCGUUAUUCACGAUAUAAGGUUCUAAUAAAUUAUUUCUCUAGACAGGUGCCAUUUUCUUAUUUUCAAAAGGAAAAACAAGUUCAGGGCCUCGGGGGUUUCAAAAAAUUCUGGUCCUAUCUAUCACUAUGACUAAUGGGAAACGGCAUUGCAAUUGACAUUGCUUUUCGCAAUAUGACAUAUUAUGGAGGGAUAUGGGAGAAUUGUCAAACAUUCACACCACGCGAGAGCUUUAGGUGGGAUAGGGGAGGAUUGUCAAGAGUUCACACCACAAGAAACUAAUGAUAGGUCUAAUUUCGUUGUCAGUUCUUUAUUUAUUUAUUUUUUUUAUUUCAUACAUUAUUGUUCUUGUAAAGGUAUAAAAGUAAAGUAAAAUACUAGGGGUGCUGUUAAGUUACAACUGAUGUAACUUGUAAUUUUUUCAAAAAUAAUGUAAAAAAUUUAAUAGGUGGUGGGACUCACAUAUUUUUUAAGAGACUUAAGUUAUAGUAGUUGUAACUUAACAAAAUCUAAAUAUUAUACAAUAAUGCAUAUUAAUAAUGCAUAUAAUUUGGGUUUGAUUUUUAAAAGAUUAUUUGAGUACCACCUAUCCUUAUGAUAUUAAUGUGAUUAUAUCUUAAUAUUAAAUAAUCAAAAUUUGUUUAAUUAUUAUUUGUAUUUCAUACAUUACAUAUUAGAUUUGUUUGAAUUUUAAGUUGUUGCUAAUAAAUAUUUAUGUUGUCAAAGUCAAAUUCAAUAGCUACAAAAGCAGAGAUAAUGGUAUUGUAUAUAGUUUUUAAGAAUGCAAGGAUAAGCUGGAUAAUUGACAUAAAUUCUAAUGAUUAAAAGAGCAACUAUCCCUUAAAUUAUAAUGUUAAUUUCUUUAAUUAGAUUUUUUUUUUCAUGUGAUAUAACCACAAUUGCUACAAUUUUUUUUUAUAAUAAUAAUGGGAGUUAUAAAUUAUUUAUAUAAAAUUUGGGUUGAAACUAAUGUACCAUAAAAGUGGUUGCUGAAUAACAAUAUUUGAAACUUUAGGUAAUUUUCAUGAGUCCUUUUUAUAUUCAGCAACCUGAAUUGGGGAAAAUCCGACUUGAAUUGGCGGUUGAUUUUGGUGAUGUGGCUUUUGGUUUAUGGCGGCUUUACUGUGGCGGAAGACUGGAUUUACGGUUGCCGACUGCUAGGGAUUAUGGUGGUGGUGUAAAUUGACGGAAAAAGAAGGUGUUUUGGUGGCGGCGCGUGUAGGAAGCACUCGUGGGUUGUCGUUUCGUGUGGUGACAGAGGGCGGCGAUCAAGGGCCGAAGUCGGUCAGUUUUUGGUCAACGAAGGCCGGCGAGUUUGUUGGUGGAGGUGGCUGGUGGAGAAAGUGGCUGAAUGGUGGUGGGUUGCUUGGUGGAGCCGCAGGUUUGGGUUGGUGAUUUGCGGCUGUUCAAGCGGCGGUUGAGGCAGCGAUGACUGAGGCUUGGUCGACGGUGGCUAGUGAGGUUUGUGGUGGUGUUGGCUGGCUGAUUGGCGGUGGUGGGCGGCGGUGGGGGUUGGUCUGACGGGUAGGGUUUUCAAAUUUGUAAUUUUUUUUUUUGAUGGAUUUGGUUUGGAUGGGUAUGGUGUAUCUAGGAAAGAUGUGUGAUUCGCACAGAAUUGCUUUGAUACCAAUUGAUGGAGCGAGCGUAGCGGAAGUGGAAUUGAUAAGGUAAGAAAUACUAAAUAUCAUUCUAGUACUGGAUCAAGCCAACACAAUUAACUUACGCUUUAAUCAAAGCGUGAUUAGAUAUUGUUUUAAUCUAAAUGAUUCAAUGAGAUUUUUAAUAACGCGUAAUACGAGAUUAGAUGACACUCUAAUUUAAAUAACUCUAUAAGAGAGAUUUUGAUAAAUAAUACUAGAGGAAAUUAUAAAAAAAAGAGUUUUAUUUAAUAAUUGAAUUUGAAGUCCUGAAAACAAUGACAAGACAUCUUUAUUUUUUUUAUUACAGACAUCUUUAUUUAUAAUAAAAGAAAUCCACUUUCCUAAGUUAACCUAAAAAGAAAAUUUAAAUUAUAAUUAUAAUGGAAAUAAAAGAUUAAGAUACAUACCAUAAUUGACUCAAACAAAAAUAGAAAACCAUAAAAUAAUAAAUAUUUUAGAAUUAUAAAUUAUCUAAAAUAACGUUAAUUAACUUCCUAAAUCACGUCUUUGGUGUAAACCAUUUUGCAUCCAACCUUGCUUUAAAGGUUUGAACCAACGUUACGAACAACAAUGUAUCAAAUUCCAAUCUAACUUAAGAUCCUGAUACAUCUACCGAUGUCCUUGUUUGAUUAGACAAUAAUGAGUCUAUCUCAUCACUUGUUACCUCUUUUUUGAAGCUGCAUCUGUUGAAGUGAUAGCCUCGCUUAGAGUUUAAAGAUCUUCUUCCAUGUUAAAUAAAGUGGGCAUUUGAUUAAAAAACUUUAUCUCUAUCUCCUUCUAUCAAAUAACGAAAACUAUCCAAAGGAAAAAAAAAAAAUUAGAAAAGUCCAUGGGUUGCAAUAAUUUAUGGUCUGUCCUCGGACCCCAUUAUCUGCCAAUAUCAAUGAUGAAAAUGAAAAUAAAUGGCAUCUUCCCAAAAUGGCGAAAGAUUUUUAGGAGAUAUGGGGAAUUGUCAAAAGUUCCCACAACGCGAAAUAAGUGUUACAUCCAAUUUUAUUUCAUCAUAUAAUGAUAAUAUCAAGUAAUGACAGCCAUCUAAAAGUAUAAUGGGUCUUCCAAAAUUUUGAAAAUGUCGUCAACAUUUAAUCUUCAAUGCUAAAGAAGAUGAAAUGCCCAAAAAUGACAUGCAGGACCCACUCACAGACUAAACGGCCCUGACCACAUGCAACAAACUUUGACUUUAUGUCCCUGCUGAGGCGUUAGACUGUUGGUCAUUUUGAUUGCUUUUUACAUUCCAUUUACGCCAUUGUAGCAUUGUACUAUUUACCAUUUUAGCUGUUUAAAUGAAUUUUUUUUUCCAAAAAUAAAAUGACACCCUUAAAAUUUUAGAAAAUAAUCAUGUAGACCCCAAAAUUUUAAUAAAGAACACCAAUACCCUUUUUGACUAUAGUACUCUUAUGGUAGCCACAAAAAAAAAAUGACUUCAAAAUUUUUUACUAAAUGUAUAUAUGAUUUAAAUAGUUUAAAUUUUCUAGUAGACUAGUAUGUAUAAUUUAAAUAAUUAAUUUUUAAAAUGUAAUUUAAUAUAUUUAUUUUAAUAAUAUAUUUAUUAUAAAAAUUUUAAACAAAUCCUUGGGUUAAAUGGAUUUUAUAAUUAAUAUAAUAUUUCUCAUGUUUUAAUAAUAUUAAAAUUAUUUUAUAUGAUAUUGAAAAUAAUUAAAAAUUUUAUAUAUUUAUUUGAAUAUUAUGUCUCUAUUUAUUAUAAUUUGGUUUAAUAGAAUACGAGAUUGUAAAAUAUUAAAAUAUUUUUAGGUAUUGAAAUUAUUUUAAUAUGUACAUAUUAUUAUAUUUAUUUUAAUAUCCUACUUAUAUUUAUUAUAAAAUAUUAAAAUUAAUUUUUUUAGUUAAUAAAUUUAAAAAAUAUUAUAAUUAAAAAAAAGAGUCUUAUUGUCUGUUAUUCACGAUAUAAGGUUCUACAAAAUUAUUUUCAAAAGGAAAAAUAAGUCUAGGGGUUUCAAUAAAUUCUAGUCCUAUUUGCCACUAUGACUAAUGAAAACGACAUUGCAAUUGACAUUACUUUUCGCAAUAUGACAAAUUUUUGGAGGGAUAUGGGAGAAUCGUCAAAUGUUCACACUACGCGGGAGUUUUGGAUGGGAUUGGGGAGGAUUGUCAAGAGUUCACACCACAAGAAACCAAUGAUAGCCAUAAUUUUGCUAUCAGAUCUUUGUUUAUUUAUUUUAUUUAUUUCAUACAUUGUUGUCUUGUUGGCAUUGUUUUGCAAAGAUAUAAAAGUAAAAUAAACUAUUAGGGUGCUGCUAAGUUAAGCUGUUGUAACUUACAAUCCCUUAAAAAAUAAUGUAAAAAAUUUAACACGUGGUGGGAUCGACAUAUGUUUGAAGAGGCUUUAAGUUACAGUAGUUGUGACAUAGCAAAAUCCAAUUAUUAGACAAUAACGCACAUUAACAAUGCAUAUAAUUUGGGUUUGAUUUUUUGAAAAAUUAUUUGAGUAUUAACUAUCCUUAAGAUAUUAAUGUGAAUAUAAUUUAAUAUUAAAUAAUCAAAAUCUGUAUAAUUAUAAUAUAUAGUUCAUACAUUGCAUGUUUAAUCAAAAUCUGAUUGCUUUUUACCUUCCAUUUACGCCCACUGUAGCAUUGUACUAUUCACCAUUUUAGCUGUUUAAAUGAAAUUUUUUUUUUUUCAAAAAUAAAAUGACACCCUUAAAAUUUUAGAAAAUAGUCAUGUAGACCCCAAAAUUUUAAUAAAGAACACCAAUACCCUUUUUGACUAUAGUACUCUUAUGGUAUUCACAAAAAAAAAAAAUGACUUCAAAAUUUUUUACUAAAUGUAAAUAUGAUUUAAAUAGUUUAAAUUUUCUAGUAGACUAGUAUGUAUAAUUUAAAUACUUAAUUUUUAAAAUGUAAUUUAAUAUAUUUAUUUUAAUAAUAUAUUUAUUAUAAAAAUUUUAAACAAAUCCUUGGGUUAAAUAGUUUUUAUAAUUAAUAUAAUAUUUCUCAUGUUUUAAUAAUAUUAAAGUUAUUUUAUAUGAUAUUGAAAAUAAUUUAAAAUUUUAUAUAUUUAUUUUAAUAUUAUGUCUCUAUUUAUUAUAAUUUGGUUUAAUAGAAUACGAGAUUGUAAACUAUUAAAUAUUUUUUGGUAUUGAAAUUAUUUUAAUAUGUAUAUAUUAUUAUAUUUAUUUUAAUAUCCUACUUAUAUUUAUUAUAAAAUAUUAAAAUUAAUUUUUUUAGUUAAUAAUUUUAAAAAAAUAUUAUAGUUAAAAAAAAGAGUCUCAUUGUCCGUUAUUCACGAUAUGAGAUUCUACAAAAUUAUUUUCAAAAGGAAAAAUAAGUCCAAGGGUUUCAACAAAUUCUAGUCCUAUCUGCCACUAUGACUAAUGGAGACGAUAUUGAAUUGACAUUGUUUUUCGCAAUAUGACAAAUUUUUGGAGGGAUAUGGGAGAAUCGUCAAGCGUUCACACCAUGCGAGAGCUUUAGGUGGGAUAUGGGAGAAUUGUCAAGAGUUCACACCAAGAGAAAUUAAUGAUAGGCCUAAUUUCGUUGUCAGUUCUUUAUUUAUUUAUUUUAUUUAUUUCAUACAUUAUUGUCUUGUUGGUAUUGUUUUGUAAAGAUAUAAAAGUACAAGUAAAAUAUUAGGGGAAGUAAAGUAAAAUAUUGGAGGUGCUGCUAAUUUACAGCUGCUGUAACUUACAGUUCCUUCAAAAAUAAUGUAAAAAAUUUAACACGUGGUGGGACCCACAUUAUGUUUGAAGAGGCCGUACAUUAUAGCAGUUGUAAAUUAGUAAAAUCCAAAUAUUAGACAAUAAUACACAUUAACAAUGCAUAUAAUUUGGGUUUGAUUUUUUAAAAAAUUAUGUGAGUAUUACCUAUCCUUAAGAUAUUAAUGAGAAUAUAUUUUAAUAAUAAAUAAUCAAAAUCUGUUUAAUCAUAAUAUGUAAUUGAUACAUUGCAUGUUAGAUUUGUUUGGAUUUUAAGUUGUUGCUAAUAAAUAUUUAUGUUGUGAAAGUCGAAUUCAAUAGCUACAAAAGCAGAGAUAACGGUAUUUUAUGUAGUUUUUAAGAAUACAAGGAUAAGACCAUAACGCAUGAGAUAAUGGUAUUUUAUAUAUAUUAAAAGACCAUAACACAUGUAUUUGAGCCAUUGAUAUUGAAGACACAUAUAGAGGAAAGAGUGCAGAUCCGGCCCUCAGUAUUGUGAAGCUUUCCUCAAGUAUUCUCAUGCACACAGACCUUAUCUGGUCAAGUUUUCUGAUUCAAUAUAAUCAAUUUCCGCGCAGUACUGACGACAGCUUCUCUGUAAAGCUCUUCAACCACAAGCAUUUCUACAAGGCAAAAGACUAGGACGUGUCAGAAUGAAUAUCAAUAAGGGAAUGUCUUAUGAAUUUAGUUUAUAUCCUAAUAUAAGACAAUCAGUAAAUAUUGGACUCAUUAGUUGCCCUUGCCUCAGACGUUUGGAUGCUAAGGGGAAAAAGGAAGUUUGAAUUAGUCAAUCUCAUUUCUAAUGGCAUUCACAGAGAACUUAUAAAACAAAAAAAUUAUAAAAAAAAAUUCAUCCAUAAAAAGCUUAGUAACGGAAAAACCGACUCUUUUAUCUGCCACUGACGAAAAAAAAACUGAAGUAUCAAAUAGAUAAAGAUUUUAAUUUUUUUCUUGGAAAAACUAAUAAUAAAUUAACAAUUGGAUAAUACUAUUAAUUAGAGAUCUUUAAUAUUAAGGUUAUCAAAGAUAGAAUGUGUAUAAAAAUUCUUAAUUAUAAGAUAAUUACUAACUAAAAAGAGGCCUAAAAAAGAAGAUUUGCUAUUAUAAGUAAUACCAAAAAUAAAAAAGGGAGACUUCCUAAUUGUUUAAUUGUUAAAAAAGAGGAUUUGCUAUUAUAGGCCUAAUUUGCCUAUAAGUAAUACCAAAAAUAAAACCGUUCCUGGAUGUAAAAAAUAAAAAUUAUUGUUAAAUUCCUGACUAAUAAGGUCAUUGAAAGUAUUCAAAGGACCUGAACUUAUAGGAAAGCCAGCCAUGAUGAACUAUACCACGUUGCAAGUGAGCUCGUAUCUUCAUCCCUUGAUCUGCCAUCGGCAUUUCUGUUCCACUCACUAUACCAUCCUUUUCAAUCGAUUUUUAUUGAUCAUAAGAGGCCAUGUGGCCCACCUUAUUUUUAUUUUGGAUCCAUAACCCAAAGCUGGCCCAAGUUCUGAUUCCAGAAUCAUUUGUCUACAAAGUGACCUCAUUCCGGCAAUUGGUUUAUGCUAAUAGCACGUGCAAUUUUCAUUUUCUUCUUUUUAUUAAUUAAUUUCAUCAUUAUUAUUUGCUUAUUAUUUUAAAUUAAUUAAUUAAAUUGUAUUAUUGAAAUUAGUCUUUCUUUUUUCUUUUCUCUUUCAAUGCACAAAGCCAAACAACCAUUCUUGCUUCAAAUACCGAAGAGCUCCUGACUACGGCUGUCAAUGCUUCUAUAUUUACGUGCUGUGCUGCAUCACUCUUAGCGAAAGCUUGAAUGAAUGAUUAAAGACAAAAGCUUAUAUAAAAGCAGAUGCCGGAGGCACUCAAAAAGCAUUUGAGAGAGAAGCUACACAGCAAAUCAUCAAACGUACUUCAAUGACUUUGAUUUUGAUUCUUUUUUUUUUCAAAAGAAGUAGAAAAGUCCAUGGAUCACGAUAACUGCUUGUCCUAUGCCGUGACCUCAUUGUCCGCUGCUAGUGUCAAAUAGAUUAAUCUUUCUAGUAGAUUAAUAUAAUUUAUAAUUUUAAUUUCAGUAUUAAUUUUUAAAAUGUUAGUUGUUAUAUUUAUUUUAAUAAUAUAUCUAUUUUUAGUAUAAAACUUUAAAUAUAUAUUUAGAUUAAAUAGAUUUAUAAUUAAUAUAAUAUAUCUCAUGUAUUAAUGAUAUUUAAAUUAUUUUAAAUAAUAUUAAGCCUAACUUAAAAUUUUAUAUAUUUAUUUUAAUAUUAUGUUUCUAUUUAUUAUAAAAUUUAGUUUAAUAUAAUAUAAGAUUGUAAAGUAUUCAAAUAUUUUUUAAAUAUUGAAAUUAUUAUAAAAUGUAUAUAUUGUUACAUUUUUAAUAUUGAAGUCAAUCUUUUUUAAGUUAAUAGAGUGAAAAGAUAUUAUAAUAAAAGGCUACGUAAUCUUUCACUUGCACAUAUUCUGUACUCUCUGGAGCAGGACGGUAGGAAAUAUGAUUACAAAUGUUAAAUUCGCCUUUCUUCACAAGUUUAUCAGCUUCGUUUGCGGCCUCUGCUGCUUGUUUACCAAGCUUGUAACAAGAAAUCAAAUUUGGGCACAACCUUUUGAAGCAGAACAUCUUAGCUCUAUCUUUAUCAUCAAUGAUUGAUUUUGCAACCCCUUCACUGAAUUCAGCAACUCUAUUUAGCCAGUCUCUGACACCCUUAUAAAUCUCAUCUCCUUGUAGAGUAGCCUCUCUAACCAGCAUUUGCACCCUUUCUCUUAUAUAUUCCAGCUCCUUCACUCAAUCUUUUAGCCCAUCUAUGUAGCUCUGGUACUCGGAACACAUAAGAUAUGUGCCACAUAAUCGGUUUGAAUAAUGCUUUUGAACCUUGUGAUACAAUGCUAGAAAAAGUAGGGAGACACCCUUCUGCAGCCAUUGCCUGUUGCUUAACAAUCUAUAUAAAUAAAUACAAGUGUCAAAGAAAGGAAUACAGAUAAAUUAAAAUGAACUAGUGGGAAAGACAGAGAAUGAAAAGACUGCAAACAAUAUUGCGAUAUUGAUCUUGAACUAACUAAUAAUUAAAUAGAGAAUUUCUUUUUCUUUCUUGAGGAUCAGAGAUUUUGCUAUUAACAAAAAGGUACUUCGAGGGUCUGAAUAAAAAACCAACCAUAAAUUAUCAAAAGCUAGUAAAAACACAGACGUAAAUAAUGAACAAUUACUUAAGCAAAACAGACCAUGAUACAAAGCAAAUCUAAUAAAAUGACAAAAAAAGAAAGAAAGAAAGAAAGAAAGAAAAUACAACAAAUAAUAUUGAAGUGUUGAUUAUGAGCCAACUGAUAUUUAAACAGAUUUUUUUAAAAUUUUUAGUCUUUUGCUAAAGGAUUAGAGUUUUUGUUAUUAAUAGAAAGGUUUUAAAGACCUGACAUUACUAGAAAAAUACUAAAUAAUGACAGAAAUUUUAUAACAUAUAUCGUUAUGUCACGAAUGUGUCAUGAAAAUAUGAUAGAUUCGUGAUAUAUAUUCAUGUCCAGAGUAUAUGACAUAUUCAUGACUUAUAACUUAACCAUCGUAAAUAAAUGAUACAUAUAAGUCAUGCUUAAGUUUUGUGAACUUAUAAGAUUGUAAAACAAUGCCGUUUAAAUUAACGACACCGUUUUGUAUAACUUAAAACCCAUUAACACUCGCAGCCAAAUUUUGGCUAAGCGUUGAAUUAAUCCCUCUCUCCACUGUAGAGAUGGCAGAAAAGCCCGCUCAGACCGGAUCCGGACUGGACCCGGUGCAUACGGUCCGGGUAAAACCCGGAUCGGAUGCAUGGAAAAAGCGGAUCCGGGCACGGGUCCGGUCACAGCACCAAGAAUCUGGAACCCGGACCCGUGCCCACUUUUUUAUUAAGUAAAAAAAAAAUAUAUAUAUAUAUAUAUAUAUAGUAGUUUUCCAAUCAGGGAUUAGUUAAAAGACAAAAUAAACACAUACUCCAAUGCAUUGUAUUUUAUCAUGUAGUGUAGUAAAAUUUAAAUUUUUUUGUCUUUUAGCUAAUCCAACUACUAUAUAUAUAUAUAUAACAACAAAAAUGCAUUUUGCUUUACCCAAUUUCCCCCAAACCCAACCGGCCAACCCUAAAUCGCAACAAGUCUCAGAAUCGCCACCUCCCUCCGUUUCUCCACCAACAACCACCACCCAUCUUCACCGAUGCAGUGUUGACGGCGCGGCCUCUUCCCCACUUACAGAAAAAUGCGCAUGCUUUUACCGAGAAAAGAAAGCUUUUAUUUUUUGUAUGACAUCUGGUCCUCCCAUCAAGCUUACCUGAGGCAGCGAGGCUGAAAGUCUCUGUUAUCAACCAUCAGGACACCAGAAAGAGUAAUUGCUCACAUCGUAAGCGCCAUGAACUAAUUUUUCCGAAAAGGAGGAAAUGAAGGUCACAAUGGAGCUCAUUUCCCGCGAUUCGAGAGCCCUACAGAGAGGUAGGACCCCUAACUCACUCCGUUUUAGUCACCUUUCAAUGGCUCCCUUAAUUUCCUAAAUCAAUAAGUGUUCUAAAAGGGCUUGAAAAAUCAAAAUGAUGCCCAACAUUAGUGCCAGGAUUAAGGAACUUUUCACUGCAAAGAAGUGAAUAGCUACGUGGAUGAAGUUAUGGGCCAUGCAGAAAUUCACACUUCACUCUCUCUUGAUUUGUACUCAAAAGUCGCCACCAACCUUCAAUUAUAUGGACUCAUGGAUUCAAUAUUUAGGCUUACAAUUGGACCUUCACAAAGCAAUUGGAGCACUCCAAGCUGCAAAAAAUGUCUCUUCUCUGUGACAUCUGCAGGUGGGCUAGAAGAAGGUUAUGCAUAGAUGGUCUAUGUGCGUGUGCUUACUAAAUGCAUACAAAAUGUAUAAGAACUGAGAUUCCUAUGUUUUUUCCUUUUUAAUUUUAAUAAUUAUGUUAGAUGUUUGCUUGGUAGUUAAGAUGUUUUGGUUUUGGACUGUUACGCUUUGUUAGAACUUAAAAGUAAACAAUUGUUUAGGCUGUAUUUUUUUUUACAGUGUUUUCACCUUUGAAAAUCCGGGUAGAGAAAACCCGGAAAAACCCGUGCCCGGAUAGUGCCGGGCAUGUACCCGGCCUGUAUAAAAAAAAUUCCGGACACGGUGCGGGUUCGGGUAGUUACGUGUGACAUCCGGGUCGGUCCCGGGCAGCCUCAAACCCAGACCCGACCCGGACUUUUGCCAUCUCUACUCCACUGGCCACUGCAACCUAAAAUAGUUUUUCACUUUAAUAACCCAAAAGCUUUCCUCUGUUUCAACUAAGCGAAAAUUUACAUAUUAAAGCCUGGCUCAAAUUCCUUUUUUCAAUCGAAAUUAAACGUAGCCACAAAACCCUAAUUCACCACACCAAUUUAUCUCUGCCCGGUAUUCAUUUAAACCCUACCUCGCGGUUCAAUGUCAUUCAAUACGAUUGCAGAUGCUGUUUCAACUUGUCAUUUAGUUAGCGCCAUCCAGUUCUCUAUGGUAAGCCUUAACCCUAACAACUAAUCGACUGCGGUAGCACGUUGCUUGUUAGGAGUGGGGAUACAUUAUUUGAAUAUAUGAAUUGGGUGAUGUUAGUGAUUCAUUCCCCUAUUUGUCGUGAAUUGAGAUUUGUGCAUAAUGCUAGUAAGAUUGCUAAAAAUUUCAUAUUUUGUAUUGUUCCAGUUGAAUUUCUUGCUUGUGGAAGAUAAAACAAAAGUUCAAUUUCAUGUUGAUUUAAUUCUUCUUUUCCUUCUUUUUAUUUUUCUUCUUUAUAGUCACGCUCUGGCUUUGGUGCUAUGCUUAGUGCAGUUUAUGGUUUCAAGAUUAAGUCAUGUUUAUUUGAUGGCAUCGAUUCCAUCGUUGAGGAUUGGAUUGUUGAUCAAAUGCACAUAGUAAGCUCUUCUUAUUUUAUCUCAAUUUUAAUUUUCUUUUAUUAUCUGCCUCUACCUGAAAAUGGACGUGUUUUACUAGUAAGCAUAGACCUUGUUUAUUUAAUUGAUAUUUUAAUUUUAUGUAUAAGAAUGGAGGUUUAUUUUGGAAAAAAAAAGAAAUAAAAAAAAUACUCUGUUGAAGCUAAUUAGUACUGAAUUUUUUUUGGUGGUGCGACCAGAGGUGGAAACAGGGUAUGAAAAUGUGUUACUGGUGAGGCUGCUGCUUAAGAUGAGAAUGCAUUCUUUUCAAAAAUCCUUGGAAGGUGUGAUCUAAUUAUAUUUGAUGGAAUAUUAAAUGGCUAAAAAUCUGUCAUACGUUCAAACUUUGUUUGUGUUUAGAAGAAUGGUGUUGACUGUAUAUUCGUUUGGAAGAAUGGUGUUGAUUGUAUAUUCAUUUGCUUAGCCUUUUGACAGAUGGAUUUGGAACUGACGAUAAAUGUGAUUCAAUUUACAAGGUUUUCGAGGGGCUCACAGUGGAAGGGAUAUUGAAGAACUGGUCGAAGUUAAAGCCUAUGAUUGUGAAAGAUUGGAGUGAGAAUAUAGAUGCUCAUUUAAAUCUUUUUGGCAAGGUCAGAGAUGAAUGGAUAGAUAAGGAUUUAUUUGACAACUUGGACUGGUGCUAAUAGGUAUUUUAAGCAAGCUUUUUGAGAUAACACUGAGCAAGUUAUACUACUAUUUUGCACAUGAUGAUCAAAACUCUCGAAAAGUAAAUAAAAUAAAGUAUUAACUUUUACUUUCAUCUUUUGCAUAGCAAUCAAUGUGGUGCUUGUUCUGUGACAACUUUGAUAAUCUACUUAAUUACUGGUUAGCAUUUGGACCAAAAAAGUUCUUAUGAUUUACAUGUUUUGUAGAAAUGCAUGAACCUUAAAUGUGCUGAUCAGGGAGUUUAAUUAUUGCACCUUGAAAUUCAUUUACUGUUAACUAAUUGGCUUUCCUUUGCAUAAAGCCGCUUAUAAGGCUUGAGUGGACGUCUUUAUGGGCAUAUUUUUUGUAUUUCUCGAUGCAUGCCUUUAUCAUUUAAUGUGGUGCUCGUAUUUCUUUAUGCAUGCCUUUAUCAUUUAAUGGCCAGCUCCCUUUCCUCUUUUGUAAUUUGAAUAGUAGUAUGGGCCUCCAUUUUACAAAUCUUUAACAUUUUUUGCUGUAAAUUAAUUUUUCUUUCAAAUAUUUUGGAGGUCAUUGGAAUUCCUGUAGGUCUAUUUACCAGAUUUUAGUAUGUUUAAGGUUAUAAUUUUGCUUAGACUUUAAUUUUUCUGAAAGAUUGUAGUAUUGAUCCUUAAAGUAAGAUCAUGCUACUUCAAAUUAUUUUGAAGUGUUGCUAGUUAUAGCCUUACAUAUCAAAUUCCAGUUGUCUGGAAAUUUAUUGAUAGCUGUUACAGCAGCAUAUUUUAUGACUCUACUUCUUAGUUAUGUAAGUUCAUUAUGUUUAGGUCAGAGGCAGUCAGCUGUGGGGAAUCGAUUUAUACACAGAUGACUUUGAUCUUGUUGCUGGUAUGUGGUUCUAUGAAUAAUUGUUCACAAUAAUUGUGUUUGCCUCACUGUUUUUGUUUUAUGAGAUCUAUAAUUGAUCUUGGGAUAUUACUUUUUAGUUCUCAUGCAGGCAAGUUACUACCUUCCCACUGCAUCUCCUCCUUUAUCUGCUACUCAAGAGUUGCGUGCCAUAAUCUGGUAUUACCUCUGCAAGAUUGUGAAUGAAUAUGAUGCCUCUAAAUUUAUUUUAUACAUAAUGCUAAUGCUGAAUAAUAUAUUGUAGCUCCUGUCAUAUUCUACUUUGACUUUUUAUAUUCCGUUUCAAAUAAAAAUCUUAUUCAACUUUAGUUGUUCAUGAGCAAAUGUCACAUGUAUAAGCCCAAAUGAUGUUUAAAGGUAGCGCCGCUACCUUCAGUUUGAGCUUACAAUGGGUGAAAAAGAAAUUGAAACUGAUAUUUUGCGGUUUUUCUUAUUUUUCAAAGUAUUUUAGAUCAUGACUUUUGUUUGGACUUGAUGGUUAUAGAUUGUGUCUAGAUUUGUUAAGUCGUUUCCAACACCUCGUGCCAAAUCAAAGCACAAUCUUUCUGAUUCAGAUGUUUUGUUAAUUGUGCUUCAUUUUUUCGUUAAAGGUUGGAUGGUUGAAUGGAUUGAUGGAGUUGGAGUUCAACCAAUAAUUCUAAUUUUUUGGACUUAAAAUGCCUUUUUCUUCUGUAUAAAAGCUUUAGUAAGUGCUAUUGAGUUGACAGAAGUUGAAUACUUACAGGUUGUUUCACACUUUUUAAUAGUUUUACAUAUAUGAAUUUCUGUUUUUUGAAUUGCAGAAAGGAGGUGGAACUAUUGAUUUGGAGCCUUAUCUUACUCACUCAUCAACAACGGAGCCUACCCUCGCUCCUAUGGCAGUGGAACGGACAAUGACUACUAGGGCUGCAACAUCAGUUGGUUCGGGUCUGUUUUGAUAGCGAAUUUUGAUAUGUCAAUAUAAUGUGUAAUUGUUUUGGGUUGAGCUGGUAAUUAUGCUGGAUUAGAUUGGUUUGGUUUUGGUGCUUCGCUGAUGGAACACUGGUUUUUUAGAAAAUUUGAAUGUAAUAUGAGACUACAUUUAGUUUAAUUGAACACUGCAUCUAGUCUAAUUACUAGAAGUGUGGCAUUUGGUUUGGUUUAUCCGAUAUUCUCCAGAAUUUCACUUGCAUCUGGUUUUGUUGCAUAUGUUUGCUUGCAUUUGAUGGCAGUAGCAGACUGUUUGGUUUUGUGGCAUUUGAUGGCAGUUUGGUCUGUUCUUGGUGCUGAUUUACGAUUGUUCCUGAUGUGUUGAUGUUAAUUGCAGGUGCUUGAAUCAGCUAGGGUUGCUGGUUUUUUCAGAUGGUUGACUCAGGCGUUGUUACUGGUUGAUUCAGGUGGCUGGCUCAAGUUGUUCAUUUAAUGUUAGGAAGCAAAUUAAGAAUUAAUGAAGUAUUCAUUUAACUAUAAUUAUUGUAGUUAUUUUAUUUCAUAACUGAAUUAUAAUCUAUGAUACUUGUGAACAAAUUAGAGAAUUUUUAUAUAUAAAUUAUAUAUAUGUGUGUGUAUGUACAUUUUGCUUUUUAUAUAAUAAUUUAAAGAAUAUAUUUCAAUUCCCACAAAAAAAUGGCCCCAAUUUCAAUAAUUCCUGCCAAAUAAUUAAUUUUUUUUAAUUUACCGCCAAAAUAUAUCUUAAAGAAAUGUUAGUUAUUCUUGCUAGAUUUAACAAAAAUAAUUUAUAGGAUUAACAUUUAAUUAAAAUAAUUAAAUAAUUUUACUAUUUCAAUUAAAUGUCAUGUUUAUAUCACAGACAAUAGUCAUGAAUGGGAAGUAUUAGUUACAUAUUUUUCCUUGUAGUUAUUUUAUUUCAUAACUGAAUUAUAAUCUAUGAUACUUGUGAACAAAUUAGAGAAUUUUUAUAUAUAAAUUAUAUAUAUGUGUGUGUAUGUACAUUUUGCUUUUUAUAUAAUAAUUUAAAGAAUAUAUUUCAAUUCCCACAAAAAAAUGGCCCCAAUUUCAAUAAUUCCCGCCAAAUAAUUAAUUUUUUUUAAUUUACCACCAAAAUAUAUCUUAAAGAAAUGUUAGUUAUUCUUGCUAGAUUUAACAAAAAUAAUUUAUAGGAUUAACAUUUAAUUAAAAUAAUUAAAUAAUUUUUCUAUUUCAAUUAAAUGUCAUGUUUAUAUGACAGACAAUAGUCAUGAAUGGGAAGUAUUAGUUCCAUAUUUUUCCUUGGGAUUUCAGGCAAAUGAAAAAAAGAUUGAGAAUGAUUUCAAGAGGACAGGUGGAUGAUAAGUAUUCAUUUUUGUAUAUUUGGCUAAUGUCCUCAUUAGUGGAUUUUUAUGGUAUUGAUUUUUUUUUUUUUGGUUUAUAAUUUUCAAUUAGUUGUUACCCUAGAGGAAGAGCAGGCUGAUCAAAUUGAUUUGUCUUAUUUUUCCGGCAAUCUGCGACACGAUGACUGUGAUAAUGCUCGUGACUGCUGGAAACUUUCUGGUGGAAAUAACUUUAGAGUUCGUAGCAAGCAUUUUUGUUAUGACAAAACAAAGGUUCCCCCAUAUUUUGGUUGUUUGUUAUGGUAUUUAUAUAUCCUGCAUAUGCUAGGUCGACAGGUUAUGAUGUAGUUUGGUUGGCUCUUGUGCUUUGUGCAAUUUGUAACUGCAGAUACCUGCGGGAAAACAUUUAAUGGAUCUUGUUGCUGUUGAUUGGUUCAAAGACACAAAGAGAAUGGACCAUGUAGCUCGGCGUCAAGGCUGUACUGCACAAGUAACUGAAGAAAAAUGUGAAUUGGUUCCUCUUUUUCUUACUUUCCAGAACAGUAUGUACAGGGAAUAUAUACAGCAAAAUAGGAGAGAAAAUAGGAGACUACAUCUAUCCUUUCCUAAAUAAUAGGAAACAAAAUCUGGAAAGAAUCCUAAUGAAUCUUCCCAUUAUAAUUUAACUUAUUCCUAAAAUAGCCUAGAUUACAAAUAAAUCAUAACUUUGAAUCUUUAUUUUCAACACUCCCCCUCAAGCUAGUGUGUGUAUAUCAUACAAACCCAGCUUGUUACUUAAGUCUUCAAAGUUAGGUCUUGGCAGUGCUUUAGUAAGGAUGUCUGCAAUUUGUUGUCUAGUUGGAAUGUACUUUAGUUCCACACUUCCACUAGUGACCUUCUUUGAGAUGAAGUGCCUAUCAAUCUCGACAUGUUUGGUUCGAUCAUGAUGCACUGGAUUUUUUGCGAUGCUGAUUGCUGCUUGAUUGUCACACCUCAUUAGAAUGGAUGAAGGGUUGCACACACCGAGUUCUUUGAGUACACGCUUUAUCCAAAUUCCUUCACAGAUUCCAUUUGCCAAAGCUCUGAACUCUGCUUCUGCACUACUCCUAGCUACAACUGAUUGUUUCUUACUCCUCCAGGUUACUAGAUUUCCCCAGACAUAGGAACAGUAAGCAGAUGUUGAUAUUCUAUUUGUGAUGUCUCCAGCCCAGUCUGCAUCAGAGUAGAUCUCAAUAUUCCUAUAUUCUGAUUUCUUGAAAAACAAUCCUUUUCCAGGUGUCAUCUUUAGAUACUUCAAAAUUCUAAAGACUGCAUCCAUGUGUUCCUCUGUAGGAUUGUGCAUGAAUUGGCUCACAGCACUAACAACAAAGCCUAUGUCCGGACGGGUAUGUGAGAGAUAAAUUAAACGACCAACCAGUCUUUGAUAUCUCUCUCUAUUGACUGGAACACUAUUCUCAACUGAGCCUAGUUUCUUGUAGGGAUCCAUAGGAGUAUCUACUGGUUUGCACCCAAUCAUACCAGUCUCCUUUAGUAAGUCCAGGGUGUAUUUCCUUUGGGAGACAACAAUUCCCUUCCUAGAUCUUGCCACCUCCAUCCCAAGAAAAUAUUUCAGAUUCCCUAGAUCUUUAACUUCGAAUUCCUGAGCUAGCUGUUUCUUCAACUUCUGCAGUUCUUCCUCAUCAUUUCCUGAGAGAAUGAUGUCAUCAACAUAUACGAUUAGGAGAGAGAUCUUCUUUGCUUGUGAUGUUCGGAGGAAUAGAGUGUGAUCUGCCUGACACUGAGUGUAACCAAGUCUCACAACUGCCUUCGCAAAUCUAUCAAACCAUGCUCGAGGGGAUUGUUUAAGCCCAUACAAAGAUUUCUUGAGCUUGCACACUUUAUUUCUAGUAAGAUUCAGAUCAAGACCCUGGGGAACUUCCAUAAACACUUCUUCUUCAAGAUCGCCAUUGAGAAAUGCAUUUUUUAUAUCUAGUUGGUAUAAGUACCAAUCUAGAUUUACUGCUAAGGAGAGCAAGAUUCUAAUGGUGUUGAGCUUCGCAACCGGAGCAAAGGUUUCAAGAUAAUCAAUCCCAUAUGACUGUGUGAACCCUUUAGCUACAAGACGAGCUUUGAGCCUCUCAACACUUCCAUCUGCCUUGUAUUUAACAGUAAAAAUCCACUUACAUCCAACUGGUCGUUUCCCUGCAGGAAGAUUUGUUAUAACCCAUGUAUCAUUUUUCUCAAGAGCAUUUAUUUCUUCAUGAACAGCUCUCUUCCACUCAGGAUGACCGAGAGCCUCUUGUAUAUUGUUGGGAACAUGUAGAUUAUCUAAAGAAGAAACAAAGGCUCGGUAUGAUGGGGACAAACCAUCAUAUGAGACAUAUUUGGCAAUUGGAUGAGUGGUGCAACUUCGAACCCCCUUUCUUUCUGCAAUUGAUUUAUUAGAAUCAUCCACACUUGGAACCAUGAACUCAACCGAGGCAAGACUAUCCAUACCUGUGUUGUCUUCAUAAGAGCUUGGAUUUGGUUCAGUUUCUUGGACAUGUGGCUGAGUUCUGUGCUCUAUCUGCUCUCCAGUUCUUCUCCUCCUAUAAACAUUAAGAUUAUCAACAGCAAGCUGUGGAAGAGGUGAGAUUAGAGGUUGUAGUUGAUGAGCUGAUGGAUGACGGGGUGACUCGGCUGGUUGUGGUUGGGAGGACUCAGAUGACUCAAAAGGUUGUGAAGAUGUUGGGAGGAUUGCUGAUUGUGGCUGUUGGAUAGAUUGAUCAUGUGUGGUGGUUGAGUUAUGAGGGUUUUCAUGAGGGGUUUCCAGCCAAGAUUGCCAAGAAGAUUCCCAAGGCUGAUGUUCGCUCAUACUCUCUCCCUGAACAACAGUUUUGGAAUAGAAAGGCAGGUUUUCAACAAAUGUUACAUCUCUGGAAAUGUAUAUUUUUCUGGUAUGAGGAGAAUAGCAUUUGUAUCCUUUUUUAUGUGGAGAAUAGCCUAAAAAUAUACACUUGAGAGAUCGGGGAUCAAGUUUAGUCCUGUGUUGAGAGUGAACAUGGACAUAUGCUGUGCAACCGAAUAUUUUUUGUGGUAAAUCUGCUGAAACAAUCCUAGUGUGUGGAAAGAAAUUGAGAAGAACUUUUCUUGGGCAAUGAAACCCCAAGACUCUAGAAGGCAUUCGGUUGAUUAAGUAGGCUGUAGUGAGAACAGCUUCACCCCAGAAAAAAUUAGGAACAUGAGAUGAGAACAAAAGACAGCGAGCCACUUCAAGAAGGUGUCUGUUUUUGCGUUCAGCGACCCCAUUUUGUUGUGGGGUGUCAACACAAGAACUGAUGUGAAGAAUGCCUUGAUGGAGAAGAUAUGAGCUGAGGGAGUCUUUGAAAUAUUCCUUGGCAUUGUCGGUUUUAAGGACUUGGAUUUUGGUAUUGAAUUGGGUUUGAAUCAUGGCGUUAAAGUUUUGGAAGAUUUGACUAACUUCGGAUUUGUUUUUCAUGAGAAACACCCAAGUGAGACGAGUAUGAUCAUCCACAAAUGACAAAAACCAGCGAGCCCCAGAAACAUUUUUAAUUCUUGAGGGACCCCACACAUCAUUGUGAAUUAAAGCAAAUGGACGAGAAGGCUUAUACUUAACGCUUGAAUAAACAUUUCGAGUAUGUUUUGCAAAUUGACAAAUUUCACAAUGAAAUGAUAAAGGGUUUUUAUUGAUGAAUAGAUUGGGAAAAAUUUUUGCGAGAUACAUGAAACUAGGAUGACCUAAUCGAUAGUGUAACAGAACAAUUUCACUAUCGUUAUUGACAUUUGGACUAACAAUAGAAUGAGGAUAACUAGUUGACAGACUAUUGGACUUGGCACAGUUUGCUCUCGAAUCUUGUAUGAAGGAGGAUUGAUCGCUUUUGAGUAGAUAGAGUCCAGAACAUAGCUCAGCACUGCCAAUCGUCUUCGCGAAUCCAAGUCCUGAAAAACACACAUAUUUGGAUAGAAUUUAGUUACACAAUUCUGAUCACGAGUGAAUUUACUGAUUGAAAGUAAAUUGCAAGCCAAAUUAGGCACAUAAAGUACAGAAUUAAGGUGUAACUCCUUAGUGAGUCUGAUGGAACCUGUCCCUGCUAUAUUGUGUGAGAGCCAUCUGCGAUCCGGACUGAAGUGCUGUUGAUGCUAGCUUUAUAAUCCUGCAACAUUGAGGCAUCUCCAGUCAUGUGAUCAGAAGCACCAGUGUCAAUUAUCCAGGGUUUGCUUGCUCCAUUAGUGGCUGCAAAUGCUGAAUGAGUCUCUUUCUAAGCCACUAGACUUGUCCCUGCAUUGGAGUUCAAAGUGGCUUGAUCGAAAAGCUUUUGAAGAAUCUCCAUUUGCUCCUUGCUGAAUGGAUUUGGCUCGGGUAGGGCCUGAUUGUCCGUGGUGGAUGCUGCAUGAGCACGAGAUUCACGGUCACCUUUGGAACGAGGUUUCCAAUCAGCAGGUUUGCCAUAAAUUUUCCAGCAACUCUCCUUAUAGUGGCCUGCCUUACGACAGUGAUCGCACCAUGGUCUUUCUUUCUUUGUACGAUUUUCACUAACCCCUACAGAGUUGGAUGCACGGGCAACAAGUGCAGAGGCGCCCAGUGUUGGUUCUGAUGACCCCAUCAUCACCUUUUUCCUACUUUCUUCAUGCCUAACUUCAGAAAAGGCUUCACGAGGGCGCGGUAGAGGCUUUGUCCCGAGUACACGGCUCCUAACCUGAUCAAGAUCUUUAUUGAGUCCGAGGAGAAAUUUAAACGUUCUCUUCUGUUCCACAAUCUUCUUGUACAAGGUUGUAUCGUCGGUGCACUUCCAAGGGUAUGUUUCAAAUAGAUCAAGGUGUUGCCAAUGCCUAGUCAGAGUAUUAAAGUAUUGAGUGACAGAUUGUUCUCCUUGGCGGAAGUCAUGGAGGAUGGUUUCAAUCUGGAAUAACUCUGAUGUGUUCUCAGAGCUAGAAUAGGUUUCCUUUGCAGCAUCCCAUAUGUCAUUUGCAGUCCCAAACAGAAGAAAAUUCUCACCAAUAUCAUUGUUCAUGGAAUUGAUAAGCCAUGACAUGAUCAUGUUGUUCUCUGACUNNNNNNNNNNNNNNNNNNNNNNNNNNNNNNNNNNNNNNNNNNNNNNNNNNNNNNNNNNNNNNNNNNNNNNNNNNNNNNNNNNNNNNNNNNNNNNNNNNNNNNNNNNNNNNNNNNNNNNNNNNNNNNNNNNNNNNNNNNNNNNNNNNNNNNNNNNNNNNNNNNNNNNNNNNNNNNNNNNNNNNNNNNNNNNNNNNNNNNNNNNCACGUAACAGAGGUUGAUGAGGAAGCCAUCCCGUAUUUUGCCACAGAGAAUACAACUGAUGGGAGAGGAAGGAAGGUAGAUUGUUCAAUUUAUGAGAGAAGAAGGAAAUGGCGGCUGAUAGGAGAACUAGGGUUUAGAGCCAGGCUCUGAUACCAUGAAGAAAAAUGUGAAUUGGUUCCUCUUUUUCUUACUUUCCAGAACAGUAUGUACAGGGAAUAUAUACAGCAAAAUAGGAGAGAAAAUAGGAGACUACAUCUAUCCUUUCCUAAAUAAUAGGAAACAAAAUCUGGAAAGAAUCCUAAUGAAUCUUCCUAUUAUAAUUUAACUUAUUCCGAAAAUAGCCUAGAUUACAAAUAAAUCAUAACUUUGAAUCUUUAUUUUCAACAGUAACUAUUCUUUUCUUUUUAUUUUUCCUUUUCUGAAAGAAACUUAGUUUUGUAUUGUUUGGCAAGCUAGAAAAUGAAAGAAAAUAAAAGAAAGCGCUGUAAAGAAGUUUGUAGAACCUUUAUUACUCUAGCAUUACAACUGAAUGAAUACAGACUGAUAUUUCUAUUAAGCUACAAUUUUCUCAACACACACACAAGUUUGUUACAUCACAUAACCAUUUGCUGCAUAACUAAUUUGACACAUCAGCUCAACCAGCUAACUAACUUUGCCAGGUCAAGCCUAGUGAGUUGAUCUGCUAAAGUCAGCUACACAGCAACAUCAUGCUCUGCUCCAACUUCAUUCAAUUCACUAACAUCCCCCCUCAAGCUGAAAUGUUUAGGAUGAACAUUCAGCUUGCUUCUUAAGUAACUAAACUGUUUGAGAGUAAGCCUUAGUCAACACAUCUGCUGUUUGAUCUUGACUGGGCACAAAACAUACUUCAAUCUCUUUUGCAGUAACUUUAUCUCGAAUAAAAUGUAUAUCCAAUUCGACAUGCUUAGUUUUAGCAUGAUAGACUGGAUUGUAAGCUAAAGCAAUUGCUUCUUGAUUAUCACACCACAUCAUAGGAGUAGAGCUCAAUUUGAUGUUAAGUUCACCAAGUAAAGAUUGUAUCCAGGGAACCUCUGAAGCAGCAUGAGCAAGAGAUCUAUACUCAGCCUCUGUGCUGGACCUGGAAACAACAACUUGUUUCUUUGAUGACCAUGAGACUAGAUUAGGGCCUAGGUAAACAGCAAAGCCAGCCACUGACUUCUUAUCAUCACGAUCACAAGCCCAAUCAGAAUUUGAAAAACAAUGUAGUUGCAAAGUUCCUUUGUUAUUAAAUUGCAGCCCAAGAUGUAUAGUGCCUUUUAAGUACCUCAAUAACCUUUUGCAUGUUUCCCAAUGUUGUGUUCUAGGACUUGAAAUGAAUUGACUUAGGUUGUUUACAGAGAGAGCAAUGUCAGGUCUGGUAAGAGUAACAUAUUGAAGAGCUCCUAUAACACUCCUAUAUUGAGAAACAUUAUCAAUUAGCUCUCCUGAUUCUUUUGUGAGAUAAUAACCAGUAGACAUUGGAGUAGGCACAGGACUGCAAUCUGUCAUGCCAUGUUUAUCCAGAAUGUCAGUAAUAUACUUUGCUUGUGUCAAGGAAACCCCUUGUGAAGACUUGCUGACUUCAAUCCCCAGAAAAUAGCUAAGUUCCCCCAUGUCUUUUAAAGCAAAGGCUUGAUUCAUAAUCUUAAUAACUUGCUGAAUUAGUGUUGGACUGGAACUAGUGAUGAUAAUAUCAUCAACAUAGACCGAAACAAGAGUUAGAUGACCACUGUUCCAGGCAUGAAACAGAGAGUUAUCAGACCUUGAAUGCUAGAAAUGCCGUUUAGAGAUCAUUGCAUCCUUGAAUCUAUCAAACCAGGCUCUAGGUGCCUGUUUUAAGCCAUACAAAGCUUUAUUCAGCUUGCAGAUAUGAUUAGGUUUAGUUGAGUCAACAAAACCUUCAGGUUGAGCCAUGUACACCUCUUCAAUUAAAAUGCCAUUUAGAAAGGCAUUAUUAACAUCUACUUGCCUAAUCACCCAUUGAUUCAAUACUGCUAAGCUAAGAAUAACUCUAACAGUUGAAGCUUUAACUACUGGACUAAAAGUUUCUGUAUGGUCAAUCCCAUGUGUCUGAUGAAACCCCUUUGCAACAAGCCUGACUUUAUAUCUUGAAACUGAACCAUCUGAGUUAUACUUUAUUCGAAACACCCAUUUGCUGCCAACUAUCUUCACUGGAGUAGCAUGUAAAACUAAAUCCCAGGUGUGAUUAGUUUUAAGUGCUAGAUACUUUUCUUGCAUAGCCUUAUACCACAUAGGAUCAGAAAGUGCUUGGGAAACAGAAGUUGGUUCUGAUUUCUGGGCUAAUAAAGCUGACAAAUAAAUUUUUGGCUUGAAAAUACCUGCUUUUGACCUGGUUAUCAUUGGAUGACCAGUUGAUGCAGGUUGUGGCAAUGUAUGUGGAGGUGAAUUAUGUGGUAGUGAAGAAGAAGAAGCUGAGUUGGAAUUAUCAGAAAAAUAAAGUGGAGUAGAAUUUGGUGAGGGAGUAGGAGCAUCUGAAUGAUGAACAUUUUGAUGGUGUUCUGAUGAUGCUGCUAAAGGUGCUUGUAACUGAGUAAUAGAAGGAACAGAGGAAUUGAAAGAAGACUUAUAAUUUUUUGUUGACUAACAACUUGAAGAGAGUGAAGAAAAAUCUGCUCCAGACUCAUAAGGAAAAGAAUUUUCAUCAAAGGUGACAUGAUUUGAAAUGUAAACCCUCUUAGAAGAGUGAAGACACUGAUAUCCCUUGUGUUGUGAAUUGUAGCCAAUGAAUAUACAUCUGGCAGUUCUGAAAUCAAACUUAUGUCUAUUGUAUGGUCUGAGUGUUGGAUAACAAGCACAACCGAAGGUUUUAAGUGUUGAAUAAUCUGGUUGAUGAUGAAAUAACUUUUGGAAAGGAGAAAUGUUGUUUAGAAUUGGAGUUGGAAGUCUGUUUAUCAAAUAGACAGCUGUGUGGAAUGCAUUCCACCAAAAUUUGAGUGGUAAAUGUGCUUGAGCUAAUAAGGUCAGACCUACAUCAACUAUGUGUCUAUGUUUCCUCUCAAUUCUUCCAUUUUGAUGAUGAAUAUGUGGGCAAGGGUGUCUAAAAUGGAUACCAGAAGCAGUGAGUAAUGAGGAAAAUGUUCUGAACUCUUCUCCCCAAUCAGUUUGGACAGUUUUGAUUUGAAGUUGAAGAUGCUUUUCAAUAAAAAUUUUGAAAUUGGUAAACACUUCAAGAGCAUCAGAUUUGGCUGACAAUGGAAAUAUCCAGGUAAAUCUACUAUAAUCAUCUAAGAUUGAUAAGUAGUAAUUAUAUCCUUGGGUAGAACAGACAUGAGAAGGACCCUGAUGGCUGUCGAAGCCAACAAAAAUAAAUUCCUACUCUAAAUAAAUUGUGUAUAGUGAUUGAGCAGGGUCGUGUCCACAGAGAUCGAUAAUUAUUUAAAUCCUUUUGAAACGUAAAACGUAAAAUGGGGGAAUUGUUGACAAUAAUAAAAAUCAAAUUAAAAAUAACAAGAAUGCAAAUUAAAGUUGUAAUUUAAAUUGGAGAAAGCUCUGGUUGAAGGAAUUAACUCAGCUUGAUUCGACUACUGAUCAUUGAUUCAAAUAUAGAUUAUUAUUACUCAUGAAUAGACCGGUUAUAGCUACUGAGACCCUCUAAUAGCCAAUCUCUCCUUAACUAGUCGAUAACCAAGGUACGACCGUUGGUUAUUUCCCUAAUCAAUAGACAACCCUAGAUACGAUCAUAGAAUUUAAUCAAUUGACAGCCUGAAAAACCAGAGAGACCCAAAUCCUAAUCAACACAUAUGAUGAUUCAUUUAAAUUAGAUUGUUUAUUCUCACAACACAACUCUCUGCUAUGUUAUUAGUCACAAGCAUUAAAUUCUUCAUACGAUGAAUCCUUUAAUUGACAAUAGAUUAAGUUGAUAAUUAAAUAGUGGCCAAUUACCUAAUUAACAAACAUAAUCAUGAAAAUAAUUCAGAGAAUAAACAAAUACCCAAAAAGUAAUAAAACAAUUAAAGCACAAGAAAGAUCUCACAGUAGUGAUGAAUCAAAGCUUCAUUAACCUUCAACCAGAAAAAUGGGUUUAGUUUCUCAUAGAGAGAAGAGAAAAAUUAGAUCUAGGGUUUCUUUUUCUCCAAUCCAAAAUUCCCCCCUUUCACAAUAGAUUCCUCCCUUAAAUACUCUCUCUCUCUUCUCCUCUAGAAUUCUAUUUAAAAUAAAAUACUAAUAUCUGAAAUAUUAAAUUCGUAAUUACAAAAAUAACCAAAAAUACAAAACACGUUAAACUAAAAACUGCAGGUCCGCAGUUGACAGCACGCGCCCACGCCUUAUCAAUAAAGUUCUUCUGCCGCUCAUAAUUUCUCCAAGAGAACAAUCAUCCUUAAAAAUCAUCUUGUAGCUCAAUUUUAUCACCAAUCAAUAGAAUUGCACCUACAAAAGUAAAACACAAGUAAAUCAUUAUUAUUAAGUGCAAAACAUCGAUAUUAAGGGAAGUAAACAAUGCAAAACUAGUGCAUAAAUUGCACUCUAACAAAUUCCCCCACACCAAGAUGAUGCUUGUCCUCAAGCAUAUAACUCAAGAUUAAUCCCAAAUCUCCACUCAAUUCUCAUCUCAACUCAUCCAAAAAUAGAAAUUAAGUCGAUCAACAUUCGAGAGACAAGGAUUUUAAAGCAUAGAAUCUCAUAAGAUAGAAUAAGAACAUUCAACCACCAAGAAGAUCCAUUCAAAAUUCAAGUGCAACAAGAUGUAAUAGCCCUCUCAAUAACUUCACUCCAUGCACUCAAAGUGUUUAGGGUGUCAUUUAUCCACUCAAAUCAAAUCAAAGAAUGCUAUUACCAUAAGCUUGCUCAUAUAUCACAUCUCAAUCCACAAAACAUGAAUAAAAUGCAAAAAUCUAAGGGUCUUAAAAGGAUUGUAAUGGGGUUAAAUGGGUUAAAUGAAAAAGAAAGGUUUACGAAAGAAAAAGAGAUCAAAAUGAGAAGAAUGAACUCAUUGAAUGAACUUAUGAUAUCAAAAUGCUUAUUUCUACUCAAGUCACCAAGAAUGUAAACAUUUUUUUUUUCGAUUUUUCUUUUUCUUUUUUUUUCUUUUUCCUUUUCUUUUUCUUUUUUUUUUUCAUUUUUUCAUUUUUUUUUGUUUUUUGUUUUUUGUUUUUUUCGAAUCAAACAAAAGAAACGAACCUUGCACAAUUUAAUUCAAGCAUAAUGCUUGUUGAUCUAAUUGAGAAACUUCAAUACAAGGUAGAAAAAGCAACAAAAUAUAUCCACACAAUGAGUCCAAAAAUCUCCUUAAAUUGAGGCUCAAAAAGAAGAAAAAUGGUUAAGUAGACGGAGAGAAUUAGAUGGGUAAUGGUUAAGGCUCAAACAAAGGUAGCAAAUAAAGGUCUUCGGGUAGAGAAAAAGGAAAAUGCGAGAAUAGAAAAAUGGUAAAUGGUUUGCCCUUAUCAUUUUAAUGCCUAAAAUCCCGUAAUGUGGCUUCAAUAUGCAUAACAAAGCAAAUUCUAGAAUAAACAAACUAGGAUUGAUAUUCACAUAACAAAAAUAAUUAGAGCAAAGUGGUUGCUCAUAGGCUCAAAUCCUCACAAAGUUGGUAAAUUUGCCAUCAAAUCAUGUACACUCUUCAAAUGAAUCAACCAUCAAUAGUGGUGUAGAAUGAGAAGAAGGUAUGAGUGAUAUAUAAAAGAAAAGGUAAAAAUUAUAAGAAGUGAGAAAGAUGUAUGUAGUAAUAUGAAAAGUGAAAGAUAAAAUGUGAGUGAUGAAAGAGUAUGGUAAAAUAAAAAUAGAUAUGAAUAGUUUGAGAUAGAUGGGAAAAAAGUAGUGAGAAAGAAAAGAAAAGAAAAUUAAUAAUAUAUGAAGCAUACUAACUCCAAAAUCAUUUAAGGAUGAGUAGAGUGAAAAUAGAUGAGUAGAGUGAAAAUAAUAAUUCCAGACAUCAAUAAUGCAAAAAUCCCUCCCCCACACCAAGAACUUACAUUGUCCCCAAUGUAAGAUAAUCAAAGCUCACAUAAAAAUUAAAGCGUAAGGAUAAAAGAUUAAGGGCAAAAAAAAAAACUUCCCUGAAUUGUGAGCUUUGAUCCACAUAACGUCUAUGGGCUUGGCGGAAAUGGUGGGGUAAAUCCCACACUCUCGAAGUAUGCGGCCAAAUUCUGCUCCAUCUUGUUCAGCUUGUGCUCCAUUUUCUCUAACUGAAUACUCAAAGGUGGUGCGGAUGUAGAAGGAAUAGUUGGCGGGGCAGCAGUGUCGUCGUCAAACUCGUCAUCAGAGGUAGCACCACUCCUAGCAUAAAGCUUCUUCGGAAGUUGAGUGGGUCCUGGUUCAGUAAACUGAAAUCUCCCCUCCUUGAAUUCAACCACACCUGUUCUUUCAAACACAGACAUAUCCAAAAAUUCCUUUUUGCAAGCAGGAUGCAAAUCAUUAUUGUCGGGAUCAAGAACACAUAGGUUUAUAGCUAACAGAGUAAUGUAUGGACCAAGAAAUAAAGUCCUAUACCGUUUAAGCACAUUUUGAAAUUGAUCCGCUAACCAAAAACCUAAAUUAGGCCUCACAUCAUUUAACAUGCACCAGAUAAAAUAAAAUUCAGUUUUAGAGAAAAUUCCCGAGUGAUCUUUCUUGCCUAAAAAAUUAUAUGCUAAGAAUCGAUGCACACAUUUCAAAACAGGAUCACGUAAGAAAGAACUCUUUGAUUUACUCGGGUCAUAGGCAUUGUGAUCAACAGAUAAAUUACGCCAAAGACCAUAAGGCUCAAAAUUUUCGCUAAAGUCACAAGUUGUUCCUAAAUAUGCAUCACUAGAAGAAUAAUCAUCAUCAAUGAAUCCUAAAGCUAGGUUAAAAUCCGUGAUAGAGUGUGAAAAAUUUCGUCUCAUUAACCUAAACUUAAUGACAUUCGGGGUAUGCAAAGUAAAAUCAUUCGGCAUAGUAAAUUGAAAAGUAGCAUAAAACUCCCUAAUCAACUCAACAUAACCCAAACAAUCAACAUCAACAAAUUUACGCAACCCAAUCUUAUCUAUCAAAGAAUCAAAAUUAUCCUUAACAUUCAAUUUUUCAAGAGUCGGGUAAUGAAUAUACUUAGCUGGAAGUAUUUUGCAAGUGGAAAUAUCUUUGUACCUCUCUUUCUCUUGUUGAGUCGCGAACGCGAGGCACCCUCCGAGAUUGGAUUCCGCAAGUGGCAAAACACUCAUGCCUUUUCCAUGCUUCGAUCUUUGUCUCACGGCUUUGCGUGAAUCUGAAAUUGUGUUCCAUGGAACCGUAGUGGGAGCGGCAAUCUUAGAUUUCUUUACGACGGGUUUCUUUUUCGAUGACUUGGAAGUAGAUGCUUUCCUCUUCGGCAUUGUUACAAUAAUUGCACUCACGGAUUUCGAUUUACCCGGCUGGAAUACAUGACGUAGGCUGGUUGCGUUGCGUUGCUGCUCGACUGGAGCUUGCUGUGCGGGUUGGAGCUGGUUGCGCACUGCUGGGCUGCGAGACACGGGAUGCUGGUGCUGCGCUCGCGGGGGCUUGCGUUGCGAGCUGGUGAUUCGCGUUGCUGGUUCGUGCUGCGUUGCGGGGCUGCUGGUGGGACUGAUGUUGCGCGUUGCGGCUGGGGCUGGAUCUACGCACUGCUGUGUGAUUCGCGAGAGCCGGUUCGUCUGCGUUGCUGUGCUGCACUGAGGUUGAUUCGCGUUGCUGCUGGUUGCGGUGCGCGAUGCUGCGCCCGGCGGCUGGGGCUGGUGGGGCUUGCUGCUGGAAAACGAUAAUCAACAGUAAUUUUUUUGAAUUAGGGAUUUGUGAACAGUGAUUUUCGAAUUUUUUUUUUUUUUUUUUUUAGUGAUGAAUCACUUUGAGACACUAAAAAUUUCAGAAGUACUUUUUUAAUAAGCACGUGGGCACGCCUUAUCAAAAAUUUUCUUCUGGCCAAAAUAAGCAAACACAUUAUUUUAAAAAAAAAUCUGAAUCAAAAUUAAAAGAAGAUAUAACAAAAACCAAAAUAAAUAAAUCAUUUGGGUUGCCUCCCAAAAAGCGCCUUUGUUUUAUGUCUUUGGCUAGACACGUUUAUGCAUCAAUCUCCAUAAUUGGGACUCUCGAGAGCCACAUCCUCCACAAUAUUCACCGAAAAACCUUCAUAAAAAGGUUUUAAGCGAUGACCAUUAACCUUAAAAACUUUGUCAGAGGUCGGACUCCGAAUCUCAACUGCACCAUGAGGAAAAACAUUAGUAACAAUAAAAGGUCCAACCCAGCAAGAACGUAAUUUACCCGGAAAAAGUUUAAGCUUAGAAUGAAAAAGAAGAACUUUUUGACCAACAGAGAACUCCUUUCUCAAAAUCAUUCUAUCAUGAAAUGUCUUCGUCUUUUCCUUGUAAAAAAUUUCCUGCGCUAUAGGGUUAAUAACAUCCACAGAAAAUACCGAAUGUUCCUCACUAGGAUAUUUCAUGGUAUCAUUCAUAUUGAAUCCUAUAACCUCUCCAUCAAACUCCAUAGUGAGAGUCCCUUUAUGUACAUCCAUUUUAGUCAUAGCAGUCUUAAGAAAAGGUCUUCCUAGCAAAAUUGGGACAGAAUUAGAGGAGUUAUCAUCUUCCAUAUCAAGUACAUAAAAAUCAGCAGGAAAAACCAACUCAUUAACUUGUACUAAGACAUCUUCUAAUACCCCAUCAGGAUAUGCAUUAGACCUAUCAGCUAGUUGAAUUAUCACGCCAGUUUCUUUUAAUGGACCAACAUUCAAAGAUGAAUAAAUGGAACGAGGCAUGACAUUAAUAGAAGCUCCUAGAUCUAACAUAGCCUUUUCAACUCUAACACUACCAAUUUUACAAGGGAUAGUAAACAUACCUGGAUCCUUGCACUUAGGAGGUAGUUUCUUUUGGAAAAUUGCUGAAACAUUCUCCCCCAUGUGAACUUUUUCAUCUCCUCUUAAUUUUCUUUUGGAGGUGCACAGUUCCUUAAGGACUUUAGCAUAUCGAGGUAUUUGUUUUAUAGCAUCUAAUAAAGGAAUAUUUACCUCAACCUUGCGAAAUGUCUCAAGGAUGUCUUUCUCUUGUUCUUCCUUCUUGGAUUUUGCAAACCGGCUUGGAAAAGGAGGAGGUAUCACAAUAGGUAGGGGUUUCGCUCCGGUGGGUUGUGCAUCUUGAGAUUGAGGCAUCAAUUCAUUCUUCUCAAGCUCAUCUUCUACAUGCUCUGUCACUUUCUUACUAGGCUCUUGCAACUCCUUCCCACUUCUAAGGAUGAUAGCACUAACGUUUUGCUUUGGAUUCACCUCAGAUUAUGAAGGCAAUCUUCCUAAUACUCGAGACUCCAGAUGGCUUACUGUAGUCGCCAAUUGACUCAUUUGGUUCUCCAAGUUCUGAAUGCUUGCUGUAGUUGCCUGCUGAAAUUGUUGAGUGUUAGUCGCAAGUGAUUUAACAAUUUCUUCAAGAGAUAUACCUGACUUGGAGUUUGACUGUGGAGGUGCUGGUUGUCUUGGUGGAUACUGUUGUGGGAAUCCUGACGGUUUAACUCCAUAGCUGAAGUUGGGAUGAUCCUUCCAUCCCAGAUUGUAUGUUUGUGCAUAAGGAUCAUACCUCCUCUGAGGCAUGCCUGGAAAUCCUCCAACUGCAUUGGCUUGUUCAACGAGUUCUUCUUGGAGUGUAGGACACAUAUAAGUUGAAUGACCCAUAUUGUAACAAAUGCCACAAGUCUUCACCUGUUGCACAUUACCUACAACAAACUUUUCCACAAGAGAAGUAAGUUUAUCUAAACGUUGUUCAACAAAAGAAAUAUUUACCUCAUUCACCUUCCUUGAAGUGGGAUCUUGCCUGCUACUAAAUUGUUGUGCAUUGGCAGCCAUAUUUGAGAUCAACUCCCUUGCUUGAGUAGGGGUUUUGUUCACCAACACACCUCCACUAGCAGCAUCUAUCAUACUUCUAUCCAUUAAUGAUAGUCCUUCGUAAAAAUAUUAAAUAAGAAGUUGAUCAGAAAUCUGAUGCUAAGGACAGCUGGCACACAAUUGUUUGAAUCGCUCCCAAUACUCAUACAAAGUCUCCCCAGGAAGUUGUCUGAUCCCACAAAUAUCUUUUCUGAUGUUGGCAGCUCUUGAAGUAGGAAAGUACUUCUCAAGGAACUGCUUUUUCAAACCAUUCCACGUUGUAAUUGAUCCAGGAGGCAAGUAGUACAACCAAUCUUUAGCUAGCCCAUCUACAGAGAAUGGAAAAGCACGCAACUUAAUCUGCUCUUCAGUCACGCCUUGUGGCCUCAUACUUGAGCACACAACAUGAAACUCCUUGAGAUGUUUAUGAGGAUCUUCACCUGCAAAACCAUGAAACUUGGGUAAUAAAUGAAUAAGCCCAGACUUUAAUUCAAAAUUUACCUCCAAGUCUACAUAUUGAAUGCAGAGUGGUUGUUGAUUCAAGUCUGGUUCAGCUAACUCUCUAAGAGUUCUUUCUACAGGUGCAGGUCUAUCCAUCACUUGUUCUUCUGAAUCGCUAGAUGAUUCAACUAAAUCAGGCACUGUAUCUGUUUCAGAAAGCAAAGGCGACGAGGAUCGUUGCUUAGCUCGCUUUGUCUGCUGUCUCAGUUGGCGAGCUGUCUUCUCAAUUUUAGGAUCAAACGAAAGUGUACCUGUACGAGAAGAACGAACCAUACACCAAGUAAAACGUAAAAAAGAUUAAAUAAAUGACACCAAUCCCCGGCAAUGGCGCCAAAAUUUGAUGGGUGUCGAAGCCAACAAAAAUAAAUUCCUACUCUAAAUAAAUUGUGUAUAGUGAUUGAGCAGGGUCGUGUCCACAGAGAUCAGUAAUUAUUUAAAUCCUUUUGAAACGUAAAACGUAAAAUGGGGGAAUAGUUGACAAUAAUAAAAAUCAAAUUAAAAAUAACAAGAAUGCAAAUUAAAGUUGUAAUUUAAAUUGGAGAAAGCUCUGGUUGAAGGAAUUAACUCAGCUUGAUUCGACUACUGAUCAUUGAUUCAAAUAUAGAUUAUUAUUACUCAUGAAUAGACCGGUUAUAGCUACUGAGACCCUCUAAUAGCCAAUCUCUCCUUAACUAGUCGAUAACCAAGGUACGACCGUUAGUUAUUUCCCUAAUCAAUAGACAACCCUAGAUACGAUCAUAGAAUUUAAUCAAUUGACAGCCUGAAAAACCAGAGAGACCCAAAUCCUAAUCAACACAUAUGAUGAUUCAUUUAAAUUAGAUUGUUUAUUCUCACAACACAACUCUCUGCUAUGUUAUUAGUCACAAGCAUUAAAUUCUUCAUACGAUGAAUCCUUUAAUUGACAAUAGAUUAAGUUGAUAAUUAAAUAGUGGCCAAUUACCUAAUUAACAAACAUAAUCAUGAAAAUAAUUCAGAGAAUAAACAAAUACCCAAAAAGUAAUAAAACAAUUAAAGCACAAGAAAGAUCUCACAGUAGUGAUGAAUCAAAGCUUCAUUAACCUUCAACCAGAAAAAUGGGUUUAGUUCCUAAUAGAGAGAAGAGAAAAAUUAGAUCUAGGGUUUCUUUUUCUCCAAUCCAAAAUUCCCCCCUUUCACAAUAGAUUCCUCCCUUAAAUACUCUCUCUCUUCUCCUCUAGAAUUCUAUUUAAAAUAAAAUACUAAUAUCUGAAAUAUUAAAUUCGUAAUUACAAAAAUAACCAAAAAUACAAAACACGUUAAACUAAAAACUGCAGGUCCGCAGUUGACAGCACACACCCACGCCUUAUCAAUAAAGUUCUUCUGCCACUCAUAAUUUCUCCAAGAGAACAAUCAUCCUUAAAAAUCAUCUUGUAGCUCAAUUUUAUCACCAAUCAAUAGAAUUGCACUUACAAAAGUAAAUCAUUAUUAUUAAGUGCAAAACAUCGAUAUUAAGGGAAGUAAACAAUGCAAAACUAGUGCAUAAAUUGCACUCUAACAGACCCCAAAGAUCUGCAUAUAUCACUUGUAAGGGUGCUGAAGUUUUUGUUUCAACUGAAUCAAAAUGCAGCAUAUGAUUUUUCCCAUAUUGACAUGCUGAACAAAAUUUCAAGCUUUCAAUUUUAUUAUAAGCAGUAGAGUUGUUACAAGUUUUGAGUAUAGUUUUGAGAGUAUAAGAUGCUGGGUGUCCUAAUCUUCUAUGAAGAAGAUUUACAUCAAUAGAACUCUUUGUAACAACUGACAGACAUGGCUUUUUAUUCAAUUCAUAAGAACUAACAGCAGUGAGCUGAUCAGAAUUGAAAACAGGAGAACAAGCAAAGAGAGUGAAUUUUAUUUUGACCAACUGAAUUGAGAAAGACUGAAUGAGCAGCAACAUGUGAAGAGACUCUAUACAAGUCACCUUUAGCAACACCUUCAAGUAAAAUUUUCCUUGUGUUCCUAGCCUUUAUAAAAAACAAAUCACCAAGAAAUUCCAACAGUAACUGGAUUGUCAGCCAAUAAUUUUGAAAUGCUAAGCAAAUUCUUAGUAAUAAAAGGGACAUGAAGAACAUGGUUUUUAAAGGUUUAGAAGUUGAAGUAUUUAGCACAACUGAUCCUACAUGUGUAAUAGCUAAUGCAUUUCCAUCUCCAACAAACAAUUUUUCAGUACUAGUAUAAAUUUGUGAAUCCAGAAGUUUACCUAGAUCAUUUGUAAUGUGAUUUGUUGCUCCACUAUCAAUAUACCAUGAAGGAUCUUCAAUGUGUUCUGGUGGAAGUGAAGAAGGCAUAGCUGAGGAAGAUGAAGCACUUGACUGUCCAGGAUUAUUAUUUCCUUGACCAGAAACAAAAGUAGAUGGUCUAGGGGUGAAUGAGUAAUAAGCAGAAGGAUUACUAUCUGGAUACACCAUAUUUCCUUGAUAGCCAAAACCAGCAUUUAAACCAAAACCUCCAAAACCUCUGCCACCAUUACCAUUAAAAGCUCUUCCUCUACCAUAUUGCCCUUGAUUAAAACCUCUGCCACCAUUCAUAUUACCUCUGCCAUAGUUUCUCUGUGGAACAAAAGAUGAAUUGUACCUAUUUUUGCAUCUAUUGGCUGCAUGACCAGGUAUGAAGCAGAUUUGACAAACAGUUUCAGAGGAAUUACCACCAUUAUUAAACUGACCAUAUCCAUAUCCAUUAAAACCUCCAUACCUAGAAUUAUUUCCAUAAUUUUUUUGAAAAUUGCCAUUAUUCUUUCCAGCAUAUGAGUUCUUCUGAGCAAUAUUUGCUGUCAUAUUGUGCAUCACAUCACCAGCAAUUUUUCCUUUCUUUUGUUCAACUCUAUUUUCAUGAUUCAAUAGCAAAGGAUAUAGUUCAUCUAAUGUUAUCUUCUCACCUCGAGCUAAAACACCUGUGACUAAAGAUUCAUAAUCUGAUGAAUCAAGACCAGUUAAUACAUGAAUCACAAGAUCACUUAACUCAACAGGUUUUCCAGCUAGAGCUAAAGUAUCAGCUAUACGUUUUACUUUUGCAAAGUAAUCAGACAUAUGCAUUGCACCUUUCUUAAUAGUUUGAAUCUGCAUUCUAAGUGUUUGAAUUCUAGCUUGUGAUUAAGAAAUAAACAUACUAGUAAGAGUCUUCCAAAGCUGUUUUGAAGUUGUGGAGUCAAUCACAGUAGCAAGUAGAUUUUGCUGUAUCGACGACAUCAUCUAACUCAACAGAAGUUGAUCAGUCUUCAUCCAAGCUAUGAACUCUGGAUUAAUAGAUUUGGAUUCAGAUUCAGUAAAAAUUUCAGCUCCAUUGUUGUUUCCAAAAGAAAGAAACUACUCAGGACAUUCUUGAUCACCAUUGAUAAACCCUUCCAGACCGUUUCCUUUGAUCGAUGCUAAAAUUUGUGCCCGCCAUAAAAUGAAGUUGUUUUGGUCUAGCUUUGCAGGCGUAACAAAACUAAAAGAGUUGUUAUUUUGAACUGUAUUCGCCAUUUAUGGCUCUAAUACCAUGAAAGAAACUUAGUUUUGCAUUGUUUGGCAAGCUAGAAAAUGAAGAAAAUAAAAGAAAGCUCUGUAAAGAAGUUUGUAGAACCUUUAUUACUUUAGCAUUACAACUGAAUGAAUACAGACUGAUAUUUAUAUUAAGCUACAAUUUGCUCAACACACACACGAGUUUGUUACAUCACAUAACCAUUUGCUGCAUAACUAAUUUGACACAUCAGCUCAACCAGCUAAUUAACUUUGCCAGGUCAGCUUAGUGAGUUGAUCUGCUAAAUUCAGCUACACAGCAACAUCAUGCUCUGCUCUAGCUUCAUUCAAUUCACUAGCAUUUUCCCUUGAUACAUUAGGAGAAAAGACUGCCUGUGAGAUACAACAAUGUAAAUAACUUCUCAUGGUUCAUUGAAUCUAUAACGCACUGAGCCCUAUUCUAAAAUAUGUAGGUUGCUUCUGAAAAAGGGCUUUUCUCACUGAUCUUUAAUCUUCAAGAAAGUUUGUUUCAUUUCAGAAGGUAUAAGUUUCAAACUUAUUGUAUUGGGAGGUUGUAUAGUUGUAACCUAAGCAUCUGCAGGUUCCUGGUUCAACACAUUAUAGUAUGGUAUUUUAUUUUGUCACAAGGCAAUUGGUUACGGGAUCACUUUUGCAACGGUUUGUUGAUGGCGAUGAUGAAUUUCGCAAUAGUAGGUUGAAACUUAUUCCAUCUGUUCCUAAGGUAUCCAUCUUGGCCUUCAUGUAGUAGGACUAUAUUAACGUAUACUUACCCUUUACUGCAUGGUACACUUCAAUUUGUACAAAGAAGGCAUGCAUUUAGGUGUGAAUGUAUUGAUGGGUUGUACCUUCAAACUUUAUCUCCUUUUUACCCUCUUGAAUUUGUUUUGCACUUGUUCUUGAUUUUCAGCACUGAAUCAUGCAGGGGUCAUGGAUAGUGCGCCAGAGUGUUGGAAGCACCCCUUGUUUAUUGGGGAAGGCAGUUGAUUGUAACUAUAUUCGCGGUCCCAAGUACUUAGAAGUAAAUGCUCUUGGAAUUUCUAUAGUACAUGAGAUGUUCCCCUUUCAAAUAGCGUCCAAUACCUUUAACAUGGUUUAACAUUGUUCAUCUUUCUGUAGAUUGAUGUUGACAUCGAUUCUUCUACUGUUGCUAAUGGAGUUUUGGGCCUUGUAAUUGGUGUAAUUACGACAUUGGUGGUUGAGAUGGCUUUCCUUGUACAGGUAUGUAUGAUUGUUUUUUUCCCCCACUGCUAAAUGGACACAAGGGAAAAGACAUGAUUUUGAGAUAUUGCACUGCAACUUGCAUUUUUGCAUACUUGAAUGUUCUCAGAAUGAUAUAAUGCUUCUGUGUGUGUCUUCUUUAUCUUGCUCUUCUGUAUGCAGGCAAAUACUACAGAUGAAUUACCGGAGCGGCUGAUUGGUGCUGUACGUGUUUCUCAUAGAGAACUCAAGUCUGCUGUUGUCCCAAAGCUGGAACCAGAGAUAUCAUGACUCUGGUUUCAUUUCAGCUCAACUGUGUUUUUUUUUUAAUUAAAAAAAUCAUUUGUUUUAGGUAUACAUACAUGUAUUUUGAUUCUAUUUUCAUUGUAAUUUCUCAUUUACUUUGAAUGAAAGUCAUUGGUGUUUUCGAAUGGGAAUUUUGCAUUAAAAAAUGAAGAAUAAUGAAUAGGAAAUUUCCUGAUUCUUUAGUUACUAUUUUUGGUAUGAGUGUAAUUAGUAGUAAAGUAGGUUUCUACUCGCAAACAAGUGAACUACUCGAUUCCCGAGUGGUAUCAACCAGUUUCCAACUUUUUAAUAUACACUAAUUGUUAUUGUUUAAUAGCUACUACUAUUAAAACUCAACAGCUAGCAAAAAUACUUAAAAAAAAUGAUUUUUCUUAUGAUGCUGUGAAAAAAAUUACGGGUGUACUUCUUUCCAUGAGAUCUAUAACAUGGUCUCGACUUCACGAAAUUCUUUUAAUUUAAAGCGUGCUGGUGUGAGGUCAGUUUAACUGAUUAAUUCUUUUUAACAGUGGUCGAGAUAAUUUUACUAUACUAAAAAAUAUUCUUAUUCUGAUAAUGCCACAAAUGUUAUGCUGUUUUCUUCAGAUAAUGAUCUUCCAUUAGGAGAGGUUAGAAAUCAAAUGCUUAAAAGACCAAUUGAACGAAUAAUACAGAAAUUUAGGCAGAAUCUAAUAGAAUAUUGCAUGAAACAUGAAACAUCAAUUCAAGUCCUUUCUUAAACGGAGAAUGCAUCAAACAAAAUCCAAAGUGUCUUGCAAGUCUGUAGCGUGAGCAAAAAAUUGUAAAUAUGUAGAACCAAAUUAUUCAAGUACAGAAGAACGAGCAAGCUAAAUCAUGUAUAAGAGAUUGGCCUGGUUCGGGAUAGCUUCUUCACUGUAUCUGAAGGGUUGGCUCAAUCUCUUCUUUAGAAUUCUGCAGAUUUUGUAAUUACUCGUGUAAGCAAGUAUACAUUGCCACCAUAAGAAUAAUGAAGCUAGAGUAAUGAUAUGACCACCACCUCUUGUGCACAAACAAUAUUGUAUAAACUAAUGCGACAUAAUAUGAUUGGUUAAACAAAAACAUUACAUGGCCCUCAUAAUUUAUUUAUUUAUUUAUUAUUAUUAUUAUAUAUUUUCAGUCAACCAAUCAUAUUAUAUCACAUUAGUUUCUAUAAAAUAAUUUGCUAAAUAGCACCAAAACUUAAUUGAUACUCACCAUUUCAUUGAACAAUUUUUUUAUGGUGUCAUUGAGGUUGCCUUCCCAACAUCGUUCAUCAUCAUCUUUUUCUUCUUUGGUGACGUUCACUUUGUUUAGCAUUGGUGUGUCUAAGAGUCCUUGAGAGAAGAUCUUCAUUUUUGGACACUGUCUCACAACUACUUGUUUCAAGGACGGGAAUUCAAGAGCGUAAUUACCUAAACAAAAGCUUGUUAGGCUUGGCAAACAAUCAAGUCUCAAGUACUCCAAUUCCUUGAAAACAUUGCAAUCUUUCGCUUCUUCUCCAACCUGCAAUUGUAUGAUUUGUUCUAUCAUUUUGCAAUCAACUAUCAUCAUUCUUUUGAGAUUCACUAGAUUUUUAGAUGCUGAGAGCGUCAACACAUUUAUCAAUCCGUGACACUUCGAUACUGCCAAAGCCUCAAGAUUUUCCAAAUGCCACGAAGGUGGUACUAAUUUUUGCAACUUACUACAUUCCGAUAUUUUUAGACUUUUCAAGUUUGCAAACACUUUGUUGGAUUCGGCAUUUUCCUUCCAGAGAUGGUGCACUUUGUGUAAUCCAGACAGCUCUAACCAUCUCAAUCGAGGGAAUGAAACCUGAAAAUCAACAAAAUUAAGUUGUAAAUGAAAAUAUGUAUCCAAUCUCUGCAGUCUUCCCCUGCAUAUUUUAUGGACAAGAUUAAUCACGACAUUUUAUAUUUUUUUUCCAAAUUAGAAUGCUUUGCAGUAGGAUCCCAAAUAUAAGUAUCAAAUCGAUUACCCUUUGAAACACAUAAAUGAAAUCUGAUACUAAAUCCAAUAUGAAUUAGCUAGGAAAACAGAGAUGUUACACACAUAAUUAAUAGAGUUCAUCACCUCGUGUUACCAGGCAUCCAAUUAAUUUAAGACAUUUUAAUAAUUCAUAUUAUAAAGUUAGUUGAUAGCGGAGGUUAUAUUGUUAAAUCAUAUAUAAAUUAAGACGACGUGCAAAAAGAGGAGUCAUUAAAUUCGAUUUGAUUCUAACGAAAUUACAUCUAUGCGAAUGAAAGUGAAGGGAAAUAAUAAUAAUAAUAAUAAUAAUCACCUUUUCAUCGAAGAGAGGUUGUACUUGAUGAGCCAGCAAGAAGUUCUCUUCUGAUGUUAAUUUUUGAGGUUCCUUAUUAUCCGCUGUCAUGUGCAGUACAGAGUUGGAUAUGAAUGUUUCUAUAUCUCGGCAAUUCUCAAUAGUUAGAUUUCUCAACAUAGGCAUUUCAAUUAUAUUCCCAGUGAAGUUGCAGAAUCUUUUGAGUUUUGGAAGAUCAGUGAGCCUCAGCCUGUAAAGCUUAGGAAACAGGGGGCUUAUAUGUUCUUUGUCAGCAUUUAGCUCCUCCAAAUGAAGCACCUCUUCUAUUGAAUCACAAUUCCUCUCUUCCAGCCAUACCAAAUUGUUCAAGCACCGUAGCAGAUUGGCAGGAAUAGCACUCGACAUAUUCGUGCAGUCAUCCACAGCCAGUUGUCGUAAAUUGUUGAAGAAGCUGACAGGCAGUGCUUGGCCAUGCCAUAUUUCUUUCAAACGUGGAAAAUGUGAGAGUUGCAAAUCCCAUAUGUCACGGAAUCCAAUCUGCACAAACAAAAACAAUUGCACUGGAUAUAUAUAAAUUUUUUUUUUGAAUCAACUUACAUGUUUUGUGUUUUAACUUCUAAAACUAUAUAUACAAGGCAGGUGUAUAUGUUCAAAUGUCCAAGUGCAAGGGAGAUGCAUAAGUAAUUUCGACGAAUCGAUUUAACACAUACCAUUUCUUCGUAACACUUUUGUAUAGUGGAAUUAAGGUUGCCUUCCCAAUGGCGCAAUUCACCCUCUCCCUGUUAAGAAUAGAAUUAGUUAGUUAAUGAGUAUGCUGACAUGGCAGCUGAGUCAGCUAAAGGUUGUUAUAGAGGUUGUUAGUAGUAAACUGUGCGUGUGUGCAAUGUGUGUAGAAUCUUCUAUGCACAUAUAAAAAGGCUUGUAAUUUCCAGAUUCAUUAGAUCAAUAAUAACAGAAUUCUCAGCUUACAGAAGUUUUCUUUCUUCCUAUUUUCUUAGUAACCAAACAACAUCACAGUUUCAUAUAAAACUUAAUACUUCCUUUUUACUCACAUGCACUUCGUGCAGCUUUGGUGUGGAUACGAUUCCCUGAGAAAAAGUCUUCAUGUUCGGGUAACAUGUCAUAGAAACUCGUUCCAAUGAUGGGAAUUCAAGAGUGUAAUCCUCCAAACAAAAGCUGGUAAGCCUUGGUAAAUGAUUUCAGGUAAUUUUUAAAUAUUCUAAAUUCAUUUAGAAUAUUUAAAUGAAUUUAGAAUAUUCACUAUUUAGUAUUAGGAAUGGAGAAAGAAUUUCAGGUAAUUUUUAAAUAUUCUAAAUUCAUUUUUCAUCUUGAUUCUAGUUUUUUAAAAAAAUUUAAUUUUCAAACAUGCGUAUUUUUAAAAUAACUAAACUAAAACGCUGUAUUUCCCUUUUUUUCCCGAUAUUCAUGCUUUUAAAAAUGGAAAACAUUUCUGGAAAACACUUCCCAACGCCAUCAACAUGGGACUGUUAUAGAUGAAUUAAGGAAAAGAGAAAUAUAUAGAUGAAUUUGUGAACCUAUAAGAUGAGUGACUAUCCUUUAAUUUUUGAAAAUUGUACUUAUUAAGAUAUGAGCAGAAACAAUUAAAUUGAAUUAUAUUAUGCUGUUGAAUCGUGAUUAAAAAAAUUAUAUUGUUGAUUCUAAUGCUGGCGAACCUAAAAACUGGACUUAAAAUGUAGAUUUGAGAGUGGUGGUUCGAAGUACAAUACUUGAAAUAAAUAAUCAGUGGCUGAAUAUCAUUUGUAAACAAAAAAUGGUUAAAAUAUUGUUGGAUGUAAUUUGAAAAAAAAAAAAAGAUUCGAAAUGAAUACAGCAACCUUACCAAUGGAGGAAAAAUAUUCUUUAGGUUAUCACACUCAAAUAUCUCUAAAUUCUUCAAUUUGCUGAAAGACUCCGAAGCAAGUUGGUGGUGCCAUAUUAUUCUCAAAUUAUUCAUCCAGCUAAUAUGUAAUACCUCCAACCUAGGAAGUCGUACCUGGCAGUUAAAGAUUAAAUAACUAAUUAAUCAAUUAAUUGCAUAAUCAAUUGAUAACUAAAUUAGAGGCAGAUAUUAACUAAACUUGAAGACUCAAAGAAAAGACAAAUUAAAUAUUGUGACUAAAAUUAAUUUUUUUUAUUAAAAAAAAAACCUUUUCGUCAAAGAGAGGAGGAGGUUGCAUUUCAGAAUGAUUGGUGUCUUCUGGUGAGCUCGUAGAGAUGAAUCUUAACAUAUUCCAGCAACUCUGAAUCUCGAGGUUUAGCAAAGAAGGGAAUUCAACAACUAAAUCUGAAUUAAUAUGUCCCGUAUUGGCAAAGCUUGUUAGUUUAUAAAGCCAAUAGAGCUCCAGGGAGUGUAGUUUAGGAAAAACCUUUAAUUCAAUCAACUUUCCUUCUUCUCUUUCUGACCACCCCGUGGUGUCGACUACCCCUUCCAUUGACUCACAAGAUCUUAUCUCAAGAUGCUGGAGUUGCAAAAGACUAUUAACCAUAGAAUAGGAAAACAGAUACUUCAUACGAUGACAACUGCUCACGUACAGCUUUGUUAAAUUUCGACAACAGUACAUUCCUUGAUUAUGAUCGGCCCAUAAUUUUUUCAUGUUUCUUAAUGACCUGAGAUCCAAUUCCUCUAAGCUCGGAAGAAUAACCUGCAAAGAAUACCCGUACAUUUUUGUUCCUUCAAGUACAACCGUCUAGUAUAAUAUUCUUUUGAUGAUCGAAGAUUAAUCGUGAUAAUAAAUUAAUCAAUUAAUUAUUGAACAGAAAAUUAUCACCUUUGGAGCAGGAUCAUCAUCAGCAGUGAUUUCGUUGAAUCCCAAAGAAGUUGUUGGUUUCUCCCUGUCGGGUCCUAUAAACAAACAAAAACAAUAUACAUAAUUAAUCUUUGUUUUUUUUUUCAAAAUAAUUGAGGCGAAGUCAAUUAUCCCACCGGUACUUAAUUUCAACACUUACCAACAAUCAUUUCCUGAUCAUCGCAAAAAGCCACUUCUACCUUUUGAAGCCGCAGUAGGUUUUUGGCUAUGGAGAAUGAGAAAAGAUGCUUCAAUUUGUGACAGAAUUUUACUUCUAUAAUCCUUAAGUUGCUGAAAGAUUGAUCUUCUGUGAGUUGGCUGUCACAUAUUGUCUCCAAAUUGAUCAAACGACGAAGAGACAAUGACUCCAGCAAGGGGAAGACUUUGCGACGAACCCGUCCAACUGAACAGACAAUAUGCAAAAUCUCAGAACAACUUUCUGCAGAAAGAUGCUUCAAUCGUGGAUAACCUUCCCCAUCAUCUAAUUCAUGAACAACAUUCUGAACACCCUUCAGUUCUUCUAGAUAGAGAUAUUCAGUUCUCGUCAACAACAGUUUCAUCCUGUAAUUCUGCAAAAGAACGCCAAACUUUUCCAGCCCCUGGAGCUUCAUCAAUCUUGAUAAUCCAGAUUUAACGGACCAGCUGCUCCACCACUUAUUUCCUAUACAUAUCCUAUAGCUUUGUAAUUCCACAGAGACGAAAUCCUGCGGUAAAAUUUCGGCAUCCCGAACAUGUAUCUCCAAAGUAGUUAGCUUUGACAGCCCAUUCAAUUCAGCAAGACUGGCGUUACUUCCUCCUUCAACCUUCUCCCACUGUGAAAAGCUGUUACCAAUAUAUAGUUCUUCUAAUCGAGAUAAUUUUGAUAUGACAUUUGGAGCUAUCACCACAAGACUGCUACAAUUUCUCAAAUCUAGCAACUGUAAUCUCGUCAAUUGUCCAAUUACAACUGGCAACUCCUUAACAUCAGAAUCUCGGAAGCUGAGAAUCUCUAAUUUCCUUAGCUGUCCAAUUAUAGUUAUUUCGUUCAGUCGGCAACCGUCUAAACACAAUGUUCGAAGGUUAAUGAGGCGACCAAGUGAUGAAGGUAAUGAAGAGAAAAAUAUGCCAGUAAAAUCUAAAACUUUGAGUUCUUCUGUCCCUUCAAAAAAGAGGUCUGAAAUUUGCAAAGAGCUAUCACGCUUUGAAAACAACAAAAGUAACUCGAGACGGGGACAUCCCAACCUUUCGGGAAGCUCUUGAAUAUCUCUAUAAGGUAAAGAAAUAGCAAUUGGACCUUCCCGUAUUGUCUCUUCCAUCUUUUUCUCCACGUAGGCAACAUUUGGAAUAUUAAACAUGAGCUCCUUUUCUGCAAUUGAUACAGCAACAGCAUGAAUGAUGUCAUGCAUUUUAACUUCAUCUUCAGCAUCACCGUCCAACAAUAAGCAUGAAGAUUUGAGUUUGUCGAUCAAUGCAUCCACUCUAUUCCUUGCAUUUUCCAAUGUGCGAACAUAUUUAAACAAACCCAAACCCAUACCCAUACCAUAUCUCAACAAGGAAGCAACUUGUAUAGGAGUACCUUCACCAAAUAGAGAACAAAGAAGGAACAAAGAUUUUGCUUCAUCACUUUCCAAGAAGUCGUAACUCAAUUUUAUGGAAGAAUACACAUCUGCAUCCAUACCAUGAAUUUCUCUUAGAUUGGAACUUCUUAGCUGAUUCAACGCAUCCUUCCAAAUGGCAAGACUCUUAUUUUUCAGAGCACUUGCAACUGUUCUCAGUGCAACAGGCAAUCGUCCGCAUUUUCCAACAAUCUCAUCCGCUAAAGGUUGAAAAGCAGAUGCUUUUGCGGAAUUGCCCACGAUCUUUUCAAAAAAUUGCAAUGCUUCUUCCUUUGAUAAAACUUCAAUUGGGAAAAUCUUCUGAGAAUUCAUAUCAUUGAUCAAUAAAUCUUGACUUCUAGACGUCAAUAUUAUCGUGCGUCUCCUUAGAUCUUGCUUUCUAUCUUUCUCAUCAACAUCCCCAGAAGGAAUUCCAAUUUCUUCCAACCUAAGUUUUUUCCAAAUAUUAUCUAAUAUAAUGAGGACUCGCUUCUCUUUCGUCAAUCUUUGACAAAGUUGUUUUGCUCUGUGGGGUUUGCUAUCAUUCAAGUCAAAGUUCAUGUCUAAAUCGGAAGCGAGCUUGUCUUGAAUUUUCUGAACAUCUGGGUUCUCUGUUACCUCAGCCAUAACGACCUUAUCGAACAACUUAUCUUCCAUAACUUGCUUUGCAAUUUGCUUGACUAGCGUGGUUUUACCCACGCCGCCCAUACCGUGGACCCCAAUUAUGUUGAGCUUAUCAUCCCUCAAUGCCUCCACAACAUCUUGAAAUAAUUUCAUUCUUGAAUCAAAGGCCUCGAAAUCUUUCGCUUGCAUAUGUUCUGUACUCUCUGGAGCAGGACGGUGGGAAACACUAGAGAAGUUGCCUUUUCUCACGAGACUAGCGGCAGCUUCUGCGGCCUUUACUGCUUGUUUACUAAGUUUAUAACGAGAAAUCAAGUUGGGGCACAAUCCUUUGAAGCAGGACUUCUUAGCUCUAUCUUCAUCAUCAAUGAUGGAUUUUGCAACCCCUUCACUGAUGCAUUCAUCAACGCCAUUAAGCCAGUCUGCAACAUCCUUGUAAAUCUCAUCUCUUUGUUGAGUAGCCUGACGAACGGGUAUUCCCACCCUUUCUCUUUUAUAUUCCAGCUGCUUCACUUGAUCUUUUAGCUCAGCUAUGUAGCUCUGGUACUUGAACACAUAAGAUAUCUGCCGCAUAAUCCGUUCGAGCAAUGCCUUUGCACCUUCUGAUACAAUGCUUGAAAAAGCUUCGAGACCCACUUCUGAAGCCAUUGCCUAGCCUGUUGCAUAUAUAUAUACAUUAGCCGAUGGAAAAAUUGGAUUCAAAUAAAUUAAAGUGAUCCAGAGGGAAGGACAAAGAAAGAAAUGACAACGAAUGACUUUUUAAACAAAGGUUUCAAGAGCCUGAAUCGAAAACCAACAAUUUGAAAAAAAAAAAAAGAAUUGGAAGAUGGAUGCAAAUUAACCAUUGCUAAUACUACAUAAGAACACAUAAGUUAACAAUGAACAGUUACUUAAGAAAAUUAAAUGACAAGAUUAAAACAAACAAGCGCUAUUUUUUCUUGGACAAAUGUACCUGUUUAAUUAUUAAAGACUUAAUGAGCUUCACUAUUGGCCUUGAGUAUAUAAGAAUGAGCAAGAGAUCAAUGUCAACUGCAGAGGAAUGUCAGUAAAGGUUUCAUGAGAGUGAGUAAUACAAAUGAAUUGUAAAAGAACAAGACUUAAGCGUGCACCCCCUGUUUUGUUUUAUUCGUUAUGAAAAUGAUAUUGUACCCAAUUUUAAGAGAGCAUAAUAAUAACCAUUUAAUGCAUAAAUUUAGAAUUAGCUUUUUUUUUUGUAAUUCUUUAUUUAAAUAUACACGUCAAUGGAAAAUUUUGAAAAUUUGGAUACAAAAUUUUAAAUCACCAGAAAAAAAAAAGCACGGGAACGGAAAUAGAGGAAUCUUGUUUUACCUUUUUUUUUCCCCCCUUUAACUCUCGUUCUUAUAUAAAUAAUCUUGUUUUGAUGAUUGUGACUCGUGACUGCGGGAAAAAUUCUAAUGGAAACAACUCAAUUUCGGAAGAUAAGCUUAAUUCUGCAAGUGAUGAAUUUGUUCAAUAGACUCUGUACCUGAACUCGUUGGAUUGGUUGAUUGAUGAUUGACUAAAUUUGAAUUAAGUUUAAUAGCUUAGCUAUCAUGUACUCCUUAAAAGCAAACGUAAAUCUUUUUUAGAUUUGACUGAAUUUGGGAACCUGUUGGAUUGAUUGUUUUUAGAUCAUUAAUAUCAGAUACUACAAACGUAAAUAUUUUCUUGUGGUUGAGUCCUAUUCAAAUCACACAAAAUUGCACGACCAAAUAUUAAGAGAACGUAAUAAUAAUCACUCAGUGCGUAAGGGUAAAUUUAGAAUUACGUAUUCUUUUUUAUUUAAUAAAAUCCCAGCGAGAAAAUCAUAAAAUUUAGAUAUAAAAUUUUCAAUCACCAAACAAAAAACAGGGGGAAUGAAAACACAGGAAACUUGUUUUACCUUUUUUUCAUCUAACUCUUGUUCUUAUAUAAUAUUUUCCCUAGUGUUUCAGGCAAGCAAAAAAAAAAAAAAAAUCAAUAAAGAGCAAGUUGCUCAAAUUGAUUUAUCUUGUUUUUCAGGCAAUCUUGUGAUAUGAUGAUAAUGCUUAUGAAUGCUAGAAAAACUUCUAAUGCAAACAACUCUAUUUGGGAUGAUAAGCUUAAUUUUACAAGUGAUAAAUAUAAAUAACUUUUUGUGGUUAAUUCAAUUUGUAAUUACCCUUAGCCCUAUUCUAAAAUUUGUUGGCUGCUUCAGAAAAAAAAAAAAAAAAAUUUCACUCAUCUUUAAUCUUCAAGUAAAAAACAAAUCUAAUAAAAUGACAAACAAACAAACAAAUAAAAGACAGCAAACAAACAACAUUUAGCCAACUGAUAUUUAAACAGGGAUUAGAGUUUUUGUUAUUAACUGAAAGGUUUCAAGGGUCUGAAUAAAAUCCCAGACUUUUUUUUAAAACUUUUUUUUUAAUUAACCAAAGCCAUAUAAUAAGAUCACAGACUUUAACAAUGAACAAUAAUUUGAAACUCAAGCAAAACCAAUCACAAGAUUAAAACAAACCAGAGAAUUUUUUUCUUGGAAAGUAGAUGAAAAGCAAGUAAGAACUGCUAUUAAAGGAUAUUAUUAAAGGAUUUAGAACAUGUAUACCUCUUUAUUUAUAUGGGAUCAGAGAGUCGAUGACCUUCUCUAUUCGCUUCGGAUAUUUAGUAAGAACUGCUAUCAAAAGAAUGAAUUGAUGAGUAAUAACAAUGAAUUGCAAAAGAGGAAGACUUAAUCACGUACCCCUAUUGUACCCGAUUUUUAAGAUUUAAUUUUGAAGUCCAGAAUCAAGACAAAAGACGAAGCCUUAACAAAUAUGCAGUGAGAAUAGUUAAGUUGAAGAAAGCACUAGUUUAUGGCUCUGUGUUUCAUAUGCCGUAUUGAAAUAAUUAAGUUGAAGUUUUCAACGAAUAAAUACCUGGUGUGCUGGAAUAAUUUUAGAAGAAUAUUGGCUUAUAGAGAUUAGAGCAUAUUAGGAGGGAUCAGAUUUGUAAGAUGCCUGAUAAAAGAUAAAGCGAAUGUUAUUAUGGACAUACCAAUUUCCGACUUUUCGGAGUGCAUCCGUCUAUCCAUGACUUGAAAAGAGACCCAAUGUGUGGACAGACUUGAUUACAUNNNNNNNNNNNNNNNNNNNNNNNNNNNNNNNNNNNNNNNNNNNNNNNNNNNNNNNNNNNNNNNNNNNNNNNNNNNNNNNNNNNNNNNNNNNNNNNNNNNNNNNNNNNNNNNNNNNNNNNNNNNNNNNNNNNNNNNNNNNNNNNNNNNNNNNNNNNNNNNNNNNNNNNNNNNNNNNNNNNNNNNNNNNNNNNNNNNNNNNNNNNNNNNNNNNNNNNNNNNNNNNNNNNNNNNNNNNNNNNNNNNNNNNNNNNNNNNNNNNNNNNNNNNNNNNNNNNNNNNNNNNNNNNNNNNNNNNNNNNNNNNNNNNNNNNNNNNNNNNNNNNNNNNNNNNNNNNNNNNNNNNNNNNNNNNNNNNNNNNNNNNNNNNNNNNNNNNNNNNNNNNNNNNNNNNNNNNNNNNNNNNNNNNNNNNNNNNNNNNNNNNNNNNNNNNNNNNNNNNNNNNNNNNNNNNAUUUAAUAAUUAUAGAAGAAUAUUGGCUUAUAGAGCAUUUUAGUAGGGAUAAGAUUUGUGGACAGAAUAAAUGAAAUAAUAAAAAGCAUAACUGAUCAAGUCAUUAUUGAUCUUACUUUGAUUAUUACAUUGCACAUUAGUUUCUUUCUAAAAAUGCCAUUCUUCAUUCAAGCUUUCGCUUUAUCUUUUAUCAGGCAUCCUACAAAUCUUAUCCCUACUAAUAUGCCCUAUAAGCCAAUAUUCUUCUAAAGUUAUUAAAUGCCAUUCUUCAUUCAAGCUUUCAUGGACAUUAUCUACAAACUGAAUCUUCAAUGUAAUAAAAUAAUGAUCAGCCUCACAGGAUACAUAAAAAGCUCAUUUAUCACAAUCAUUUCCUAGUGCAUCAUAAACUUAGAUUAUUUAAUUUUACUAUUAGGAAACCUACUUAUAAAAGGCGCACACUACAAAUUCUAAAUUAAAUUUCUAACUAAGAAUAAAAGGUAAACCCUAGCAAUUUUCCACCAGGUGCCGUGUAGCCUGCAUCAUAAAUUUUGAUUUAAAUCUUUGUAAUCACCGAACAGAAAAACCGGGGAAUGAAAACAGAGGAGCCCUAUUUUUCCAUUUUUUUAACCCUUAACUCUUGUUCUUCUAAUUAUAUUUUUGCUUGGAAUUUCAGGCAAACGAAAAAAAAUAGUGACAACUAUUUAGAGAGAACAGGUGGAUGAUAGCAAAAAUAUUUUUAAUUAAUAUGCAUGAUUAACUCUUGUUCUUCUAAUGUAGUGGCUUGAUUAAUUAAUAUUUUUAAUCAAGCCAUUACAUUAUUGGUAGUCUCUGUGGGCUCAUUUCGUCUCCAGACCUGAUAUUGUAUAUCUCUUUUUGAAUAUGUUUAAUUAAUAUGCAUGCUGCUGAAUAAAGACGAUGAUUUCCAAAUUUUUGUUGCUUUUUUUUUUUCUUUUUGCUGCUUUGGUACAUGAAGAAUGUGGAAAUAGAAAUAGCUUUCGAAGUUUAAUGGCUUGCUUCAUUAGUAAAGAAAGACUAGGAUAUCCGUCCUUUUUGUUACUGAAUUAUUGAUCAAUUGACGGUUGAAGUUAGUUAUAUUAAUUUGUUGUACAAGAAUUGAAGCUUAUAUCUUUACCGUUUCGUGAAAGUGUCAAAUAUGUUCUUUCCUUGCAAUUGUUCAAAAUAUGUUACACUUUUGAAGUCACUAUUACAUAAAGGGUGUUGUAAAAUAGGGAAAGGCGGGUUUAUGAUUAGAUUUUAAUAUGUUUAAUUCAAGGAUUAACCGAAGCUAUUAACCAACGGCUACUAACCGAAAACCGAAUUUAACAAUAAACACUAACUCAGAAUUCAAGAAAAUUAAAUGACAAGAUUAAGACAAAUGAGAGAUAUUUUUCUUGGACAUUAAGAAAGAACUACUAUCAAGAUCAAGGAUUAGAGAUUAUAUAUGCUAUUAUUAAUAGAAAUUAUUAAAGGAUUUAGAACAAGUUCACCUCGUUGAUUAUCUGGGAUGAUGAGUUUCUAUAUUCACCUUGAAUAUAUAAUAACAAUUUUAGUGAGCAAAAGAUCACUGGUAACUGCAGAGGAAUGUGUGAGUUUAAGAGCUUAUUAGAGUAAGCAAUACAAAUGAAUUUUCAAAUUAUGUACUUGGUCAUUGUUGUCCUACUGACGCACGUUUUUUUUCAUGAAUAAUUGCCAGAUCAGAAAAGAAUAAGUUCGGUGGAUUGAAAGAUUGCUGAAGCAAGUAAAACAAUCUUCAUAUCGAACAUGAUUCCAAUUAAAUUAAUCUUUUUAUAAGAUGACUAAUAAAAGACAAAAGUAGAAGCUUUGAUGAAUGAACGAUGACCAAAACUUUUGUAAAAGCGGAUGCCGAUAAAAUAAACAAAAGGCACUUUAAAAAGAAACUAAAGUGCGAUCAUCAAAGUAAGAUCAAUAAUGACUCGAUUUAUUUCACCUAUUCUGUCCACAAAUGAUGCUUCGCUAUUACAAGGUCCGAAUGGACAUUAUUUACAAAUUGUUCUUAUGUUUCACAGAAAAAUGAAAAACCGUUCAUCAUCAUAUAAUUAUGAAAUAAAUAAAUUUUAUUAAUGGAUUAUGGGGAUAUGUUAAUGUUAGGGAUAUGUUCAAAUCAUCAUAUAAGUUACUAAACGCUUCAACAAGAACAAGAAUUAAUGAGUUAAAAGUAAAAAAAAAAAAUUUUAAAAAAAGUUAAAUAAAUAAAACUUAGAAGUAAAGAAUGUUAUUUGCAAUCACCAAAAUGAAAACAGUGGAACCCUGUUUUUCCUCUCAUUUCUCUUUCUCUCUUUUUCAUUUGUUGGGAAGUGUCGCCUAAAACACUUCCUCUGCUAGGUGGAAUUAUUGGCUUGAAGAGAUGAGUUCUUGUCACAAGCACAAAUUUUAUCUGUACAUUAUUUCAUUUUAAAUGAUGAGUUCUUGUCACAUGAUCAUUACUUUUUUUGUUUUGAUUUGGUUAGUUCAUGAUAACAAACAAAUUAUUUUGCAUCACAUUAUGGUAAAAAGUUGCCCUCUUUGUUACUUCCACAGCUAUAUAGUUUAAUAUUUUGUAAUAAGAUCACAAAGUGCAUGGGAACCACUGUUCGAGUACUUCAGCCUAAUAUGAAGAUCUAUUGAAAAUUUUCCUGAUGUCAUGAUAUUAAACAAAAAAAGGUACCUCUUUUACUAAUUAAUAAGAGAAGUUUUGACCGAUUUCAUGUGACUCUCUUUUACUAAUUAAUAAGAGAAUUUUUGGCCUUAUAUCCUUGCUGUGGCGUUAGACUGUUGGUCAUUUUGAUUGUUUCCUACUUUCCGUUUACGCCAGCUGUAACAUUGUAUUAUCACCAUUUUAGCCAUUUAAAUGAAAUUUAUUUUUGUCAAAAAUAAAAUGACACCCUUAAAAUUAAAAAAAAAAUAGUUAUGUAGACCUCAAAUUUUUAAUAAAGAAUGCCAAUACCCCUUUUAACUACAAGAUUCUUAGUAGAUGAUAACUAAAAAAAUUAACUUCAAAAAUUUUCACUAAAUAUAAAUCUAAUUGAAAUAGUUUAAAUUUUCUAGUAGACUAAUAUAUAUAACUUAAAUAAUUAAUUUCAUUAUUAAUUUUUAAAAUGUUAAAUAAUAUAUUUUAAUUUAUUAUAAAAAAUUUAAAUAAAUUCUUGGAUUAGAUAGAUUUUACAAUUAAUGUAAUACUGCUGAUUUAUUAAUAAUAUUAAAAUUAUUUUAUAUGAUAUUCAAAAUAAUUUAAACUUUUAUAUAUUUAUUUUAAUAUUAUGUCUAUUUAUUAUAAAUUUAUAAUUUGGUUUAAUAUAAUACGGGAUUGUAAAAUAUUAAAAUAUUUUUCAAUAUCAAAUUAUUUUAAUAUGUAUAUAUCAUUACAUUUAUUUUAAUAUUGCAUUUAUAUUUAUUAAAGAGUAUUGCAGUAAAGUAAAAAAAAAAAAAGUCUUAUUAUCCCUUAUUCACGAUAUGAGGUUCUACAGAAUUAUUUCCCCAAACGGGUGUCCUUUUCUCAUUUUCAAAAGAAAAAAUAAAGUAAGAAUAAGACCAUGGAUUUCAAAAAACUUAUAGUCCUAUCCCGGGACCAAACGUCUAUUCAUUAUUUUAUUUAUUCAAUAUAAAUGGCCAACUUAAAAAAAUGAUAAAAAUCACACAAAGCUCAAGUGAAAAUUUAGAAUUACAUUUUUUAAUACUCUCGGAGUCUUCUCUCCUGCCCCCUUUUUUUCUUAAAAAAAAAAACCUUAGUGUAAAAUUAGAAGAAUUUUAGAUAUAAAAUUUGACAAUCGCUAAACAGAAAAGCAGCGGAUUAAAAAUAGAGGAGCUCUGUUAUCAUUGCAAUAUUGAUUAUAGAUAAUAUAAUAACUUGUUGUGGUUCAUUGUAGCACUCUGAGCCAUACUUUAAAAUUUACUGGUUUGUUAAUGCUUUUAUUAUUGACAUUAUUGUGUCAAUAUUAUUAUAAUUUAUUCAUUUUAUUGUAAUGAUAAUUUGUCUAGUCUUAGGUACUUAUUAUAUUAAAUUAUGUAAAUUAAUUGAGAAUACUUUUACAGACAAAAGAAACACGUGUAUGUAGGAUUAAUAAGCGAAGAGUUGUAAAUGAAGCUGAUUGCUUCAUUGAGAUGCAUAUUAAAUAAUUAUGGAGAGUUGCUCUAUUUCAGAAGCAUAUAUUUAUACUUCCCUAUCAGGAUUUGGGGUAAGCGAAGUGCUUUAUGUAUUGCAGUAAGCAAAUGUGGGCAACAUCAGAGCCGAAAUAUUAAAAGAUCAUAACGCAUAUAAACGAUUAGUAUAUUCAAGGCACAUAUAGCGGAAAGAGUGCAGAUCUGGCCGUAACUAUUAUGAGGAUUUCCUCAAGUAAAUAUUAAAAGAACAACUAUUCUGAACUAUAUAUUCUUCAUUGUGGGCAGAUUUACUUAAAUACCAACACAAUGAUUCAAUACUUCAAAAGUCAAGGAAAUGUCAAAAUAUGAAAUGAAAAUACUUAAAUACCCUUCUCCCUAACAAAACUUAGUACUUCUAACUGCCAUCGCAGAGAAUAUAUAAAAUUUAAAAAAAAAAUCAUCCAUGAAAAGUUUCGUAACAGAAAAACCGUCUUUCAAAAAAUAAAAAAUAAAAAAUAAAAACAGAAAAAUUGACUCAUUUAUCUGCCAAUGAACCAGUCGGGACUCAUUUAAAAAAGAUUACAAAGCAAAAGUAAAUGACACAAAUUGCAUAGAUAUCUAAGAGCCGCAUCAAAGGACAAAGGUGUUAAUUUGUCCAAGUAAUAAAUUCUCCUAGGUCAAAAGCAAUUAACGAUGAAAACUUUCUUCAUUAAGGUUCUGGCCUACGUAAAAAAACAGAAAAAACCACCCCAAGGUCAAAGCACAACGAUAAGUUUAGAAUUGCAGUUUUUAAUUUUUCUUUUUAAUAAAUCAACGUGUAUUAAAAAUAGAUAAAAAUUUUGAAUAAUGUUUUUUUGAUAAAUAUAGACAUAAAAUUUAAAAAUCACCAAACAGAAAAACAGGGCAAUUAAAAGAGAGCCCUUGUUUCUCCUCUGUUUUGUUUGUUAUUAAACGGGGAAAUGAAAAGAUCGCAAGCAUAAAUUUUGUUUCUGCGUUGUCUCUUCUCAAUGUUGCAUGCAUUCAAAUUAAACCUUAUAUAUGAUAGCAAACUAGCUACUCUGCAUGUACGAUAAGUCUAAAUAAUAGAAUAAUUGUAAAAUGUUCAAAUUCAGUAAUUAAUUAUACAUAUUUAUUUAUUCAAAAAUUAUUAUUAUUAUUAAUUAUUGUCAAUAAUAUAUUAAUAUACUAAUUAAUUAUAAAAAUUUUUAUCAUUCAUAACAAUAACAAUGAUGAUGAUGAUGAUAAUAAUAAAAAUUCAAAAUAUAUUAAUUAAUUAUAAUAAUAUAUUAAUUAUUUAAUACUAAUAAUAAUAAAAAUGUAAAAUGUAUAAAUUGAUUAGAAUAGUUAUAUUAAUAAAUUAUAAACAUAUAUUAAUUAAUCAUAAUAAUUUUUUAAUUGAGGACAAAAUAGACAUUUUAUAGUUUGUGAGAGGGGGCAAAAUGGUCAAUUUUGGGAAUGGGAGAUUGAUUCCCACCACCUUCCUUGGGAAUCAAUUUUCCAUUCCUCAUUCCUAAAUUUGGGUGGCCCCAUAAUUCUGAUUUGGAUCCCUGCCUCCAUCAUUAAUGAUUUCGAUUUCGGAUUCCGAUUCCCCAAUCCAAGAAGUAAAGGCACCAUUAUUGUUAAUUGGUUCAAACACACAAAGAGAAUGUACCGUGUAGCUAGGCGUCAAGGUUGUGUUGCACAAGUAACCUUUUUCUUUUCUUUUUAUUUUUCUUGUUUUCCUUAACGGAUCAGAAGAAAUUGGUGCCUUUGAGAUACCACAAUGUAAAUAAUUAUUUGUGGUUCAUUGAAUCUGUAACACUCGGUACCCUAGGGUUGCUUUGGAAAAAGGGCUUUUCUCACCGAUCGCCAAUAUCCAAGUAAGUUUGUUUCAUUUCAGAAGGUGCAAAGUUUCAAACUUGUUGUAUUGGGAUGUAACAAACUUUGGCCUUAUAUGCCUGCUGUGACGUGAGACUGUUCAUUUUGAUUGUUUCCUACCUUCCACUUACGCACUGUAGCACUGUAUUAUUCACCAUUUUAGCUGUUUAAAUGAAAUUUUAUUUUUGUCAAAAAUAAAAUGACACCAUUAAAAUUUAGAAAAAUAAUCAUGUAGAUCCCAAAUUUUUAAUAAAGAAUACCAAUAUUCCCCUUGACUACAAUACCCUUAGUAGGUGGUAAUAAAAAAAAAUUGGCUUAAAAUUUUUACGAAAUGUAAAUAUGAUUUAAAUAAUUUAAAUUUUCCAGUAGACUACUAUAUAUAAUUUAAAUAAUUAAUUUAAAUAUUAAUUUUUAAAAUGUAAAUUAAUUUAUUUGUAUUUAUAAAAUAUUUGUAAUUAUUUUAAAAUUUAACUAAAUCCUUAGGUUAAAUAGAUUUUACAAUUAAUAUAAUAUUUCUCAUGUAUUAAUAAUAUUAAAAUUAUUUUAUAUGAUAUUGAAAAUAACCUAAAUUUUUAUAUAUUUAUUUGAAUAUUAUGCUCUAUUUAUUAUAAUUUGGUUUAAUAGAAUACGAGAUUGUAAAAAAUUAAAAUUUUUAGAUAUUGAAAUUAUUUUAAUAUGUAUAUAUUAUUAUAUUUAUUUUAAUAUCCUAUUUAUAUUUAUCAUAAAUUAUUAGAGUUAAUUUUUUUAGUUAAUAAAUUUAAAAAAUAUUAUAAUUUAAAAAAAAGUCUUGUUGUCCGUUAUUCACGAUAUGAGGUUCUACAAAAUUAUUUCUCCAAACGGGUGUCCUUUUCUUUUUUUCAAAAGGAAAAACAAGUUCAGGGCCUCAGGGGUUUCAAAAAAUUCUGGUCCUAUAUACCACUAUGACUAAUGGGAAACGACAUUGCAAUUGACAUUGCUUUCCACAAUAUGAUAGAUUAUUGGAGGGAUAUGAGAGAAUUGUCAAACGUUCACACACGCGAGAGCUUUAGGUGGGAUAGGGGAGGAUUGUCAAGAGUUCACACCACGAUAAACUAAUGAUAGGCCUAAUUUUGUUGUCAGUUCUUUAUUUAUUUAUUUUAUGUAUAUCAUACAUUAUUGUAUUUUGUCAAGGUAUAAUAGUACAAGUAAAAUACUAGGGGUGCUGUUAAGUUACAACUUAUGUAACUUGCAAUUUUUUCAAAAAUUAUGUAAAAAAUUUAAUAGGUGGUGGAACCCACAUAUUUUUUAAGAGACUUAAGUUACAGCAGUUGUAACUUAACAAAAUCUAAAUAUUAGACAAUAAUGCAUAUAAUUUGGGUUUGAUUUUUAAAAGAUUAUUUGAGUACCACCUAUCCUUAUGAUAUUAAUGUGAUUAUAUCUUAAUAUUAAAUAAUCAAAAUUUGUUUAAUUAUUAUUUGUAUUUCAUACAUUACAUAUUAGAUUUGUUUGAAUUUUAAGUUGUUGCUAAUAAAUAUUUAUGUUGUCAAAGUCAAAGUCAAUAGCUACAAAAGUAGAGAUAAUGGUAUUGUAUAUAGUUUUUAAGAAUGCAAGGAUAAGCUGGAUAAUUGACAUAAAUUCUAAUGAUUAAAAGAGCAACUAUCCCUUAAGUUAUAAUGUCAAUUUCUUUAAUUAGAAUUUUUUUUUCAUGUGAUAUAACCUUAAUUGCUACAAUUUUUUUUAUAAUAAUAAUGGGAGUUAUAAAUUAUUUAUAUAAAAUUUGGGUUGAAACUAAUGUAACCUAAAAGUGGUUGCUGAAUAACAAUAUUUGAAACUUUAGGUAAUUUUCAUGAGUCCUUUUUAUAUUCAACAACUUGAAUUGGGGGAAAUCCGACUUGAAUUGGCGGUUGAUUUUGGUGAUGUGGCUUUCGGUUUACGCCGGCUUUACAGUGGCGGAAGACUGGAUUUACGGUUGCCGACUGCUAGGGAUUAUGGUGGUAGUGUAAAUUGACGGAAAAAGAAGGUGUUUUGGUGGCGGCGCGUCUAGGAAGCACUCGUGGGUUGUUGUUUCGUGUGGUGACAGCGGGCGGCGAUCAAGGGCUGAAGUUGGUCGGUUUUUGGUCAGCAGAGGCCGGCGAGUUUGUUGGUGGAGGUGGCUGGUGGAGAAAGUGGCUGAAUGGUGGUGGGUUGCUUGGUGGAGCCGCGGGUUUGGGUUGGUGAUUUGCGGCUGUUCAAGCGGUGGUUGAGGCAGCGAUGACUAAGGCUUGGUCGACGGUGGCUAGGGAGGUUUGUGGUGGUGUUGGCUGGCUGAUCGGCGGUGGUGGACGGCGGUGGAGGUUGAUGUGACAGGUAGGGUUUUCAAAUUUGUAAAUUUUUUUUUUGAUGGAUUUGGUUUGGAUAGGUAUGGUGUAUCUAGGAAAGAUGUGCGAUUCGCACAUAAUCAUUUUGAUACCAAUUGAUGGAGCGAGGCGUAGCGGAAGCAGAAUUGAUAGGGUAAGAAACAUUAGAUAUCGUUCUAGUACUAGACCAAGCCAACACGAUUAGUUUACGCUCUAAUUGAAGCGUGAUUAGAUAUCGUUAUAAUCCAAAUGACUCAGUGAGAUUUUUAAUAACGCGUAAUACGAGAUUAGAUGACACUCUAAUCCAAAUGACUCUACAAAAGAGAUUUUGAUAACUAAUCCUAGAGGAAAUUAUAAAAGAGGGGGUUUAUUUAAUAAUUGAACUUGAAGUUAUGAAAAUAAUGACAAGACAUCUUUAUUUUUUUUAUUACAGGCAUCUUUAUUUAUAAUAGAAGAAACCCGCUUUCCUAAGUUAACCUAAAAAGAAAAUUUAAAUCAUAAUUAUAAUGGAAAUAAAAGAUUAAGAUACAUACCAUAAUUAACUCAAACUAAAAUAGAAAAUCAUAAAAUAAUAAAUAUUCUAGAAUUAUAAAUUAUCUAAAAUAACGUUAAUUAACUUCCUAAAUCACUUCUUUGGUGUAAACCAUUUUGCAUCCAUCCUCGCUUUAAAGGUUUGAACCAACGUUACCAACAAUAAUGUAUCAAAGUCCAAUCUAACUUAAGAUCUUGAUACAUCUACCGAUGUCCUUGUUUGAUUAGACAAUAAUGAGUCUAUCUCAUCACUUGUUACCUCUUUCUUGAAGGCUGCAUCUGUUGAAGUGAUAGUCUCGCUUAGAGUUUAAAGAUCUUCUUCCAUGUUAAAUAAAAUGGGCAUUUGAUUAAAAAACUUUAUCUCUAUCUCCUUCUAUCAAAUAACGACAACUAUCCGAAGGAAAAAAAAAAUAGAAAAGUCCAUGGGUCACAAUAAUUUAUGGUCUGUCCCCGGACCCCAUUAUCUGCCACUAUCAAUGAUGAAAAUGAAAAUAAAUGGCAUCUUCCCAAAAUGGCGAAAGAUUUUUGGGGGAUAUGGGGGAAUUGUCAAAAGUUCACACAACGCGAAACAAGUGUUACAUCCAAUUUUAUUUCGUCAUAUAAUGAUAAUAUCAAAUAAUGACAACCAUCCAAAAGUAUGAUGGGUCUUCCAAAAUUUUGAAAAUGUCGUCAACAUUUAAUCUUCAAUGCUAAAGAAGAUGAAAUGACCAAAAAUGACACGCAUGACUCACUCACAGACUAAAUGGCUCUGACCACAUGUAACAAACUUUGAUCUUAUGUCCUUACUGAGGCGUUAGACUGUUGGUCAUUUUGAUUGCUUUUUACCUUCCAUUUAUGCCAUUGUAGCAUUAUACUAUUCACCAUUUUAGCUGUUUAAAUGAAAUUGUUAUUUUUUUUCCAAAAAUAAAAUGGCACCCUUAAAAUUUUAGAAAAUAGCCAUGUAGACCCCAAAAUUUUAAUAAAGAACACUAAUAUCCUUUUUUACUAUAGUACUCUUAGUAGAUGGUAACAAAAAAAAAAAUGACUGUAAAAGUUUUUACUAAAUGUAAAUAUGAUUUAAAUAUUUUAAUUUUUCUAGUAGACUAGUAUGUAUAAUUUAAAUAAUUAAUUUUUAAAAUGUAAUUUAAUAUAUUUAUUUUAAUAAUAUAUUUAUUAUAAAAAUUUUAAACAAAUCCUUGGGUUAAAUAGAUUUUAUAAUUAAUAUAAUAUUUCUCAUGUUUUAAUAAUAUUAAAAUUAUUUGAUAUGAUAUUGAAAAUAAUUAAAACUUUUAUAUAUUUAUUUGAAUAUUAUGUCUCUAUUUAUUAUAAUUUGGUUUAAUAGAAUCAAAUGAAAGUGUACAUGUACAAGAAGAAAGAACCAUACACCAAGUAAAACGUAAAAAGGAUUAAAUAAAUGACACCAAUCCCCGGCAACGGCGCCAAAAUUUGAUGGUUGUCGAAGCCAACAAAAAUAAAUUCCUACUCUAAAUAAAUUGUGUAUAGUGAUUGAGCAGGGUCGUGUCCACAGAGAUCGGUAAUUAUUUAAAUCCUUUUAAAACGUAAAACAUAAAAUGGGGGUUUUGUUGACAAUAAUAAAAAUCAAAUUAAAAUAACAAGAAUGCAAAUUAAAGUUGUAAUUCAAAUUAGAGAAAGCUCUGGUUGAAGGAAUUAACUCAGCUUGAUUCGACUACUGAUCAUUGAUUCAAAUAUAGAUUAUUAUUACUUAUUAAUAGACCGGUUAUAGCUAUUGAGACCCUCUAAUAGCCAAUUUGUCCUUAACUAGUCGAUAACCAAGGUACGACCGUCAGAUAUUUCCCUAAUCAACAGACAACCCUAGAUACGAUCAUAGGAUUUAAUCAAUUGACAGCCUGAAAAACCAGAGAGACCCAAAUCCUAAUCAACACAUAUGAUGAUUCAUUUAAAUUAGAUUGUUUAUUCUCAUAACACAACUCACUGCUAUGUUAUUUGUCACAAACAUUAAAAUCUUCAUACGAUGAAUCCUUUAAUUGACAAUAGAUUAAGUUGAUAAUUAAAUAGUGGCCAAUUACCUAAUUAACAAACAUAAUCAUGAAACUAAUUCAGAGAAUAAACAAAUACCCAAAAAGUAAUAAAACAAUUAAAGCAUAAGAAAGAUCUCACAGUAGUGAUGAAUCAAAGCUUCAUUAACCUUCAACCAGAAAAAUAAGUUUAGUUCUUCAUAGAGAGAAGAGAAAAAUUAGAUCUAGGGUUUUUUUCUUUUUCUCUCAUCCCCCUUUUUCACUAUAGAUUCCUCCCUUAAAUACUCUCUCUCUCUUCUCUUUUAGAGUUCUAAUUAAAAUAAAAUACUAAUAUCUGAAAUAUUAAAUUCGUAAUUACAAAAAUAACCAAAAAUACAAAACAUGUUAAACUAAAAACUACAGGUCCGCAGUUGACAGCACGCGCCCACGCCUUAUCAAGAAAGUUCUUCUGACUCUCUAAAUUUCUCCAAGAGAACAAUCAUCUUUAAACAUCAUCUUAUAACUCAAUUUUAUCACAAAUCAAUAGAAUUGCACCUACAAAAGUACAACACAAGUAAAUCAUUAUUAUUAAGUGCAAAACAUCGAUAUUAAGGGAAGUAGACAAUGCAAAACUAGUGCAUAAAUUGCACUCUAACAAGUUCACACCACGAGAAAUUAAUGAUAGGCCUAAUUUCGUUGUCAGUUCUUUAUUUGUUUAUUUUAUUGAUUUCAUACAUUAUUGUCUUGUUGGUACUAUUUUGUAAAGAUAUAAAAGUACAAGUAAAAUAUUAGGGGAAGUAAAAUAAAAUAUUGGAGGUGCUGCUAAGUUACAGCUGCUGUAACUUACAGUUCCUUCAAAAAUAAUGUAAAAAAUUUAACAUGUGGUGGGACCCACAUUAUGUUUGAAGAGGCCGUAAGUUAUAGCAGUUGUAAAUUAGUAAAAUCCAAAUAUUAGAUAACAAUACACAUUAACAAUGCAUAUAAUUUGGGUUUGAUUUUUAAAAAAAUUAUGUGAGUAUUACCUAUCCUUAAGAUAUUAAUGAGAAUAUAUUUUAAUAUUAAAUAAUCAAAAUCUGUUUAAUCAUAAUAUGUAAUUCAUACAUUGCAUGUUAGAUUUGUUUGGAUUUUAAGUUGUUGCUAAUAAAUAUUUAUGUUGUGAAAGUCGAAUUCAAUAGCUACAAAAGCAGAGAUAAUGGUAUUUUAUGUAGUUUUUAAGAAUACAAGGAUAAGACCAUAACGCAUGAGAUAAUGGUAUUUUAUAUUAAAAGACCAUAACACAUGUAUUUGAGCCAUUUAUAUUGAGGACACAUAUAGAGCGAAGAGUGCAGAUCCGGCCGUAACUAUUGUGAAGCUUUCCUCAAGUAUUCUCAUGCACGCAGACCUUAGCUGGUCAAGUUUUCUGAUUCAAUAUAAUCAAUUUCCGCGCAGUACUAACGACAGCUUCUUUGUAAAGCUCUUCAACCACAAGCAUUUCUACAAGGCAAAAGACUAGGACGUGUCAGAAUGAAUAUCAAUAAGGGAAUGUCUUAUGAAUUUAGUUUAUAUCCUAAUAUAAGACAAUCAAUAAAUAUUAGAUGCAAUCUAAGGGAAUGUCUUAUGAAUCCUGAUUGAUGGCCUCUCACAGUCAGUUAUAUGACAAAGUAGCCACCACAACAAACUUGAACUUGGCUGGAGGUCUCAUUAGCAGUAUACCUCAGAAAUUAAGACAAAGACUUUAAAAUGCAAACUUAUGGAGCAAUUUAAGCACUGAAACUAAUAACAGUACUGUAUUAGCAAUUGACCUCUGCUUUUUUCUUGGACAAAGGUUCUCAUCACAAGGGACUCAUUAGUUGCCCUUGCCUCAAACGUUUGGAUGCUAAGGGGAAAAAGGAAGUUUGAAUUAGUCAAUCUCAUUUCUAAUGGCAUUCACAGAGAACCUAUAAAACAAAAAAAUUAUAAAAAAAAAAAUCAUCCAUAAUUCGCCAAACCGAAAAGAAAAACAGGGGAAUGAAAAGAGAGCCCACGGGAAUGAAGAGAUCAGCUCUUGUCGCGAAAAUGCAGUCGACUGUAACUAUAUCCGGGUCCCUAGUACUUAGAAGUAAAUGCUCUUGGAAUUUCUAUUAUAGAUUGAUGUUUCCCGUUCAAAUAGCUCUUCCGAUACCAUUAACAUGUUCAUCUCUCUAUAGAUUGAUGUUGACAUAGAUGUUAUUCUACUUUUGCUAGUGGAGUUUUCCUUGUACAGGUAUGUAUGAUUGUUUUUUUUGCACUUCUAAAUGGACACUGUUGAAAAGCUUAAAAUUGAACUGAUAAUUUUGUUUGGAAGCUCAGAAAAUUCAUGAGAAAGUGAAAUAGAAUAUUCUGGAUUUCUUUUCUUUCCAUAAUAUACAAAUGACAAACGUAGCAGUAUUUAUACUCGUUGCUUACAUCAUAAAAACAGAAUUAAAACAAGGUACACAACUAUAACAGAAUCAAAAGCGUGCUUAACUAAUUGGCAGAGCUGGCAUAUACUUCUUUAACUAACAAUGCUGCUGACUGGACUUUAGCUCACACAUGCUUAUCGUGCAGCUACUCUUAGUUCACACGUGCUCAGUCUGCUGUUGGCCCAAAGUUGGAACCAGAGAUAUCAUGACUCUGGUUUCAUUUCACCUCAACUGUGUUUUUUUUUUUAAAUUAAAAAAAUCAUUUGUUUUAGGUAUACAUACAUGUAUUUUGAUUCUAUUUUCAUUGUAAUUUCUCAUUUACUUUGAAUGAAAGUCAUUGGUGUUUUCGAAUGGGAAUUUUGCAUUAAAAAAUGAAGAAUAGUGAUUUUUGGAGUGUAAUUAGUAGUAAAGUUGGUUUUUACUCGCAAACAAGUGAACUGCUCGAUUCCCGAGUGGUAUCAACCAGUUUCCAACUUUUUAAUAUACACUAAUUGUUAUUGUUUAAUAGCUACUACUAUUAAAACUCGACAUCUAACAAAAAUACUUAAAAAAAAUGAUUUUUCUUAUGAUGCUGUAAAAAAAAAUUACGGGUUUACUUCUUUCCAUGAGAUCUAUAACAUGGUCUUGACUUCACGAAAUUCUUUUAAUUUAAAGCUUGCUGGUGUGAGAAGGUCAGUUUGACUGAUUAAUUCUUUUUAACAGUGGUCGAGAUAAUUUUACUAUCUAAUCGAAUGUUAUGCUGUUUUCUUUUUCUAAUCUGGUGUGAGAUAAUUAAUUCUUUUUCACAAAUGCUAUGCUGUUUUCUUAGGCUAAGGAUCUUCUAUCAGGAGAGGUUAGAAAUUCAAUGCUUAAAAGAGAAUAAUACAGAAAUUUAGGCAGAAUCUAAUCGAAUAUUGCAUGAAACAUGAAAAAUCAAUUCAAGUCCUUUCUUUAAACGGAGAAUGCAUCAAACAAAAUCCAAAGUGUCUUGCACGUCUGUAGCAUGAGCAAAAAAUUGUAAAUAUGUAGAACCAAAUUAUUCAAGUACAGAAGAACGAGCAAGCUAAAUCAUGUAUAAGAGAUUGGCCUGGUUCGGGAUAGCUUCUUCACUGUACCUGAAGGAUUGGCUCAAUCUCUUCUUUAGAAUUCUGCAGAUUUUGUAAUUACUCGUGUAAGCAAGCAUACAUUGCCACCAUAAGAAUAAUAAAGCUAGAGUAAUGAUAUGACCACCACCUCUUGUGCACAAACAAUAUUGUAUAAACUAAUGCGACAUAAUAUGAUUGGUUAAACAAAAACAUUACAUGGCCCUCAUAAUUUAUUUAUUUAUUUAUUUAUUUAUUAUUAUAUUUUUUCAGUAAACCAAUCAUAUUAUAUCACAUUAGUUUCUAUAAAAUAAUUUGCUAAAUAGCACCAAAACUUAAUUGAUACUCACCAUUUCAUUGAACAAUUUUUUUAUGGUGUCAUUGAGAUUGCCUUCCCAACAUCCUUCAUCAUCAUCAUCUUCAUCAUCAUCAUCAUCUUCUUCAUCAUCAUCUUCUUCAUCAUCAUCUUUUUCUUCUUCUGUGACGUUCACUUUGUUUAGCAUUGGUGUGUCUAAGACUCCUUGAGAGAAGAUCUUCAUUUUUGGACACUGUCUCACAACUACUGGUUUCAAGGACGGGAAUUCAAGAGCGUAAUUACCCGAACAAAAGCUUGUUAGGCUUGGCAAACAAUCAAGUCCCAAGUACUCCAAUUCCUCGAAGACAACGCAACCUUUCGCUUCUUCUCCAACCUGCAAUUGUAUGAUUUGUUCUAUCAUUUUGCAAUCAGCUAUCUUCAUUCUUUGAAGAGUCACUAGACUUUCAGAUGUUGAGAGCGUCAAUAAAUUUAUCAACCCAUGACACUUCGAUACUUCCAGAGUCGCAAGAUUUUCCAAAUGCCACGAAGCUGGUACUAAUUUCUGCAACUUACUACAUUCAAAUAUUUCUGGACUUUUCAAGUUUGCAAACACUUUGUUGGAUUUGGCAUUUUCCUUCCAGAGAUGCUGCACUUUGUGUAAUCCAGAUAGCUUUAACUUCAUCAAUUGAGGGAAUGCAACCUGAAAAUCAACAAAAUUAAGUUGUAAAUGAAAAUAUGUAUCCAAUCUCUGCAGUCUUCCCCUGCAUAUUUUAUGAACAAGAUUAAUCACGACAUUUUAUAUUUUAUUUCCAAAUUAGUAUGCUUUGCAGUAGGAUCCCAAAUAUAAGUAUCAAAUCGAUUACCCUUUGAAACACAUAAAUGAAAUCUGAUGCUAAAUCCAAUAUGAAUUAGCUAGGAAAACAGAGAUGUAACACGCAUAAUCGAUAUAGUUCAUCGCCUUAUGUCACCAGGCAUCUAAUUAAUUUAAGACAUUUUUAUAAUUCAUACUAUAAAGUUAGUUAAUAACAGAGGUUAUAUUGUUAAAUCAGAUAUAAAUUAAGACGACCUGCAAAAAGAUGAGUCAUUAAGUUUGAUUUGAUUCUAAUGAAAUUACAUCUGUGCGAACGAAAGUGAAGGCAAUAAUAAUAAUAAUAAUAAUAAUCACCUUUUCAUCGAAGAGGGGUUGUACUUGAUGAGCCAGCAAGAAGUUCUCUUCUGAUGUUAAUUUUUGAGGUUUCUUGUUAUCUGUUGUCACGUGCACUAAAGAGUUGGAUAUGAAUGUUUCCAUAUCAGGGCAAUUCUCAAUAGUUAGAUUCUCCAACUCAAGCAUUUCAAUUAUAUUCCCAGUGAAGUUGCAGAAUCUUUUGAGUUUUGGAAGGUCAAUGAGCCUUAGCUCGAAAAGCUUAGGAAACAGGGGACCUAUAUGUUCUUUGUCAGCAUUUAGCACUUCCAAAUGAAGCACCUCUUCCAGUGAAUCACAAUUCCUCACUUCCAACCAUUCCAAAUUGUUCAAGCACCGUAGCAGAUUGGCAGGAAUAGCACUCGACAUAUUCGUGCAGUCAUCCACCACCAGGUGUCUUAAAUUGUUGAAGAAGCUGACAGGCAGUGCUUGGCCAUGCGAUAUUUCUUUCAAACGUGGAAAAUGUGAGAAUUGCAAAAACUCCAUGUCACGAAAUCCAAUCUGCUCAAACCAAAACAAUUGCACUGGAUAUAUACAAUUUUUUUUUUGAAAGGCAUUAGAUAUAUAUAUAUACAUUAAACUUACAUGUUUUGUGUUUUAACUUCUAAAAAUAUAUUUAAAUGUGCAAGUGCAGGGGAGAUGCAUGAACAAUUUGGAUGAAUCGAUUAACACAUACCAUUUCUUCGUAACACUUUUGUAUAGUGGAAUUAAGCUUAUUGCCUUCCCAAUGGUGCAGUUCACCCCCUUCCUUUUCAGUCACUUGCACUUUGCAUGGCUUUGGAAUGGAUAAGAUUCCCUGAGAAAAAGUCUUCAUGUUUGGACAACGUAUCAUAGAAACUCGUUCCAAUGAUGGGAAUUCAAGAGUGUAAUUCUCCAAACAAAAGCUGGUAAGCCUUCGUAAAUCAUCAAGUAUCAAAACUUUUAAUUCGCUGAAAGCAAUACGAUUCUCCUUCGCUUCUUCUCCAACAUGUCCUACGAUUUCUUCUAAUUCUUUGCAAUCCGAUACUUUAAGAUUCACCAGACUACUAGGAAUUCCAACCUGAAAAUAAGCAAAAGUGUGCGCAUGUGUGGUGUAUUAAAAAAGUAUGUUAAUCAUACAAUUAUGCAUUUUAUAAACAUAACAAACCAUGAAAUGUCUACUAGAUAAUUUUUUGUUAAACAAAAACGGAACAAGAUAAAUAAAUAAAUAAAAUCCAGAUAAACAAAGAUAAUAAAAAUACAUUUACACUAUUUAGUAUUAGAAACGUAGAAAUAAUUUAAGGCAAUUUCUAAAUAUUUUAGACUUAUUUUGCAUCUUGAUAUCAGUUUUUAAGCAUAAAUUUGCAAAUUUCAACUAUUCCUUCUUUUUUUUUUAAAAAAAAAGGGACCAUUUUCCUUGGUCCCUUUUUUUUAUGUAUAUUUAAAAAUGGAAAAAAAAAUUUGGAAAAGACUUCCCAAUACUGUCAACGAGGGACUGCUGUAAAGUGGAUCUUUAUUAAGUACUUCCAGACUAGAGGAAAUUUCUUUACAAUCAAGGGUCAGUUGUAAAUAAUCAUGAAUUUGUGGUUAAUUAAUGGCAUAAUCAAUUCGUAACUAAACUAGAGAUAUUAAUUAAAUUUGAAGACUUUUAUUUUCUUUUUUUCUUUUUCCAAUCGAAAUGUGAAGAAUUAAGGAAAAGAGAAAUAUAUAGAUGAAUUCGUGAACCUAUAAGAUGAGUGACGAUCCUUUAAUUUUUGAAAAUCGUACUUAUUAAGAUAUGAGCAAAAACUAUUUAAUUGAAUUAUAUUAUGCUGUUGAAUCGUGUUUAAAAAAUUUAUAUUGUUGAUUCUAAUGCUGACGAACCUAAGAUACUUGAAAUAAAUAAUCAGUUUGCUGGCUGAAUAUCAUUUGUAAACAAAAAAUGGUUAAAAUAUUGUUGGAUGUAAUUUGAAAAAAAAAAGAUUCGAAAUGAAUACAGCAACCUUACCAAUGGAGGAAAAAUAUUCAUUAGGUUAUCACACCCAAUUAUCUCCAAAUUCUUCAAUUUGCUGAAAGACUCCGAAGCAAGCUGGUGGUGCCAUAUUUUUCUCAAAUUAUCCAUCAACCUAAUACGUAAUACCUCCAACCUAGUAAGUCGUACCUGGCAGUUAAAGAUUAAAUAACUAAUUAAUCAAUUAAUGGCAUAAUCAAUUGAUAACUAAAUUAGAGGCGGAUAUUAACUAAAUUUGAAGACUCAAGGAAAAGACAAAUUAAAUAUUGUGACUAAAAUUAAAUUUUUUUAUUAAAAAAAAAACCUUUUUGUCAAAGAGAGGAGGAGGUUGCAUUUCAGAAUGAAUGGUGUCUUCUGGUGAGCUCGUAGAGAUGAAUCUCGACAUACUGUUGCACCAACUAAUCUCGAGGUUUAGCAAAGAAGGGAAUUCAACAACUAAAUCUGAAUGAAUAUGUCCCGUAUUGGCAAAGCUUGUUAGUUCUGGAAGAAAAUGGAGCUUGAGGGAGUGUAGUUUAGGAAAAACCUUUAAUUCAAUCAACUUUCCUUCUUCUCUUUCUGACCACCCCGUGGUGUCGACCACCCCUUCCAUUGACUCACAAGACCGUAUUUCAAGAUGUUGGAGUUGCAAAAGACUAUUAACCAUAGAAUACGAAAACAGAUACUUCAUACGAUGACAACUGCUCACGUACAGCUUUGUUAAAUUUUGACAACAGUACAUUCCUUGAUUAUGAUCGGCCCAUAAUUUUUUCAUGUUUCUUAAGUCCCUGAGAUUCAAUUCCUCUAACCUCGGAAGAAUAACCUGCAAAGAAAACCCGUACAUUUUUGUUCCUUCAAGUACAACCGUCUAGUAUAAUAUUCUUUUGAUGAUCGAAGAUUAAUCGUGAUAAUAAAUUAAUCAAUUAAUUAUUGAACAGAAAAUUAUCACCUUUGGAGCAGUAUCAUCAUCAGCAAUGAUUUCGUUGAAUCCCAAAGAAGUUGUUGGUUUCUCCCUGUCGGGUCCUAUAAACAAACAAAAACAAUAUAUACAUAAUUAAUCUUUGUUGUUUUUUUUUUUCCAAAAUAAUUGAGGAGAAGUCCAUAAUCCCACCAAUACUUAACUUCAACACUCACCAAAAAUCAUUUCCAGAUCACCGCAAAGAGCCACUUCUACCUUUUGAAGCCGCAGUAGGUUUUUGGCCAUGGAGAAUGAGAAAAGAUGCUUCAAUUUGUGACAGGCUUCUACUUCUAUAAUCCUUAAGUUGCUGAAAGAUUGAUCUUCUGUGAGUUGGCUGUCACAUAUUGUCUCCAAAUUGUUCAAAUAGCUAAGAGACAAUGACUCCAGCAAGGGAAAGACUGUACAAUGAACCCGUCCAACUGAACCGACAAUAUGCAAAAUCUCAGAACAACUUUCUACCCAAAGAUGCUUCAAUCGUGGAAAACCUUCCCCAUCAUCUAAUUCAUGAACAACAUUCUGAACACCCUUCAGUUCGUUUAGAUGGAUCUCUUCAGCUUCCUUCAGCAACAUUUUCGUCCCAUAAUUCUCCAAAAGAGUGCUAACAUUUUCUAGCCCAUCGAGCUCCACCAUUCUUGAUGUUUUAGAAUUAACGCCUCACAUGCGCCACGCUUCUCCUAUACAUAUCUUAUAUCUUUGCAAUUCCACAGAGACCAAAUCCUGCGGUAGAAUUUCGGCAUCCCGAACGUGUAUCUCCAAGGUAGUUAGCUUUGACAACCCCUUCAAUUCAGCAAGACUGGCGUUACUUCCUCCUUCAACCUUAUCCCACUGCGAAAAGCUGUCACCCAUAUAUAGUUCUUCCAAUCGUGAAAAUUUUGAUAUGACAUUUGGUGCUAUCACUACAAGGCUCCUACAAUUGCUCAAAUCUAGCAAUUGUAACCGCGUCAAUUGACCGAUUUCAAGUGGUAACUGCUUAAUGUCGGAAUAUCGAAAGCUAAGAAUCUCUAAUUUCUUUAGCUGUCCAAUUGCCGCUACAUCUUCUUGUUGGCACCAGUCUAAACACAAUGUUUGAAGGUUAAUGAGGCGACCUAGUGACGAAAGUAAUGAAGAGAAAUGAAUUCCAGUAAAAUCUAAAACUUUGAGUUCUUCUGUCCCUUCAAAAAAGAGGUCUGAAACUUGCAUAGGGCCAUUACCCUCCGUAUACAACAAAAAUAACUGGAGAUUGGGACAUCCCAACCUUUCGGGAAGCUCUUGAAUAUCUCUAUAAGGUAAAGAAAUAGCAAUUGGACCUUUCUGUAUUGUCUCUUCCAUCUUUUUCUCCACGUCAGCAACAUUUGGAAUAUUAAACAUGCGCUUCUCUGCUGCAAUUGAUACAGCAACAACAUGAAUGACGUCAUGCAUUUUAACUUCAUCUUUGGCAUCACCGUCCAACAAUAAGCAUGAAGAUUUGAGAUUGUCGAUCAACCGAUGCACUCUACUCCUUGCUUCUUCCAAUGUGUAAACAUUUUCAAACAAACCCCAACCCACACCAUGUCUCAAUAAGUCAGAAACGGGUAUGACAUUACCUUCACUGUAUAGACCACAAAGACGGAACAGAGAUUUUGCCUCCUCACUUUCCAAGAAUUCAUAACUCAAUUUUAUGGAGGUGUACACAUUUGCUUGCAUGCCAUGAAUUUCUCUUGCAUCCGAUCUUCUUAGCUGAUUCAAUGCAUCUUGCCAAAAGUAACGCUCCUUAGUUUUCAGAGCAUUUGCAACUGUACUCAGUGCAACAGGCAAACCUCCGCAUCUUUCAACGAUCUCAUUUGCUAUACUUUGAAAAGCAGAUAUUUUAGUUGAAUCACCCACUAUCUUCUCAAAUAACUGCAAUGCUUCUUUUCGUGGCAAAGCAUCGAUCGGGAAAUUUUUCUGAGAAUUCAUAUCAAUGCUCAAUAAAUCUUGCUUUCUAGACGUCAAUAUUAUUGUGCAUCUUCUCUGAUCAUCCUUUCUAUCUUUCUCAGCAACAUCUCCAGAAGGGAUUCCAACCGCAUCCAACUCAAGUCUUGUCCAAAUAUUAUCCAAUAUAAUGAGGACCCGCUUCUCUUUCUUCAAUACUCGACGUAGUCGAUUUGCUCUGUCGAAUAUAUUCUCAUUCAACUCAAACUUUAUGCCUAAAUCUGAAGCGAGUUUGUUUUGAAUUUGCUGAUUAUCUGAUUCAUGUGUUAGCUCAGCCAUAACGACCUUAUCGAACAACUUAUCUUCCAUCACUUGCUUUCUAACUUGCCUGACUAGCGUGGUUUUACCCACGCCGCCCAUGCCGUAGACCCCAAUUAUGUUGAGCUUAUCAUCCUUCAACGCCUCCAUAACAUCCUGUAAUACUUUCUUUCUUGAAUCAAAGGCCUCGUUAUCUUUCCCGCCCCUAGGUGAUUCGCUCUCUGGAGGAGGAUCGUAGGAAACAUCACUCUUCAGUUUGUCGCCUUUUUCCAUGAGAUUAGCAGCAUCUUUUGCGGCCUUUGCUGCUCGUUUACUGAGUUUGUAACGAGACAACAAAUUUGGACACAAUCCUUUGAAGCAGGACUUCUUGGCUCCAUCUUCUUCGUCAAUGAUAGAUUUUGCAACCCCCUCCGUAGAUUCAACCCUACUUCGCCAGUCUUUGACACGCUGAUAAAUCUCUUCCCCUUGUCGGGUAGCAUGAUAAACAUGUUGUUGCACCAUUUCGUUUAUACCUCCCAACUCCUUCACUUGAUCUUUCAGCUCUUCUAUGUAGCUCUGGUACUUGAACACAUAAGAGAUCUGCCGCAUAAUCGGUUCGAACAAUGCCUUUGUGCCUUCUGAUAUAAUGCUUGAAAAAACACCUUGACAGAAUUCUACAGCCAUUGCCUGCUGCUUAACGAUAUAUAUGUAGUUUUUGGCUGUUAAAAAAAAAAAAAUUGGAUUCAAAUAAAUUAAAUGAACUAGAGGGGAAGAAAAAGAAAGAAACGACAACAAACAACUUUUUAGAGAAAGGUUUGACAGGCCUAAAUGGAAAACCAACAACUUUUUGAAGAAAGAAAACUUUGGAAGAUAGAUGCAAAUUAACCGUUGAUAAUAAUACUACAUUAAGAACACAGAAGUUAACAAUAAACAGUAACUUAAAACUCAAGAAAAUUAAAUGACGAGAUUAAGACAAACAAGGGAUAGUUUUUGUUGGACAUUAAGAAACAACUGCUAUCAAGAUCAAGGAUUAGAAAUUAUGCUAUUAAAAGAAGUUAUUAAAGGAUAGUGCUCGUGACUGCAGGAAAAUUUCUAAUGGAAACAACUCAAUUUCAGAAGAAUUUAUCCAAUUGACUCUGUACUUGAACUCGUUGGAUUGGUUGAUUUAUGAUUGACUGAAUUUCAAUUCGGCCCAAAAGAUCUUUAACCAAAGUUUAAUAGCUAUCAUCUACUCCUUAAAAGCAAAUGUGUAUCUUUUUUAGAUUUGACUGAAUUUGAUCUUGUUGGAUUGGUUUUUUUUUAGACAAAGUUGUUUUCCUACUGAUUUUUAUUCUUCAAGUAAACUUAGAUACAAAGUAAAUCUAAAAAAAUGACAAACAAACAAUGAAAUAAACGACAACAAACUGGCAAUUUUGAUACAAAGCCAACAAAUAUUAAAAUUUAGAACAUUUUGUUUUCUUGCUUUCUUUUGUUGGAGGAUUAGAGAUUUUGGUAUUACCCGAAAGGUUUCAAGGGUCUGAGUAGAAACCUAUAAUCUUUUUAAAAACUUUUUUUUAAAAAAUUUUUUUUGGGGAAAAGGAUGCAAAUUAACCAAAGGAAAUAAUAAGAGCACAGGCUUUAUCAAUGAACAAAAACUUAAAACUCAUGCAAAAUAAUUCAAUAUUAAAACAAAUCACUGAGGAAUAUUUAAGAACAACUUGAAAGAGCAAAAAGAUCACUGAGGAAUGUGUGAGAAAAGAGUUGACGAGAGAAAUAACAAUGACUUGCAGAAGAAAAACCAUUAAUAAUUAUGUGCAUUUUUAUUUUAUUUUUAUCCGCAUGCACUUUAAUGAUUAGUGCUCCUUUCAUAAAGCAGCUACCGGAAACACACAAAUAUCAUUUGAGAGAGAAACUAAACAGCAAAUCAUCAAAGUAAGAUCAAUAAUAUAUUAUUUGGUUAAUGCAUAUUCAAGAACAAAAACAAAAAUAAAUAAAUAAAUAAAGAAGGUUUGAUUUUGUAUUGCCAACGCUGCUUUUUUGUUAUUUCAUUUGUUCUUUCCACAAAUGAUGCUUGGUUAUAAUUAAGUUUCACAUGGCCAUUACUUACAAACUGUGUUUGUGUUAACAGAAACAUGAAAUUCACAUCACACAAAAUUGCACUAUCAAUUCUUAAUAGAACAUAAUAAUAAUUACUCAACGCAUAAGGGUAAAUUUAGAAUUACAUUUUCUCAAUGCAGAAGGGUAAAUUUAGAAUUACAUUUUCUGAUUCUUUUUUAUUUAAUAAAACCCCAAUGGAAAAUCAUAAAAAUUUAGAUAUAUAAAUUUUCUCCACCAAACAAGAAAAAAAAAGGGGGAAUGAAAACACAGGAUUUAUUUUACCUCUCUUUCAUCUUAACUCUUUUUCAGGCAAACCAAAACAAAAAAAUUUCAAUAAAGAGCUAGUUGUUGAAAUUGAUUUAUCUUGUUUUUCAGGCUAUCUUGUGACGUGACGAUAGAUAAUGCUCGUGAAUGCUAGAAAAUUUCUAAUGCAAACAACUCAAUUUGGGAUGAUAAGCUUAAUUUUGCAAAUGACGAAUGUAAAUAACUUGUUUUGAUUAAUUGAAUUUGUAAUACUCUUACCCUAUUCUAAAAUUUGGAGGUUGCUUGAGAAAAAAGGGUAUUUCUCACUCAUCUUCAAUCCUCAAGUAAAAUUAGGUAAAAAUCAAAUCUAAAAAAUCACAAACAAAUUAACAAAAAAAAAAAAAAAAACAACAACAUUGAUCUUGAGACAAGUGAUAUUUAAACAGAGAAUUCUUUAUUCUUUUUUACUUCCCCCUCCCCCCCCGGGGGGCUCGAGGAUUAAAGUCUUGCUAUUAACAGAGAGGUUUUAAGAGUCUGGAUAAAACCCGUGCUUUUUUAAAAAACCACUUUUUUUUUUCUUUUCUCUUUUUUUUGGGAAGAUAGAUUCAAAUUAACCAAAGCUAGUAAUAAGAGCACAUACCUUACAAAUGAACAAUAACUUACAACUCAAGCAACAUAAAUGAUAAGAUUAAAACAAACCGGAGAAAUUUUUCUUGGAAAAUAGACGGAAAUUAAAUAAGAACUGCUGUUAAAAGAAAUUAUUAGAGGAUUUAGGAGCAUGUGUACCUCUUUAAUUAUUUGGGAUCAGAGAGUUGAUGAGCUCUCUAUUCGCCUUUAAUAUUGAGUAAGAACUGGUAUUAAAAGAAAUUAUUAAGAACAAUAUUUCAGUGAGCAAAAGAUCACUGUUAACUGCAGAGGAAUUUGCGAGUAAAAAUUAAGCUGAAAAGAGCAGUAACAAUGAAUUGCAAAAGAAGGAGACUUAAUCAAGCACCCCUUUUAUACCCGAUUUUUAAGAUUUAAUUUUGAAGUUCCCAAUCAAGAACAAAGACGAAGCUUUAAUGAAGCAUGCAGUGAGAUACAAGAAAUGGAUCGGGCAAAAUACCUUACGAAGCGUUUCAUAUUUUCUAAUGAAAUAAUUAAGUUGAAGUUUUCGACGAAUAAAUACUUGUUGUGCUUGAAUAAUUUUGGCAUAUACAUUACUUGUAUCCGGCGAAAUUGAAAAGCACAUUCAUUUACAGAGCUUGUUAGUAGGGAAAAGCUUCGUAAGAUGCCUGAUAAAAGAUAAAGCAAAAGCUUGAAUGAAGAAUGACAUUUUAGAAAGAAACUAAAGUGCAAUCAUCAAAGUAGGAUCAAUAGUGACUUGAUCAGUUAUGCUUUUUGUUAUUUCAAUUGUUCUGUCCACAAAUGAUGCUUCGUUAUUACUAAUUCCACAUGGACAUUAUUUAGAAACUGAUCUUAUGUUUAACAGAAAAAUAAAAACUCGUCAUCAUAAGCAUUCUUGGUUGUCCUAAACCAGAAGUAGGUGUUUUGCCUGAAAGUACCACUUUGCUAGCAAAUCUAGUGGGUAUACUGAAUAAAUUUUUACAUUAUUCUAUUUGAUCUCUCUGUCUUUAUCCUAAGCAUUCUUGGUUGGGAUCGCUGCAUUGUCCUGUAAUCUGUGUGACUUAGUGAAAAGAGGAAUGGGUAACUGUGGUUAUGGGUACGUGAGAGGUAACGAUGAGGGUAGAUUGUUAAUUUUGAGGAGCGAUUUGCUUGCAUAAUUCAAUGCAUGGACAGAAAUGUCCCUGACCAAAAAAAGGGACCAUCCAUAUCUGAAUCUGAGCAUCAGAGCUUGACUUAUUUGAUAAAUAGAUAUACUUGAACUGUUUUUGCAUAAUAACUAAAAUAUUUAUUUUUAUAUAUUCGAUAAACGAGCUCACUAUUGAUAGAACUUAUUAGAUACUACAACUCAAAUAACUUCUUGUGCUUGAUUGAGGUUUUUAUAUAUUCGUAUGUUUGAGUUUUUUUUUUUUUUUUACUUUCUAAGAAUUAACUUCUACCUUGAUUCUAAAAAAAAAUAUAUAAUUUUACAAAUAAUUUAGUUCGGCAUUUGGUAAAUGAUAACUAUUUGAGAAUAAGUUUUAAAAUGGUUUACUGUACAAAUCUGGUAAAUGAAAAUUAAAAGUGUAAAAUGUUCACAUAAUGAAAAUUAAAAGUGUAAAAUGUUCACUUGCAAUGACAACAAAUACUUAUUUACUUAUUUGUAAUUUAUUUUGAAUAUUAUUGUUUAAAUCAUUUUUUUUACUUACCAGAUUUUUUAAGAGCAUUCUAUUUUCUUUAUUACAUAGUUAAAUAAUUUUUUAUUAGCUAUUUUAUUUUGCAAUAAAAUUAACUUCAAUAUUUUUUUAACUAAAAAUUUUGUUAUGUAGUUCGUGAUAUAACAAAUACUAACAUAUCAUUAAAUUGAUUAAUAAAUUAAGUGCAAAAAAGAAAAUGCAGAAAUUUAAUCUUUAUAUAAACUUUUAUGUACAUAAAAUCAUUGUAAUCAAACUAGUUCAUAGAAAUAUAAUAUUAUAUACAUGUGUGUAAAAAAAACAUAUGACCAUAAUAUUAUCCACUCAUUAAACUUGCUGCACUAUUAUUUCUCAAUCUCUCCAUCUCUCGACCUUCAAGAACAUUACUACCAUAAUCUUCUUCUUGAAUUCAACCUCCAUUUCCUCAUCAUCAACAAUGCGACCAAUUUGCCUUGAUAGCCUUUCAACUCCUCCCACUUUCCUCCCUUUUUGCAGACACUCUUUUUCUUUUUCUUUUUCUUCUUUAAUAGCUUCAAUGGGAACAACCUCAUCUAACGACAAGUCCAUUCUUCAACUAGAAUAGAGUUGGUAGUAGAUAUUUUAGUACUCUCAAACUAUGCCCAAACAGGGUCACCAAUGAUUGUCGUAUUAAAAGACAUUCUAUUUAAUUUUCCUCUAACUCUGGGUCGAUACCUUUUAUGCAAAAUCUAUUUACUUCAGGAAUUUUCUACACAUGUCGAUAGCAUAUUAAAGUGAAUUCAGAUCCUAUAUUAUUGACAUUAAAAUUUAGCCGAAUAGUAAAAAAUUUCCCUUUUUGUUUGUCACACAGCCAUAUAGUCCCAUUUUUGGUUAUAAGCUCACAAUAUGCAAGGGAAAUGAAGAUCUAUUAAAACUUCCCCAUAAUGUUCAUUUUGUUGCUCGGAGGAAUAUAACUACCUAUUAAUUAAUUAGCAAGAAUUGCGUUGCGAGUCCAUGUUUUUGUCGUUUGGAUGGAGGAUGUGCUAUCUUUUUGUUGUAGAUGCUUUGUAAGGCUUUUGAUUUAAUGAUUUAAUGCAGUCAAUUAACAAAAGCUUACAUAUAGUAUUAUGUAGUUGCUGAGAUGUCUGUUCUUGAUAAAGUCGAUUUAUUUACACCCAAGCCAACGGAAUCAAAGCCUUUUCGUUAAUAAUAUACACGGUAAUUGUUUUUGUUAAAUUGAUUUCUAGCUAACAAGAUCUUUGAAAGCAUUUAGGUAGCGUUUACAUUUUAUGUUGGAGUGAGAAUCAUGAGGAGUGAGAAUCCUGGGAUUAGAAGUGUGGAGUGGGAGUCGAAGUAUGUUGUUUACUUACACUGGAAUGGAAGUAUGGAAUUGAAAUCAGAAUCCAAUUUAUUUGUUUACAUUGUCUUGGAUUGGGAGUAAAUGAUUUUAAAUUACAACUUUACUCUUAAAAAAUUAUAGUUAUUACUUACAAAAUUAAUAAAAAUUAUAUUUAAAAAAUAAAAUAUUUAUUUUAUUAUAUUUUUAAAAUAAUAAUAAUAAUUAAUAUUCUUAACUAUGUAAAUCAAAAUUAUUUUAUUAAUUUAAAUUUAAAUUAUAUAAAUAAAAAAUUAUUAAUAACAACAACACAAAUGAAACAUUAUUAUUGUACAAAAUUGAUUUUUAGAAUAAAAUAUUUAUUAUUAUUAAUCACUAAUAUUAAAUAAAUAUAAUAGUAUUAUUUUUAAAUAAGUAUAAUAAUAUUAUAUUUUCAAAUAAAAAUAGAAUAUAGUAAUAUUAUUAAUUCUUUAUGAAUAUAAUAAUAUAAUUUUUAAGUAAUUUUAAAUUAGAAUCAAUAUAAAUUAUUAUUUUUAACCAAAAAAUUAAUAUUAUUUUCAAUAUGUUUAAUAUUAUUAUUUUUAAUAAAUGUAAUUUAUAAAAUAAUAUAAUAAUUUAAUUUAAAUAAAUAUGAUAUUAUUUAUUUUAUUUUAUUAAAUAUAAAGGUAAAAAAUGAAGAGAGGCGAGUGAAUUCCCACUCCCACCUUGCCCCAUGAGAGUGGGAAUCCCAUUCAGUCACUCCAAAGUUAGGUGGGAUCCACAGAGUGGAAUUCUCACUCUCCCUUUGAAAAUUGUAAGUAAACACUAGAGUAAAAGAAAUCCACACUCCUCACUCUCACUCCAAAAAGUACACACUACAUUGAAGAAGCCAUUGACUCAUAAGAAAGCCAUGAUUAAAUACAAGGCGAAGCAUGUGAGCUCGUUUUUCAAUCUCUUUGAUCACUCAUAAGUUUUUCUAUACCACUCACUAUAUCAUCCUUUUAAGUCAAUUUUGACUGAUCAUCAGAGAUCAUGCACCCCACCUUGAGAUGAUUGAUCACCAAUUUGGCAUUGUAACAUUGAUCACCUCUAAUUGGCCAAGCUAAAAUUGGGACCCCAAAACCAAUUGCUUCUACAGUUGAAUUUUAUCCACAGUGAGAUAAAAAUCCACCUGUUAAUUGAUAACUCAGUAUCAAUAAUUGUGGUGCCAUUCCAUCUAUUAUCAAACCCUUUUUACUGGCUCUACUAUCUAAACCACUACGAAAAUAAGCUGGUUAAAUGACGUAGAGGAUCCAAUCUAUUUACAUAAGUUUGAAUUACCUAAAUAAUCGGUGGAUUUGAUGCUUAUAAAUCAGAGGGAAUUGCAGCAGAUACACCUUCAUACUUUAAAAAUUACCUCAAUACCUUAAAAUUUGAUUUUUCCAAAAUUUUCAUCAAUAUCCUUUAAAAGCUGAUAGGAAAUGACUAAGUUAUCCUCGUUUUAAAACACUUCAACUCAACUGGCAGCACCUCUCCCUCCCUCUACUCAAACAAACAAACACUCAUAUAUGCUACAAUUCCCUCCACUACCUUUACUCAAACAAACAAACAUUCAUUCUCCAUACAUGCUAAAUCGAACUUCAACACGAGCAAAUUGAGCUGAGAAAGGGAAGCUGCUACAACUGAGAAAGAGAAGCCUAGUUCGUCGCUACAUAAUCGCCAGCGAGAGUUGAUCCUUUAUUGCAAAAUGGUCAGAAUGUAACUAGUUGAGGUAAGUAAUUCCCUAUAAUUUGUUUUCUUGUUGAUAUUCAAGGGAAAAAACAAAAAGUUAGGGUUUUAUAUUGAAAAAAUAAUUAAUUAGUUGCGGGUCUCUCAUAACAUGUUCGAAAACACAUUUCUAGUUGUUUUGUUGCAUGCAAAUUGUGAAAAAUUAAUGGAUUGUGCCGAUUAUAAUUUUUUCAUGUAACACACGAUUUGGUCAUGUAAGGUUAUGUAAGAUUCAAGGUUGUGUAUUACACGACCUUCAUGUAUUGCACGAUUACAUGACCUUCAUAUAUUGCACGAUUACACGAGCUUUAUGUAUUACACAAUUACAUGACCUUCAAUUCCAGAUUGAGGAGUAAAAAGUUUAUCAUCUCUCCAGGUGUGUUCUGUAAUUUAAUUUUUUGUUUCUUGUCGAUAGAAUAUACACAUUACAUUUAGUUUAAUUAGGCUCACAAUUGGGGACAAUAAAUUGGAAUGGUACAUAUGCCUUUACCUUGUGGAAUGUCAUUACUUAGAGAGAUCCUUAAUUUGCAAUUAUAAGCCAUGGUAAGUCAUGGUAUGUCUAGUUAUGAGUGGAAACACUUUGAUCAUUGCGAAUGGUGUUCUUAUGUGUAUAACAUUACAUUAAUUUCCUAUAGUUAAUUUUUUUUCCUAAUUGAUUUCAUGGAUUAAUUAUAUGCAGGCAUUCCUCAUGUAUGCAUGUAUGUUUGGGCAGAGGAAGAAAGCACUUUGAAGAUUAAAAAAGCUUUUUAAAUGGUUGUACUAUGUUUAAUAGCGAUGUUCAUUAGUGUAUCAUAUCCAAAUAUUGAAAAAUUUGUACACUGAUAACUUUGUUUAUUUAUACUAAUUAAUCUAAUCAUUUCUCAAACUGUCGGAUGUUCAAAUUUAGUUUUUUUUUUCUGCAAUUUAUGAACACACGAUUUGGUCGUUUAAGGUCAUGUAACAUAGGAUUCAAGGUCGUGUAAUAUACUCAUGUAUACAUGACCCUCAGUCGUCUAUGACAUGACUUUGUAUAUUAUUACGCGAUCUUGAAUCAUGUGUUACGAGUCUUUCAUGACCUUCAGUUAUAUAUUACACGACUUUCAUGUACUACACGACUUUAUGUAUUACAUGACUUUAUAUAUUGCGCGAUUAUACAGCCUCCAUGUAUUACACGACCUUAAAAUUACACGAAAUUUUCCAUUAAUCAUUAGAUUAAUUUAGUUCAUUAAAGACUUAAUUUGUGCUAAGAAUUUAUAUUUGCUGCUAUGCAGAAAAUGUCAACGAAAAUUAUUAAAAAAAAGAAGUGAAAUUAAAUUGGAAUCUAAAAAAAUUCCACAUCAUCAUUGGUUUGAAUUGUAAGUGGUGGCAUAGGAUCAGAUGUCUUAAGCUUGAACUUCAUUGUGAUUUCGAAUUCCGAAGUAUCUAUAUCAAUAAAUUGAGCUAAUCUUCACCAAUCCGGCAUAUGUUGUCGAUCGUGGUAUCAUUAUCCCUUUAGCCUUGGAACCUUUGAACUUAUACUCAUCAUUUUGGUCAAUCCAUUCACCAUUGAAGAGAAUAGGUACACGUACCAAAACCAUAUCUGAUGAUACAAUAAAAACAAUAAUAUCAAAUUUCAUAUACAAGUAACUACACGACCUACAUGACUACAUUACUUACAUGACUUACACGACCUACAUGACUAUAUUACUUACAUGACCCACAUGACUUACACGACUAUAUUACUUACACGACCUACAUGACUAACUACAUGACGUGCACGGUAUCAAAAGGAAUGCACGACGCAAAACAUUUUCACCAUAAAUAAAUUAUAUUGCUGAAAAAAAUAAUUAAACAACCUACAUUGCAUAUAAUUCUACAUAUAAGAAAAAAUGGUGAAAAUACAACAUUAUAGAGUGAGGAAAUUUUCUAAAUUUUCCUAAAAAUUAAAAAAAAAUUAAAACCCAACAACAUUAACAUAUCUUAUUGGGUUGUUUAAUGAGCAAUGCACCUAAUUUCAGUUAAAGAAAGAGUGGGUGUUAAAGAAAUGAAUAUAUAAUUGUAUUUGUGUAAGAAGUUAUGAGAGAUUUUGAGAGAUUCUAGGAGAUUUUGAGAAAAUUUCGGCAGCAAGAAAAGAUUUGGGUGAAAGAAAUAUGAAGACAAUGAAGUUGAGUGAAUUUGAUGCAUUCAUUAAGGACAUUUCAAACUUUACUUACAUUUAUUAGGGUAUCCAUGAAAACAAAAAAGGGAGGGGAUAUUUAAAUAAUUUUGAAACUAUUAAAGGGUAUUUAAUUAAAAAACCCUCUAAAUCAUUGGCUAAUGUUGAAUAAUUAUUUAAGGUAGGACCCAACAUGUAUAACACAGAUCCAUAUGAUUUCAAAUCUAAUCAUUUAAUGAUCUCAUCUUCGGUCAUGUUAGAACUCCGCCGGUUGGUUCUCAUCUCACAAUCACGAAGCACUGAACCGGCCGAUUUGUAAAAUUGUUUAGGUAACAAUGGGCCCACUCCCCACACUGGCAUCAACACCAUCGAUCCCUCCACUUGCUUCAUCCAGUGUGGUUGAUCACUCGGUUCUGAUGGACCUAUUUUCUCUGAACCGGGUGCACCUCACAAAGGUUGUGGACCACCAGGAAGGGACCCGUGAGGCCUGCGUUUAAGAUCCGAUUCGAAUAAAGCAAUAUCCUUGGGUAACCCAAGAAGUAAACGGGCCUCUCCCGGUUUGACAUCCUGGAUGCGAGCCUGCCACAUGGCACACUCUACAGCUGCUGAGCAAGCAUCAGAAGUGAAGAACCCAACAAUGGGAACUUCAAAAUUCUUGAAAACAUCAGCCGUCCAGCCCAUCAUAACGCCGAUGACUACGCAAACAGGUCGGCUUUCGGGUUCCCGGGUUGAAAGGAGGUUUCGAAGGCCUUGAAGCAUAUGGCUGUGCAUGACAACAUGGUGGUGAGAAGGAGGUGAUGGUAGUGGUUGAGAUGGGAGGGUAUUUCGGUAAUUUCACAUAGAGGGUAUUGGUGAAGAGAGGAAGGGGUGAUGCUGGUGGUGGAAACGUGAGAGGGAAUAAUGAGGGUAGAUUUGUAAUUACGAGAAGCAAUUUGCUUGCAUAAUUCAAUGCAUGGAAACAGAUGUCCCUGACCGAAGAACGGGACAAUCCAAAUCUCAGCCUCAGCAGCAUUCGCAACAGAGCUUGACAUCUUUUAUGAAUUAUUUGAGACUUAAUUGUUAUUGACUGCUUUUGCCAUCUUUCAUAAAACAUUCUUUGUUAUAUAUUCAAGUAAAUAAAUUUAUCGUUUAAAAUUAAUUUUUCAUGUGGUAAAAGCAAUACUAAAUAUGGGGUGGAGAGAAUAAUUUGUAGGGCAUACCCCCACCAUUUAUUUAAUUUCAUUAAAAAAGAAAGAAAAGAAAUAAAGGCUUGUUCAACAUUCAAUUAAAAUUAACAAUUCCAUGAUAAAAUUACUUGAGAAUAAAAAUUUUUAAAAAAAAAGUAACUCAAAAACGAGGAAUUUUUGAGUAACUGAAGAACCAUAGAUGUUUUUUGGUCAUGAGCAAUUUUUGAGUUGAGACAGAACUUGUAUAAAAAAAUAGUUUUGAAAACUUCUUUUCUUUUUUCGUAAAUAUAGAUAUAAAAUUUUAAAAUCACCAAACACAAAACCAGGAAAAUGGAAGGAGAGCCCCUGUUUCUCCUCUGUUGCAAGAACAAAUUCGGUUUCUACAGUUGUACCUUCUAAAUGCACCAUUUGUAUUGCUUUGUCUCCACUUGAGCUAACGGAAUUUGAUGAAAACAAAAUAGAUAUGAGUGGUGCUAUUCACAGCCCUCAAUAAUUCUCUCAAAACCCCUUUUCUAAUUAUACCCCGUUGAAUAAGUUCAAGACCAACUUUUCCUCUUAUAACACCACCUUCAAUUCCGUUAAUACCCUUGUUCGCUAUGAAAAUGAGGAAAAUGCCUACAUAAAAAGCUGGCUCUGAUAAUCUACCUGAAUUUACAUUAGAAAAGAGUGGACUUUGAGAAAUAAGAAGACAAUAUAGGGAAUUUUACCAAAAUAAUCCAUUUUUAUAUACAGGGAAUGGUAUUUUCUGAUAUAGGGAGGAGUGGAGAAAUUAAAUUCAGCAAAAUAAAGAACCUCCAUCGAGAAGUAAAAAUGAUGAUAUCUUUGUCGUGAAGAGAUUUCUGCCUCAUACAAAUUUUUUAUUCUAGAAUGCUUGAAACCGAAAAGUUCUGUAGUUGUUUCAAUUCAAUUGCAUACAUUGACGAAACAUUAAAUACGGAAAAAAACAAAAAAGAAAUAAUAGGACAGGGGGAUUUCGAGAAGUUCUAAAGAGAGAAAUCUAUUUAUAAGCAUUGAAAAUUAGCUCAUUAAAUUUGACAGAAUAAUAUACAAUCUCACUGUUGGCCAGAAAAUAAUAGUAAGAACUUGUGAACAUAUAUAAUCAAUUGUUUAUUACUUAAGCUCUUUUUCUUCGUUAUUUUGAAUGGGUGCAAAGAAGAGAAGUUUUGUACCCAAAUUCCAACUCGAAUUGUGUAGGCUGCUUGCAAGAGCUUCAUUAGAUUUUUAUUUGUCUUUUAAUAGUGCUUCUCGACAAAUACAGCUAGCUAUCUGUCCUUUUUGUUACUGGACUAUAGAUCAAUUGACAGUUGAAGUUAUAUUAAUUUGUUGUGCUGGAAUUGAAGCUUGUAUCUUAGCCAUUUGGUGAAGUGUCAAAUAUAUUUUUAAUUUCCUUAAAAUUGUUCAAAAUAUGUUUACACUUUUAAAGUCACUAUUAUACAUGAGUGCCCUAAAAUUGGAGAAGGCGAUUUGCCUGACAUUACCUGUAUUCGCUUGUAUAGAGAGGACGAUUUAGAUAAGUCGGAACGGAACAACCUUCAUCACAUGCUUCCUCACGUGGUUACUUAAACUGAUAUGUAAAACGUGCUCCAUCCAUGUCGUUUCCACUAAAUCGUUUUCUGUUAAGAAUCAGCUGAGCAGCACGUGAGCUAAUGAAGCUUUUACGGCUUCAAAACGCAGCCGUUUCUGGGAACCAAACUUGAUUCAUCACCUCACAACUACAGAUGAAUUAUCGAAGUGGCUGAUUGGUGCUAUACGUGUUUUUCGUAUUGAACUCAACUCUGCUAUUUUCCCAAAAGCUGGAAAACAGAAACAUCAUCCCUGUGGUUUUAUUUCACCUCAACCUUUUUCUGAUCCCAUUUUCAUUGUAAUUUCUCAUUUACUUUGAGUGAAAGUCAUUGUUGCUUUCGAACGAGGUUUUGCAACUAAAAAGGAAAAGGGGGCGGCUAUAAUACAUGCGUGCAUCUGAUACAUGCACAAAAACUGACCAUUGGAUUAAAUGGAGUGGAUCUAAUGGCUGAGAUUUGUUUUAUUAUUAAGCAAUAAAAAAAUUUGAAACAACCAGAAACCUGUAAAACCGGUCAUUUGGUUUAAGUUAAAAAUAUAUAAAUGAAAAUAACAAAAAAACCCACCACUCCCCCGCCUCACACGCGCCUCACCGCUCCCCGCUCCCUCGCCUCACCUCUCUUCUUGUUCCACGGCCAUCAACGGCGGCACGAGUCGGCGACGAUCGACUGCGGCUGUAAAUUGACCACGAUCAUCUCUCUCUCUCGGCUUGCUCAAAUUUGGCCGAUCUGUGCGCUUGCUUAAGCUUGGCCGAUCUAUGCUUGCUCGAUUACUCUUCCUAUCUUCAGUCAGAGUCAACUGUUUGACAAGAGUCGAAGUCCAAGGUUCUUUUUUACAGGAUUUGAGCUAUUCCUUUUAUUCUUCUUGCAUGUUCACUGAUAUGAAGCUUUGAUGUGGUGUUCUGAUAGCGGGUGGAAUUUGAGAUUCUCCUUUCUUCUCUAUAUGAAGGUGCUUGUCAUGUGUCAAGAAAAAUAAAAUUAUUUACCAAAGAUUAUUUUAAGGAGAUUUAUUAUUAUUCGUGGAUCGGGAAGUUUAUUUUGUUUUUUGGUCUCUUAUUUAUUUAUUGUUUUCACGAGGAAAUUGCUGUGCUUUUGGAAAUUAAUAUGCUGUGUUGUCAAUGUUGUGUGAAAUCCUUUUAUUGGUGUCUAUGUAAAGUGUUUCAGAUUUCAGACCUGAGAGUUAAUCUUCGCGUACCAGUUGGCUUUUGGGUUUAGUAUUGCUACUUUUAACAUAAUUGACCUAUGGCCCAAAUCAUUUCUAUAGGGCGAAGCAUAUGAAUGAUACAUAUUAUCUUUUUUUGGCCUUAUGUAUUGUUAUUUGCAGUGUGAUUUGGUCUAGCUUAAGAGCUUAAGCUUGCAGGUUGGAUUUGUCUGACAGGGAACAAUUUAAUUUGCUCAUCGUGAUGUUUAUAUCCAUUUUGUACUACUAUCAAUUUCAAUCAUGCCUAAUUUUUAUAUGUAUUUCUCGUGGACUCUCAGGUUCAGUGCACAAGAGGAUGAAGACGAUGGACACCCAAAUUUGAUGUGGAGAACAACUAUUGCAAAUGGUCCUUGAUUUACUUCUCCAAUUGACUUGAAUUGGUUUGACGCAAUUUAUAGUGUAUUUUUGUCAUCUUUGUACGACUAGCAGGUCGUCCUGAUUUGGUACAUGACUGGACACAGGAAUUGGACUCAUAUUUUUCAAACCAGAAUGCCAACAAUCAAGCAUUUUCUUUUGAAAGCACUGGCGUCUUCUUCAAUGCCAAAAAGGUUAGAGAUUUUCUGUAUCUUGUUUUGUAUUUAAUCAGUUUAGCAUGUGGGUGGCAAUCAAGAAAAGUUAUUAUAACAUUUUUGUGUUCCCGAAAAACUGCUGAUGAUGUGUAGUGCAGGAAAUGAAUUGUUUUUGACUUCUUUUUAUUUGUAUUCUUUCUUUUUUCUUUUCUCCCCAACAGGAUUAUGCAUUUCUGAAGAGCUUCUUGAAGUUGAUUACCAUGUAUGCCACUUUCUUUACUCUAUGCUCAGGAUGUGAUUUUGCCAAGCAUUAAAAUGGUUUAGGUCAGAACCAUCAUCUAAAGUUUACUUAAUGCAGCCGAGAAGCUGUAGUAGAGCAAGGAAGGCUGUUGGUGUUAUGAAGGCCAGCUGUGAAGAAAUAUUUGAACUUGUAAUGAGCAUGGAUGGGACACGAUACGAGUAUGCUUCUUUUCUAUUUUUUAUUUUUAGUUACUUUAACAUAAUCAAGACUAUAUUGGCUGUCUCUGUAAGCUGAGUAUUAUAUUUCCUCUUGCAUGCUGUGAAAUUCACAUUGUCUCCAGUCCCGAUUCUGUAUGUGCCUUUUUGAAUAUAUUUAAUUAAUCUGCAUGGUGCUUUCUAAAGAUUAUUACAAACUUUUGUUGCUUAAGUAUAUGAAGAAUGUAGAAAUGAAAACAGCUUUUGAAGUUUGAUGGAUUGCUUCAUUAAUAAAGAAAGACUAGGACUCAUUUUUAUAACUUUUCUCCACUUAGCUAAUGGUAUUUGAUGAAGACAAAAUAGAUGUAGCUAUCUAUAUUUUUUGUUGCUGAACUAUAGAUCAAUUGACGGUUGAAGUUAGUUAUAUUAAUUUGUUGUACUAGAAUUAAAGCUUGUAUCUUAGCCAUUUCAUGAAGUGUCAAAUACGUUCUUUCCUUUUUUUUUUUUUUUUUCAAAACAUGUUACACUUUUGAAGUCACUAUUACAUAAAAGAGUGUUCUAAAACAGGAGAAGGCGUGCUGCCUGAAAUUACCUGUUUCCUAGCAAAUCUAGCUGGUUUGCGAAUUAGAUUUUAACAAGUCUCUUGGCAAGGUUUGCUAGUAAUGUGUUCAAAUUAUUCUAUUUAAUUUUACUGUCUGUACCCUAAUAAUUCUUGGUUUGCACCAUUGCAUUGUUCCAUAAUCUCUGUGCGUUGGCUUAUAAAGGCCAGCAAGGCUGAUCAUUUGUCGAAUAGUUAUUUCCAUGAAAUUCCUAUCAAUUUGACUCAGUAUUUAGAGGUCUUGAAGAGGGCAGUGUACUAGACAUGGAUUUCUACCUCUUUUGGUUGUACAAUUGUUGUAUUUCUUGGCCAUCAGAUCUUUUUAAUGUACCUUUCUCAAAGUUCAUGCCGCACGUACACCGUUUUUCAUGUUUUGUGCAUGUGGGAUUGUAGUCUUCUGUAUCGCAGCUUAGUUGAAGAGGUAGAUGGUCAUACGGCUAUUCUCUAUCAUAGGCUUCAGCUGGACUGGUUUCCAAUGUAAUAGUCUCUUGAUUCAAUCAUCUCAUUUAUGCUUUGGUCAGAAUAGAACAUUUAUUGUUUCCUUCUUUCCCCUUUCCUCUCUUCUGAUGUAAUAUGUGAGGAAAUUACCUAAAAUUUCUGUAUCCCAAUGUAAUUGUUGGAAUUCAGAAAUAAAAUAAAUACACCGUCUUGUUUUUCCCUCGGUUCAGUCCCAAGUUCUCUUUGGGCCUUCUGCAAGUUUUUAAACAUACUGUGACAGUAAAAAAUCUAGUGAUUGAGAUCAUUUUGAUGAAUUUAAUUUUAAUUCUUAGCUGAUACUUUUUCUGGAAUUUUUUUCUUAUGUUUCCUCAAUAUGACUUAAAUAUAGGGCUUAGUUUGGUUUAGAAGUUCAUCUAAAACCUUCUCCUUGAUUCCAAAAAAAUUCUCUAGAAAGGUCUCAGAUGGAUUUUAGGGGAGUUUUGUGGCAAAUUUGAAAAGUUCAGGGGAAGGGUCUAAUGAAUUUUAAAACCACAUGGGUUAUCUGUUUUAUUCAGAGGAUAGUGGAAUUCCCUGAAAUUUAUCAUUUUUAUUUAAAUAAUCUUCCUACUUUCCUCUGCAGAAUUUAUUUAUAUAUAUGAAUUCAUUUGGUUGCAGGUUUGUUUGGCCCCGCGGCCUUUGUUAAGUGCGUUAUUGGCGUUGAAAUGACGCUGCGAGUUAUGGUAAGGUUCUUGCUUCCCCACUUCUUGAAAUUAAAUCUAUCUUUUCUGGCACUAGAAGUUUCCAUAAGCUGUGUUUUGUUAUCGCGCAGUUGUGUUAUUUCAUUCUAGGGAGCAUAUGAACUGUGGUCCACAACCCGGAUAUGUACGAGCUCACAUGGAGAGUUAGUUUUCUGUCCUUUACUUUGGUUGAUGUAGAGAAUUAACAAGUGACUAAGUCAUGCCAAGUUGCACCACUUGCUUCCUGUAUUCUGAUUUCUCAGGUGGUGGAUUCAACAUUUCCCCACUAAAACCUCAAAAUGGUAGGCCCAGAACACAAGUACAGCAUCUUAUGCAGAUUGAUCUAAAAGGGUGGGGUGUUGGUUAUGUGUCAAUGUUUAGCAACACUGUCUUCUGCAGAUGUUAAAUAGCAUUGCUGGUAAGUUUCUUGCUUUCACAUUUUAUUUUGCGCUGUUAUGGGUUAAUAUGUUUCUGUUGGGUGGCCAUUUUAAGUCAUAUUUUUACGUGUUACUGUAUUUUCUUCAGUCCUUUUAUAGGGAACACACACAUACACGUAUGUAGAGUCACCUUUUAAUGAGGGAUCUACCAUUUUAAUGAAAUGAGGAAUGAGCUAAAAGAUAAAAAAUUCACGAACUCCAAUGCAAUAUGUGUGUGUGCGCGUGUACACCUUUUCUAACUCUUGUUCUUAGUUAGAUAUUUUUUGGGAUUUCAGGCAAAUGAAAAAAGAGAUUAAGAGAAUGAUUUCAAGAGAACAGGUGGAUAAUAACUUAAAUAUUCAUUUUUAUACAUUUUGUUAAUGUCCUCUUUAAUGGAUUUCUAUGGAAUUAACCUUGUAAUUGGUGUAAUUACGGCAUUGGUGGUUGACAUGGCUUUCCUUGUGCAGGUAUGUAUGAUUGUACUGCAAUUUGCAAAUUUGCAUACUUGAAUGUUCUCAGAAUGGUAUAAUGCUUCGUGUAUGCAGGCAAAUACUACAGAUGAAUUACCGGAGCGGCUGAUUGGAGCUGUACGUGUUUCUUAUAUAGAACUCAAGUCUGCUAUUGUUCCAAAGUUGGAACCAGAGACAUCAUGACUCUGGUUUCAUUUCACCUCAACUGUUUUUUUUUUUAAUUGAAAAAAAAAAAUCAUUUGUUUUAGGUAUACAUACAUGUAUUUUGAUCCCGUUUUCAUUGUAAUUUCUCAUUUACUUUGAAAGAAAGUCAUUGGUGUUUUCGAGUGGGAAUUUUGCAUUAAAAAAUAAAGAAUACUUAAUAGGAAAUUUCAUAAUUCUUUAGUUACUAUUUUUGGAAUGUGUGUAAUAGUAUUAAAGUUGGUUUCUACUCGCAAACAAGUGAACUACUCGAUCCCCAACUGCGACCACGCUAGUUGUCAUUUAAAACUCAACAACUAACAAAAAUACUAAUAAAAAAAUGAUUUUCUUAUAUUGCUGUGAAAACAUUUAUGGGUUCAUUUAUUUCCACAAGAUCUAUAAUUUGGUCUUGACUUUACGAAAUUCUUUUAAUUUAAAGGGUUUUGGUCUGAGAAAGUCAGUUUGACGGAUUAAUUCUUUUUAAUAAUGGUCGAGUUAAUUUUACUAUACUCAUAAAACUAUUUUUAUUCUGAUAAUGCCACAAAUGUUAUGAUGUUUUCUUCAGCUAAUGAUCUUCUAUCAGGACUAGUUAGAAAUCAAAUGCUUAAAACACCGAUUGAAUGUAUAAUGCAGAAGUUUAAACAGUACCUAAUUGAAAAUUGCAUGAAACAUGAAACAUCAAUUCAAGUCCUUCCUUAAACAGAGAAUGCAUCAAACAAAUCCAAAGUGUCUUGCAAGUCUGUAGCAUGACAAAAAAGUUGUAAAUGCGUUUGGAACCAAAUUCUUCAAGUACAGGAGAACGAGCAAGUUGAAUUAUGUACAAGAGAUUGGCCUGGUUCGAGAUAGCUUCUUCACUGUACCUGAAGGAUUGGCUCAAUCUUUUCUUUAGAAUUCUGCACAUUUUGUAAUUACUCGUGUAAGCAAGCAUACAUUACAACCAUAAUAAUAAUAAAGCAAGAGUAAUGAUACGACCACCACCUUUUGUACACAAACAAUAUUGUAUAAACUAAUGCGACAUAAUAUGAUUGGUUAAACAAAAACAUUACAUGGCCCUCAUAAUUUAUUUAUUUAUUUAUUUAUUAUUAUUAUUAUUAUUAUUAUUAUAUAUUUUCAGUCAACCAAUCAUAUUAUAUCACAUUAGUUUCUAUAAAAUAAUUUGCUAAAUAGCACCAAAACUUAAUUGAUACUCACCAUUUCAUUGAACAAUUUUUUUAUGGUGUCAUUGAGGUUGCCUUCCCAACAUCCUUCAUCAUCAUCAUCUUCUUCAUCAUCAUCUUUUUCUUCUUCGGUGACGUUCACUUUGUUUAGCAUUGGUGUGUCUAAGACUCCUUGAGAGAAGAUCUUCAUUUUUGGACACAGUCUCACAACUACUUGUUUCAAGGACGGGAAUUCAAGAGCGUAAUUACCUAAACAAAAGCUUGUUAGGCUUGGCAAACAGUCAAGUUCCAAGUACCUCAAUUUCCCAAAAACAAUGCAAUCUUCCGUUUCUUCUCCAACCUGCGACUGUAUAAUUUCUUCCAUCAUUUUGCAAUCAACUAUCUUCAUUCUUCCGAGAUUCACUAGAUUUUUAGAUGCUGAGAGCGUCAACACAUUUAUCAACCCGUGACACUUCGAUACUUGUAGUCCCCACAGAUUUUCCAAAUGCCACGAAGGUGGUACUAAUUUUUGCAACUUACUACAUUCCGAUAUUUCUAGCCUUUCCAAGUUUGCAAACACUUUGUUGGAUUCGUCAUUUUCCUUCCAGAGAUGCUGCACUUUGUGUAAUCCAGACAGUCUUAACUUCCUCAAUUGAGGGAAAGCAACCUGAAAAUCAACAAAGUUAAGUUGUAAAAGAAAAUACGUAUCCAAUCUCUGGAGUCUUCACCUGCAUAUUUUAUGGACAAGAUUAAUCACGGCAUUUUAUAUUUUAUUUCCAAAUUAGUAUGCUUUGCAGUAGGAUCCCAAAUAUAAGUAUCAAAUCGAUUACCCUUUGAAACACAUAAAUGAAAUCUAAUGCUAAAUCCAAUAUGAAUUAGCUAGGAAAACAGAGAUGUUACACACAUAAUUAAUAUAGUUCAUCACCUCGUGUUAUCAGGCAUCCAAUUAAUUUCAGUCAUUUUUAUAAUUCAUACUAUAAAGAUAGUUAAUAACUGAGGUUAUAUUGUUAAAUCAUAUAUAAAUUAAGAUGACAUGCAAAAAGAUGAGUCAUUAAAUUUGACUUGAUUCUAAUGAAAUUACAUCUGUGCGAACAAAAGUGAAGGGAAUAAUAAUAAUAAUAAUAAUAAUAAUUACCUUUUCAUCGAAGAGGGGUUGUACUUGAUGAGCCAGCAAGAAGUACUCUUCUAAUGUUAAUUUUUGAGGUUCCUUGUUAUCAGUUGUCACAUGCACUACAGAGUUGGAUAUAAAUGUUUCCAUAUCAGGGCAAUUCUCAAUAGUCAGACUCCACAACAUAGGCAUUUCAAUUAUAUUCCCAGUGAAGUUGCAGAAUCUUUUGAGUUUUGGAAGAUCAAUGAGCGUUAGGCUAAAAAGCCUAGGAAACAGGGGGCCUAUAUGUUCUUUGUCAGCAUUUAGCUCUUCCAAAUGAAGCAUCUCUUCUAGUGAAUCACAAUUCCUCACUUCCAGCCUUGCCAAAUUGUUCAAGCAUCGUAGCAGAUUGGCAGGAAUAGCACUCGACAUAUUGGUGCAGUAAUCCACCUCCAGCUCUGCUAAAUAGUUGAAGAAGCGGACAGGCAGUGCUUGGCCAUGCCAUAUUUCUUUCAAACGUGGAAAAUGUGAGAGUUGCAAAUACUGUAUGUCACGGAAUCCAAUCUGCACAAACCAAAACAAUUGCACUGGAUAUAUAUAAAUACAUUAAACUUACAUGUUUUGUGUUUUAACUUCUAAAACUAUAUAUACAAGGCAGGUGUAUAUGUUCAAAUGUGCAAGUGCAAGGGAGAUGCAUAAGUAAUUUCAACGAAUCGAUUUAACACAUACCAUUUCUUCGUAACACUUUUGUAUAGUGGAAUUAAGGUUGCCUUCCCAACGGCACAAUUCACCCUCUUCCUGUUAAGAAUAGAAUUAGUUAGUUAAUGAGUAUGCUGACAUGGCAGCUGAGUCAGCUAAAGGUUGUUAUAGAGGUUGUUAGUAGUAAACUGUGCGUGUGUGCAAUGUGUGUAGAAUCUUCUAUGCACAUAUAAAAAGGCUUGCAAUUUCCAGAUUCAUUAGAUCAAUAAUAACAGAAUUCUCAGCUUACAGAAGUUUUCUUUCCUCCUAUUUUCUUAGUAACCAAACAACAUCACAGUUUCAUAUAAAACUUAAUACUUCCUUUUUACUCACCUGCACUUCGUGCAGCUUUGGUGUGGAUACGAUUCCCUGAGAAAAAGUCUUCAUGUUCGGGCAACGUGUCAUAGAAACUCGUUCCAAUGAUGGGAAUUCAAGAGUGUAAUUCUCCAAACAAAAGCUGGUAAGCCUUGGUAAAUAAUCAAGUAUCAAAACUUUUAAAUUGCUGAAAGCAAUACGAUUCUCCUUCACUUCUUCUCCAACAUGUCCUAUGAUUUCUUCUAUUUUUUCACAGUAUGAUACAUUAAGAUUCACUAGACUAUUGGGAAUUCCAACCUGAAAAUAAAGAGUAGCAUUCAACUAAAUUCAAAGUAUGUCAAAAUCAUACAAUUGUUUUAUGAAAAAUAACAAACCAUGUCUACUAGAUAUUUUUUGUUAAAGAAAAAAGGAAAAAAAUUAAAACAAAAAUAAAUAAAUAGAAGUCCAGAAAAACAAAGAUAAUGAAAAUGCAUUUACACUAAAACGCUGUAUUUCCCUUUUUUUUUUCCCGAUAUUCAUGCUUUUAAAAAUGGAAAACAUUUCUGGAAAACACUUCCCAACGCCAUCAACAUGGGACUGUUACAGAGUGAAUAUUUGAGGAAAUUUUUUAAUAAACGGUCGAUUCAAAAUGACCAUCAUGAAUUUGUGCUUAAUCAAUGGCGUAAUCAAUUCAUAACUAAACUAGAGAUAUUAACUACAUUUGAACACUUUUCUUUAUUUUAUUUUUAAAAUCGAAAUCUAAAGACCCAAGGAAAAGAGAAAUAUAUAUGAAUUUGUGAACUUAAAAGCUGAGUAACUAAGUAUCUUUUAAUUUCUGAAAAUCUUAUUCAUUAGGAUUUAAGGAAAAAAAACAAUUAAAUUAAAUUAUAUUAUGCUGUUAAAUCGUGUUUAAAAUAAUUAUAUUGUUGACUUUAAUGCAGGUGAACCUAUAAAUUAGAUUGAAAAUGCAGAGUUCAGAAUGGUGAUUUGAAGUACAAUACUUUUUUUCCCUCUAGAAGUUUGAAGUACAAUACUUGCAAUAAAUAAUUUGUGAAUGAAAAUUAUUUGUAAACAAAAAAAUGAUUAAAAUAAUUGUUGAAUGUUAUUUGAAAUAAAAAUUCAAAAUGAAUAUAGCAAUCUUACCAAUGGAGGAAAAAUAUUCAGUAGAUUAUGACACACAGAUAUCUCUAAUUUUUUCAAUUUGCUAAAAGACUUCGAAGCAAGCUGGUGGUGCCAUAUUUUUCUCAACUUAUCCGCCCCACGAAUAUGUAAUACCUCCAGACUUGGGAGUCGUACCUGAAGUUAAAAAUUCAAUGCAAUUAGAGAUGGAUAUUAAUUAAAUUUGAAGACUCAACGAAAGAAGAAAUUAACUAUUAAGAAUAAAAUUAAUUUAAAAAAAAAACCUUUGCAUCAAAGAGAGGUUGAGGUUGCAUUUCAGAAUUAGCUUCUGGUGAGGCAAAGCUACUUAGUUUUGGAAGACCAUCGAGCUGCAGGAAGUGUAGUUUAGGAAAAACCUUAAAUUCAUCUCUUCCUCCUAACCCCGUGGUGUUGACUAUCCCUUCCAUUGACCAACAAUUAAUAAUCUCAAGAUGUCGGAGCUGCCCAAGACUAUUAGCCAUAGAAUAUGAAAACAUAUACUUCAGAGGACAACACCUUGUCACGGUCACUUUUGUUAAAUUUUGACAACAAUACAUUCCCUGAAAUUGAUCGGGCCAUAAUUUUUUGAUGUUUGUUAAACUGACAAGUUCCAGUUCCUCCAAGCGUGGAAAAGUAACCUGCAAAGAAAAACCAUACAUUUUUUUUCCUUCAACUACAACUUCUAAUAUAAUAUUCUUUCGAUGAUUGAAGAUCAAUCGUGAUAAUAUAUUAAUUAAUUAAUUAUUAAACAGAAAAUUAUCACCUGAUCAUCCUCUGCAUUGAUUUCUGUGAAUCCCUGAGUAGUUGUUGGUUUCUCCAUGUCGGGCCCUAUAAAUGAACAAAAACAAUAUAUGAUUAACCUCUGUUGUCCCCUCCCAAAACAAAAAAAAAAAAAGAAUGAGCCAAUGUCAAUAAUCCUACCAAUAAUUAAUUUAAACACUUACCAAUCAUCAUUUUCAAUUUAUUGCAAUUUACCACUUCUACUUUUUGAAGCCCCAAUAGGUUUUUGGCCAUAGAGAAUGAGAAGAGAUACUUCAAUUUUGGACAGGAAUAUACGUAUAUAAUCCUUAAGUUGCUGAAAGAUUGAUCUUCUCUGAGUUGGCUGUAGCAUAUCGUCUCCAAAUUAGUUAAAUUAAUAAGAUCCAAUGAUUCCAGCAAGGGAAAGACUUCGCAACGAACCCGUCUAACUGAACCGACAAUAUGUAAAAUCUCAGAACAACCUGUUACAUGAAGAUGCUGCAAUCGUGGAAAACCUUCCCCAUCGUCUAAUUCAUGAACAACAUUCUGAACACCCGUCAGUGAGUAUAGACGGAGAUCUUCAGUUCUCUUCAGCAACAUUUUCGUCCCAUCAUUCCCCAAAAGAAGGCUAACUUUUUCUGGCCCCUUGAGCACCAUCAAUGUUGAUGUUUUAGAUUCGACGAGUCGUCGGUUAGACAUUUGUCCUAUAAAUAUCUUAUAUCUUUCCAAUUCCAUAGAGACAAAAUCCGGCGGCAGAAUUUCGGAAUCCGAAACAUCUAUCUCCAAAGUAGUUAGAUUUGACAACCCCUUCAACUCGACAAGACUGGCAUUACUUCCUCCUUCAACCUUAUCCCACUGUGAAAAGCUGUUAUGCAUAAACAGUUCUUCUAAUCCAGAUAAUUUUGAUAUGACAUUUGGUGGUAUCAACUCAAGGCUCCAACAAUUGCUCAAAUCUAGCAACUGUAACCGCGUCAAUCGUCCAAUUUCAAGUGGUAACUGCUUGAUAUCGGAAUCUGCAAGGCUGAGAAUCUCUAAUUUCUUUAGCUGUCCAACUAUUGCUAUAUCUUUUAGUCGGCAAUAGUCUAAACGCAAUGUUUGAAGGUUAAUGAGGCAACCAAGUGAUGAAGGUAAUGAAGAGAAUUGAAUUCGAGUAAAAUUCAAAACUUUGAGUCCUUCCGUCCCUUUAAAAAAGUGGUCUGAAACUUGCAUAGAGCCAUCACCCUCCGCAUGCAAUAGCUCAAGACAGGGACAUUGCAACCUUUCAGGAAGCACUUGAAUACCUCCAUAAGGUAAAGAAAUAGCAAUUGGACCUUCCUGUACUGUAUCUUCCAUCUUUUUCUCCAAGUCGGCAACAUUUGGAAUAUUAAACAUGAGCUCCUCUUCUGCAAUUGAUACAGCAACUACACGAAUGACGUCAUGCAUUUUAACUUCAUCUUCAGCAUCACUGUCCAACAAUAAGCAUGAAGAUUUGAGUUUGUCGAUCAACGUAUGCAAUCUCCUCCUUGCUUCUUCCAGUGAGUAAACCUUUUUAAAAUAGUCCAUACCCAUACCAUAUCUCAAUAAGUCUGGAACAGGUAUAGCAUAACCUUUACUAAGUAGACCACAAAGACGGAACAGAGAUUUUGCCUCCGCACUUUCCAGCAAGUUGUAACUCAAUUUUAUGGAGGUGUACACAUUUCUUUCCAUUCCAUCAAUUUCUCUUGCAUCGGAACUUCUUAGCUGAUUCAAUGCAUCCUUCCAAAUGUCAAGAUCCUUAGUUUUCAGAGCUUUUGCAACUGUACUCAGUGCAACAGGCAAUCCUCCGCAUUUUUCAACGAUCUCAUCUGCAGUGGGUUGAAAAGCAGAUAUUUUAGUUGAAUCACCCACUAUCUUCUCAAAUAACUGCAAGGCUUCUUCUUUUGAUAAAGCAUCGAUCGGGAAAUUUUUCUGAGAAUUCAUAUCAGUGCACAAUAAAUCUCGACUUCUAGACGUCAGUAUUAUUGUGCAUCGUCUCUGAUCAUCCAUUCUUUCGUUCGGAAUCCCAACUUUAUCGAACUCCAGUUCCCCCCAAAUAUUAUCCAAUAUAAUGAGAUGCCGCUCCUUGUUCUUCAAUACUCGACAUAGUCGAUUUGCUCUGUCGAAUAUACUCUCAUUCAACUCAAACUUUAUGCCUAAAUCAGAAGCAAGUUUGUCUUGAAUUUUCUGAUGAUCUGGGUUCUCUGUUACCUCAGCCAUAGCGACCUUAUCGAACAACUUAUUUGUUUCCAUCACUUGCUUUGCAACUUGCUUGACUAGCGUGGUUUUACCCACGCCGCCCAUGCCGUAGACCCCAAUUAUGUUGAGUUUCUCAUCCUUCAACGCCUCCAUAACAUCCAGUAAUACUUUCUUUCUUGAAUCAAAGGCCUCGUUAUCUUUCCCGCCCCUAAGUGCUUCGAUAUCUGCAGAAGGAUCGAAGGCAAUUUCUUCACUCUUCAGUUUGUCGCCUUUUUCCAUGAGAUUAGCAGCAUCUUUUGCGGCCUUUGCUGCUCGUUUACUGAGUUUGUAACGAGACAACAAAUUUGCACACAAUCCUUUGAAGCAGGACUUCUUGGCUCCAUCUUCUUCAUCAAUGAUAGAUUUUGCAACCCCCUCCGUAGAUUCAACCUUACUUCGCCAAUCUUUGACACCCUGAUAAAUCUCUUUGCCUUGUCGAGUAUCAUGCUUAACACGUUGUUGCACCAUUUCGUUUAUACCUUCCAACCCCUUCACUUGAUCUUUUAGCUCAUCUAUGUAGCUCUGGUACUUGAACACAUAAGAUAUUUGCCGUAUAAUCGGUUUGAACAGUGACUUUGCACCUUCUAAUACAGUGCUGGAUAAAGCAGCCAGAGCCACUUCUGCCAUUGUCUGCUACUUAACAAAUCUAAUAAUAUAUCAAAGAAAGGAAUACAAAUAAAUUAAAAGGAACUAAAGGGAAAGACAGAGAAAGAAAAGACGGCAAACAACAUCGCAAUAUUGAUCUUGAACCAACUGAUACCUAAAUAGAGAAUUUCUUUUACUAUCUUAAGGAUCAGAGGUUUCGCUAUUAACCGAAAGGUAUCGCUUCUAUUUUGUCACUUUGAACGAAUAACUUUAUGUUUUUAACGGAUGUUUAAUACAAAUUGCAUACAUUGGGUGUAAAAUUAAAUAAAUUUAAAUAUUUAUAAUAAUUUUAAUAAUUGAAUAAAACUUUGAGUAAAUGACUGAUAAUUUCUCUAAGAUGAUUUAUUGUUUGGGGUCUAAGAUUUUAAAUAUUCAACUUAAAAGAUUAAUAUCUUAUAAAUUGAUUAAUUAAUUAAUCAUUAAGCAACUAAAUUGGUCCCUGGAUGUCAAUUUAUUUAAUAUUGACGCACCUAUUUUUUUUUUCUGGCAAAUAAUUAUUAAUGCACUUAGGNNNNNNNNNNNNNNNNNNNNNNNNNNNNNNNNNNNNNNNNNNNNNNNNNNNNNNNNNNNNNNNNNNNNNNNNNNNNNNNNNNNNNNNNNNNNNNNNNNNNNNNNNNNNNNNNNNNNNNNNNNNNNNNNNNNNNNNNNNNNNNNNNNNNNNNNNNNNNNNNNNNNNNNNNNNNNNNNNNNNNNNNNNNNNNNNNNNNNNNNNNNNNNNNNNNNNNNNNNNNNNNNNNNNNNNNNNNNNNNNNNNNNNNNNNNNNNNNNNNNNNNNNNNNNNNNNNNNNNNNNNNNNNNNNNNNNNNNNNNNNNNNNNNNNNNNNNNNNNNNNNNNNNNNNNNNNNNNNNNNNNNNNNNNNNNNNNNNNNNNNNNNNNNNNNNNNNNNNNNNNNNNNNNNNNNNNNNNNNNNNNNNNNNNNNNNNNNNNNNNNNNNNNNNNNNNNNNNNNNNNNNNNNNNNNNNNNNNNNNNNNNNNNNNNNNNNNNNNNNNNNNNNNNNNNNNNNNNNNNNNNNNNNNNNNNNNNNNNNNNNNNNNNNNNNNNNNNNNNNNNNNNNNNNNNNNNNNNNNNNNNNNNNNNNNNNNNNNNNNNNNNNNNNNNNNNNNNNNNNNNNNNNNNNNNNNNNNNNNNNNNNNNNNNNNNNNNNNNNNNNNNNNNNNNNNNNNNNNNNNNNNNNNNNNNNNNNNNNNNNNNNNNNNNNNNNNNNNNNNNNNNNNNNNNNNNNNNNNNNNNNNNNNNNNNNNNNNNNNNNNNNNNNNNNNNNNNNNNNNNNNNNNNNNNNNNNNNNNNNNNNNNNNNNNNNNNNNNNNNNNNNNNNNNNNNNNNNNNNNNNNNNNNNNNNNNNNNNNNNNNNNNNNNNNNNNNNNNNNNNNNNNNNNNNNNNNNNNNNNNNNNNNNNNNNNNNNNNNNNNNNNNNNNNNNNNNNNNNNNNNNNNNNNNNNNNNNNNNNNNNNNNNNNNNNNNNNNNNNNNNNNNNNNNNNNNNNNNNNNNNNNNNNNNNNNNNNNNNNNNNNNNNNNNNNNNNNNNNNNNNNNNNNNNNNNNNNNNNNNNNNNNNNNNNNNNNNNNNNNNNNNNNNNNNNNNNNNNNNNNNNNNNNNNNNNNNNNNNNNNNNNNNNNNNNNNNNNNNNNNNNNNNNNNNNNNNNNNNNNNNNNNNNNNNNNNNNNNNNNNNNNNNNNNNNNNNNNNNNNNNNNNNNNNNNNNNNNNNNNNNNNNNNNNNNNNNNNNNNNNNNNNNNNNNNNNNNNNNNNNNNNNNNNNNNNNNNNNNNNNNNNNNNNNNNNNNNNNNNNNNNNNNNNNNNNNNNGGGAUUAUGGGGGUAUGCUAAUGCGGCAACCUGACUGUGAGUCGGGAAAAGCUAAUGAGGCAACUUUGCUUGUGCUGCUUCUUUUUUUUUUUUCUUUUGCUUUCUUUUUUGCUUUUUUUUAAUAAUAUUAAAUAAUAUAAAUUUUAAUUUAAUUUAAUAGAAUAUUAUAUAAUAUUAAUUUUUAUUUUCUCUUAUUUUGACAUCAUAAUUAUUAAUAUAAAUUAAUUAUUUUUAUUCAUAUUUUAAUUUUUAUUACUAAAUAAUAAUUAUAUAAUAAUUAAUAUAUAAAAUUGAUUAAUAAAUACUUAAAUAAUAUAAAAAUAAGAAUAUAACUUGAUAUUACAUUAUUUAAUUAUAUUAUAGUAAUUAAUAUAUAUGAAAAUUUAAUAUAACUAAUAAAAAUAUUUAUAUAUGAAUAAAUUUAAAUAAUAUUAAUUUAAAAUUAAUAUUAAUAAAAAUAAUAAUAUAAAAUAUCAUUAUGUUAUGAUAUUAUUUAGGUAUUAAUAAAUAUUAUUUUCUAAAUAUAUAAUUUAAGUUAAUCACAAAAAAUUAAUACAGUACAGUGUAGCACCAAACAUUGUAUUAUGCUGUAUGCCUGUAUUGUAUUAGCACUGAUUGGGUGUAAAGCGUUUGUAAGUGGCUUUUUAAGUCUGCCGUCAAAUCCCCUGCAAAAGCUUUUUUCUUAAUAUCACGCGUGUUGGUACUACAUAAAACCGUAAACUCUAACAAUUUCUUUGUUCUUUCUUAAUAUCACGCGUGUUGGUACUACAUAAAACCGUAAACUCCAACAAUUUCUUAGUUCUCAACACCCCUUAAUUUACAAGAAUUAAUCACUUCAAGGGUGGAUUAGGUAUAUCUUUAGUUCAUAUAUAACUAGCAAUAUCUAAUAUCCCAUAUACAUGUUUUUCUCCCAGAAUGUAAACCAACUAUUCAUAUCUUAGACUCCAAGUAUUCGUAUCUUAAAGUCAAUCGAUAAUAUUAAUUUAAAUUUAAUAAUAAUAUAAAAUAUUAAUAUAAUAUAAUAUUUAAUUUAAAUUAAUUACAAACAAAUAAUAUAGUACAAUGUAGCACCAAACAUUGUAUAGCAUUAUUAUAAUACAAUGCUAAUGCAAUACAAUAUAAUAUAAUCCACCAACAUUAAAAUAAUAUAAUAUAGCAUAAUACAAUACAGUGUGUCAAAUGCACCCUUAGGGUGUGUUUGGUAUGUGGUAUUGCAUAGCAUUAAAUGUGGGCCCAACAUUAAUUUAAACCAAUAACAUGUUUGGGAGCAAUUGAGGCUUAUUGGGAUUGGGUAUUGAGGGGUGCGCUAAUGCGGGAACCACCGCAUUAGCUUGUCUUUUUUUUUUUACUUUUACUUAAUAAUAAUAUAAAUGAAUAAAUAUAUAAUUUUUAAUUUUUAAUAUAAUAUUAUUUUUAUUUUUAUAUCAUAAUUUAUUAAUAAAUUUAUAAUUUAAUAUGAUUAAUAAUAAAUAUUUAAAUAGUAUAUAAAAUAUAAUAUAAUAUUACACUGUGUAAUUAUUGUAAUAUAAUUAAUAUAUAUAAAUUAUUUAUUUUUAAAUAAUUUAAUAUAAAAAAUAAAAAAAUAUUUAAAUACAAAUGAAUUUCAAUAAUAUUGAUAUACGAUUAAUAAUAACAUAAAUAAUAAUAUAAAAUAUUAGCACAAUUCAUUUUGCUAUUAAAUAUGUUAUAACAAUUUUGUCAUUUUAUAAUUUUGUGGUGUAUAUGAACAUAUGUCUUAAGAUUAUUUUUGAACAAAUCUUGUAGGUUUUAACUAUUUAUUUUUCUUGUUAUAUUAUUUCAAGAUUAUUUGAUUAAAUUAUUUGCUUCGAUAUUUAACAAGUUAUAUAUUUAGAAAAUAUAGAAAAUAAAUGUUAUGCUUCCAAAAAUUAAAGGAUAUAACGUUCGAUCUUUAUGAAGAAUUAUGAUAUUUUUGAACAUUUAUACUAAAAAAUUAUUAAAUUUUUAGAAAAUUAAAAGAUAUAACAUUCGAUCUUUAUGAAGAAUUAUGAUAUUUUUUAACAUUUAUACUAAAAAAAUAAUUAAAUUUCUAAAAUUUAAGACCUCUAUAUUUAGUUUUUUUUAAGUACUAUUAAUAUUAUUUUAUAAAUAUAUAAUAUAAAUUAAUUACAAAAAAUUAAUACAGUACAGUAUAACACCAAACAUAAUAUAAUUAAAAAUUAAUACAGUACAGUGUAAUACCAAAUAUUGUACAAUAUUAUUAUAAUACAGUACUAAUGUAAUACAACAUAAUACAAUACACUGCAUAAAAAUAAUGUAAUUUAGUGUACCAAACACACCCUUACAGAACUUUUGCAUAUCUACACAGCGAUUUUAAAUAUUACUGAUAACUCCUGAGAAAUGUGUGAGAAAGGAGUUGAUAAGAGUAAUAACAGCGACUUGCAAAAGGAAAAGACAGAAUCAUUCACCCCUUUUUAUAUCAUGUAUUUGGUUACUGUUGCCCUGUUGACGCAUGUAUAAAAUAACCGUAUGUAUUUUUUUUGGCUGUUGCUUAACAAAAUGUGUGUUUGUGUGUGUAUAUAUAUAUAUUUGCUGUUUGAAAAAAUUGGAUUCAAAUAAAUUAAAAUGAACUAGAGAGGAAGAGAAAGAAUGAAAAGACAACAAACAAUUGAUAUUGAUCUCGAACCAACUUCUUUCUUUCUUUCUUUCUUUUUUGUGUUUUUUUUUUCGCCCGUACCCCCUCUCAGAUUAGAGUAUUGGCUAUUAAAUGAAAGGUUUUAAGGGUAUGAGUGAAAAACAACAUUCUUUUUUAGAAACUAUUUUAGAGGAGGGAUGCAAAUUAAAUGACAAGAUUAAGACAAACAGGAGAUAUUUUUUCGUGGGCAUUAAGAAAUAACUGCUGUCAAGAUCAAGGAGAUUAUGCUAUUAAUAGAAAUUAUCAAAGGAUUUAGAACAAGUUCACCUCUUUAAUUAUCCGGGAUCAGAUAGUUGAUGAGCUUCUCUUCUUGGCGUUGAAUAUUUAAGAAUAAUUUUAAUGAGCAAAAAGAUCACUGGUAACUGCUGAAAAAUAAGUGAGAAAAGAGUUGAUGAGAAUAAUAACAAUGAAUUGAAUAAAAAAAGGACUUAAUCAUGCACCCCCUUUGCAUAUCAUGUAUUUGGUUACUGUUGCCUUGUUGACGCAUGUAUAGAAUAAUUAGUGACUUCUUUCAUGAAGAAUUAAACUUGGAAUGACCAAAAGACGAAGCUGCGGUGUAUUGUUGGACCAAAUUAAGUUGAAGAAAGCACUAGUUCACAACCUUACGUUUGGAUAUAUUCUAAAGAAAUAAUUAAACAGCAAAUCAUCACAUGCACUUUAAUGAUUUGAUCUAUUGUUUUCAAAAGAAAUUGCAAUUAACAGUUUUUGUCAAAAGUUCGCACUGCGUGAAACUAGUGCUAAUAUAAUUUAAAAAAUUAAUUUCAGUAUUAGUUUUUAAAAUGUUAAUUAUUAUAUUUAUUUUAAUAAUAUAUUUAUAUUUAUUAUAAAAAAUUCUGUUAAACAUUUGUGUUAAAUAGAAUUUAUAAUUAAUAUAAUAUAUCUUAGGUAUUAAUAAUAUUAUAAUUAUUCUAUAUGCUAUUGAAAAUAAUUUAAAUUUUUAGACGUUUAUUUUCACAUUAAGUUUCUAUUUAUUAUAAAAUUUAGUUUAAUAUAGUAUAAGCUUGUAAAGUAUUAAAAUAUUUUUUCAUAUUUUUUGAACAUAUUAAAAUUAUUUUAAAAUAUAUUUAUAUAUUAACAUUGAAGUCAAUUUUUUAAGUUAAUAGAACCAGUAGGUGUUAUAGUAAAAAAGCGUUUCUUAGCAUCACUUAUUGAAAAUAUAAAGAUCUAUAUAAUCAUUUUUUCAAAUAUUGAGAUGUAGUUAUAAAAGAAAAAAUAAAUUAAAAAAUUUUAAAUUUUAAUAUGGCCAUCGUAGAGUUAGAAUCCCCGCUCCAACCCGAUUUGGAGAUGAGCUUGGUCUAUUUAUGUUUUGGAAAAAGAAAAACCAAAGGAAAAAAAAGGCACCCGACCAAAUCAAGUAACUCAUCAAAUAAAAAAUAAAAAAAGGAAAGAAAUUUAAUGACUUGCAUGCAAUUUUGGAUCUGAAAUUAAAAUUACAUAAAAAUUAAGGAUUACGUACCUUAAUAUUUACAGCUUAUUUGAUGGACUCAACAGGUUUAAGCAACAUCAAAAUGUUUGUGGCUCCUUAAAUGAGCCCCCGACAUGGUGCAAAUGACAACAUCGACUUGUUUGACAGCUCCAACAAGGCUACGAUGAUCAGAAGAUGAGCCCUCAAUCAACAAGCUAAGAUUGGCUUCUCUAUCCUCUUCGCCCCACAACCAGCGCCUUGCUCUUUGUCAUUUUUCCUCUUGUUAGUUUUCUUCUACAUAUAAUUAUUACACUGGGAAGUAUACACACACCUCUUUUCUUUUUAUAGUACCUUACUAUUAUAUCUUUACAAAACAAUAUCACCCUAAGACAGCUAUGUAUGAAAUAAAUGAAAUAAAUAUAUAAGGAACUGACGAAAUAAAAUUAGAUCUAACUCUAAUUUCACGUUGCGUGAAUUUUUGACAAUUCACCCGUAUCCCAACAAAAGCUUUGUCAUAUUGCGAAAAUACCUUUUCAAUGUUUCAAUUGCAAUGUCAUUGCCAUUAUUCAUAGUGGCAGACAAUGGACGUCACGGGACGGUAGAAGUCUAUGUUACGGCUUGUGCAAGUAACAGCAGCCAAUGGGGAACUUCCACGGGUGCUAGAGGAGAGAGAAAGAGGUCCCAAUGCAAGGUGAUGGAAAUGGGAAAGUUCGAAGCUGUUACUUUCAGCUUCUGCACCUUAGCCAUGUCCCACGGGACAAGGCUAGAAGUUAUCAUGACCAUAAACUUUUCUAAUUUAUUUUUUCCUUUCAAAAAGGGACAAGGAUACGUUUCGGAGAAUGAUUAUAUUUUUAAUAAAAGAAUUCUUUUUUAUUAUAAUACUUUUUUCUUUAUUAAUUUAAAAAUAUUGACUCUUAUAUUUUAAUAAAUAUAAAUAUAAUAUUAUAAUAAAAUAUAACAAUAUAUACAAAUAUUUAAAAAAAUUUAAGAUUUUAUUAAAAGAAAUUUUAUAAUAAAUACAAAUAUAUUAUUAAUAUAAUUAUAAUAAUUUGCAUUUUAAAAAGUAAUACUGAUAUUAAUUUUUUAAAUUAUAUUACUCUACCAAAAAAAUUAAACUAUUAAAUUAUAUUGAUAUUUAUUAAAAAAAUUGAAGUUAAUUCUUAUUAUAUUUUUAAUUGGAAUUUUUUCAUGUGACAUAAUUACAAUUGCUACAUUUUUUUCCCUAAAUAAAGAUGGGAGUUAUAAAUUAUUUGUAUAAGUGUCUGUGUGUAAACUAAUGUGACAUGAAAGUAAUAGCUGAAUAACAAUAAUGGAGCUUUAGGUAAUUUUUUAUGAGGUCUUCUUGCAAUUUCAACACUUAAACAGACUUGUCCUUGAUCCCAAUUUAUUUACCCCAUUUGGGCCCCUUAUGACAAACAUAUUCUUGUGGAAUGAAAAACAUCAGGAGAAGAAAAUGUUUUAUUAUAAUAGAAAAAGUUGUCCAUAAGUCUAUUCAUUUUUUUUUUAUUCAAUACAAAUGCGGGCCGCGUUCUGUGGGUCUNNNNNNNNNNNNNNNNNNNNNNNNNNNNNNNNNNNNNNNNNNNNNNNNNNNNNNNNNNNNNNNNNNNNNNNNNNNNNNNNNNNNNNNNNNNNNNNNNNNNNNNNNNNNNNNNNNNNNNNNNNNNNNNNNNNNNNNNNNNNNNNNNNNNNNNNNNNNNNNNNNNNNNNNNNNNNNNNNNNNNNNNNNNNNNNNNNNNNNNNNNNNNNNNNNNNNNNNNNNNNNNNNNNNUAAGUAGAGUGAGACUCUGGCAUCCUCUAAAUAUCUCUCAACACUCUUUCUUAUUAACCCCAUUAAAAUAUUUAAAAAUAUUAUAAAAUUCUUUUAACACCUUUUUUAUGGCAAAAAUACCCUUAGUUUAAAUUUAUUAAUAUAAACCCCAUUUUAAUUUUUGACCCCUGAUUGUGAUUUUUUUUUAAAGCACCUGAAUUUUGAAACAAUUAAUUAUCUAUUGAAAAAGAAAGAAAGAAAAGGAAAACAAAAGGAAAAGGGCACUUGCUCCAAGAAAGUUCUACUUUAAUGUGGCAAAUCAUUGAAACACCACAUGGCCAAAACUUUACUCUAUGCAUGACAACUCAUUGUAAUUGAUAAUGACCCUCGCAAACACUUGGCUACCAUGCGUGUAAUUCUAAGGCCAAGUGCUAAUUUGGUUUACUGAUGAAGAUGCUGAGCACAAGCUUCUGAAAAUGCAGAAUUACGAAUUUUUCGAAAGACUGCGAACCUUUAUGGAGAAAGACAACUAGGCCACUGGAAAACAUGUCGGUGGGAAAAUAAUUCUGAUGAUCGUUCAGCUCGUCCUUUGCUUCAUAAUUACUUUCUUCUUUCUUAAUUUCUCUCAUGGGUCUCGGUUUCUUCCUGAAGCUUGUUGAUGAUGAGUUGCAUAUGCCGAUAAUUCCUCACCAGAAAAUAAGAUGAAAAGGUAACUUUCUUAAUUUUUAAAAUGCUGAAUUUCAAUUUAAGGUACUAUUCAUUUUGUCUCUUUCAAGUUAUUUUUCAUUUUUCUGCUGAUAUUUUAAUAUUUACAGUCAAUUGUAGCAUUACUUAAAUUUAUAGUAUGUAGAUCAUAAUUCAUAAAUUAGUUUGCAGUUGGAGUAAACUCGAAAAUGUUAAAAAAAUAAUAAUAACAACAAAAAGAGUAGAGACAAGUUGUCAUCUUGAGUAACAAUAAAAUAAAGAAUUGCAGCUUUUACAAAGUCUUUCUUUAAAAAUAUGAAAUGAAUAAAAUGACUAUUAAAAUGGUUCAAAAUUUUCUGAUAGUGUCAUUGACUAGCUAGAUCAAUUGUUUCUUGUGUGGUAACUUCAAACACCAAAUCCUUGAAAGCAAGUAUAUUAGUUUUGUAUGGUGUUGCCCAGCCUUCUGCACAUGGUUCAUGAUAUUUGAUCCAACUAUUCGCAAUAGGAGGAAUAGGUGAAGCUGGAAGCAUGAACACCUGUAAAAAAAAAAAAAAAGCCAUAGAAAAAUUAGUCCAAUAAUUAAGAUAUUGCAGCAUAAUUUGAAUUUCUAAACUUUUACAUACCUCUAUGAAAUGAUUUCUAUUAACAAAUCCAAUAGCAAUGAUUUUAUGCGAGGAGCGUGAUAAUGGAAUAGAUCUAAGUGGAAGGAAUGUGACAAUCAGCACAUCUGAUAUAUGUAGUAAUACCACAUUAUAUUUAGAAGCAAUAAUAUGACCAAUUUCAGGCAUGGUCAUCCAAUACUCUCUUCCUGGGUUAUUCUCAAAGUAUAAAAGUGAAUGAAGCACCUCCUCUGCUCUACCAGCAUAUUCAAAGACUCUUUUAUAAUCAUUAAAGUGACUUUGCAACUCAACAACUAAGACUUUCCUGACUUGUGCCCAGUUAUCUUCACCAAUACCUAUUAGGUCAGCCACUGCCUGAAAACCACAAUUACCAUCUGCAACAACAUCUCUAACACCACAAAUAUAAGGCCUCAAACCAAAUGGAAAUGAAUCAAUAUAAGAAGCAUGCUUUGGUGCUUUUGUUUGAGAAACACUCAUUUUUCGUUGCCCUUUUGGUUUUUUUGUAGUUGUACUUGAAGACAUAAUGUCUGGAGAAUGAUUAUCCUGUGCGGAUACUACAUACUCAAAUCUUGAUGGAUCUCGGCGGGUAGAUUUAUCAAGCUUUUGGGAGGGUCGUCCUCGAGUCUUAGCUUUAACAGGUAGCUCAAUUAAAAAAGUUAAGAAUGGAUCAGCUAAUUCUUUCAGUUUUCUUUUUAUUUGCAUUUUUCCGAAACCAUCUGAAUCUUCAAAACGCUUGAUAAUCAUUUCCAUUUCAGGGGUACAACUCAACUCUGCUGAUUUUUCAUAGCUGGUGCAGACAAGGUCUAAUUUCCUCCAAUGCAAAUGUACAGAAUCUAAAGGUAUCGGUCGACCUUCACGCUUAUACUCUGCAAUUUCAUGUGCACACGGUAGCCCAUAAGUGUGUCGAACUACACAACCACAUGCUGAAAUAUCUAUACCAAUUAAAUCAGCUCUUUUUGACUCACUUAGUAUCAUAUCUAAUGCAUUUCUAGCAACUAACCCCCUUAAUUCUUUAAAAACUGAAGGUGUGAAACUAUGUUGCACAGUAGUCAAACUCUUCUCAAAUGAUGCCUUAAUUUUUGUAUGUUGCAACUCUACCAAAGAAUGAAGUUUUGUCCAUAAUGUUACAAAGUUUCCUUGGGAUGAACAUAGUUGCCUUUUUAAUUUUGAAUGUGCAGUCUCAGCCCUAAAAAUAAACCAACAAAAAAAUAAUAAAAAGAUAUAUAAAAAAAUGGUGUUGAGUUUAUUUAUAAAAUCAUUGAAAACUAAAUAUUGGUUACCUGUUGGUUGUCAUAUUUCCGAAAUGCAUAAUAAAGUCUGUCCAUGCUGCAAUAAAUUUUUCUUUAUACUUAUCAAGCCAUGUCUACUUCACAUAGACAAGUGCUUUCGGAUAUCUAGCAUAAUCACUCUAAAAAAUACUCAAGUGUUGUAUGUACUCUUGUUCAGUGGCUGAGAACACCAGUACAUUCCAGUUGCUGUUAAAGGCUUCCCAUCUUUCAUUAGUAUGAAAUAGCCUCUUAUAAUUAGCUAACACAUUUUUUGAAAUAUGCCAUCUACAAAGUAAAUUAGUUGCACUUGGAAAUAUCUUUUCAAUGGCAUUCAUCAGAGCUAAUUCCCUGUCUGUCACAAUCACAGCUGGUAACAUAUCAUCUUGCAUAAUGGUUUUCAAUCUUUCUAAUGCCCAAAUAUAGUUAUCUUCUCGUUCGGACUCAAGAUAUGCAAAACCAACAUUAAAUGUCUUUGCAGUCGAUGUGUCACCAACUAUUUCUAACAACGGAAACUUAUACUUAUUGACUUUAUAAGUGCAGUCCAUUAUCAGAACACUUGGAAAAGCUUUUAACAAAUCAAAAGUAAGAGGAUGUGCCUAAAAUAUGUCUUUCACACAAUUUGUAUCAUCAUCACUCCGAUGCCACUCAAUGUAAUUAUGAUCAUGCAAUUUACUCAUAAGCUGUUGCAUUUGUGACCGUCCGCCCAAUUCGCGAACCUUAUAUUUAUACCGAGCAUUAUAAACCGUCUUCAUUGUUGUAACAUUAAAUGUAUCCCUAGUCUUUAAAGUAUGUAAUAUCUCUUUUGGCCGAACAUUAUUUUUAGACAAAUCAACCAAUAUACUAACAUCUUCAUUAGUAAGUCUACCUGCAAAUGAGUGGCCCUCAAGAUAUUGUGCAAAAUGAUGGUUAUGCAAUCCACAGAUUACUUUUAACACCCAAUCUUGAUUAUUCACCAACAUUUGACCCUUUAAUAAAAAUGGACAGCCACACUUUUUUGUUCCAAUUGCAUUCGGUCUUUUCUUCUUUUCCAAGUCGCUAUUCUGCUUAGACAUGUUGGUACUUCUUUUCGGAUAUGCACCACUUCUUUCACAAGCAAAAAUUAUCCUUGGUCUCCUUCCAAUCACAUUCACGUCAGAUCUUUUAAUAAUAAUCACAAGUCCAUUUUUUUCCCAACAUCAUGCAUCCAUCGAAUCAACUUGUCUCUACUGGUGAAAACCUAUGAGAAAGACAAUAAUAUAUUAGUUAAUGAUACAAAGAAAAGAGAAUAUAUGUAUGAAAAUUUAUUUAGCAUUUUACCUCUUCAGUAGUGAAUGCAGCAGUGUAAUCCAUAACAUCUACUUUAUUAUCAAGAAUGACAACUAUGGUAGAACUUUCCUCCUUUACAAUCAUUGUAAGAUAUUACAUAAGUUAAUACAAGACACAAAACUAGAAUAAUAGCAAUUUAUUCAGCAAUAAUCAACCAAACAAUUGACAUUUGUUAAGGGAUAUUUGUUGAACAUUGUUCAACGCUCUCCCAGUCAUUAUAAUUCUAAAACAAUAAAUUAAUAGCAAACUUACUUUUUUAUUAUCAUCCCCAUCUAUUUGCAUGAUUAUUUUGCCCUAAAUUUGAAACUCUUAGAUUAGGGUUUAAGAAAGAAAAGAGAGUUUAUAUCGUAUGCCACACAAAGAAUUUAAAACUCUUAAACAAAAAUAUGCCAUAUAAGAAAUUUUUAAGGGGAAAAAAAUAUUUGAUUUUGAGUGGGGGUUUAAUUAGAAAUUGUCUUAUUAUGUAAUUUUAAUAAAGGUUAAAAUUGUAAAAUAACUAAAGGGGUGUUAAGAGGUAUUUAGAGGGGUGCCAAUAGUCCCACUCAAAUAAGUAAUGGUAACAAAAGACUAAUUUGUAAUAUUGAAGUGUACGGGCUUAACUAAAUCCAAAAAUUAGUAAGUUAGCUCAAGAGUUGAGAGUUGUCCAAAUCUUAAAUGUUGAACCCAAGUUCAAUACUCAAUUGAUGCGGGAUGUUAUUCCUAACACCUCCCGUCAUGUGUAGGAUUGGUAAAAAAACUCGGGUCAGUCCCGCCUAGACCUACGGGCUUUAUGCAUGGCCCGCAUGAUGAAGUUACGAAAUUAACCUAAAAAUUUGAAACUUACGAUGAAUGGCCUUGCUUAAAGAUUUUUGCAACUUUAAUUUAUAACGAGUAUGUAUAUAUACACACACAAAAGUUUAGAUUGCAUUUGGAUGACUUUUUUAAUCAAUUCAAACAAUCUGAAAUUUAUCAGAUUAAUCCGAAUUUGAUCUGUAUCUGAUUUUGCCCGCCCCUACUAUUUAUAAGCCCAAGUGACUCUCUUUUACUAAUUAAUAAGGGAAUUUUUUACCUUAUAUCCUUGCUGUGGCGUUAGACUACUGGUCAUUUUGAUUGUUUCCUACCUUCCAUUUACGCCAGUUGUAACAUUGUAUUAUUCACCACUUUAGCCAUUUAAAUGAAAUUUUAUUUUCAUAAAAAAUAAAAUGACACCCUUAAAAUUUAAAAAAUAGAUAUGUAGAUCUCAAAUUUUUAAUAAAGAAUGUCAAUACCCCUUUUAACUACAAGAUUCUUAGUAGAUGAUAACCAAAAACAUUAACUUCAAAUUUUUCACUAAAUGUAAAUCUGAUUGAAAUAGUUUAAUUUUUUUCUAGUAGACUAAUAUGUAUAACUUAUAUAAUUAAUUUCAUUAUUAAUUUUUAAAAUGUUAAUUAAUAUAUUUUUAAUUAUUAUAAAAAUUUUAAAUAAAUCUUGGAUUAGAUAGAUUUUACACUUAAUGUAAUACUUCUGAUUUAUUAAUAAUAUUAAAAUUAUUUUAUAUGAUAUUCAAAAUAAUUUAAACUUUUAUAUAUUUAUUUUAAUAUUAUGUCUAUUUAUUAUAGUUUGGUUUAAUAUAAUACGGGAUUGUAAAAUAUUAAAAUAUUUUUCAAUAUCAAAUUAUUUUAAUAUGUAUAUAUUAUUACAUUUAUUUUAAUAUCACAUUUAUAUUUAUUAUAAAAUAUAAAAUUAAUAAAAUUAAAGAGUAUUGCAGUAAAGUAAAAAAAAAAGUCUUAUUAUCCCAUAUUCACGGUAUGAGUUUCUACAAAAUUAUUUCCUCAAAUGGGUGACCUUUCCUCAUUUUCAAAAGAAAAAAUAAAGUAAGAAUAAGUCCAGGGUUUCAAAAACUUCUAGUCUUAUCCCAAGACCUCCAUUGUCUACCACUAUGACUAAUGGAAAUGACAUUGCAAUUGACAUUGCUUUUCGCAACAUGACAAAUUUUUGGUGGGAUAUGAGAGAAUUGUCAAAAGUUCAUGCCGCGUGAGAGUUUUUGGUGGGAUGUGGGAGAAUUGUCAAAAGAUCACACCACGUGAUAUAACCAUAAUUGCUACAAUUUUUUUUAAUAAUGAUGGGAGUUAUAAAUUAUUUAUAUAAAUUUGUGUAGAAACUAAUGUAACAUAAAAGAAGUAGCUGAAUAACAAUAUUUGGUGCUUUAGGUAAUUUUUAUAUGAGCCUUUCUUUUAUUUAGCGACUUUAGUGCUUAAACAAAUUUGUCCUCGAUCUUAAUUUACUUACCCCAUUUAAGCCUAUGAUGACAUAAACAUAUUCUUUUGUGACGAAAACAUCAAGAGAAGACAUCUCAUGUUUUAUUAUAACACAAAAGAAGUGGUCCAAACGUCUAUUCAUUCUUUUAUUUACUCAAUAUGAAUGGCCAACUUUAAAAAAUGAUAAAAAUCACACCACGCUCAACUGAAAAUUUAUAAUUACAUUUUUUAAUACUCUCUAUACUCUCUAGCCUCUCUCUCCUGCCCCCUUUUUUUUUUAAAAAAUAAACCUUAGUGUAAAAUUAGAAGAAUUUUAGAUAUAACAUUUGACAAUCGCUAAAUAGAAAAGUAGGGGAUUGAAAAUAGAGGAGCUCUGUUAUCAUUGGAAUAUUGAUUAUAGAUCAUAUAAUAACUUGUUGUGGUUCAUUGUAGCACUCUGAGUCAUAUUCUAAAAUUUAUAGGUUUCUUAAGGUUUUUAUUAUUGACAUUAUUGUGUCAAUACUAUUAUAAUUUAUUCAUUUUAUUGUAAUGAUAAUUUGUCUAGUCUUAGGUACUUAUUAUAUUAAAUUAUGUAAAUUAAUUGAGAAUACAUUUAGAGACAAAAGAAACACGUGUAUGUAGGAUUAAUAAUCGCAGAGUUGUAAAUGAAGGUGAUUGCUUCAUUGAGAGGCAUAUUAAAUAAUUAUGGAGAGUUGCACUAUUUCGGAAGCAUAUAUUUAUACUUCCCUAUCAGGAUUUGGGGUAAGCGAAGUGCUUUAUGUGUUGUAGUAAGCAAUGUGGGCAAUAUCGGAGGCGAAAUAUUAAAAGAUCAUAACGCAUAUAUUUGAGCCAUUUAUAUUGAAGACACGUAUUGAAGACACGUAUAGAGGAAAGAGUGCAUAUCCGGCGGUAACUAUUAUCAGGCUUUCCUAAAAUAUUCUCAUGCUUCCUCAACUGUUCUGAACUAUUCUUCAUAGUGGGCAGAUUUACUUAAAUACCCUUCUACCUAACAAAACUUGGUACUUCUAAUUGCACUCGCAGAGAAUCUAUAAAAUUAAAAAAAAAUUCAUCCAUGAAAAGCCUCGUAACAGAAAAACCAUCUUUCAAAAAAUAAUAAUAAAAUAAAAACAGAAAAACCGACUCAUUUAUCUGCCAAUGAACCAAUCGGGACUCAUUUAAAAAAGAUUACAAAGCAAAAGUAAAUGACACAAAUUGCAUAGAUAUCUAGGAGCCGCAUCAAAGGGCAAUGGUGUUAAUUUGUCCGAGUAAUAAUUAAUUUCAAUAUUAAUUUUUAAAAUGGAAAUUAAUUUAUUUAUAUUUAUAAAAUAUUUGUAAUUAUUUUAAAAUUUUAACUAAAUCCUUAGGUUAAAUAGAUUUUACAAUUAAUAUAAUAUUUCUCAUGUAUUAAUAAUAUUAAAAUUAUUUUAUAUGAUAUUGAAAAUAACCUAAAUUUUUAUAUAUUUAUUUGAAUAUUAUGUCUCUAUUUAUUAUAAUUGGGUUUAAUAGAAUACGAGAUUGUAAAAUAUUAAAAUUUUUAGAUAUUGAAAUUAUUUUAAUAUGUAUAUAUUAUUAUAUUUAUUUUAAUAUCCUAUUUAUAUUUAUCAUAAAUUAUUAGAGUUAAUUUUUUUAGUUAAUAAAUUUAAAAACUAUUCUAAUUUUAAAAAAAAGUCUUAUUGUCUAUUAUUCAUGAUAUGAGGUUCUACAAAAUUAUUUCUCCAGACGGAUGUCCUUUUCUUAUUUUCAAAAGGAAAAACAAGUUCAGGGUCUCAGGGGUUUCAAAAAUUCUGGUCCUAUCUACCACUAUGACUAAUGGGAAACAACAUUGUAAUUGACAUUGCUUUUCACAAUAUGACAAAUUAUUGGAGGGAUAUGGGAGAAUUGUCAAACAUUCACACCACGCGAGAGCUUUAGUGUGGGAUAGGGGAGGAUUGUCAAGAGUUCACACCACGAGAAACUAAUGAUAGGCCCAAUUUCAUUGUCAAUUCUUUAUUUAUUUCAUGCAUUAUUGUUUUUCUAAAGGUAUAAAAGCAAAGUAAAAUACUAGGGGCGCUUUUAAGUUACAAUUGAUGUAACUUACAAUUUUUUCAAAAAUAAUGUAAAAAAAUUAAUAGGUGGUGGGACCCACAUAUUUUUUAAGAGACUUAAGUUACGGCAGUUGUAACUUAACAAAAUUUAAAUAUUAGAUAAUAAUACAUAUUAAUAAUAUAUAAUUUGGGUUUGAUUUUUAAAAGAUUAUUUGAGUACCACCUAUCCUUAUGAUAUUAAUGUGACUAUAUCUUAAUAUUAAAUAAUCAAAAUUUGUUUAAUUGUUAUUUGUAUUUCAUACAUUACAUAUUAGAUUUGUUUGAAUUUUAAGUUGUUGCUAAUAAAUAUUUAUGUUGUCAAAGUCAAAUUCAAUAGCUACAAAAGCAGAGAUAAUGGUAUUGUAUAUAGUUUUUAAGAAUGCAAGGAUAAGCUGGAUAAUUGACAUAAAUUCUAAUGAUUAAAACAGCAACUAUCCCUUAAGUUAUAAUGUCAAUUUCUUUAAUUAGAUUUUUUUUUUUAUGUGAUAUAACCACAAUUGCUACAAAUUUUUUUUUUUAUAAUAAUAAUGGGAGUUAUAAAUUAUUUAUAUAAAAUUUGGGUUGAAACUAAUGUAACCUAAAAGUGGUUGCUGAAUAACAAUAUUUGAAACUUUAGGUAAUUUUCAUGAGUCCUUUUUAUAUUCAGCAACUUGAAUUGGGGGAAAUCCGACUUGAAUUGGCGGUUGAUUUUCGUGAUGUGGCUUUUGGUUUAUGGCGACCUUACAGUGGCAGAAGACUGGAUUUACGGUUGCCGACUGCUAGGGAUUAUGGUGGGGGUGUAAAUUGACGGAAAAAGAAGGUGUUUUGGUGGCGGCGCGUGUAGGAAGCACUCGUGGGUUGUCGUUUCGUGUGGUGGCGGGCGGCGAUCAAGGGCUGAAGUUGGUCGGUUUUUGGUCAACGGAGGCCGGCGAGUUUGUUGGUGGAGGUGGCUGGUGGAGAAAGUGACUGAAUGGUGGUGGGUUGCUUGGUGGAGCCGCGGGUUUGGGUUGGUGAUUUGUGGCUGUUCAAGCGGCGGUUGAGGCAGCGAUGACUGAGGCUUGGUCGACGGUGGCUAGUGAGGUUUGUGGUGGUGUUGGCUGACUGAUCGGCGGUGGUGGGCGGCCGUGGAGGUUGAUGUGACGGGUAGGGUUUUCAAAUUUGUAAAUUUUUUUUUUUGAUGGAUUUGGUUUGGAUGGGUAUCGUGUAUCUAGGAAAGAUGUGCGAUUCGCACAGAAUCCCUUUGACACCAAUUGAUGGAGCGAGGCGUAGCGGAAGCGGAAUUGAUAGGGUAAGAAACAUUAGAUAUUGUUCUAGUACUAGACCAAGCCAACGCAAUUAGCUUACGCUCUAAUCGAAGCGUGAUUAGAUAUCGUUCUAAUCCAAAUAACUCAAUACGAUUUUUAAUAAUGCGUAAUACGAGAUUAAAUGACACUCUAAUCCAAACGACUCUACAAGAGAGAUUUUGAUAAAUAAUCAUAGAGGGGUUUUAUUUAAUAAUUGAACCUGAAGUUAAUGAAAAUAAUGACAAGACAUCUUUAUUUUUUUUUAUUACAGACAUCUUUAUUUAUAAUAAAAGAAACCCGCUUUCCUAAGUUAACCUAAAAAGAAAAUUUAAAUCAUAAUUAUAAUGGAAAUAAAAGAUUAAGAUACAUAUCAUAAUUGACUCAAACUAAAAUAGAAAAUCAUAAAAUAAUAAAUAUUCUAAAAUUAUAAAUUAUCUAAAAUAACGUUAAUUAACUUCCUAAAUCACUUCUUUGGUGUAAACCAUUUUGCAUCCAAACUCGCUUUAAAGGUUUGAACUAACGUUACCAACAACAAUGUAUCAAAUUCCAAUCUAACUUAAGAUCUUGAUGCAUCUAUCGAUGUCCUUGUUUGAUUAGACAAUAAUGAGUCUAUCUCAUCACUUGUUACCUCUUUCUUGAAAGCUACAUCUGUUGAAGUGAUAGCCUCACUUAGAGUUUAAAGAUCUUCUUCCCUGUUAAAUAAAAUGGGCAUUUGAGUAAAAAGCUUUAUCUCUAUCUCCUUCUAUCAAAUAACGACAACUAUCCAAAGGGAAAAAAAAAAUUAGAAAAGUCCAUGGGUCACAAUAAUUUAUGGUCUGUCUCCGGACCCCAUUAUCUGCCACUAUCAAUGAUGAAAAUGAAAAUAAAUGGCAUCUUCCCUAAAUGGCAAAAGAUUUUUGGGGGAUAUAGGGGAAUUGUCAAAAGUUCAUACAACGCGAAAUAAGUGUUACAUCCAAUUUUAUUUCGUCAUAUAAUGAUAAUAUUAAAUAAUGACAACCAUCCAAAAGUAUGAUGGGUCUUCCAAAAUUUUGAAAAUGUCGUCAACAUUUAAUCUUCAAUGCUAAAGAAGAUGAAACGCCCAAAAAUGACACGCAGGACUCACUCAAAAACUAAAUGGCCCUCACCACAUGUAACAAACUUUGACCUUAUGUCCCUGCUGAGGCGUUAGACUGUUGGUCAUUUUGAUUGCUUUUUACCAUCCAUUUACGCCAUUGUAGAAUUGAACUAUUCACCAGUCUAGCUGUUUAAAUGAAAUUGUUAUUUUUUUUCCAAAAAUAAAAUGACACCCUUAAAAUUUUAGAAAAUAGUCAUGUAGACCCCAAAAUUUUAUUAAAGAACACUAAUAUCCUUUUUUACUAUAGUACUCUUAGUAGAUGGUAACAAAAAAAAAAUGAUUGCAAAAUAUUUUAGUAAAUGAAAAUAUGAUUUAAAUAGUUUAAAUUUUCUAGUAGACUAGUAUGUAUAAUUUAAAUAAUUAAUUUUUAAAAUGUAAUUUAAUAUAUUUAUUAUAAAAUUUUUAAACAAAUCCUUGGGUUAAAUAGAUUUUAUAAUUUAUAUAAUAUUUCUCAUGUUUUUAUGUUAUAGAAAUAUUAAAAUUAUUUGAUAUGAUAUUGAAAAUAAUUAAACAUUUUAUAUAUUUAUUUGAAUAUUAUGUCUCUAUUUAUUAUAAUUUGGUUUAAUAGAAUACGAGAUUGUAAAAUAUUAAAAUAUUUUUAGGUAUUGAAAUUAUUUUAAUAUAUAUAUACAUAUUAUUAUAUUUAUUUUAAUAUCCUACUUAUAUUUAUUAUAAAAUAUUAAAAUUAAUUUUUUUAGUUAAUAAAUUUAAAAAAUAUUAUAAUUAUAAAAAGAGUCUUAUUGUCUGCUAUUCACGAUAUGAGAUUCUACAAAAUUAUUUUGAAAAUGAAAAAUAAGUCCAGGGGUUUCAACAAAUUCUAGUCCUAUCUGCCACUAUGACUAAUGGAAACGACAUUGCAAUUGACAUUGGUUUUCAUAAUAUGACAAAUUUUUGGAGGGAUAUGGGAGAAUCGUCAAAUGUUCACACUACGCGGGAUUUUUGGAUGGGAUCAGGGAGGAUUGUCAACAGUUCACACCACGAGAAACCAAUGAUAGCCCUAAUUUCGCUGUUAGUUCUUUGUUUAUUUAUUUUAUUUAUUUCAUACAUUGUUGUCUUGUUGGCAUUGUUUUGUAAAGAUAUAAAAGUAAAGUAAACUAUUAGGGUGCUGCUAAGUUAAGCUGUUGUAACUUGCAGUCCCUUAAAAAAUAAUGUAAAAAAUCCACAUUUGUUUGAAGAGGCUGUAAGUUAUAGUAGUUGUGACUUAGCAAAAUCCAAAUAUUAGACAAUAACGCACAUUAACAAUGCAUAUAAUUUGGGUUUGAUUUUUAAAAAAAUUAUUUGAGUAUUAGCUAUCCUUAAGAUAUUAAUGUGAAUAUAAUUUAAUAUUUAAUAAUCAAAAUCUGUUUAAUCAUAAUAUAUAUUUCAUACAUUGCAUGUUUAAUCAAAAUCUGAUUGCUUUUUACCUUCCAUUUACGCCCACUGUAGCAUUGUACUAUUCACCAUUUUAGAUGUUUAAAUGAAAUUUUUAUUUUUUUUCCAAAAAUAAAAUGACACCCUUAAAAUUUUAGAAAAUAGCCAUGUAGACCCCAAAAUUUUAAUAAAGAACACUAAUAUCCUUUUUAACUACAGCACUCUUAGUAGAUGGUAACCAAAAAAAAAAAAUUGAUUGCAAAAUUUUUUAGUAAAUGUAAAUAUGAUUUAAAUAGUUUAAAUUUUCUAGUAGACUAGUAUGUAUAAUUUAAAUAAUUAAUUUUUAAAAUGUAAUUUAAUAUAUUUAUUUUAAUAUUAUAUUUAUUAUAAAAUUUUUAAACAAAUCAUUGGGUUAAAUAGAUUUUAUAAUUUAUAUAAUAUUUCUCAUGUUUUAAUAAUAUUAAAAUUAUUUUAUAUGAUAUUAAAAAUAAUUAAAAAUUUUAUAUAUUUAUUUGAAUAUUAUGUCUCUUUUUAUUAUAAUUUGGUUUAAUAGAAUACGAGAUUGUAAAAUAUUAAAAUAUUUUUAGGUAUUGAAAUUAUUUUAAUAUAUAUAUAUAUAUAUAUAUAUAUAUUAUAUUUAUUUUUAUAUCCUACUUAUAUUUAUUAUAAAAUAUUAAAAUUAAUUUUUUUAGUUAAUAAAUUUAAAAAUAUUAUAAUUAAAAAAAGAGUCUGAUUGUCUGUUAUUCACGAUAUGAGGUUCUACAAAAUUAUUUUGAAAAGGAAAAAUAAGUCCAGGGGUUUCAACAAAUUCUAGUGCUAUCUGCCACUAUGACUAAUAGAAACGACAUUGCAAUUGACAUUGCUUUUCUUAAUAUGACAAAUUUUUUUAGGGAUAUGGGAGAAUCGACAAAUGUUCACACUACGCGGGAGUUUUAGAUGGGAUCAGGGAGGAUUGUCAACAGUUCACACCACGAGAAACCAAUGAUAGCCCUAAUUUCGCUGUCAGUUCUUUGUUUAUUUAUUUUCAUUAUUUCAUACAUUGUUGUCUUGUUGGCAUUGUUUUGUAAAGAUAUAAAAGUAAAGUAAACUAUUAGGGUGCUGCUAAGUUAAGUUGUUGUAACUUACAAUCCCUUAAAAAAUAAUGUAAAAAAUCCACAUUUGUUUGAAGUGGCUGUAAGUUAUAGUAGUUGUGACUUAACAAAAUCCAAAUAUUAGACAAUAACGCACAUUAACAAUGCAUAUAAUUUGGGUUUGAUUUAAAAAAAAAAAAUUUUGAGUAUUACCUAUCCUUAAGAUAUUAAUGUAAAUAUAAUUUAAUAUUAAAUAAUCAAAAUCUGUUUAAUCAUAAUAUAUAUUUCAUACAUUGCAUGUUUCAUCAAAAUUUGAUUGCUUUUUACCUUCUAUUUACGCCCACUGUAGCAUUGUACUAUUCACCAUUUUAGAUGUUUAAAUGAAAUUUUUAUUUUUUUCCAAAAAUAAAAUGACACCCUUACAAUUUUAGAAAAUAGUCAUGUAGACCCCAAAAUUUUAAUAAAGAACACCAAUACCCUUUUUGACUAUAGUACUCUUAUGGUAGCCACAAAAAAAAAUUGACUUCAAAAUUUUUUAGUAAAUGUAAAUACGAUUUAAAUAGUUUAAAUUUUCUAGUAGACUCGUAUGUAUAAUUUAAAUAAUUAAUUUUUAAAAUGUAACUUAAUAUAUUUAUUUUAAUAAUAUAUUUAUUAUAAAAAUUUUAAACAAAUCCUUGGGUUAAAUAUUUUUAUAAUUAAUAUAAUAUUUCUCAUGUUUUAAUAAUAUUAAAGUUAUUUUAUAUGAUAUUGAAAAUAAUUUAAAGCUUUAUAUAUUUAUUUGAAUAUUAUGUCUCUAUUUAUUAUAAUUUGGUUUAAUAUAAUACGAGAUUGUAAAAUAUUAAAAUAUUUUUUGGUAUUGAAAUUAUUUUAAUAUAUAUAUAUAUAUUAUAUUUAUUUUAAUAUCCUACUUAUAUUAUUAUAAAAUAUUAAAAUUAAUUUUUUUAGUUAAAAAUUUAAAAAAAUAUUACAGUUAAAAAAAAAGAGUCUCAUUGUCCGUUAUUCACGAUAUGAGAUUCUAUAAAAUUAUUUUCAAAAGGAAAAAUAUGUCCAGGAGUUUCAACAAAUUCUAGUCCUAUCUGCCACUAUGACUAAUGGAGACGACAUUGAAUUGACAUUGCUUUUCGCAAUAUGACAAAUUUUUGGAGGGAUAUGGGAGAAUCAUCAAGCGUUCACACCACGCGAGAGCUUUAGGUGUGAUAUGGGAGAAUUGUUAAGAGUUCACACCACGAGAAAUUAAUGAUAGGCCUAAUUUCGUUGUCAGAUCUUUAUUUAUUUUUUAUUUAUUUCAUACACUAUUGUCUUGUUGGUAUUGUUUUGUAAAGAUAUAAAAGUACAAGUAAAAUAUUAGGGGAAGUAAAGUAAAAUAUUGGAGGUGCUACUAAGUUACAGCUGCUGUAACUUACAGUUCCUUAAAAAAUAAUGUAAAAAAUUUAACACGUGGUGGGACCCACAUUAUGUUUGAAGAGGUCGUAAGUUAUAGCAGUUGUAAAUUAGUAAAAUCCAAAUAUUAGACAAUAAUACAUAAUAACAAUGCAUAUAAUUUGAGUUUGAUUUUUAAAAAAAUUAUAUGAGUAUUACCUAUCCUUAAGAUAUUAAUGAGAAUAUAUUUUAAUAUUAAAUAAUCAAAAUCUGUUUAAUCAUAAUAUGUAAUUCAUACAUUGCAUGUUAGAUUUGUUUGGAUUUUAAGUUGUUGCUAAUAAAUAUUUAUGUUGUGAAAGUCGAAUUCAAUAGCUACAAAAGCAGAGAUAAUGGUAUUUUAUGUAGUUUUUAAGAAUACAAGGAUAAGUAGGGGUGGGCAAAUCGGGUUUCGAUUCGGGUUGUUCGGGUUUCGGAUUGGGUUUCAACCCGUUCGGGUUGGAGAAUUGAACCCAAUCGGGUUGAAAGCACCAACCCGAACCAAACCGAACCGAAUUUAAUUCGGUUCGGUUCGGUUUGGGUUGGCAAUUCGGAUCGGAUUGGGUUGAUAAUUCGGGUUAAAAUUUCGGUUCGGGUUAAUUCGGGUUAGAAUGGGUUGGAACAAUUUAAUCUAAAAAUUCUAACAACAACCACUUAAAAUCUAAAAAUUUAAAUUUCAAACAUUCUUAACAACAAAUAUCAAUUACAAAUCAUCCUUAAUAACAUUUCAACAAUUUAAAAAUCUCAAUUCCAAACAUUCCAAACAUCCUUAAGGAACGAUUUAAUCUAAAAAUUAUAACAACCUCUUAAAAUCCAAAAAUCUUAAUUCCAAAUAUCCUUAAUAACAAAUAUCAUCUACAAAUCAUCUUUAAUAACAUUUCAAUAAUUUAAAACUCUCAAUUCCAAACAUCCUUAAUAACAAAUAUCAACUACAAAUCAUCUUUAAUAACAUUUCAAUAAUUUAAAACUCUCAAUUCCAAAUAUUCCAAACAUCCUUAAGGAACAAUUUAAUUCAAAAAUUAUAACAACCACUUAAAAUCUAAAAAUCUCAAUUCCAAACAUCCUUAAUAUAUAUAUAUAUAUAUUUUUUUUUUUAAUUUAAAAGCUGAAUCUUAAAAAAAAAAAAAAGCUUCAACCCGAACGGGUUGAAACUUUGAAUCCGUUCGGGUUUCACCGGUUAACCCAAACCGAACCGAACGCCCACCCUAAGGAUAAGACCAUAACGCAUGAGAUAAUGGUAUUUUAUAUUAAAAGACCAUAACACAUGUAUUUGAGCCAUUUAUAUUGAGGACACAUAUAGAGCGAAGAGUGCAGAUCCGGCCGUAACUAUUGUGAAGCUUCCCUCAAGUAUUCCCAUGCACACAACCCUUAUCUGUUCAAGUUUUCUGAUUCAAUAUAAUCAAUUUCCGAGCAGUACUGACGACAGCUUCUCUGUAAAGCUCUUCAACCACAAGCAUUUCUACAAGGCAAAAGACUAGGACGUGUCGGAAUGAAUAUCAAUAAGGGAAUGUCUUAUGAAUUCAGUUUAUAUCCUAAUAUAAGACAAUCAGUAAAUAUUGGAUGCAAUCUUAGGCUAACAUUUGGUUGAUCAUUAUACAAAAAAAAAGGUACAAAAAUACAAAACAGAGCUGAUUGAUGGCCUCUCACAGUCAGUUAUAUGACAAAGUAGCCAUCACUACUUGAACUUGGCUGGAGGUCUCAUUAGCAGUAUACCUCAGAAAUUAAUACAGAGACUUUAAAAUGCAAACUUAUGGAGCAAUUUAAGCACUGAAACUAAUAACAGUACGGUAUUAGCAAUUGACCUCUGCUUUUUGCUUGGACAAAGGUUCUCAUCACAAGGGACUCAUUAGUUGCCCUUGCCUCACACUUUUGGAUGCUAAGGGGAAAAAGGAAGCUUGAAUUAGUCAAUCUCAUGUCUAAUGGCAUUCACAGAGAACCUAUAAAACCAAAUAAAUAAAUAAAGUUUUCAUCCAUGAAAAGCUUAGUAAUGGAAAAACCGACUCUUUUAUCUGCCACUGACGAAAAAAAAACUGAAGUAUUAAAUAGAUAAUGAAUUUAAUUUUUUUCUUGGAAAAACUAAUAAUAAAUUAACAAUUAGAUAGUACUAUUAAUUAGAGAUCUUUAAUAUUAAGGUUAUCAAAUAUAGAAUGUGUAUAAAAAUUCUUAAUUAUAAGAUAAUUACUAACUAAAAAGAGGCCUAAAAAAGAAGAUUUGCUAUUAUAAGUAAUACCAAAAAUAAAAAGGGAGACUUCCUAAUUGUUUAAUUGUUAAAAAAGAGGAUUUGUUAUUAUAGGCCUAAUUUGCCUAUGCUUAAAACCGUUCCCGGAUGUAAAAAAAUAAAAAUUAUUGUUAAAUUCCUGACUAAUAAGGUCAUUGAAAGUAUUCAAAGGACCUGAACUAUACCACGUUGCAAGUGAGCUCGUAUUUUUAUCCCUUGAUCUGCCAUCGGUAUUUCUCUUCCACUCACUAUACCAUCCUUUUCAAUCGAUUUUUAUUGAUCAUAAGAGACCAUGUGGCCCACCUUUUUUUUAUUUUGGAUCCAUAACCCAAUGCUGGCCCAAGUUAAACAGCAAAUCAUCAAACGCACUUCAAUGACUUUGAUUUUGAUUUUUUUUUUCAAAAGAAGUAAAAAAAUCCAUGGGUCGCAAUAACUGCUGGGAAAUUUAUAAAAAUAGUCAUAAAAUAUUUGUAUUUUUUAACUUUAAUCCCUUAAAGUUUUUUCUAUCAUAACUAGCCAAAUACCCUACUUUUGGACUAGAUUACCCUCAUCACUUUUAUCAAAUUUAUAAAGACAUGCCACUUUUUCAAUUCCAGCACAACUAAAUACGGUUCUUCUUCAAUAACUUAACAAACAUUUAUCACUCUCAACAAACUUCAUCACUCUCUAUAAAUCAAUUACAUAAUUGAAUAUAAUCAUCAAUGGGAGAGCUUCUUAAAAUUAGUUUAUGCUUUUACACAAUGUAAAUCUUUAAUCUAUUGAUUUUAUCAACUAAAUUUGAAAUUAAAGUGGGUUUUGUUACAAAUAUUGUUAUUUUUCAUUCAUAAAACAAUGUGAUUUGUUAAAGUACUUAGUUUGAGUUGAGAAAUGAAGAAAAAUCAUUGAAAAUAUAGAAAAAUCGGGCAAAAAACGAAGUUCAGAACAAGUGAGAUAGGCAAGUGGGACAGGUGCAUGUCUCACAUAAACGCACUGCAUUUAUGUGCGACAGGCACCUGUCCCACUGCUUGUCGCACAUAAACCCAUAAAUUUUAUAGAGUACAUGAUUUUGGAUUUGAUUUGUCUCGUCAUAAGCUUCGAAACAGUAUAUUAUACGCCUAAAACGAACAUAUGUAGCUCAAGUUAUAGCUUUUGCAAUAUAUAUGAAAUUUAGUGAGACAGGCACCUGUCCCACUUGCCUGUCUCACUAAAUUUCAUAUAUGUUUCAAAAAUCAUAACUUGAGCUAUAUAUGUCCGUUUUAGACGUAUAAUAUAUCAUUUCAAAGUUUAUGAUGAGACAAAUCAAAUUCAAAAUUAUGUACUCUAUAAAAUUUGUGGGUUUACGUGCGAUAGGCAAUGGGACAGGUAAAAUGAAUAAACUCUGAGCCUCUCUCUAUAACACUAUAUAGAACCCUAAGCCUAAGUCUCACAUUCGCAACCGCCCCACAUAUCAGAACCACAGCGAACUGCCUCCGACCCUACGGACCCAAAAAAAUUAUUGUAUUCCUGCUCUUUCACUUCAAUAAUUUUUUGUAUUAUUCCAUAUCUUUCACUUUAAUAACCCAAAAGCUUUCCUCUGUUUCAACCCAAAAGCUCAAAUUCCUUUUUUCAAUCGAAAUAAAACGUAGCCACAAAACCCUAAUUCACCACACCAAUUUAUCUCUGCCCGGUAUUCAUUUAAACCCUACCUCGCGGUUCAAUGUCAUUCAAUACGAUUGCAGAUGCCGUUUCAACUUGACAUUUAGUUAGCGCCAUCCCGUUCUCUAUGGUAAGCCUUAACCCUAACAACUAAUCGACUGUGGUAGCACGUUGCUUGUUAGGAGUGGGGAUACAUUAUUUGAAUAUAUGAAUUGGGUGAUGUUAGUGAUUCAUUCCCCUAUUUUUCGUGAAUUGAGAUUUGUGUAUAAUGCUAGUAAGAUUGCUAAAAAUUUCAUAUUUUGUAUUGUUCCAGUUGAAUUUCUUGCUUGUGGAAGAUAAAACAAAAGUUCAAUUUCAUGUUGAUUUAAUUCUUCUUUUUUUUUUCUUCUUUAUAGUCACGCUCUGGCUUUGGUGCUAUGCUUAGUGCAGUUUAUGGUUUCAAGAUUAAGUCACGUUUAUUUGAUGGCAUCGAUUCCAUCAUUAAGAAGCUCUUCUUAUUUUAUCUCAGUUUCAAUUUUCUUUUAUUAUCUGCCUCUACCUGAAAAUGGACGUGUUUUACUAGUAAGCAUAGACUUUGUUUAUUUAAUUGAUAUUAUAAUUUUAUGUAUAAGAAUGGAGGUUUAUUUUGAAAAAAAAAAAGAAAUAAAAAAAUAGACUCUGUUGAAGCUAAUUAGUACUGAAUUUUUUUUGGUGGUGCGACCAGAGGUGGAAACAGGGUAUGAAAAUGUGUUACUGGUGAGGUUGCUGCUUAAGAUGAGAAUGGCUAAAAAUCUGUCAUACGUUCAAAUUUUGUUUGUGUUUGGAAGAAUGGUGUUGACUGUAUAUUCGUUUGGAAGAAUGGUGUUGAUUGUAUAUUCAUUUGCUUAGCCUUUUGACAGAUGGAUUUGAAACUGACGACAAAUGUGAUUCAAUUUACAAGGUUUUCGAGGGGCUCACAGUGGAAGGGAUAUUGAAGAACUGGUCUAAGAUAAAGCCUAUGAUUGUGAAAGAUUGGAGUGAGAAUAUAGAUGCUCGUUUAAAUCUUUUUGGCAAGGUCAGAGAUGAAUGGAUAGAUAAGGAUUUAUUUGACUACUUCGUCUGGUGCUAAUAGGUAUUUUAGGCAAGCUUUUUGAGAUAACACUGAGCAAGUUAUACUACUAGUUUGCACAUGAUGAUCAAAACUCUCGAAAAGUAAAAUAAAAUAAAUUAUUAACUUUUACUUUCAUCUUUUGCAUAGCAAUCAAUGUGGUGCUUGUUCUGUGACAACUUUGAUAGUCUACUUAAUUAUUGGUUAGCAUUUGGACCAAAAAAGUUCUUAUGAUUUACAUGUUUUGUAGAAAUGCAUGAACCUUAAAUGUGCUGAUCAGGGAGUUUAAUUAUUGCACCUUGAAAUUCAUUUAUUGUUAACUAAUUGGCUUUCCUUUGCAUAAAGACGCUUAUAAGGCUUGAGUGGACGUCUUUAUGGGCAUAUUAUUUGUAUUUCUAUAUGCAUGCCUUUAUCAUUAAUUUAUGUGCUGCUUGUAUUUCUUUAUGCAUGCCUUUAUCAUUUAAUGGCCAGCUCCCUCUCCUCUUUUGUAAUUUGAAUGGUAGUAUGGGCCUCCAUUUUACAAAUCUUUAACAUUUUUUGCUGUAAAUUAAUUUUUCUUUCAAAUAUUUUGGAGGUCAUUGGAAUUCCUGUAGGUCUAUUUACCAGAUUUUAGUACGUUUAAGGUUUUAAUUUUGCUUAGACUUUAAUUUCUCUGAAAGAUUGUAGUAUUGAUCCUCAAAGAAAGAUCAUGCUACUUCAAAUUAUUUUGAAGUGUUGCUAGUUAUAGCCUUACAUAUCAAAUUCCAUUUGUCUGGAAAUUUAUUGAUAGUUGUUACAGCAGCAUAUUUUAUGACUCUACUUCUUAGUUAUGUAAGUUCAUUAUGUUUAGGUCAGAGGCAGUCAGCUGUGGGGAAUCGAUAUAUACACAGAUGACUUUGAUCUUGUUGCUGGUACGUGGUUCUAUGAAUAAUUGUUCACAAUAAUUGUGUUUGCCUCACUGUUUUUGUUUUAUGAGGUCUAUAAUUGAUCUUGAGAUAUUACUUUCUAGUUCUCAUGCAAGCAAGUUACUACCUUCCCACUGCAUCUCCUCCUUUAUCUGCUAUUCAAGAGUUGCGUGCCAUAAUCUGGUGUUACCUCUGCAAGAUUGUGAAUGAAUAUGAUGCCUCUAAAUUUAUUUUAUACAUAAUGCUGAUGCUGAAUAAUAUAUUGUAGCUCCUGUCAUAUUCUACUUUGACUUUUUAUAUUCUGUUUCAUAUAAAAAUCUUAUUCAACUUUAGUUGUUCAUGAGCAAAUGUCACAUGUAUAAGCCCAAAUGAUGCUUAAAGGUAGCGCGGCUACCUUUAGUUUGAGCCUACAAUGGAUGAAAAAGAAAUUGAAACUGAUAUUUUGCUGUUUUUCUGAUUUUUCAAAGUAUUUUAGAUCCUGACUUUUGUUUGGACUUGAUGGUUAUAGAUUGUGUCUAGAUUUGUUAAGUUGUUUCCAACACCUCGUGCCAAAUGAAAGCACAAUCUUUCUGAUUCAGAUGUCUUGUUAAUUAUGCUUCAUUUUUUUCGUUAAAGAAUGGAUGGUUGCAUGGAUUGAUGGAGUUGGAGUUCAACCAAUAAUUCUAAUUUUUUGGACUUAAAAUGCCUUUUUCUUCUGUAUAAAAACUUUAGUAAGUGCUAUUGAGUUGACAGAAGUUGAAUACUUACAGGUUGUUUCACACAUUUUAAUCGUUUUACAUAUAUGAAUUUCUGUUUUUUGAAUUGCAGAAAGGAGGUGGAACUAUUGAUUUGGAGCCUUAUCUUACUCAAUCAUCGACAGCGGAGCCUACCCUCGCUCCCAUGGCAGUGGAACGGACAACGACUACUAGGGCUGCAACAUCAGUUGGUUUGGGUCUGUUUUGAGUUUAUUGUCAUUUAUUUGGCAAUGUUUUGAUAGCGAAUUUUGAUAUGUCAAUAUAAUGUGUAAUUGUUUUGGGUUGAGCUGGUAAUUAUGCUGGAUUAGAUUGGUUUGGUUUUGGUGCUUCUCUGACGGAACACUGCUUUUUUUAGAAAUUUUGAAUGUAAUAUGAGACUACAUUUAGUUUAAUUGAACACUGCAUCUAGUCUAAUUACUAGACGUGUGGCAUUUGGUUUGGUUUAUCCGAUAUUCUCCAGAAUUUCACUUGCAUCUGGUUUUGUUGCAUAUGUUUGCUUGCAUUUGAUGGCAGUAGCAGACUGUUUGGUUUUGUGAGAUUUGAUGGCAGUUUGGUCUGUUCUUGGUGUUGAUUUAAGAUUGUUCCUGUUGUGCUGAUGUUAAUUGCAGGUGCUUGAAUCAGCUAGGGUUGCUGGUUUAUUCAGAUGGUUGACUCAGGCGUUGUUACUGGUUAAUUCAGGUGGCUGACUCAAGUUGUUCAUUUAAUGUUAGGAAGCAAAUUAAGAAUUAAUGAAGUAUUCAUUUAACUAUAAUUUUUGUAGUUAUAUUAUUUCAUAACUGAAUUAUAAUCUAUGAUACUUUUGAACAAAUUAGAGAAUUUUUAAAUAUGAAUUAAAUAUGUGUGUGUAUGUACAUUUUGCUAUUUAUAUAAUAAUUUAAAGAAUAUAUUUCAAUUCCCACAAAAAUAAUGGCUCCAAUUUCAAUAAUUCCCGCCAAAUAAUUAAAUUUUUUUAAUUUACCACCAAAGUAUAUCUUAAAGAAAUUUUAGUUAUUCUUGCUAGAUUUAACAAAAAUAAUUUGUAGGAUUAAAUUUAAUUAAAAUAAUUAAAUAAUUUUAUUAUUCCAAUUAAAAAUGUCAUGUUUAUACGACAGACAAUAGUCAUGAAUGGGAAGUAUUCGUUACAUGUUUUUCCUUGGGAUUUCAGGCAAAUGAAAAAAAGAUUGAGAAUGAUUUCAAGAGGACAGGUGGAUGAUAAGUAUUCAUUUUUGUAUAUUUGGCUAAUGUCCUCAUUAGUGGAUUUUUAUGGUAUUGAUCUUUUUUUUUUUUUAAUUUUCAAUUAGUUGCAGCCCUAGAGGAAGAGCAGGCUGAUCAAAUUGAUUUGUCUUGUUUUUGGGGCAAUCUACGACACGAUGACCGUGAUAAUGCUCGUGACUGCUGGAAACUUUCUGAUGUAAAUAACUUUAGAGUUCGUAGCAAGCAUUUUUGUUAUGACAAAACAAAGGUUCCCCCAUAUUUUGUUUAUUUGUUAUUUAUGGUACUUAUUUAUGGUAUUUAUAUAUCCUGCAUAGGCUAGGUAGACAGGUUAUGAUGUAGUUUGGUUGGCUCUUCUUGUGCUUUGUGCAAUUUGUAACUGCAGAUACCUGCGGGAAAACAUUUAAUGGAUCUUGUUGCUGUUGAUUGGUUCAAAGACACAAAGAGAAUGGACCAUGUAACUAGGCAUCAAAGCUGUGCUGCACAAGUAACUAUUCUUCUCUUUUUUAUUUUUCCUUUUCCAUUGACGGAUUAGAAGAAAAUACUGCCUGUGAGAUACUGUAAUGUAAAUAACUUCUCAUGGUUCAUUGAAUCUAUAACACACUGACCCUCUUCUAAAAAAUGUAGGUUGCUUCUGAAAAAGGGCUUUUCUCACUGAUCUUUAAUCUUCAAGUAAGUUUGUUUCAUUUCAGAAGGUAUUAAGUUUCAAACUUAUUGUAUUGGGAGGUUGUAUAGUUGUAACCUAAGCAUCUGCAGGUUCCUGGUUCAACACAUUAUAGUAUGGUAUUUUAUUUUGUCACAAGGCAAUUGGCUAUGGGAUCACUUUUGCAACGGUUUGUUGAUGGCGAUGAUGAGUUUCGCAAUAGUAGGUUGAAACUUAUUCCAUCUGUUCCUAAGGUAUCCAUCUUGGCCUUCAUGUAUUAGGACUAUAUUAAUGUAUACUUACCCUUUACUGCAUGGUACACUUCAAUUUGUCCAAAGAAGGCAUGCAUUUAGGUGAAAAUGUAUUGAUGGGUUGUACCUUCAAACUUCAUGUCCUUUUUACCCUCUUGAAUUUGUUUUGCACUUGUUCUUGAUUUUAAGCACUGAAUCAUGCAGGGGUCAUGGAUCGUGCGUCAGAGUGUUGGAAGCACCCCUUGUUCGUUAGGGAAAGCGGUUGAUUGUAACUAUAUUCGCAGUCCCAAGUACUUAGAAGUAAAUGCUCUUGGAAUUUCUAUAGUACAUGAGAUGUUCAUCUUUCAAAUAGCAUCCGAUACCAUUAACAUGGUUUAACAUUGUUCAUCUUUCUGUAGAUUGAUGUUGACAUUGGUUCUUCUACCGUUGCUAAUGGAGUUUUGGGCCUUGUAAUUGCUGUAAUUACGACAUUGGUGGUUGACAUGGCUUUCCUUGUACAGGUAUGUAUGAUUGUUUUUUUCCCCCACUUCUAAAUGGACACAAGGGAAAAGACAUGAUUUUGAGAUAUUGCACUGCAAUUUGCAUUUUUGCAUACUUGAAUGUUCUCAGAAUGGUAUAAUGCUUCGUGUGUGUCUUCUUUAUCUUGCUCUUCUGUAUGCAGGCAAAUACUGCAGAUGAAUUACCGGAGCGGCUGAUUGGUGCUGUAGGUGUUUCUCAUAUAGAACUCAAGUCUGCUGUUGUCCCAAAGUUGGAACCAGAGAUAUCAUGACUGUGGUUUCAUUUCACCUCAACUGUGUUUUUUUUUUAAUUAAAAAAAAUCAUUUGUUUUAGGUAUAUACAUACAUGUAUUUUGAUUCGAUUUUCAUUGUAAUUUCUCAUUUACUUCGAAUGAAAGUCAUUGGUGUUUUCGAAUGGGGAUUUUGCAUUAAAAAAUGAACAAUAGUGAAUAGGAAAUUUCCUGAUUCUUUAGUUACUAUUUUUGGUACGAGUGUAAUUAGUAGUAAAGUUGGUUUCUACUCGCAAACAAGUAAACUGCUCGAUUCCCGAGUGGUAUCAACCAGUUUCCAACUUUUUAAUAUACACUAAUUGUUCUUGUUUAAGAGAUACUACUAUUAAAACUCAACAGCUAACAAAAUUACUCAAAAAAGAUGAUUUUUCUUAUGAUGCUGUGAAGAAAAUUACGGGUUUACUUCUCUCCACGAGAUCUAUAACAUGGUUUUGACUUCACGAAAUUCUUUUAAUUUAAAGCAUGCUGGUGUGAGAAGGUCAGUUUGACUGAUUGAUUCUUCAAAAAUAUUCUUAUUCUGAUAUUGUCACAAAUGUUAUGCUGUUUCGGCUAAUGAUCUCCUAUUAGGAGAGGUUAGAAAUCAAAUGCUUAAAAGACCGAUUGAACGAAUAAUACAGAAAAUUUAAGCAGAAUCUAAUCGAAUAUUGCAUGAAACAUGAAACAUCAAUUCAAGUCCUUUCUUAAACGGAGAAUGCAUCAAACAAAAUCUAAAGUGUCUUGCACGUCUGUAGCAUGAGCAAAAAAUUGUAAAUAUGUAGAACCAAAUUAUUCAAGUACAGAAGAACGAGCAAGCUGAAUCAUGUAUUAGAGAUUGGCCUGGUUCGGGAUAGCUUCUUCACUAUACCUGAAUAAUUUGCUAAAUAGCACCAAAACUUAAUUGAUACUUACCAUUUCAUUGAACAAUUUUUUUAUGGUGUCAUUGAGGUUGCCUUCCCAACAUCCUUCAUCAUCAUCAUCUUUUUCUUCUUCGGUGACGUUCACUUUGUUUAGCAUUGGUGUGUCUAAGACUCCUUGAGAGAAGAUCUUCAUUUUUGGACACUGUCUCACAACUACUUGUUUCAAGGACGGGAAUUCAAGAGCGUAAUUACCCAAACAAAAGCUUGUUAGGCUUGGCAAACAAUCAAGUCCUAAGUACUCCAAUUCCUCGAAACCAUUGCAAUCUUUCGCUUCUUCUCCAACCUGCGAUUGUAUGAUUUCUUCUAUCAUUUUGCAAUCAGCUAUCUUCAUUCUUCCGAGAUUAACCAGAUUUUUAGAUGCUGAGAGCGUCAACACAUUUAUCAACCCGUGACACUUCGAUACUUCCAGUCCCCACAUAUUUUCCAAAUGCCACGAAGGUGGUACUAAUUUUUGCAACUUACUACAUUCCGAUAUUUCUAGACUUCCCAAGUUUGCAAACGCUUUGUUGGAUUCGUCAUUUUCCUUCCAGAUAUGCUGCACUUUGUGUAAUCCAGAUAGUGUUAACCAACUCAAUUUAGGGAAUGCAACCUGAAAAUCAACAAAAUUAAUUAAGUUGUAAAUGAAAAUAUGUAUCCAAUCUCUGGAGUCUUCCCCUGCAUAUUUUAUGGACAAGAUUAAUCACGGCAUUUUAUAUUUUUUUUCCAAAUUAGUAUGCUUUGCAGUAGGAUCCCAAAUAUAAGUAUCAAAUCGAUUACCCUUUGAAACACAUAAAUGAAAUCUGAUCCUAAAUCCAAUAUGAAUUAACACGCAUAAUUAAUAUAGUUCAUCACCUCAUGUCACUAGGCAUCUAAUUAAUUUGAGACAUUUUAAUAAUUUAUACUAUAAAGUUAGUUAAUAACUGCGGUUAUAUUGUUAAAUCAUAUAUAAAUUAAGACGACAUGCAAAAAGAUGAGUCAUUAAAUUUGAUUUGAUUCUAAUGAAAUUACAUCUAUGCGAACGAAAGUGAUGGGAAUAAUCAUCAUCAUCAUAAUAAUAAUAAUAAUAAUAAUAAUAAUAAUCACCUUUUCAUCGAAGAGAGGUUGUAGUUGAUGAGCCAGCAAGAAGUUCUCUUCUGAUGUUAAUUUCUGAGGUUCCUUGUUAUCUGUUGUCACGUGCACUACAGAUGUAGAAUUGGAUAUGAAUGUUUCCUUAUCAGGGCAAUUCUCAAUAGUUAGAUAGUCCAACUCAGGCAGUUCAAUUAUAUUCCCAGUGAAGUUGCAGAAUCUUUUGAGUUUUGGAAGAUCAAUGAGCCUUAGAUUGGAAAGCUUAGGAAACAUGGGGCCUAUAUGUUCUUCCUUGGCAUUUAGCUCUUCCAAAUGAAGCACCUCUUCUAGUGAAUCACAAUUCGUCACUGUCAGGUAUUGCAAAUUGUUCAAGCACCGUAGCAGAUUGGCAGGAAUAGCACUCGACAUAUUCGUGCAGUCAUCCACCACCAGGUCACUUAAAUUGUUGAAGAAGCUGACAGGCAGUGCUUGGCCAUGCCAUAUUUCUUGCAAACGUGGAAAAUGCGAGAGUUGCAAAUACUCUAUAUCACGGAAUCCAAUCUGCACAAACCAAAACUAUUGCACUGGAUAUAUACAAUUUUUUUUAAAGGCAUUAGAUAUAUAUAUAUAUACACACACACACACAUUAAACUUACAUGUUUUGUGUUUUAACUUCUAAAACUACAUAUACAAGGUAGGUGUAUAUGUUUAAAUGUGCAAGCGUAGGGGAGAUGCAUGAACAAUUUGGGUGAAUCGAUUAACACAGACCAUCUUUUUGUAACAUAUUUUUAAAUGUGCAAGUGCAAGGGAGAUGCAUAAGCAAUUUGGACGAAUCGAUUAACACAUACCAUUUCUUCGUAGCCCUUUUGUAUAAAGGAAUUAAGGUUAUCGCCUUCCCGAUGGUACAAUUCACCCUCUUCCUUUUUACUAACUUGCACUUUGCAUGGCUUUGGAAUGGAUAAGAUUCCGUGAGAAAAAGUCUUCAUGUUCGGACAAUGUGUCACAGAAACUCGUUCCAGUGAUGGGAAUUCAAGAGUAUAAUUCUCCAAACAAAAGCUGGUAAGCCUUGGUAAAUCAUCAAGUAUCAAAACUUUUAAUUUACUGAAAGCAAUAUGAUUCUCCUUCGCUUCUUCUCCAACAUGUCUUAUGAUUUCUUCUAAUUUUGUGCACUUCGAUACAUUAAGAUUCACCAGACUACUAGGAAUUCCAACCUGAAAAUAAGCAAAAGUGUGUGUAUAUUAAAAAAGUAAAAAUGUAAGAAUAUCAUUCAACUAGGUUCAAAGUAUGUUUAAUCAUACAAUUAUACGUUUUAUAAACAUAACAAACCAUGAAAUGUCUACUAGAUAAUUUUUUAUUAAACAAAAAAAGCAACAAGAUAAAUAAAUAAAUAAAAGCCAGAUAAACAAAGAUAAUAAAAAUGCAUUUACACUAUUUACUAUUGGGAACGUAGAAAGAAUUUAAGGCAAUUUCUAAAUAUUUUAGACUUAUUUUGCAUCUUGAUAUCAGUUUUUAAGCAUAAAUUUACAAAUUUCAACUAUUCCUUUUAGGGAAAAAAAAUUCAACCAAAAUGCCGCUUUUUCCCUUUUCCUUGGUCCCUUUUUUUAUGUACAUUUAAAAAUGGAAAAAAAAAAUUGGAAAAGACUUCCCAAUAUUGUCAAUAAGGGACUGCUGCUGUAAAGUGGAUCUUUAUUAAGUACUUCCAGACUCAAGGAAAUUUCUUUACAAUCACGGGUCAGUUGUAAAUAAUCAUGAAUUUGUGGUUAAUUAAUGGCAUAAUCAAUUCGUAACUAAACAAGAGAUAUUAAUUAAAUUUGAAGACUUUUAUUUUCUUUUUUUCUUUUUCCAAUCGAAAUGUGAAGAAUUAAGGAAAAGAGAAAUAUAUAGAUGAAUUUGUGAACCUAUAAGAUGAGUGACGAUCCUUUAAUUUUUGAAAAUCGUACUUAUUAAGAUAUGAGCAAAAACUAUUUAAUUGAAUUAUAUUAUGCUGUUGAAUCGUGUUUAAAAAAUUUAUAUUGUUGAUUCUAAUGCUGACGAACCUAAAAACUGGACCUAAAACGUAGAUUUCAGAGUGGUGGUUCGAAGUACGAUACUUGAAAUAAAUAAUCAGUGGCUGAAUAUCAUUUGUAAACAAAAAAUGGUUAAAAUAUUGUUGGAUGUAAUUUGAAAAAAAAAAAAAAAGAUUCGAAAUGAAUACACUCAAAUAUCUCCAAAUUCUUCAAUUUGCUGAAAGACUCCAAAGCAAGCUGGUGGUGCCAUAUUCUUCUCAAAUUAUCCAUCGACCUAAUACGUAAUACCUCCAAACUAGGAAGUCGUACCUGGCAGUUAAAGAUUAAAUAACUAAUUAAUCAAUUAAUGGCAUAAUCAAUUGAUAACUAAAUUAGAGGCGGAUAUUAACUAAAUUUGAAGAAGACUCACGGAAAAGACAAAUUAAAUAUUAUGACUAAAAUUAAUUUUUUUUAUUAAAAAAAAAACCUUUUCGUCAAAGAGAGGAGGAGGUUGCAUUUCAGAAUGAAUGGUGUCUUCUGGUGAGCUCGUAGAGAUGAAUCUUAACAUAUUACUGCAACUCUGAAUCUCGAGCUUUAGCAAAGAAGGGAAUUCAACGACUAAAUCUGAAUGAAUAUGUCCCGUAUUGGCAAAGCUUGUUAGUUCAUAAAGCGCUUCUAGCUGCAGGGAGUGUAGCUUAGGAAAAACCUUUAAUUCAAUCAACUUUCCUUCAUCUCUUUCUGACCACCCCGUGGUGUCGACUACCCCUUCCAUUGAAUCACAAAGCCUUAUCUCAAGAUGUUGGAGUUGCAUCAGACGAUUACAAUUCCCCACGUACAGCUUUGUUAAAUUUUGACAACAGUACAUUCCUUGAUUAUGAUCGGCCCAUAAUUUUUUCAUGUUUCUUAAGUCCCAGAGAUUCAAUUCCUCUAAGCUCGGAAGAAUAACCUGCAAAGAAAACCCGUACAUUUUUGUUCCUUCAAGUACAACCGUCUAGUAUAAUAUUCUUUUGAUGAUCGAAGAUUAAUCGUGAUAAUAAAUUAAUCAAUUAAUUAUUGAACAGAAAAUUAUCACCUUUGGAGCAGUAUCAUCAUCAGCAAUGAUUUCGUUGAAUCCCAAAGAAGUUGUUGGUUUCUCCCUGUCGGGUCCUAUAAACAAACAAAAACAAUAUACAUAAUUAAUCUUUGUCGUUGUCUUUUUUUUUUCAAAAUAAUUGAGGCGAAGUCCAUAAAUCCACCAACACUUAACUUCAACACUUACCAACCAUCAUUUCCAGAUCAUGGCAAAAAGCCACUUUGACCUUUUGAAGCCGCAGUAGGUUUUUGGCUAUGGAGAAUGAGAAAAGAUGCUUUAAUUUGUGACAGGAUUGUACUCCUAUAAUCCUUAAGUUGCUGAAAGAUUGAUCUUCUGUGAGUUGGCUGUCACAUAUUGUCUCCAAAUUGUUCAAAUUGCGAAGAGACAAUGACACCAGCAAGGGGAAGACUUUGCGACGAACCCGUCCAACUGAACCGACAAUAUGCAAAAUCUCAGAACAACUUUCUACAGAAAGAUGCUUCAAUCGUGGAAAACCUUCCCCAUCAUCUAAUUCAUGAACAACAUUCUGAACACCCUUCAGUUCGUUUAGAUGGAUCUCUUCGGCUUCCUUCAGCAACAUUUUCGUCCCAUAAUUCUCCAAAAGAGUGCUAACAUUUUCUAGCCCAUGGAGCCCCACCAAUCUUGAUGUUUCAGAAUUAACGGGCCAAAUGCGCCACCACGCUUCUCCUAUACAUAUCUUAUAGCUUUGCAAUUCCACAGAGACCCAAUCCUGCGGCAGAAUUUGGGCAUCCGGAACUUGUAUAUUCAAAGUAGUUAGCUUUGACAGCCCCUUCAAUUCAGCAAGACUGGCGUUACUUCCUCCUUCAACCUUAUCCCACUGCGAAAAGCUGUCACCCAUAUAUAGUUCUUCCAAUCGAGAAAAUUUUGAUAUGACAUUUGGUGCUAUCACUACAAGGCUCCUACAAUUGCUCAAAUCUAGCAAUUGUAACCGCGUCAAUUGUCCAAUUUCAAGCGGUAACUGCUUAAUGUCGGAACCUCGAAAGCUAAGAAUCUCUAAUUUCUUUAGCUGUCCAAUUGCCGCUAUAUCUUCUAGUUGGCACCAGUCUAAACACAAUGUUUGAAGGUUAAUGAGGCGACCAAGUGAUGAAGGUAAUGAAGAGAAAGGAAUUCUAGUAAGAGUUAAAACUUUGAGUUCUUCUGUCCCUUCAAAAAAGAGGUCUGAAAUUUGCAUUGAGCUAUAACGCUUUGAAAACAACAAAAGUAACUGGAGACGGGGACAUCCCAACCUUUCGGGAAGCUCUUGAAUAUCUCUCUGGGGUAAUGAAAUGGCAAUUGGAUCUUUCCGUAUUGUCUCUUCCAUCUUUUUCUCCACGUCAUCAACAUUUGGAAUAUUAAACAUGCGCUCCCCUGCAGCAAUUGAUACAGCAACAACAUGAAUGACGUCAUGCAUUUUAACUUCAUCUUCAGCAUCACCGUCCAACAAUAAGCAUGAAGAUUUGAGAUUGUCGAUCAACCGAUGCACUCUACUCCUUGCUUCUUCCAAUGUGUAAACAUUUUCAAACAAACCCCAACCCACGCCAUAUCUCAAUAAGCCAGAAACUUGUAUCGCAUGACCUUCACUGUACAGACCACAAAGACGGAACAGAGGUUUUGCCUCCGCACUUUCCAAAAAGUCGUAACUCAAUUUUAUGGAGGUGUACACAUUUGCUUUCAUGCCAUGAAUUUCUCUUGCAUGCGAUCUUCUUAGCUGAUUCAAUGCAUCUUGCCAAAAGUAACGCUCCUUAUUUUUCAGAGCAUUUGCAACUGUACUCAGUGCAACAGGCAAACCUCCGCAUUUUUCAACGAUCUCAUUUGCUGUACUUUGAAAAUCAGAUAUUUUAGUUGAAUCACCCACUAUCUUCUCAAAUAACUGCAAUGCUUCUUCUUUCGAUAAAGCAUCGAUCCAGAAAAUUUUCUGACAAUUCAUAUCAUUGCACAAUAAAUCUCCACUUCUAGACGUCAAUAUUAUUGUGCAUCUUCUCUGAUCAUCCUCUCUAUCUUUCUCAUCAACAUCCCCAGAAGGAAUUCCAACUUCAUCGAACUUCAGUUCUCUCCAAAUGUUAUCCAAUAUAAUCAGGACCCGCUUCUCUUUCUUCAAUACUCGACGUAGUCGAUUUGCUCUGUCGAAUAUAUUCUCAUUCAACUCAAACUUUAUGCCUAAAUCAGAAGCAAGUUUGUCUUGAAUUUUCUGAUGAUCUGGGUUCUCUGUUAUCUCAGCCAUAGCGACCUUAUCGAACCACUUAUCUUCCAUCACUUGCUUUGCAACUUGCUUUACGAGCGUGGUUUUACCCACGCCGCCCAUCCCGUAGACCCCAAUUAUGUUGAGCUUAUCAUCCCUCAACGCCUCCAUAACAUCUUGAAAUACUUUCAUUCUUGAGUCAAAGGCCUCGAAAUCUUUCACUUGCAUGUGUUCUACCAGCUUUGGAGUAGGACGGUGGGAAACAUUGGAGAAGUUGCCUUUUCCCAUGAGACUAGCUGCAGCUUCUGCGGCCUUUGCUGCUUGUCUACUGAGCUUGUAACGAGAGAUCAAGUUUGGGCACAAUCCUUUGAAACAGAACUUCUUAGCUCUAUCUUCAUCAUCUGUGAUGGAUUUUGCAGCGCCCUGAGUGAAUUCCUUGACGCUAUUAAGCCAGUCUGCAACAUCCUCAUAAAUCUCAUCUCCUUGUUGAGUAGCCUGAUGAACGGGUAUUUCCACCCUUUCUCUUUGAUGUCCCAGCUGCUUCACUUGAACUUUUAGGCCAUCUAUGUAGCUCUGGUACUUGAACACAUAAGAUAUCUGCCGUUUAAGCGGUUUGUACAGUGACUUUGCACCUUCUGAUACAACGCCGGUUAAAAAAGCCAGACACGCUUCUACAGCCAUUGCCUGUUGCUUAACGAUAUAUAUGUAGUUUUUGGCUGUUUAAAAAAAAAAAAUGGAUUCAAAUAAAUUAAAUGAACUAGAGGGGAAGAAAAAGAAAGAAACGACAACAAACAACCUUUUAGAGAAAGGUUUGACGGGCCUGAAUGGAAAACCAACAACUUUUUGAAGAAAGAAAGCUUUGGAAGAUAGAUGCAAAUUAACCGUUGAUAAUACUACAUAAGAACACAGAAGUUAACAAUAAACAGUAACUUAAAACUCAAGAAAAUUAAAUGACGAGAUUAAGACAAACAAGGGAUAGUUUUUGUUGGACAUUAAGAAACAACUGCUAUCAAGAUCAAGGAUUAGAAAUUAUGCUAUUAAAAGAAGUUAUUAAAGGAUUUAGAACAAGUUUACCUCUUUAAUUAUCUAGGAUCAGAGUUUAUGAGCUUCACUAUUGGCCUUGGAUGUAUAAGAAAAACUUUAAUGAGCAAAAGAUCACUCUUAACUGCGGAGGAAUGUGAGUAAAGAGUUUAUGGGAGUAAAGCAAUACAAUUGAAUUGUAAAAGAACCAAGACUUAAGCGUGCGUCCCGUGUUUUGUUUUAUUAUAUAAACAGAACAUAUGUUCAUUUUUAACAAAUUGAUCAAUAACUCUAUUCGCUAUUUAAUUAAUAAUGUAAUCAAUUUUAAGAGAAUAUAAUAAUAAUCCUUCAAUGCAUAAAUUUAGAAUUAGAUUUUUUUUUACUUUUUAUUUAAAUGUAAAUCUCAGUGGAAAAUUAUAAAAAUUUAGAGAUAAAAUUUUUCAAUCACCAAACGGAAAAACAGGGGAAUGAAAACAGAGGAAUCUUGUUUUACUUUUUUUUUCUUUUUAAACCUUAACUCUUGUUCUUAUAUAAAUAAUCUUGUUCUGAUGAUAGUGCUCUUGACUGCAGGAAAAUUUCUAAUGGAAACAACUCAAUUUCGGAAGAUUAGCUCAGUUUUGCAAGCGAUGAAUUUAUUCAAUUGACUCUGUACUUGAACUCGUUGGAUUGGUUGAUUUAUGAUUGACUGAAUUUCAAUUCGGCCUAAAAGAUCUUUAACCAAAGUUUAAUAGCUAUCAUCUACUCCUUAAAAACAAAUAUGUAUCUUUUUUAGAUUUGACUGAAUUUGAACUUGCUGGAUUGGUUUUUUUUUAGAUUAUUAAAAUUUGGAAUAUUUUUUUUUCCUUGCUUUCUUUUGUUGGAGGAUUAGAGAUUUUGGUAUUACCAGAAAGGUUUCAAGGGUCUGAGUAGAAACCUAUAAUCUUUUGAAAAACUUUGUUUUUUUUUUUUUUUAAUUUUUUGGGGAAAAGGAUGCAAAUUAACCAAAUGGAAAUAAUAAGAGCACAGGCUUUAACAAUGAACAAUAACUUAAAACUCAUGCAAAAUAAAUUCAAUAUUAAAACAAACCAGAGAAAUUUUUUUCUUGAAAAGUAGAUGGAAAUUAUGAAAGAACAGAUGUCAAGAUCAAGGAUCAGGGAUUCUACUACCCAAAAAAAAUAAAAAAUAAAAUUAAAGGAUUUAGAAAAUGUGCACCUAGAGUUGGUGAGCUUCUCUCUCUAUUCACUUGAAUAUUUAAGAACAACUUGAAAGAGGAAAAAGAUCACUGGUAACUGCUGAGGAAUGUGUGAGAAAAGAGUUGACGAGAGAAAUAACAAUGACUUGCAGAAGAAAAACCAUUAAUCAAGCACACCUUUUUAUAUCCUGUAUUUGGUUAUUGUUGCCCUCUUGACGCAUGUAUAGAAUAAUUACGUGCAUUUUUUUUAAUCCGCAUGCACUUUAAUGAUUAGUGCUCCUUUCAUAAAGCAGAUACCGGAAACACACAAAUAUCAUUUGAGAGAGAAACUAAACAGCAAAUCAUCAAAGUAAGAUCAAUAAUAUAUGACUUGGUUAAUGCAUAUUCAAGAACAAAAACAAAAACAAAUAAAUAAAUAAAUGGAGAAGGUUUGAUUUUGUACUGCCAACGCUGCUUUUUUGUUAUUUCAUUUGUUCUUUCCACAAAUGAUGCUUGGUUAUAAUUAAGUUCCACAUGGCCGUUACUUACAAACUGUGUUUGUGUUAACAGAAACGUGAAAUUCACAUCACACAAAAUUACACUAUCAAUUCUUAAGAGAACAUAAUAAUAAUCACUCAACGCAUAAGGGUAAAUUUAGAAUUACAUUUUGAAAUUGAUAAAAUGUUUUUUAUGGGAUUUCAGGCAAACCAAAACAAAAAAAAUUUCAAUAAAGAGCUAGUUGUUGAAAUUGAUUUAUCUUGUCUUUCAGGCUAUCUUGUGACGUGACGAUAUAUAAUGUUCGUGAAUGCUAGAAAAUUUCUAAUGCAAACAACUCAAUUUGGGAUGAUAAGCUUAAUUUUGCAAAUGACGAAUGUAAAUAACUUGUUUUGAUUAAUUGAAUUUGUAAUACUCUUACCCUAUUCUAAAAUUUGGAGGUUGCUUGAGAAAAAAAGGGUAUUUCUCACUCAUCUUCAAUCCUCAAGUAAAAUUAGGUAAAAAGCAAAUCUAAAAAAUCACAAACGAAUUAACAAAAAAAGAAAAAAAAAAACAACAUUGAUCUUGAGACAAGUGAUAUUUAAACAGAGAAUUCUUUAUUCUUUUUUACUUGCCCCCCCCCCCCCGGGGCUCGAGGAUUAAAGUCUUUGCUAUUAACAGAGAGGCUUUAAGAGUCUGAAUAAAAACCCGUGCUUUUUUUAAAAAACCACUUUUUUUUUCUUUUUUCUUUUUUUUUGGGAAGAUAUAUUCAAAUUAACCAAAGCUAGUAAUAAGAGCACAGACCUUACAAAUGAACAAUAACUUACAACUCAAGCAACAUAAAUGAUAAGAUUAAAACAAACCGGAGAUAUUUUUCUUGGAAAAUAGACGGAAAUUAAAUAAGAACUGCUGUUAAAAGAAGUUAUUAGAGGAUUUAGGAGCAUGUGUACCUCUUUAAUUAUUUGGGAUCAGAGAGUUGAUGAGCUCUCUAUUCGCCUUGAAUAUUGAGUAAGAACUGGUAUUAAAAGAAAUUAUUAAGAACAAUAUUUUAGUGAGCAAAAGAUCACUGUUAACUGCAGAGGAGUAAAAUGCUGAAAAGAGCAGUAACAAUGAAUUGCAAAAGAAGAAGACUUAACCAAGCACCCCUUUUAUACCCGAUUUUUAAGAUUUAAUUUUGAAGUUCCCAAUCAAGAACAAAGACGAAGCUUUAAUAAAGCAUGCAGUGAGAUACAAGAAAUGGAUCGGGCAAAAUACCUUACGAAGCGUUUCAUAUUUUCUAAUGAAAUAAUUUAGUUGAAUUCUUCGACGAAUAGAUACCUGUUGUGCUAGAAUAAUUUUGGCACACACAUUACUUGUGCCCUGUGAAAUUGAAAAGCACACUCAUUUACAGAGCUUGUUAGUGGGGAAAAGCUUCGUAAGAUGCCUGAUAAAAGAUAAAGCAAAAGCUUGAAUGAAGAAUGGCAUUUUAGAAAGAAACUAAAGUGCAAUCAUCAAAGUAGGAUCAAUAGUGAGUUGAUCAGUUAUGCUUUUUGUUAUUUCAAUUGUUCUCUCUUUUUUCAAUCUCUCUUUAUGUUAUAAUUGAAUAAUUGUAUAGAAAGUGUGACGGUUGCUGCAGCAUUAUGAAGUCAAAAUUGAGAACGACAUUAAAUAAUCAAUCUCUUUAUGUAUUUACUCGAAUGUCUGAUAGUGUUCAGACUUGGAUUUUCAAUAAACACAGAUUCGAAAUCCAAAUAAUUGAAUAAUUGUGUACGUUCAAAUUCAGCAUUUAAUUACUAUAUAAUUAGACAUAAAUGUGUAUAUAAUUUUACUUUCUAAGAAUUAACUUCUACCUUGAUUCUAAAAAAAUAUAUAUAUAUAAUUUUACAAAUAAUUUAGUACGGCGUUUGGUAAAUGAUAACUAUUUGAGAAUAAGUUUUAAAAUGGUUUACUAUACAAAUCUGGAAAAUGAAAAUUAAAAGUGUAAAAUGUUCACAUAAUGAAAAUUAAAAGUGUAACAUGUUCACAUACAAUGACAAAAAUAUAUUUAUUUACUUAUUUGUAAUUUAUUUUGAAUAUUAUUGUUUAAAUCAUUUUUUUACUUACUAGAUUUUUUAAGAGCAUUCUAUUUUCUUUAUUACAUAUUUAAAUAAUUUUUUAUUAACUAUUUUAAUUUGCAAUAAAAUUAACUUCAAUAUUUUUUUAACUGAAAAUUUUGUUAUGUAGUUCGUGAUAUAACAAAUACUAACAUAUUAUUAAAUUGAUUAAUAAAUUACGUGCAAAAAAGAAAAUGCAAAAAUUUAAUCUUUAUAUAAACUUUUAUGUACAAAAACCGUUGUAAUCAAACUAGUUCAUAGAAAUAUAAUAUUUUAUACAUGUGUUUAAGAAAAACAUAUAACUAUAAUAUUAUCCACUCAUUAAACUUGCAGCACUAUUAUUUCUAAUUCUCUCCAUCACUCGACCUACAGGAACAUUACUACCAUAAUUUUCUUCUUGAAUUCAACCUCCAUUUCCACAUCAUCAACAAAGCGAUCAAUUUGCCUUGAUAGCCUUUCAACUCCUCCCACUUUCCUCCCUUUUGCAGACACUCUUUUUCUUUUUCUUUCUUUAAUAGCUUCAAUGGGAACAACCUCAUCUAUCGACAAGUCCAUUCUUCAACUAGAAUAGAGUUGGUAGUAGAUAUUUUAGUACUCUCAAACGAUGCCCAAACCGUGUCACCAGUGAUUGUUGUAUUAAAAAACAUUCCAUGUAAUUUUUCCUCUGACUCUGGGUCGAUACCUUUUAUGCAAAAUCUAUUUACUUCAGGAAUUUUAUACAUAUGUCGAUAUCAUAUUAAAGUGAAUUCAGAUCCUAUAUUAUUGACAUUUAGCCAAAGGUAAAAAAUUUUCCUUUUUGUUUGUCCCCCAACUAUAUAGUCCCAUUUUUGGUUAUAAGCUCGCAAUAUGCAAGGGAAAUGAAGAUCUACUAAAAACUUCCCCAUAAUAUUAAACAUUAAACAAUAUCAACAUUUUGUGCAUAUGGUGCCUCUCCAACAACUUGAUGUACAUUAUGUUGCUCGGUGGAAUAUGACUACUUAUUAAUUAAUUAGCAAGACUUGCGUUGCGAGUCCAUGCUUUUGUUGUUUGGAUGGAGGAUCUGCCAUCCUUAUUGUGAAAUAUGAACUAAAUAUACACUCACGACAUGUCAUAUGUUGAGUCUGUAGUAGCACGACAUGUCAUCUGAUAAGCAUUUGGAACAAAACCGACAUGAGCCAAAAUGUCGUUCUUUGUUUAAGUAGCUCACGUGUUUGGCAUGUGAGCUGAACAAGACUCUUACUCUCAGAAACGACUGAACCAGAAGCCGUUUUGAGCAUGCUUAUUCAAGACACGUUGCAAGCACGUGGCUGAGGCUGAAUCUGUUAUGUUAGCGGGAAAAGCCGCUGAGGAAGGCAUCCAGAAUCAGUUAAUAAAGAACUGGAGUUCUGGGUUUUUCACAACAGGGCCAGAAAACAGAGAGAGAGCAGAGAAAGAGGGAAUGCGAGAGAGAGAGAGUUCUGAAUAGGCUUGUAAUCUCCAUUUGUGUUUGCUCUCUGUAAACUCUUGAACAAGCAAUAAAGUGAAAUCACAGAGUUUGUUUCCAGUGGAUGUAGGCAUCAUUCAUUUGGUGCUGAACCACUUUAAUUCGUGUGUGUUUUGUUCUUGAUCUAUUUGUUAUUCUUGAUUCUUAGUAGGUUGACUUCUUCUUGGUUGAAUCUUGAGUAUAAACCAGUGAGUGAAGUGUUCUUGGGGUGGGUUUAGUCUUGAUAGUUAGGGCUUAAACCAAAACACUUUUAUUUUAGAUGCUUUGUAAGACUUCUGAUUUAAUGAUUGAAUGCAGCCAAUUAACGAAAGCUUACAUAUAGUAUUAUGUAGGUGCUGAGAUGUCUGUUCUUGAUAAAGUAGAUAUAUUUACACCCAAGCCAACGGAAUCAAAGCCUUUUCGUUAAUAAUAUACACGGUAAUUGUUUUUGUUAAAUUGAUUUCUGGCUAACAAGAUCUUUUUUUUUUUUUGAAAGGGCUAAAAAGAUCUUUGAAAGCAUUCAAAGAAGCCGCCGAACUCAUAGGAAAGCCAUGAUUAAAUAUACGGUGAAGCAAGCGAGCUCGUUUGUUAAUCUCUUGAUCACUCAUAAGCUUUUCUAUACGGCUCACGAUAUCAUCCUUUUGAAUCGAUUUUGAUUGAUCAUCGGAUAUCAUGUCCCCACCUUGAGAUGAUUGAUCACCAAUUUGGCAUUGUAAUGUUGAUCACCUCUAAUUGGCCAUGCUAAAAUUGGGAGCCCACAACUAAUUGCUUCCAUAGUUGAAUUCCAUCUACAAUCAAAUAAAAAUCCACCCAUUGAUUGAUGACUUAGUAUCAAUAAUUGUGGCGCCCACCCAUCUAUUAUCAAUCCCCUUUUAACCAAUAAAGUGUUGGCUCCACUGGCAAUGGAGUCCCCUUAAGUGGUUUGACUGGGUUUGCUCCCCAGUUCGAGUCGCAGGGAAGUCGCCUUUGUUGGGAGAACCUGUGCCUCUCGGUUCGAGCGGGGACUUCUAGUCUGGGUUGUGGUACGGGCUUAAAGGUGCCUCCCACAGUUGGGGCCCUCCCCAGGAUACCUCGUGGUCAAAACCAAAAAAAAAAUCAAUCCCCUUUUACCGACUUUACUCUCCAAACCACUGGAAAAAUAACUGCCUUCUACUGGUCUGUCUAAACCGGUUAAAUGACGCGGAGGAUCCAAUCUACCUGCACUAGUUUGAAUUACCCAAAUAAACUGUUGAUUUGAUGCUUCUAAACAUUGGCAAGGCUGAAUACUCCUCUAAGGUGGGACGCACUUUGGUACCAAAUUAUAUGUAUAGCACAGAUCUACGUGAUUUCAAAUCCAACCAUUAAGCGAUCUCAUCUUCAGUCAUGUUAGAACUCUGCUGGUUGGUCUCGUCUCACGAUCAUGAAACGCUGAACCGACCAAUUUGUAAAAUUGUUUAGGUAACAAUGAGCCCACUCCCCACACCGGCUUUCCCAUUUGAUUGGCUAAAUAAUUAAUAAAUGGUCCCUCAAGAUCAUUACAUGUGUUAGAACAUCAACGCCAUCGAUCCCUUCACUUCCUUCAUGCAGUGUGGUUGAUCAUCGGGUUCUAGUGGACCUAUUUUCCCUGAACCGGGUGCACUCUGCAGAAGUGGUGGACCACUAGGAGGGGGCCCACAAGGCCUACGUCUAAGAUUCGAUUCAAAUAAAGCCGUAUCCUCAGGUACCCCAGGAAGUAAAUAGGCCUCCCCUGAUUUGACAUCUUUGAUGCGAGCCUACCACAUGGCACACUCUACAAUUGUUCAACUAAAAUUAAUAAUAUUGUUCUAAUUAAUUACUCGAUAAGCAAAUAGUCAUAGACAAAUCUAUCCCUAAUCCCACAUUUACAAAAUAAAGAAUUGAAAUGAGUUUAUGUGGCUUUGAACCCAAGCCCUCAAGCCUAGUGGCUGGAUCUUGACCACUUUGACAUAAUUAUUAUAACAAUUUUUUUUUUCAUAUUUCACUAAGCAUCUUUUGUUAUAUAAUGAGGAAGAUAAGUUGACGGAGAAGGGUUCUACUUUUACUAGUAGAUGAGAUUUAAAUUAAGAAGGUUAGUUUUAGAUUGUUAAAUUUCCUUAGACGAUUAUUCAUGUGAGAUGUUUAACAUAUACUUGAGUUAGUCGGUGCCUAACAAUUCUUGUGAUACAUGAAACCAACCAAUAUGAAAACCAUAUGAAGUUGGUAGGAUUAGAUUAAUUUAAAUGAAAAUAAAAAUUAGUUUAUGCUAUUUAUUAAUCUUAUACUGUUGAAAAUUGAAAGUUAAUUCUUUAGCCUGUCAAUUGGUUCAUGACAUAAUUAAAAUAUUCAAGUAAAUACAUUUAUCGUUUAACAUUAAUUUUUCAUGCGGUAAAACCAAUACUAAUUAUAGAGUGGAGAGAAUAAUCUGUAGGGUAUACCCCCACCUUUUAUUUCAUUUCAUUUAAAAAAAAAAGAGAGAGAGAGAAAAGUAAAGGCUUGUUCAACAUUCAAGUAAAAUUAACAAAUCUAUGAUAAAAUUACUUCAGAAUAAAAAUUAAAAUGUUUAAAAAAAAAACGGCAACUCGAAAACGACAUACAAAUACCGCAUAGAAGGUUUUCGUCACGAGAUAUUUUUGGGCUGAGACAACACUUGUAUAACUUAGCAUAUAGCUUGGAUGACGGUGAGAAUAAGAAGGAAAACGGCACCGCAGACCGAAAUGCCAGCCCAUGGAGUAUUGAAGUAAUUUUUUUUCACAAUUCAAAGGAGGUUUUGGAACUUACCACAAGGCUGAGUAUUUCAACAGUUAUGGAUGACAUAAUCCAGCUAAGCAGAAGCUGAUCUUGGCGUUUCCACACAGCAUAUUCUGGAUUUUCAUGACCUUCAGAGAUUGACGAAGUGCCUUCAAAUCCAGGUGAAAGAAAUUGAUCAGGACAUAGCUUUGAUCCAUCGAUAUAAGACUCAAGUCCAUUGCCUCGAACUGAAGAGAGCACCUGAUGUUUCCAGAUCGUGUAAUUUGUACGAUCUAAUUUGACUGGUGUAGUGAAGGUGAAAGAAGCUAUGGCACUGGUAUUAGAUUGUGAAUUUGAGUUCGUUAGAGCCAUUGGAUCUAGCUCUGAUACCAAGUUAAAGAAGCUUUUCCUGUUUGUUUACUCAGAAAGUGAAGGAAAAAUACAGAGAAAAUUAUGUAGCUAGAAUGAAUCUAAAACCAUCUUAUUAAUCUAUAUUUGGUUCAAUAUACAACAAUAUUUAUGCUACUCACUGGAACCUUCUAUAUGAAACAAACACGUGAACUCAAUACAAUUCAGCUUAACAAACUUUUAACGGGAAAUAACUAAACAGAGCAACGGCUUGCCAGCGUGGCUGCUGACUCAGCAGCCGACUAAUCAUACUCUGAAAAAAAAUCACCAAACAGAAAAACAGGGGAAUGAAAAGAUAGCCUCCGUUUAUCCUCUGUUCUGUUUUCAUUGUUAUUAAACAAGGGAAUGAGAAAAGAGAGCCCCUGUUUCUUCUCUUUUUUGAUUUUUUUAAUUACUAAACUGGGGAACGCACGGAUCACCUCUUGUUGCAAGCGCAAAUUCUUGUUUCUACUUUAGUACCUUCUAAAUGCUGCAUGCAUUAAAAUUAUUCUUACAUAUGCUAACAUAAUAGCUACUGUACAUGUAAGUUCUUGAUAAAUCCAAAUAACAUAAUAAUUUUAAGAGUUCAAAUUUAGAAUUUAAUUAUAUAUAUUUAUAUAAAUCCAAUGUGCAUAUCGGAUAUUGCAUGCUGCAAUGAUCUCAUAUGUUUCCUCAAUAUGACUUAAAUAUAUAGGCCACAACUUGGUUUUGAAGUUAGUCUAAAGCCUUCCCCUUGAUUCUAACAAAUUCACUAGGGAAGGUUCAUAUGGAUUUUGGGGGAGCUCUAUGGCCAAUUUUAAAAGUUCAGGGGGGAUCAAAUGAAUUUCAAAACUGCAUGGGUUAUCUAUUUCAGUCAGAGGAUAGUGGAAUUCCCUGAAAUUUAUCCUUUUUAUUAAAUUAAUCUUCCUCCUUUCCUCUGUGGACCUUUGCUAUGUGUGUUAUUGGCGUCCAAAUGACGAUGGGAAUUAUGGUAAGGUUCUUGCUUCCCCACUUCUUGAAAUUAAAUAUAUCUUUUCUGGCACUAGAAAUUUCCACAUGCUGUGUUUUGUUAUUGUUUGGGAGAAAUACGUCAACGAGACCAGGCGUGGUGAGCAGAUAUCUGAUAGCAGAGUUCCGCGAACCGGUGUGUUCCGUAAAAGCCUGGUGCGCGGAGGAACAGGAGCAGAAGUAUCCCGCUCGUCCACGAACACGUCAUCCGCGAGGCCAAUUUCCCGUAAGAGGCAUAAGGUCAUUCCGGCUAGAGGUCGAGAGGCGAGGAGACCCGGUCGACGGCAGUUGGCAAGACAUGCUCCCCAGCCCGAGAAUCUAGGCACGACAGCCACGCUUUCCCCAGAACUGUGGCGUAACACGCAAAAUCUCACGGAACCACGACAACCACGCUUUCCCCAGAACCGUGGCGUAACACGCAAGAUCUCACAGAACCACGACAGCCACGCUUUCCCCAGAACCGUGGCGUAACACGCGAGAUCCCACGUUUGCCCAUAACGCAGCAGUCAGAGUCCCAUACCGUCUCGAAAAAAGCGGAAAACUGGGAUUCAGGGGAGGCCUAUAAAAAGGUAGCCAACGAAGGUAAAAGGGUUAGCAUUUUUAAGAUUAGAAAAGAAAUAAAAAAAGCCAUAAGACCUGUGGCAAGCGUUCCCCGAACCUUGAUAUCUGAAUUGAGCGUCGGAGGGUUUGCGCCGGGAAAACAACCGGCGUACUCUGACUUGUCUGUGUGCGCAGGAACCUCUGGAGAAGAAGCCUCACGAGGAGACCUCCUGGUCGUGAAGAAGUUGAUCGGGCAGAGAUCCUGGUCGUAGAACGAGGAGACCCGGAAUCCCGCAUCAACAUUUUGGCGCCGUCUGUGGGGAACAGAGCAAAAAGCUUCUGUUGAUAGCAAGAGGAGGGGCGAAGCAAGUGAAAAGCAAUGGAGACAUGAGGAAGUAGUGGACAAGGGGGUGAUAGGAGGCCUAACGAUUCCGUGACGCUGAGGGAGAUAGUCAGUGAAGCACGGGAAAAAGUCAUGUUCGACCGGAUGGAACGGGUGGAAAAGCAGAUGGAGACCUUGACAACCAUCCUAGAUGAGCUGCGGAGCGAGCGAAGUAUAAUCCAAGAGGGAAGGGGGAGAGGCGGUGGAGUGGCACCAGGUCCCGAUAGUGCGGGGAGAAGUCAAACCACCGGGAGAUUUGGUGGUGAGAGAGGUAACGUACCUCUGCGGGGAGAAUUUCAUAGAGAAAGAGAGCGGUCCCCGGCAAGGCAGACUGGCGACGAGGACGAUGGAGUGGUGAAUGCAGAGGAAACGAAGUUGAGACAACACUUGCAUGAUGUAGAGCAAGAGCGGGAUCAAGUUGCAGCACGUGACCCUGGUCGUGCAGUGCAGCUGGAGGAGGAAGUGCGCAGACUAGCGCAGAUAAUCGACGACAUGCAAGGAAGGAACAGAGCCCCUGGUUGGAGGAUAAUGCUAGACGGAGAAUCACCGCUCGCAGCAGAGAUCAUGAGGGCAGUUAUUCCGAGAGAUUUCCGCCUCCCAGACCUCAGAUACUCGGGAAGAACUGAUCCGUUGGUGCACAUAGAGCGCUUCAACGACAUAACUGGGGUACAAGGAUUAUCUCAAUCCCAAAGGUGCAGAGUGUUCCCACUAUCCCUUGAGGGACGUGCACGAGAAUGGUACAGGAAACUUCCUCGGGGCAACAUUAAAACCUUCGAGCAGAUGUGCCAGGAAUUCGCGGAGCAGUUCAGUGGGGCAAUGGCGCCGGAAGAUGACAUGAUGGAGCUGAAAAGCAUGAAACAGGGGGAGCAAGAAACCCUUCGGGAAUUCAUCAAGAGGUUUCAUCGGGCUGUCCUCGACUUGGGAGCCUUCAACCACCCUCAGGCGUUAAGGGGAUUGAAAGAAGGGGUGAAGAUAGGAAGGCUGUGGUACAAUUUGAGAAGCCCAGCUAUUCAAACGUAUGCAGCCGCAUACGAACAGGCUAAGAGAGACAUCGAGAUUGAAGAGGAGAAGGCUGCACGGAUUAAGACAGACCAGUUACAAGGGUUGGGGAGGAAAGAGAAGAAAGCAUUACCGGGGAAUGGGCCGAUCAGGAGGAGGGACCACCAGGCCUCCGGUAGCGGAGCAGGAGGUCGGGUAGCCGCUUACCAUUCUCAUCAAAGGCCACCACAGUAUCAGCGCAGCAGGGCGCAACCUCCUCGUUCCCCAGUUAGGGAGCCUUGGAGAAGACAUGAGUCGGCAUCUGGUGGUCUCCAUCAACACCCCCACGGUAGCAGAGCGAGCAGACCAGAAGUACUUCCACCGCCCCCAACUCAGAGCGGGGCAAACGGAGAAAGAGUAGUGCACCUGAUCGACCAGAACCCGGACUAUGGGCGGUACACUUCCUUGAAGAUGUCCCUGGAUGAGGUGUACGAGGCCAUAAAGGAUCGAGGGCUGUUGCACCUCCCUACACCAAUAACAAAGCUACCCAACAGGAGGGAUAGAGGGCGUUAUUGUAAGUUCCAUGGCACCCAUGGCCAUACCACAGCAGAGUGUAGAGAUCUCAAGACCCAGGUCGAAGAUUUGGUGAGAAAUCGGUACCUGGACGAGUUUAUGGAUGGGACUUUCCCGAUGGGGGCCGCAACAGGUGAAGGGGAGCAGAGUGGCGGAAACGUGAGGCACGAGCAGCCUGCAGUAAGGGUGAUCGCCGGGGGCCCGACAUUGGCCGGAGAUUCCAACAGAUCGAGAAAAAAUUAUGCUAGGUACGCCAUGACCAGUAAAGAGGUACUCCUCAACACCCCAGCAGCCAAACGAGCAAGGGUCAGGCAAGUGCCAAUCAUGUGGACGGAUGAGGAUGAGGAAGGGAUUCUAUACCCCCACGAGGACGCUUUAGUCAUCAAGGCUACUAUCGCUAGCAAGAAGUUUGACCGGAUACUGAUUGAUACAGGGAGCUCAGUUGAUGUGUUAUUUAAGUCAACCCUGGAAGAGAUGGGAAUAGCCGACCGGAAGUUGGAAUACACCAAUACCUCCUUGAAGGGGUUCGGAGGAGGGAAGCUGGUCCCUCUGGGCGUGGUCGAGCUGCCUAUCACAAUUGGGAGCUCCCCGACAGAAAGAACAAUGAUACUGGACUUUGUCGUAGUGGAUGAGGAAGGUCCUUACCAGAUGAUCUUAGGUCGGCCAUUUUUAAGGAUGAGCAAAGCGGUGUUGUCCAACCAUUAUCUGGCCCUGAAGUACCGGGUGAAUGGGGUAGUAGGAGUGGUACGAGGAGACCAGAGGAUCGCAAGAAGCUGCUACUCCUCGGCAGCAAGGGAAGCAAUGCAGAUAACAUCCCUCGAUACCCGAGUGGAAAGCAGGAAGGGCAGACAAGAACCUGUAGAGGAUCUGGAAACAGUAAGCCUGGGACCAAAGAACCCGGAAAAGACGAUCAGAAUCGGGUCGAGACUUAGGGGAGGGCAAAAGCAGGAGUUGGUGAAAUGCUUACAGGCUCAUGCUGAUGUGUUUGCUUGGACACAUGAAGACAUGCCAGGGAUUGACCCUGAGGUAGCAUGUCAUAAGCUGGCAAUAAAGAAAGGUGCUCGGGCAGUAAGGCAGAAGAGGAGGUGCUUCAACCAGGAGAGGUAUGAGGCUAUAAAUGGCGAGGUGGAGAAGCUCCUGAGAGCAGGGUUCAUUCGGGAAGUCAGUUACCCUGAGUGAAUAUCGAAUGUGGUGUUGGUAAAGAAGGCAAACGGCGAGUGGAGGAUGUGUGUGGAUUUCACAGACCUCAAUAAGGCGUGCCCAAAAGACAGCUUCCCUUUACCAAAGAUCGAUCAGCUGGUAGAUUCAACGGCUGGACAUGAUCUGCUCAGCUUCAUGGACGCGUUCUCGGGAUACAACCAGAUCCCCAUGUACGGGCAGGAUGAGGAGAGCACGGCUUUCAUCACUAACCAAGGUUUGUUCUGUUACAGGGUAAUGCCAUUCGGUCUCAAAAAUGCGGGGGCCACCUAUCAAAGGCUGGUGAACAAAGUCUUUAAGCCGUUGAUUGGGAAAACCAUGGAGGUGUACGUGGAUGACAUGAUCACCAAGUCCAAAAUCCCGGAGGAACAUGUCAGACACCUCGAGGAGACAUUCGAGCUUUUGAGGAAGUAUAAGAUGAAGCUCAACCCGGAGAAGUGUGCUUUUGGGGUCGAGUCAGGGAAAUUCCUUGGAUUCAUGGUGAGCCAUAGGGGGAUUGAAGCAAAUCCCGAGAAAAUCCAGGCGAUUGUGCAAAUGACGUCUCCUCAUAACCUGAAGGAGAUGCAGAGCCUCACGGGGAGGUUGGCGGCGUUGAGCAGAUUCAUAUCCAAGGCUACAGAUAAGUGUCAGCCAUUCUUUCAAGUAAUAAGGAGGGGAAAGAAAACAGAAUGGACCCCAGAAUGCGAGGAAGCCUUGCGGAACUUGAAGCAAUACUUGCAGCAAGCUCCGCUGCUGUCCACACCGAGGGAUGGGGACAUGUUGUAUCUGUAUUUGGCGGUAUCGGAUCGGGCCGUCAGUUCUAUUCUGGUGAGAGAGGAAGAAGGAGUUCAGUAUCCGAUAUACUACACCAGCAAAGCCCUGCUCGACGCUGAGACCAGAUACCCACCGUUGGAAAAAUGGGCACUUGCCCUUGUGGUUGCUGCUCGGAAGUUGAGGCCAUAUUUUCAAGCAUUCCCGGUUUCGGUAGUAACAAACCAGCCAUUGCGUCAAACUCUGCACAAGCCAGAUGCCUCUGGUCGGCUCGUCAAGUGGGCUGUAGAGCUGAGCGAGUUCGACAUAGACUAUAAACCCCGCGCAGCGAUAAAAGCCCAGGCAAUGGCUGAUUUCGUAGCCGAAUUCACAGAGCCCGAAGUAUGCUUAGAUCAACAAGAUGCAGAUAUAGGCAAUGACGAAACUCAAGUAUGGCAGAUGUCUGUGGAUAGGUCAUCAGGGGAGCGGGGUUCAGGAGCAGGGAUUGUCUUGGAAGGCCCAGAGGGGGAGGAGAUCUCUUAUGCUGUAAAGUUGGAGUUUGCAGCCACGAAUAACCAGGCAGAGUAUGAAGCCUUGAUAGCAGGUCUGGAAUUAGCUAAGGCCGUGAAAGCAAACAGAGUUAAGAUCAGAACUGAUUCCUAGCUGGUUGCAAAUCAUGUCAGUGAAAGAUUCCAACCAAGAGAGGAGAAGAUGGAGCAGUACCUGAAGAUAGUCAGGCAGAUGAUGGGGAAGUUUGAAGCAGUGGAGGUAAUACAAAUCCCCAGGGAGCAGAAUAGUCGAGCAGACAUUUUGGCUAGGAUGGCAGCAGUAGCCGACCCAAAAAUGCCAAAGUCGGUUCCUCUGGAGGUGAAGUCCAGCCCAAGUAUUGGUCAGAAUUUGGGGGUGUUGCGGAUAGAACAAAAAUGCUCGUGGAGGGAUCCGAUAGUUUCAUACCUUAGGGACGGGGUAUUACCACCAGAUAAGGUGCGAGCUCGCAAGCUUAGAGCCCAGGCCUCGAGAUACACGAUGAUUGAUGGGGUACUGUAUCGGCGAGGAUAUACACUAUCGAUUACUUCACGAAGUGGAUAGAGGUAGAAGCCCUUAGCAGGAUCACAGAGUCGAGCAGACAUUUUGGCUAGGAUGGCAGCAGUAGCCGACCCAAAAAUGCCAAAGUCGGUUCCUCUGGAGGUGAAGUCCAGCCCAAGUAUUGGUCAGAAUUUGGGGGUGUUGCGGAUAGAACAAAAAUGCUCGUGGAGGGAUCCGAUAGUUUCAUACCUUAGGGACGGGGUAUUACCACCAGAUAAGGUGCGAGCUCGCAAGCUUAGAGCCCAGGCCUCGAGAUACACGAUGAUUGAUGGGGUACUGUAUCGGCGAGGAUAUACACUAUCGAUUACUUCACGAAGUGGAUAGAGGUAGAAGCCCUUAGCAGGAUCACAGAGAAGAAAACAACGGACUUCGUGUGGAGAAACCUGGUCUGUCGAUACGGGAUCCCUUAUGCCUUGGUAACGGAUAAUGGCAGGCAGUUCGAUAAUCACAGCUUCAGGGAUUUCUGCCAGAACCUCGGGAUAGAGCUGAAGUAUUGCUCGCCUGCUCACCCUCAAUCGAACGGACAAGUAGAAGCAGCCAACAAGACCAUCAAGAGGCUUUUGAAAACCAGGCUUGGAGCAAAAAAGGGUGCGUGGGUUGACGAGCUGUCAGGUGUGCUAUGGGCAUACAGAACAACCCACAAAACAGCAACUGGGGAGACACCGUUCGCUUUGGCUUUCGGACAUGAAGCGGUCGUGCCGGCCGAGAUAGGAACGACCACACACCGGACAAAUCAUUUCAAUGAGCAGGAGAACGACGAGCAGAUAUGUUUGAAUCUUGAUCUGCUAACGGAAAGGAGGGAGCAAGCAGCCGAGCGAUCGGUCAUUUACCAACAGAGGGUUGCUCGGUAUUAUAACCAGAAGGUGAACAUACGGCAAUUCAGGGUCGGAGACUGGGUACUGAGAAGAGUGAAUCAGAGCACCAAAGACUCGACUCAAGGAGUGCUGGGACCGAAUUGGGAAGGGCCAUAUAGAGUCAAGCAGAUAGCGGGACCUGGAGCUUACAAGCUGGUACGCACGGACGGCCACGAGGUGAAACGCCCAUGGAACGCAGCACACCUCCGAAAAUACUUCCAGUAAGACUUGUUCACAUGUGAAAACUAUUUUUGCUCAUGUUCAUUACCGUUUAUCUUUCACACUUAUUGUCCAAACAAUCUCAUGUAAGUCGAAUCUUGCCAUUAAUGGAACGUCGAAGAAUUUCUUUCGCUUGAAACCGAGAAAGUUGCCUAAGGCAUGCAAAGGCUCGACAAAGUCUCAAAGCCUGUCUUAUGGCGAGACAGAAGCCAAGCAUGCCAGGAUCUGCUCGGCCACGAGAAGGCGAACAGAAUCCCAAUCCUUGAAGAAAUGCCUAAGGCAUGCAAAGGCUCGACAAAGUCUCAAAGCCUGUCUUAUGGCGAGACAGAAGCCAAGCAUGCCAGGAUCUGCUCGGCCACGAGAAGGCGAGCAGAAUCCCAAUCCUUGAAGAAAUGCCUAAGGCAUGCAAAGGCUCGACAAAGUCUCAAAGCCUGUCUUAUGGCGAGACAGAAGCCAAGCAUGCCAGGAUCUGCUCGGCCACGAGAAGGCGAGCAGAAUCCCAAUCCUUGAAGAAUCCAAGGCAUGCAAAGGCUCGACAAAGUCUCAAAGCCUGUCUUAUGGCGAGACAGAAGCCGAGCGUGCCAGGAUCUGCUCGACCGUGCGAAGGCGAGCCGAAUCCCAGGCAUUGAAGAAUCUCCAAAGGCAUGUGGCGAAACCAUGAGCCAAGCCGGAACCUGCUCGUCUAGACAGACACAAGCAGAUUCUCAACCGAAAAUUAAUUCAUAAUUACAACACAAGAAAGUAAUCAAAAACCAUUUUUAUUAAUUUGUUAAUAAUUAACAGAGGGGACAAUCUCAAUGAACAUUGUUCAUUACAAUACAAGAAAUAUAUCAAGAAGAUGAUGGACCAGUAAGCCCGGCAGCAUCGGUUGGCUGGACCUCCUCAGGUGCUGGAGGGGUAUCACCAGUUGCGUCCGGGGGGGUACUUGCCUCGCCGACAUCAGCAGGGACUGCAUGAGCAGGAGAGUCUUCCUCCUCAAUCACGAUCGGCUCUACCCCAUCAGUAUCUUCCUUAGCCGCCUCCUCGUCCAUGUGUUGAGCAACACCAGCUGCAAGGUCAUCCAUCUUCAGAUCAGGGUGUUGCUUCCCGAGGACGGCCAUGAUGCAACGAUAGGAAUGCCGAAGGCCCUGGUCGUACUGGUUGUCAGCCUCCCUCUCCAAGUUCUCGACCUGAGCUCGGUGGGAGUCGCGGAGAGAUUCGAGCUGAGCCUCAUACGUAGCCUUCUGCCUUUGCAGAUCCUCCUUGACCUUGGUAAGCUCCUCCUCGAGGGAAAUGGCUUUUGCUUGAGCAAGUGAUUCUUGCUCUAUCAGCUUCAGAUUCUCGAGAUUCAGCUCCCCUGCUUUCUUCUCGGCAACGUCAGCCCUGGUCGUCGCCAAUUGAAUAUCCUCCUUCAUCUUCCGGUCGUAGCGGCCAACCUUAGCCUUGUAAUAGGUGGUCAGGCAGCUGAGGUGGAAAGCGUUAUGCUGCAUGGCCCCCACCAGCUCACCCAAGGUGCGGCCGUCAAAGUCCUCCAGGUCCUUCUUGCUCACGAGUUUAGUUAACUCAUUGAGGUAAGGGACCAGAUGUUCUGCUCGGCUGUCAGGUAAGCGAGACCAAGGCCCGACAGGAGGAGAAGAAGAAGCAGGAUCUGUGGCUGCUCCACUAGCUUCCCCGACUUUCACAGAAGCAGGAGGUAAAGUCUUCAAGGGUGGGACCUGCUGCACGAUGUUGGCCCGCUUUGCAGCAGGGGCAUCCUUACUCUGGUCCCUCUUCGUGGUUGGAGGUCGGGAACGUUUUCGGGUCAAAGCCCCAAUCACAGCGUCCUCCAUCCUAUAGCCAGGAAGUAUCAAGCGAGACUCGAGCAAGUUGUAUGUAGUUAACAGUUCUCGGCUCGAGCAGGAAUUGGCUGGUCAGGUUCAAGCGGGAAGUGGACACCCCAAGAAACUACAACACAAACAGACACUUGGUUAGAGACAAGCCAAUAAAGCAAGAACAAUUAUGAACGCAAGACAUCUAGAGCGAGCAGGCAACCUGGGACCGUGAAACGGGGUGGGACGCGACAAUCCUUCCCGUCUAUUUGUGCAAUUUGACCCCAAGGACCCCCAGCAAAAAAGAAUUUCCUCUUCCAAGCCCCACCACCACCGGUUGGAAGAUCGGUUAUGGGUUUCCGGCUCUUGGUGCUAGAUUGGAAGUAGUACCAGCCGGCAUCUUUGGGGCUGCUCUUUAGCUGGUACAAGUGCUUCACCUCAUCAACCGUGGACUCGCUUCCGAAAAAGGACUUUUCUCAUUAAUUUUUGAUCUUCAAGUUAAGUUUGUUUCAUUUCAAAAGGUAUUAAGUUUCAAACUUGUCGUGUUGGGAGGUUGGAUAGUUGUAACGUAAGACAUCUGCAGGCUUCCGGUUCAAAACAUUACAGUAUGGCAUUUUAUUUUGUCACAAGGGAAUUAGUUAUGGGAUCCCUUCUGCAACGAUUUGUUGAUGGCGAUGAUGAACUCCGCAAUAGUAGGCUGAAGCUUAUUCCAUCCGUUCCUAAGAUAUCCAUCUUGGUCUGCAUCUAUUAGGACUUUGUUAACAUGUCGUAACCUUCACUGCAUGGUACACUUCAAUUUGUUCAAAGAAGGCAUACAUUUAGGUAUAAAUGUAUUGAUGGGUUGUACCUUCUAACUUAAUGACCUUUUUUCACUCUGUUGAAUUUGUUUUGCACCUGCUCUUGAUUUUAAGCGCUAAAUCAUGCAGGGGUCAUGGAUCGUGCACCAGAGUGUUGGAAGCACCCCUUGUUUAUUAGGAAAAGCAGUUGAUCGUAAUUUUAUCCGCGGUCCCAAGUUCGUAGAAGUAAACGCUCUUGGAAUUUCUAUAAUACAUGAGAUGUUCCCCUUUCAAAUAGCUCGUCCGAUACCAUUAACAUGGUUUAACAUUGUUCCUCUGUCUUUAGAUUGAUGUUGACAUCGGUUCUUCUAAUAUUGCUCUUCUUUAUCUUACACGUGUCUCUUCUUUAUCUUACUCUUUAGUAUGCAGUCAAACACUACAGAUGAAUUACCAGAACGGCUGAUUGGAACCAGAAACAUCAUGACUGUGGUUUCAUUGCACCUCAACUUUUUUUAAUACCCGAAAAAAAAAAAUCAUUUGUUUUAGGUAUACGCACAUGUAUUUUGAUCCCAUUUUCAUUGUUUUCUUUGGAUGAAAGUCAUUGAUGUUUCCAAAUGAGACUUUUGCAUAAGUAUAGCUAGUAGGAAAUUUUCUGAUUCUUUAUUUACUAUUUUUGGAAUCUGAGUGUAAUAGUUUUAAAAUUGUUUAAUCGGUCUCUAAAUGUCGUACUCACAAGCAAACAAGUGAACUGAUUGAUUCCCAACCGUCACUCAACCGGUUUCCAACUUUUUAAUAUACACAAUAACUGUGUUUGUUGAAUAGCUAAUACUAUUAAAGCUCAACAUUAACAUAGAUACUAAUGGAAAAAUUGAUUUUCCUAUGAUGCUGUGUAAAGAAUAUGGGUUUACCUACUUCCAUAAGAUCGAAAACAUGAUCUUGACUUCACGUGAUUCUUUUAAUUUAGAGAGUGCUGGUUUGAGAAGGUCAGCUUGACGGAUUACUUCCUUUUAAUAAAUGUCAAUACACUAUAUUUGAUAAUACUAUAAAAAUGUAAUAAACAUUGUCUUGUGCUGUUUUCUUCAACUACAGAUCCUCAAUUGAAUCAGUCAAUCAGGUUAGAAAUCAAAUGCUUAAAAUACCAAUUGGAGAAACAAUAUAGAAGUUGAAUAUUGCAUGCAUAUGAAACAUCAAUUCAAGCCCUCACUUAACCAGUGUGCACCAAGCAAAUCCAAAGUGUCUUGCAAUUAUGUAGCAUGACCAAAAUGCUAUAAAUGCAUCUGGGAACAAAUUUUUGAAGUAGAGGAAAACGUGCAAGUUGAAUCAUGUAUAAGAGAUCGGCUUGGGUCGAGAUAGCUUCUUCUUUAUACUUGAAGGGUGGGCUCAAUCUUGUCUUUAGAAUUCUGCAUGUUUGUAAUUAUACAUGUGUAAGCAAGCAUACAUUACCAUAAUAAUAACAAUAAGAAAAAAGAAGCAAAUGUUAUGAUACGACUAUAAACUCCAUCAGACAAACAAUAAUGUAUAAAUUAAUGUGACAUAAUAUGAUUGAUUAAACAAAAACAUCACAUGGACCACUUGAUUUAUUUUUUAUUAUUAUAUAUUUUCAGUCGACCAAUCAUAUUAUACCAUAUCAAUUUCUACAAAAUAAUUUGGUAGUUAGCGCCAAUACUUAGUUAAUUAAUACUGACCAUUUCAUUGAACAAUUUAUGUAUGGUGUCAUUGAGGUUGCCUUCCCAGCAUCCUUCUUAUUUUUCGGUGAGUUUCACUUUAUUUAGCGUUGGCGUGCCUAUGAUUCCUUGAGAGAAAAUCUUCAUCUUUGGGCACUGUCUCACAAGUACUUGUUUCAAGGACGGGAACUCAAGAGUGUAAUUACCUGAAUAAAAGCUUGUUAGGCUUGGCAAACAGUCAAGUCCCAAGUACUCCAAUUUCCCGAAAACAAUGCAAUCUUUCGCUUCUUCAUUUAAUAAUUAUAGAAGAAUAUUGGCUUAUAGAGCAUUUUAGUAGGGAUAAGAUUUGUGGACAGAAUAAAUGAAAUAAUAAAAAGCAUAGCUGAUCAAGUCAUUAUUGAUCUUAUUUUGAUUAUUACAUUGCACAUUAGUUUCUUUUUAAAAAUGCUAUUCUUCAUUCAAGCUUUCGCUUUAUCUUUUAUCAGGCAUCCUACAAAUCUUAUCCCUACUAAUAUGCUCUAUAAGCCAAUAUUCUUCUAAAAUUAUUAAAUUCCAUUCUUCAUUCAAGCCUUCAUGGACACUAUUUACAAAUUGUUCUUGUAUUUGACAGAAAAAUGAAAACUCCUCAUCAUACAAAACUGCAUGAACAAAUCUUCAAUUUAAUUAUGAUAAAAUAAUAAAUUCCAUUAAUAGAUUAUGUUGUAUUUUUUUUUUUUUUGACCACGAGAUAUCCUGAGGAGGGCCCCAAUUGUGGGAGGCACCUUUAAGCUCGUACCACAACCCAUACUAGAAGUCCCCACGGGAACCGGGAGGCACAAUUUCUCCCAACAAAGACGAUUUUCCUGCGACUCGAACUGGGGAGCAAACCCAGUCAAGCCACUUAGAGCCAACACUUUGUUGGUUAUGUUGUAUGUUAAUGUGAGGGAUUUGAUCAGGUGAUCAUAUAAUUUAGUAAACGCUUUAAGAAGAACAAGAAUUAAUAAGUUAAAAAUUAAAAAAAUAAAUAAAUAAAGAGUAGAUGGAAAGAAUGUUAUUUGCAAUCACUAAACCAAAGAACAGGGGAAUGAUAAGAGAGGACGGUUACUGCAACAAUAUGAAGUCAACAAUAUAAAGUGUUUACCAACUUAAAACCAGGGCUAUAAAGUGUUUGAUGAAUUAUUUUUUAAUUAAAAAAAAAAAACUGAUUUAGCGGGAUAAAACAAUGCUCCAUUCCGUUUAGUAUGUGAAGUCCAGAGUAUUACCUACUACUAACUAAAUCCGCUUGAUUCACAAGACUACCAAGAGAUAACUGAAUCAUUAUUUAAUUUUACUAUUAGGAAACCUACUUAUAUAAGGCGCAAACCACAAAUUCUAAAUUAAAUACCUAACCAUAAAUUAAGAUCAACCCUAACAGUCAUCCACCAGGUGCCGUGUAGGCUGCAUCAUAAAUUCUGAUUUAAAUAUUUGCAAUCACCGAACAGAAAAACAGGGGAACGAAAACAGAGGAGCCCUAUUUUUCCAUUUUUUUAACCCUUAACUCUUGCUCUUCUAAUUAUAUUUUUCCUUGGAAUUUCAAGUAUGAGAUGAAUUUGGAGAAAGUAAAUAAAUUUGAAUUACGUGAAAAAUUCUAAUUUUUUUAACCCUUAACAGUUGGUAUAUUUUUUUUAGGUCAUAGAUUAAUAAAUUUCUUUUAAAAAAAUUUAUAAUAUCAAUUAAUAUUAUAACCUAUAGAUUAAUACAGAUAAAAAUAUGAUUGAUUUAUCUCCACCACCUAAGUCUUAGCCAAAUUUAAUUAAAGAUUAAUUUAAUAAAUUACCGAAAAUAAUAAAGUAAACGAAAAAUAAAGCACGCAAUUAAGUAAUCAUGCUUCUAAAGGGCUAAUUAACCAUAAUAGGCAUAGGUAUUAAUUUGACUUCUAUGAAAGUCCCUUCUAGUUUCUCAAAAUUCAAAAAUUACAAUAAAAAGCCAAAGAAAAAGUCAAUGCUUCUAAAGUAGAAAAGUUUGAGUACUAGAUAGGCUGCCCAAAAUACAUUUUCAUUACUCACAUAUCUCUAUAGAAAGUAAUUUUUUUAAUAAAAACAACCUAUUUGGCUAAUAUUCAGUAGUCUUUUUUGUUGAUGGAAUUAUCCUCUUAACAAUAUUUUAAAAAGUUUACAUGAAUAUUCCUUUUUUAAAAAAAAAAAGAAUAAUAACGUGUAUUGUUAGGAUAAAAAUGAUCAUCAAUACGUAUGUAUAUAGGCACAAAUAUAUGAAAAAAAAUCAAGUUUAAGUACAAUGUAUAGGUCAAUGCCUAAGAGUCAAGCCUAAAUUAGGGGUAUAAAAAACUACAAAAUACAAUUUCGUACACUACAAAAUUUUGAUAUCAGCAGUAGGGGUAUAAAAAAAUCAUUGUUGCCAAAAAUCCAAAAGCUAACUAGAGGUUUGGUUUUGUUUCAAAAAUUAAAAAAACAAGUCAAUUCGUAAAAUCAAAAACAGAAAAAGAAAAACAAAAUAUAGAGGAAUUUACAGUUUAAAAAGAAAAACCAAGCCAAAACGAAAUUGAAUCGAAAGUCGAACCAACUCAGUUCAGUUUGAUUUGAAUUUUAUUUUAUAAAAAAAAAUGAUCGGAACCAACUAAACUGUAUUAUGUUAUAAAUUAUUAUAUAACAUAAAUUUUUGAAUACCUUUGUGACGAGCACAAUUUAAAAUUUUAUGAUUUUAAAUUUUAACAUUAAUGGAGAGUUAAUACUCCACCAUUUUCCAAUUUUUACAAUACAUAUUACCAGUUUAGAUAUGCUGUAUAUUAUUGUUAUAAUUUUUCGAGCAAGAUAAUAUUUGUCAAUUGGUGUUAUGACAUCAAAAUACUUGGUAUUAGUUAGUGCUAAGUGCUUCUUUUUCUUAAAAAAAGCGGUUCCUUAGUUUUAAAACAAAAAUCAUUAUCCUGAAAUUCUCCAUUUGCUUUGUUAACAGAUAUAACAAAAUAAAGUGAUAAAAGUUUAAUUUAUAAAACUUCGGCAUUUAUAUCUAUCAGAUUCAACACUUUAGUGUCAUAGAUUUAUUUCGGUGGAGCACGAUGUGGGUUGGGCCAGGCUUAGAAUUUUAAGCACGAGAGCCUUAAAAAUAUGAUAUGAUUAGAGAUGGACUGAGCACAGCACGAUGAAAAUGCCCACAAUAAGCACAUUAUAUUUUUUUAUUGAAAAUAAACUUAAAAUUUUAUGUUUUAUAAAUAACUUGAAGUUGAAUUUUUUAAAUUCAUUUAAUUCUUAGUUUAAAAAAAUAUUAUAAUUAAUUUAUAUUUAUAAUUUAUUAAAUAAAUAAUUGAUAUCAUGAUUUUAAUGAAUAAAAUUAUAAAUAUAAUGAUUUUAUAAAUAUGCAUUAAUAUUAUUGUGAACUAUGAUCUAUGACUCUAUGUAACUCUAAGUUAACAAUUAAGUUAACCCUUAAGAAAAUAUUAUUAUUAUUAUUAUUAUUGUUGUUGUUGUUGAGUAUUAAAAAAAUUAUAAUACUAAGAGGUCAAACUUAGAUCUAUUAAAUAUUACAUUUUCUUACUAUUAUUAGUUUAUUAUUAUUGAAUAUAAACUUGAGUUUUGAUUUUUUGAUUCUAUUAAAUUUGAAUAAAAGUAUAGACCUAAGAAAAAUAUAUAGACUUGAAAAAAAUACGCCAACAGUUUAGUAUGCCCUUUAAAAAUUAAAAAAAAAAAAAAACUUAGUGAGCUUUUUUUCUUAGGCAUAGCACGGCAUGUAUCGGCAUGUGUGUUAGGCCGGACCUAAACAAAAAAAAUAAAAUAAAUCUCGACACGACACAACACAAGCAUAAGCACGCAUGGGCCUUACUUACUGGCCCGACCCAUUGAGCAUCUCUAACUGUAUCUAUCUCCGCCAUAAUAAAUUAAACAUCGGGUAACUACUAGACUAGGCAUUAGCAUAUAAACUAACUAACUAUAGUACCAAAAAGAAUGAUGCGACAUUGUAAAAGAGAUGGGGCAAAGGGCAGAAUGGGAAACGAAUGAACCAAAUAAUAGUAUAUAAUAAUAUGGAUUUGGUAAAAAUAAAAAAUAAAUAAAAUAAAGUGGUGACACGUACCUCCUUUUAUUUCUCGAUCGAGUAGUGCAGAAAGUGGAGUGUGUGUGUGUGUGUUAAUUGUGAAAUGUCAGCCAAUUUUUUCUCUCUCAUUCUGAAACAGCUCAGCAGGAAUAGUGUACACUAGAGACGUCUGUCUGUCAGUCAGAACUGCCAAAAGAGCAAAACGGGUGCACGUACAAAUUAAAUCAGCCAAUCAGCGAUAUAUUUCAGUUACUAAAAGCUAGCACAGAGGGAACAAGCAAUAUGCAGGGCCAAAAGAGAUGAGACCCCUGAACCCGAACCCUCCUGAAUGAUCUGAUCACAUCUGAUUCGAUGUCUCGAGUCAUUAGAUUUAACAUAUUUUAACAAUAUUUCUCAGUUAAUAUGUGAUUUAAUUAAAGGUCAAGUUUACAUCUGAAAAUGAACUUAUUAAAAAUUAAUUUGAAAUAACAUCUAAGAUAUCUAUUUGUUUAUAAUAAAAUUUAAUUGUCAUAUCAGAAUUAUUUUCCGUUAGACUUUACAAUAAGUUAAUCCCAAAUAAAUUGACAAUUUCAAUUUUAAAGUUAGUUUGUAACUUUAAAAUAAUUUUCUAAUAAAAAUUUAAUCUGAAACAUUUGCAAUAAUAUCAAGUAUUUUGAUGUAAUAACACCAAUGUUUCACAUGCACACACAAGUCAUAUAUAAGUUAACAAAAACAUCAUUUGUUAUUAACAAAAUCAUGUUAAUUUUUAAUUCUUAAAUUAACUCCCUAUUAAAUUUUGGCUAAAUGUUAGAGUGCAAUUUAUGCACUAGUUUUGCAUUGUUUACUUCCCUUAAUAUCGAUGUUUUGCACUUAAUAAUAAUGUUUUACUUGUGUUUUACUUUUGUAGGUGCAAUUCUAUUGAUUGAUGAUAAAAUUGAGCUAAAAGAUGAUGUUUAAGGAGGAUUGUUCUCUUGGAGAAAUUAUGAGCGUCAGAAGAACUUUGUUGAUAAGGCGUGGGCGCGUGCUGUCAACUGCGGACCUGCAGUUUUUAGUUUAACGUGUUUUGUAUUUUUGGUUAUUUUUGUAAUUACGAAUUUAAUAUUUCAGAUAUUAGUAUUUUAUUUUAAAUAGAAUUCUAAAAGAGAAGAGAGAGAGAGUAUUUAAGGGAGGAAUCUAUUGUGAAAAAGAGGAUUUGGAUUGGAGAAAAAGAAAGAAACCCUAGAUCUAAUUUUUCUCUUCUCUCUAUGAAGAACUAAACCUAUUUUUCUGGUUGAAGGAUAAUGAAGCUUUGAUUCAUCACUACUGUGAGAUCUUUCUUAUGCUUUAAUUGUUUUAUUACUUUUUGGGUAUUUGUUUAUUCUCUGAAUUAGUUUCAUGAUUAUGUUUGUUAAUUAGGUAAUUGGCCACUAUUUAAUUAUUAACUUAAUCUAUUGUUAAUUAAAGGAUUCAUCGUAUGAAGAAUUUAAUGUUUGUGACAAAUAACAUAGCAGAGAGUUGUGUUGUGAGAAUAAACAAUCUAAUUUAAAUGAAUCAUCAUAUGUGUUGAUUAGGAUUUGGGUCUCUCUAGUUUUUCAGGCUGUCAAUUGAUUAAAUCCUAUGAUCGUAUCUAGGGUUGUCUAUUGAUUAGGGAAAUAUCCAACGGUCGUACCUUGGUUAUCGACUAGUUAAGGAGAGAUUGGCUAUUAGAGGGUCUCAAUAGCUAUAACCGGUCUAUUCAUAAGUAAUGAUAAUCUAUAUUUGAAUCAAUGAUCAGUAGUCGAAUCAAGCUGAGUUAAUUCCUUCAAUCAGAGCUUUCUCCAAUUUGAAUUACAACUUUAAUUUGCAUUCUUGUUACUUUAAUUUGAUUUUUAUUAUUGUCAACAAUUCCCCCAUUUUACGUUUUACGUUUCAAAAUGAUUUAAAUAAUUACCGAUCUCUGUGGACACGACCCUGCUCAAUCACUAUACACAAUUUAUUUAGAGUAGGAAUUUAUUUUUGUUGGCUUCGACACCCAUCACUAAAUCAUUAUUGCAAUUUAUAAAUUAAUAUUUAUAAAAAAUUAUGAAUCAUCCAAAAAGCUGCUUGAUAUAGAUUAAUUUCAUGGUCAUCAAUUUUUUUUUAUUUAUAUACCUUUAAAUUAUCACUUGUAUCAUAUGAAAAGACCAUAUUACCCCUCUAACGUCAUCAUAUUUAAACGGCAACUAAGCUAUGGUGAACGACAUUAUAUUUUGUCAACUUAAGAUGAAUGACUGAUAUACCCUAAAAGUAUUGUAGUAAAUUUGAUAAUAAAGUAUACAAUUGAUAAUUUUCCUAUUUAUAAUUUAUCCCCUUAAUUAUGAGUAAUUUUGUUUUUGUCUUCAUUUGUCCCUUUCCUACAAAACCGUACAAGUUACAUAUAUAAAACAUUCUUCUUUAAUCAAGUUUGGAAUAUUUUCAUCCUUAUGUAAAAUUAUGCAUAUAUCUUUUGAGUUUCUCAAUUGUACUUGAAAAAAAAAAUUACAUUUAAUCACGGUUGGUUAUCCAUAAAAAAUUUUAGGUGGAAAGUUCACGCGUUUUAAAAUUUAAUUGUGGAAUUAUAUUACAUUUAUUAUUUAGUUUCAAUUUAAUCAUGUAUCAAAUUCAUAUUUUAAAACAUGUGGAAAUUUAUAAUAUAUAAUGAUUCUAUGUAAAUAUAUUAUCUCAUUUCUUCAUUCUUUUGUUAUUAGUUCUCCUCCACCACAUUAGAUAUAUUUUGAAGUUUUCUAAUGUAAAUGUUACUAACAAAUACGCAUUGAAUAAUUAUCGGGUAGUUUAUAUUAUAAUUUAAUAAUAGCCACAACAUAAAUGUACAAUUUGGUGAUAGUAAAUGCCAUUACAUGAAAAUGAAAUCAUCAUGUUGCAAACAAGAUGCAACCAAGGGAUUGCAAACAAUGUUAAGUUACUAUUGGGUCACUUGAACUCCUGGGCUCUCUCCUGUGUAAUUUAUAUUAGACUGUCGCGUACAAAACGCAGACAUAUAUAUACAUACAAGUAGUGCUUUGGCAACAGACACAAUAGCCAAGAAGCAGCCCUUGUUUUCAAAUUCAUUCAAAUGCCAGCCUGCAGUUUUGAAUCCUUCAAAUUGUGCUCCACCUUUUGAGGGGACGAUGAAGAGUGAAAGAAGAGACAAAUGGCAGAAAUAUCAUCCAUUGCAAUGCCUCGUUUCUUAUAUUUCCAUGCCCGAACAGCACAUUCCACCAAUCUUUUUGCUGCCUUUUCCCUAUCCACUACUGAAGAAACAAUCUCCACCGCCUCUUGGUUCGAAAUCACAUCCCAAACCUGAAGAACAAUCCAUAAUUGAUCUUUCAAACAUUGACGUUAGUUCAGAUCAAAAGAUAAUUCCAAUAUGUGGAUACGUAUCCCGUCUGAUGCCAGAAUGAUAAAUUGGUCUCGUGUUGUUAUGUUUCUUUGCGUUACAUGGGGCACGGAGAUUAGGCCAUAGUCCUUGACACAGUAAUCACCCAAGGCUCUUGAUAUGGCUAGUCCCGGAGUCUCACCAUUCGGCAUCCAGACUCUGUAUACGCCUGGCUCAUCAUUUAAGCAAAACACAAGCCCUUUGGACUGCGUUAUUCGCUCCGCUUCCUCUGUAUAGGCCAGUGAAGACAAGAACCCGUACGCAGACCUUAAAACACACCCAUAUAUACACCUACACGAGGCAGAAAUAUUUAAGAGACAAUGAGAUAAUUGAGAUCUGAUUGGUAAAAUAUUGUUAAUUAAUAAAAAAUAAUUAAUAUACUUGCUAUUUAAGUAUUUUACUAAUACUUUAAACAUCAGUAUUCAAUGAUGUUAAUAUGUGAUUUUAAUAUUAAAUUUAUGUUCUCAUUUAUAACAGUAUGGUCAUCAGUAUUCACAACACAUCAUAUAUUAAUGUAUGGGUUUAUUAAUAUUAACAAACAUUUAUUUCCAAAUAAAUAUGGUAGCCUUAGUAUUUAAGAAUAUUCUUUAUUGUCUAGUCGUCUGUCCAAGGAAGAACGGGCCAUCAUCAAAUUUAUCAACGGCCUUCUCUAAGUAAUCAAAAGCAGGACCUGUGACAAAUUAAAACUUUUUCCGUGAGUUCAGCACAUAUAUAUACAUAUUCAAAAUGCAUUCCAUUAUAAACAAGUAAGCAAGUUUCAAAUCCUACCAGCUUGUUUUGCUGGGUCUCCUUUGAAUGAAGUAUACACAUCGUUGGUGAAGGUAUCGAUGUGGGAAAACAGUUCAUCAGCAAACUUUCGUUUCUCAGGAUCCUACAAUAUUUUCACAACAUUACUUUACUCAAAGUUGAGAGAGAGAGAGAGAGAGAGAGAGAGAGAGAGAGAAGCUUUUAUUAAAAGCAACAAUGUAAUCAGCAAAAUCUUACAUCAGGUAAAAGUGAAGGCCCUUCAAAAUUGCUGUCAACAUAUUUAAUCAAAUCAAGAGAUUCUCCAAUAACUUUGCCAUUGUGCUCCAGUGCUGGAACCUGUAAAGAACUCUAAUAGGUAAAUAUACUUCAUAACUCCAGCAAUGAUCUCUAAUCUUGCACGAAAGUGUAACAAUCAGUUUAACUCUUUCGUUGUGUUUUCUUGCAAGCAAGCAACUUGCUCAAAUCAGAAUAUGUUAAGAUUUUACUAGGCACACAAAGCACAAAGACACCAUUCCAAUUUUAUUCAGGAACUCCUCCGCACAGAUUACAAGCAUUUCAAUUUCAAAGAUGGGGCAUAAGGACACAGAGUCACAUAAUUAGGCUAUUUGGUAUUGAGGUGCUGUGGUUUUUUUAGCUACAGCUGCCACACGUACCCAAAAAAAAAAAAAAAACUGUAACUAUAAAAUAAAAAUUAAAAAUGCGUAAUAAAUAUGAAUUUUAAAUUAAGAUUUUGACAAAAAUAGUAGAAAUAUUAUAAUUUUACAAAACACUUUAACUCUGUACCUUUUAAUCCAUAGCCGCCCUACCUCAAUACCAAACACAACUAAUCUCUUCCUUUUCUAUAUCUGAAUUGGUCUAUCAACACCUUGAUUAGAAAAAUUCCUAAUUAUUAUUCAGAAACUUUCUAAUACUAUUCAAAAUCUUCCCAGCAGAUUCUAAGCUCCAUGUUAACCAAAAGAAUGCACAUAUUGUUGAUCUAUCAAAUUACUUAAAUGAUCAAUCAAAUAAAAUCAAAUAUUAUUAUUGAUCACACAUCAGCAUCAGCAUCAGCAUCACCUUGUUAACAGGAUAAACCUUCUCCUUGUACCAAGCGGGCCUAUCUUGGAGGUUCAGUGGAACUAACUUAAUCUUGUCUUGUAAUCCCUGCAGCAGCACACCAAAAGUUGUCAAAUUCAAAGAGAGUAUUACGACAAAGGCGAAACGAAUAAACCAUAAAUUACUGUUAUUGUUAUUAUUAUUAUUUUAAUUAAACCUAGAAAGCAGAGACGGGUCAACAGUGAUAAAAAAAAUAUAAUAAAAAUAGUAAAUAAAAAUAAAACCUUGUAGUUCCUGGUGAUCCACACACGCUGAGCAAAUGGGCACGAGUAAGAAAUGUACAACCUGGGAGUUCCAUCGAACAGAGGUGGUAGCUCGGCCUUCGAAUCCAACGGUGGAGGAAGAUUCUCUUGCGCUCUAUCAAAGAUGACACAUGAUCGUUAAAAUAAUGAUCAUAAUUAAUUAUGAAAUUCCAAAAAAAAAAAAAAACCAAAUUCUUGUUGUGGCCAUCGAGGAAGGUAAGACUCUAGAGGUUUCCUGAAUGCUUUUCUUUUGCUUUGAAGAAGAAAGUCAUAUGAUACCGAAAUGUGUCUCUACGCAGAAUGAGUGCGCUUAUAUAUAGAAGCUUUAAAGUAACCUUCUGAAGCCAGCAGUGACGCAAUGCGCACGUGUUAGGGUGUCAUGAUAAUAAUGCAUGUUGCCAAAAAAAAGGGCAAAAUUCUUAUCAGUUUUAGGCAAUUGCCAUGCAUAUUAGUUGGAUUCAAUGGCUGCAAGGGAGAAGCAGUGAGAAUAUCGCUGAUUAAUUAAAUUUGUAUAAUAGAAAAAAUUUGGUAUAUUUUUUUAUGACAUAUUGCUAAAAAUGUGGAGGCUUUGAUAUUAAAAAAGAGUUAUUUAUAAAUAAUGUUAUUAUGUUAUUGUUGAUUAUUAACAAUAAAUUUUUAGGAGAUAUCAUUUGGUUUACAAGUAGUUCAUCAACCGUGUUUAUUAAAAUGUUACAAACAGGAUUACAAAAUAUUAAAUUAUCCUAAACCCAAUUAAUAUCUGCAGGGAUCAGACGACUGUUAGAACAUAUGUUCUAUAAUUUUUCUCUGGAAAAAUAUUAUUUCUUGUACAAACAUAAUAAAUAGCUAUUUAUAACUUAAUAAUUCAAAAAUAGUUAAUUUAUAAAAAGACUAUUCUUGGUGUUAACUAAUGCAGUGGAACUGAUAUAAAUUAACUUAUUGUAAAGAAUUCACUGUAAAGAUAUCAUUUGUUAAUUGUUAAUUAUAAAUAUCCAAUAUUAAAAUUAAUUUCUGAUUUAAUCCAUGAUUGUCAAGCUAUUGUUUUCAUGGUUUACAAUUUUUUAAAAUAGAAGAGGUAAAACAUUAAGUAAAAAGUUUUCAAUCUCGUAUAAAACAAUGUAGAAUGUUUUAACCAAUUCAAAAUUUUUUAUAAUAAAGCAGUUAUUUUCAAAAUUCACAUUAUGUUUCUAUUACUCAUAAAAAAAAAUCCCUUCAAUGAAUGCAGACAUCCUUGAAAGAAACUUCACUACUCUAACAAAAAGGCCAAAAUUUUAGAAAAUGACAGGAAAAGAGAACACCAAUUGUCAACUAGAGUACCCUUUGUGAAAAACACAAUAAUAAAUAGCUGAUAUAUGAUUAGGUUAAUUAAUUGAUUGGAUUGGAAUCAACUUCGGACUGUUUUGCCCUUCCCUGCAGUGCAGCGUAUUAGGUGGCGAAUGAAGUAACUGGCCUCACUAAUUUUAAGUAAAAAGAUUGUUAAUAUUUAACCGCGUCUUAUCAACAUUCUUUGUUUUGAUUAAAAUAUACGACAUCGUUUGCAGAAGAGGCAGCAAGGGCAACAACGUGCCAAGUAUAAUAGACAAAUUUUUUAUCAUAUUAAUUGAGAAGGCUUGAGUUCUGGCCGAUGUUAAUAAAAUUUAAAACACAAAAAAACUGAUAAUGUCACGGCUGGUGAGAUGAUAUAUAAAUAUUAAAAAGAAAAAAAAGAAUUAUCAAUAUUUAAUUUUUGAAGAUUAAACUCAUUAAUUAAAGUGAAUCGUGCAUGCUUUGCUAGCUGAUAUCGCGCGCGCGUGUGUAUGUAUAAAUAUGUUAGAUCAAAUCCAAAGCUAAUUCCAAGUAUUAUAUUAUAUAUAUGUUACUAUUAUUAAUUAGAAUUCCCAAGCUCAAGCUAAUUAAUUGAUGGUAAUCUUUUGGAUGCACUUAAUUGUAAUUAACCGGAUCAAAUUUUGAAACCAAAAUAAUUCACGGGGCAUUCUAGCUUCUAGCUAAUUCAUCCAAAAAAAUAUAAAAUUAUAUAAAAAUAAUAAAAAUACGUGUGAUGUCAGCUUGAUGCGUACAUUCAAAGUUCCAAUUGAAAACAAAUAGAUAUUCAUUUUUCUUGUCAAAUUAUUGAAAGAGACAUCUCUUAAUUUCUUCCAUCACCAGCAACGGUUGAGUGACCUUGUCUUACAUUGUGCAGCAGCCUCCUCGAAGUAAAAAAAAAAAAAAAAUAUAGCCCAUUAUCUUGGCUUUUGGCUGGAUCCAAAUUUUUGUUAAAUACAAAUAAAUAUAAUAUCAAAUUAAAUAUUCCAAUAAACCUUCUAAUAUCUUCUUUGAACAGUUUUAUUUUUAUUUUAUGAGGGAAGAGUAAACCAUUAAAACUAUAAUUCAUCAUAAAUUUAUUGUGCCAAUUUUUUUUUAAAUCCAUAAUUUUGUGAAAUAUAAAUUUUAAGAAUUGAAAAAUAUCAUUAUAGCUUUCAUAUCCAAAGUUAAUUUUGAUAUUUUUGUACAAAUACAUAAUCUUCAAAUGUGGAUAAUGUAAAAGAUGAAAAUUGUCAAAUUAUUAGAUAAUUGUUUUUACAAAAUUUUAACGAUCAGAAAAAUCUUAAUUUAUAUGUCUUAGUUUAAAGAAUUGGUAUUAUCAAAUGUUACUUAAAUGUAAAUAUAAUAUAAAUAUUUUAUGUAUUUAUAUGUUACGUUUAUGAUUUGGUCACUGUUUAUCUAAAUUUUAAUAAAAUCAGACAUAUUUAUGUAAUUUACUCAUUAAAAAAAAAAUCCAUGAUUUAAUUUGCAAUGAUCAAAUUGUUGUAUUUUGUCAUAUCAAAAUACAUAUUUUUGUACAAUUACCCAUUAAGUUUAUGCUACAAUCAAGCUAUUUAUAAUAUAAGUGUGAUUUUUGAAUUUAAUAUUGAUAUUAGUAUUAAAUAUGAUAAUAAAAAAAUAUUUUAUUAGAUAUUAAUUGGGUCAUUUGUGUUAUUGUUUUUAAAAAUUAAUGACCUGCAACAUUAAUUGUCAAUAAUGGGUUUUUUUAAAACAUGCUGGUGCCCGGAUGUAAAUGCCGGUACCUCCCAAGUCAGUAGCCUUAUUAUAAUCCCGUCAGCAUAUUGGCCUGCCCCUGUACCAUUACUCCAAUUGAUGCUGAAAAUAUAACAACAUCAGUGACCGCGUUGUCGUUUCCCGUGAUGUUUAUUCCGAUGCCGGAGAAAUCCUUUUCGCGAUCAUCCCCGCCGAUGUUGAUGUGUUGGCCGAUGAAGGAAUUUCUUAUAUACGUUUCGUGGCCAUCUUGGAUGGAAAUGCCAGCGGUAGUGAAAUGCGAAACGUAACAAUUGUCCACUGUGGUUCUUAUUGAAUUUAUAAUGGCAAUGCCGCCACCCCUAAAAUUGGAGUCCAACAUAAGCUCCUUCAAAGUAAUGUAUUCGUAUAAUGACGAUGAUGAUGACGAUCUUAACUCUAUGAGAUGUCCGUUGCCCGAAAAAUCAUCCGAUGCUCGGAGGGACCCACCGUGUAUCUAUGUAUACAUAUAUAGAUGUUAAAAGUAAGAAUUAAAAGUAAGAAUUAAAUUUUAAAUUAAUAUGUGAUUUGGUAUGAUUCCUGGCAUUUUGUAUUCGGUUUUGUAGUCCUUCAUAAGACUGGCAAAAAUCAUUAUCAAUUAAACAUUAUGUUGUUAUAUUUUUUUAUUAUAUUUUUUUAAUGAUCUUUAUUUUAUUUGCUUUAAACAAUAUCUAUUUUUCAAAAACAAUACUUUUGACAAACAAACCCUAAAGUGAUGAAAGAGAAAGCAUGCAUUUUGCACAUGUUUAUAAAAACAAGAGAGUAUAUUUAAUCUCAAUCUGUAAUUCUGUAUAAUGUAUUAUUCUUAAGUUUGAAUCAAAUUAUUCUUGAUUCCAUCCGCCAAUCCAUCUCGGGCCAUUGAAUUAUGCAUAGCUAUUAUGGUAAUGGUCUCUUUAUUCUCCUCACAAUCAAUUAAUUGUGAUGACCAUACUGUUCUCACGAUUCUCAACCGCAAAAAAUUUAAAUAUUGUAUUGUACAUUUUUAUAAACAAAUUUUAUGUCAUCUCCAUUAUUGUGGAAUUUUAAUAUCCUAAUACAAUAUUAUGAUAGUAAUUGGGUCAAUAUGGGUAUUGGAUCAUAUUAUCGUUAUAAAUAUUAAUUUAUUAUAACUGAGUGUGUAAAGUAUCUUUUUUUAUUGUUGUACCAUAUUUAACUUUUGGCUGCAAAUAUAUAUAUAUUUAGCAUUAUUUAUAUCAAUAAGUUAAUAUAUAUAUCCUUUUCUUUAACAUCAAAUUUAAGUUUUUAAAAAGUUAUGAUAAUUCACUAAUUUGGUAUUUAGGAAAUUAAAUCCAUAUCAAUUUAUUAGAUAUCUUAAACCGUAUGUAAAAAUAGAAUAUUGACCAUUAUUCUAUUAGUAAUAUAUCCAUUAAAGAUUUUGACGUGCUAUGGUCUAAAAAAAUUAACUUGGCGGGAUGUUAUGAUUAUAUUCAAGGUGAUAGGGAAGAAAGUUAUGAGGAGACCCCAUUGAAGCCUAUAUAUUAUAGUAUGCAUAAAGACUCAAAAUGUGCACUUGAAAUAACAGUUGUCACUGACAGGUUAAGAUAAACUACCAAAUUGGCACUUAAAGGAAGAAAUUCUAGUAUUAGUGUCAUAUUUUAUGCCAUAUUAUGUAAUGCAUAUUAGUAAUGAUUUCUUCAUAAUAUCGCAGAUAUAUAAAAGUUCAUCUAGCUAGAUGCAUUGUAGAUUUUGUGAGAAUUAUUUUAUUCCGUCCAAAUGAGUUCACAUUAUUAUCCAAUUUUCCUUUUUUUAAGUUGAUUUAUGAAAGAAAAAAAAAAUGACACCAAUGUUUUCCACGUCGCCGCAAGUCUCAUCGAUAAAAGUCCAUCUACAAAUUAGUUCAUAAUUCUUUUUGUAACUUCGCUAAAAGCUAGUCAAGUCAUUGCUAGCAAGCCUCAAAAGCACGAAGUACGCGAAUCACGGCGAUAACUGAUAAUAACUUGGUUGUCCGGUUUCGCAUACUAAUUAGCUUGAUUGAAAAUCGUGAAGUAUGGGGCACGACUAACGCAACGCAUACGUCUCAUGCAUUAGGCAAAUAUUGUACGCGACCCAUGUUGAGAGCACAAAUCCACUAUCUACAAGUACUAUAUAUAGAGCUGCAAUGCGUGCUUCAAGUAUUCACAACUUACCCCCAGCUGGCUAGCCAGCCUCUAUAAUUUGAAGGGAAAAAAAAAAAAAAAACAACAACCUUGUUCAACUUGCAAAUACCUACCAAUUAUUAUGGAGAAAAGCUUUGAUAUCAUUGCCCUGUCUAUGAUCAUUCUGGUGACUUAUUCAUCUAAAAUGGUGUCGGUCGCCGGCCGGUCGCUGCAUGAACCAUCCAUUGUUGAGAAGCAUGAAAAAUGGAUGGCUGAGCAUGGGCGCACUUACAAGGACGACCUGGAGAAGGAAAAGCGGUUUAAGAUAUUCAAAGAAAACCUUGAAUACAUUGAGAAAGCCAAUGAGGAGGCGAAUCGGACGUACAAGUUAGGCACCAAUGAAUUUUCAGACUUAACUAAUGAGGAGUUUCGUGCUUCAUAUACAGGAUACAGGGUGCCAAGCCAGUCAUCUUCAUCACGGCAAUCCACAACAGCAUCCUUCAAGUAUCAAAACCUGACUGACGUUCCAACUAGCAUGGACUGGAGAGAGAAAGGAGCUGUCACUCCUAUUAAGAACCAAGGUCAAUGUGGUAAGUAAAUCGUAUACUAAAUAUUUAUGAAGUAACUAUAAUAGAUUAUUUAGCCUCCAACCUCUUUCAGAACUCAAACUCAGUUGACCAUCAGCUAAUUAAUAAAAACAGCUUGACAACCGUCUGCCAAACCCCUGCUGGGGCAUGUUUCAUGUAACUUAAUCAAGCCUUUUUUUUUUUUUUCCUUAAUAUGUACGAUGCAGGAGACUGUUGGGCAUUUUCAACUGUGGCGGCGGUGGAAGGGGUGACUGAGAUUAGUAGUGGUAAUCUUAUUCCACUUUCGGAGCAGCAAAUACUAGACUGCUCAAUAGAUGGUAACCGUGGAUGCGGUGGCGGUUGGAUGGACAAUGCCUUUAAAUAUAUUAUAAAAAACCAGGGUAUUGCCUCAGAAGCGGAUUAUCCAUACAAGGAAGUCCAAGGGACUUGUGAAGACGCACAGGUCAAGGCAGCUGCUAAAAUUAGUAACUUUGAAGAUGUAAAACCCAAUGAUGAGCAGGCUUUACUCCAAGCUGUAGCCAUGCAGCCAGUAUCAAUUUGCAUUGAAGGAAGUGGACCAGACUUCCAGAGUUACAAAGGCGGUAUUUUUAACGGAGGAUGUGGAACUCAGUGUUCUCAUGCUGUUGCUAUCGUUGGAUUUGGGGCAACUGAAGAUGGAAUGAAGUAUUGGUUAAUUAAGAAUUCAUGGGGGGAGAGCUGGGGUGAGGCCGGCUACAUGAGGAUUCUCAGAGAUGUUGAAGCACCUGAAGGUCUCUGUGGCAUUGCCACUAAACCUUCCUACCCAGUUGCAUGAGUAGCAGUAUUUUAUAUUAUAAAUAGCCGCCUCUUAAUAAUGAUGUCUUCAAGCCUACACAUGCAUUAGCCUCGAAAGGCUUAUACGAACCGUAUGAAUCGUAUGAUUCUGUGGUUUUACCUAUGUUGAGUAUUUCAUAAGUUGUAAUUGAACGCCAAUAUUUGGUAUUAGUUAAUGUUAAAUCUCUCGUUUAAAUAUAAGUUUGAUCUUUGCAGUAAUUAGUCAUUUACAUUUAAUGCCACGGAUACUCAAUUCGACCAAGAAAUACAUAGUUUAUAUCUUAGUUACUCUGAUAUUUUAUGUGGCAUGUUAUAUGUCGUUCAUUGAUUAAGUUGUAAGAAUAGUAUGUAAAUAAUUAAUAAUAAAUUUAUUUAUUAUCAUUUAUGAGACAAUAAAUGAUUAGUGGAACAUUAAUUAAAAUACAAACUAUUAUUAUUUAUUUAAGAAAUAUAUAUUGGUCAAUGAAAUUAAUGCAAGACAAAAAGUAACUGAAUUUUGAUUACACGCUUGAUGUCUGGAAGUACAAUGAUUAUGAAUUUGUGUUAAAUUAGGUCAAAGUUUUAAGUUAAAAUAAUCAAACCUAUAUACUCACACUAACUUUUAAAGUUUGAGUGGAAUUUGCCCGCUUUAAUUGGGGUCUCAUACAGCAAAAAAAUUUUGGCCAUCUUGAAUUUCUUUUUCUAAUUACUUAUAAAAAUUUAAAGGCUUGGUAAUUUCCCUCCCCCAAAUUCUGUCUUUAUUCCUAAGUAAAUUAGUUAGUCAUUAUUUCAAUAAUUAAAAUUAUUCUAAGUUCUAAAUUUUGGGCGUGGAGGGAAAGUUAAGCGCAAGUAGCCGUGACUGAUUAAUAUUAAACAAUAUAAUUUAAUGCAUUUUUAUUCUUCAUCUAUUUUUUUAAUAUUAGUUUUUGAACAAAAUAGUAGAACGAUAGUUAUAAUUUAUUAAUCAAAUUUUUUUACUUUCAUAUCCAUAUUAUAUUGUCAGUAAUAGUGUCAUGUAAUGAUAAUUAAAAGUAUUAGGAGAUACUUUUAAAAGUCGACCGCCUCAUCAAAAAAUCAGGAUGGCCAAGUGGUCUAAGGCGCCAGACUCAAGUUCUGGUCUUCGAAAGAGGGCGUGGGUUCAAAUCCCACUUCUAAGUAAUUUUUUAUUUUUUAUUCAUUUUUUUACAACGUUACGACUAAACGACGUCAUUUUCAUUAAACGGCAAGUCGUUUCAGUCGUCUUCUUUAACGGAAUAAAAAAUAUCUAAACCGAAGACCAAUGUUUCCAAACCCGCUGUAAACCCUACAGAUAACCCUCAUUGCCACUCGCAUCACUGAGUUCUUAACCUGAGUUAAAAUGGCCGAGUCCGCAUCCGAACUCAGUGAGUUCCGGAUUUUUCCGGCGGACUCACCGCCACCACAACCGAAUUCAACCGGAGUUCCGGUUCAUAAUCUAACACCAGAGGAGCUCGUGGCCAAAGCCAUAGCUCCAGUUAAGAAACAGUUUCUUCGUCAUUAAAUUCCAAAAUAAAUUUUAACAUAAUAAUUAAUUCUUUUAAUAGAUAAAAUUGUCUAUAUGCACGAUUGAAUUCAGCCCCAAAAUGUUAAUUAAAAAACAAUUAUCCAAUAUUCAAGAUAGUUUGAAUCGUCAUUCUCAUAUCGUUAUAAUGUCAUGAAAUAAUUGUACAAAAACAAAUGACCAAUAAAUUCACAAACGUAUAAUAUUGCCUAAUGUAAAUAACUUAUUAAUUAAUAUUGAUAUAUUAUUAAUUACUUAAUGUUUUACCUUUUUAUAAAACAUAAAAUUAUGUUUACUUCCAUUCAAGAUAUCCCAAAAAAAUUAAUCUUUUUGGAUGAUUCAUAAUUUUCAAGAGGAUGUUUUUACACCAUACCAUCGUCAAAUUGAUAAGGGCCAUGUUAUUUUUUAUUUAAUUAAUUUAAAUUUCAACUAGAGAGCUAUUGGAAUCGAUCACUGUAAAAGUUAAGUUGUGAUGUAAUCACACAAUCUUGAGAUCUGCUAUUAGAAAAAUAAUUGAAGAACCAAAUCCCAAUGAAAAUACAUCCAAAAUGAUGUCGUUUUGAAUUUGUUCCAAAAAAAUAAAAUAAAAUCAAACUCACUAAAAAACAACAUGUGUGUUUUUGUUAACCUUUUAUCGAGUUUUAAUUUAAAUAUUUAUCAUGUACUUUUAUAUUCUAUUCAGGACCGGCUCAACCAUAUUUGAGGCCUUAGGCAAAUGGUUUUAAUUAGUUUUUCUUAAAAUUUAAGACAAAAAAUAUGUAUAUUAGUUAUGAGUGAUGAUACAGCCACAAACUCUUGUACAAAUUGACGUGGUAUUAAUUUAUUGGUUGAAUAAAAAUAUAAAAUAAUAAAAACAAAAUCACGUGAGCCAAGUGAUAUUUAAUUCAACCAAUCUUAUCAUGCCACAUCAGUUUAUACAAGAGUUUGUGGUUAUAUCAUUACUCAUAAGUUAUAUAAUAUUUAUUGAAAAUCAAUUCUUCAAACACUCUCUAAAAUGUAAAAUUAUUAAAUAAAAUUAUAUUACACUAUUGUCAAUCCUUGAAAUUUUAAUUCAAUUAUAAUAUUUUUACUUUUUUUUAACUCAAAUUACAUCUUUUAUACUACUUCUUUUCUACAUUAAAUUAAUUUUUUUAUUCUUCUAUUUUCUAAAGUUUUUUUAUAUAGUUAUUUAUUUCACAAUAGAAAAAAAAGCACACAAAAAUAGUAGAUGAAUAAAAGAAUGUAUUAAAAAGAAAUAAGAACACAUAAAUAAUACAAUUAAUUAAGAGAAUAAUAAAAAAUAAAAUCUGAAAUUUGAAAUUUGAGAUGAAAUCAUAAAUUAACUUUAUCUUUAUAUUAAUUAUUUGAAGAUUUGAGUAAUGACUAAUAGCCAUAGAGAAUAGAAAAAAACUAUUAGAUUUUUUCUUUUUUUUCUUGAGUGGAAAGUAGAGGAAGCAAGAUUUUUUUUCCCCUCUCUCUCUUUCUUUCUCUCAAAAACGAAGAACAUAUGGUGUCUUCAUUGUUAGAAGAAAAAUUUAAUGGAUAAGUAAUAAAAUGUGGGGCUUUUAUAGAGGUUUAAAAUGAAUAUAAAACUUUUUAAUUAUAAGUUGUUAAUUCUAACAAUGAAAUAUCAAAUUUAUAGGAUUGAAACUAUUAAUUUAUCGGUUUUGUAGGAAUUAAAACUACUAAGUACUACAUUAAAUAAACUUUAUAGGAACUCGGUAGUUUAUUUGAGAAAAGAUAAUUACAAAAUAAUAAUAAAUUAGAUGCAUAAUAAUGAUUUUUAAAUUCACUUUCCUCUUUUAUAUACAAAAUAAUCAUCUUAUAGGAUCUUCAUGUAAAGUAGGGCCCUAAGCAACCGCCUAAGUUGUCUAGAGAUCGAACCGCUACUGAUUCUAUUACUAAUUUUGAAAUUUUCAGACAUAUUUAAGCUCCACUAUUUUAUUUUUUUAAUCAAAAUAGUAUGUUUAUUAAUAAUGAUUAUAAAAAAAAGAUAAUGAUUCAAUAAUGUUGUUUAUAUAUAUUGAAUCAACUUUAAAAGUCAACAUUUACUUUACACACUCAUAUAAAUGCUAAAAUAACCCUUUAUUUAUUUAUUUUUUUAAGGCUGUAGAAUGUAUUCAUUACAAAGAUAGAGUAAAUUUAAUUUGUGGUAUUCAAAAUUUGAUGAUUACAAUUUUUGAGUUGAUGGUCUUAUGCUUCAUAUUUGCAUUAAUUUUAUGUUUAAUGGUAGAAUUAUCAAGCUCAAUGACAGUGAUUUCAUGUAAAGCUUUAUUUCCUAAUUACAAUUUUAAGUUAAUGGUCCUAGAUUUCAUAUUAACAUUAGUUUCAUAUAUCUUUUAGGUUCAAUAUUAAUGAUUUCAUGUAAUACUCAAUGAUUUCUAGUUUAAUGAUUACAAUUGUAAGUUGAUGGUCAUAUAUUUCAUGCUUAAUAGUAGAAUUAUAUUAAUGGAUGAAGCUGUUGCUAUCAUUUACAUUAAUAUUUAUUUCCUGGAACUCAUUUAUAGCACAUCUCAAUGUCAUUAUUUAAAAAUUUAAAUUGAUGGUUGGUUUUGUAUUCAUUACAUCGGAUGAUUUAUAUUUAAAUAAAUUAUUUCAAUCUCAUAUCGUUUUAUUAUGGGUGAUUUUAUAUCCACAUUAAAAUUUUUAAAGUUGUUAUCAUAACUUUUUAAAAUCAGAGUUGUGUUUAUUUAUCAAUUUAAAACGUCAAUAAUCUACUAUUGGCUUAACAAUUGAUAUUCUCAUUUGGGAAUCAUCAAGAUUUUAAAAUUUUUCAAAGCCCCCAUGCUCAAUUUAUACGCAAAAAAGAGGGGGGGGGGGGUGGGUGGUAAGAUGCAUGAUCAGAAAUGAAUUUGGCAAGUAUUUGAUUGAGUUGAGAGGUCACUAAUCUCACUUAAUUUGCGAAUCACAAUAUGAUUGUUUUCAAUCGGCACCAAAACGAAGGGCUGGUUUUGGUUAUUAUAGUGCCUUGUUCUAUGAAGGAUUUUGGUUACCCACAUAUGGGAUUGAUCUUUGCUUCUACUCAGUAUAAAUUCUUGAAUUAUACUAUAUAUGGGAUUGAGACUUUCGUUAAAUUUUAAUUUAUAAUAUUUUUCCGGAGAAAAGUAAUUAGCAUGAAACACAACAGCGGUGAAUCAUCUCAUUUUUCAAGAAAUAAUAUUUGUCAGAGCUUUUUUUUUAUAUUAGUUUAUAAUUAACUUUUUUUUUUAUAUUAAUCACGAGGUAUCCUGGGGAGGGCCCCAACUGUGGGAGGCACCUUUAAGCCCGUACCACAACCCAGACUAGAAGUCCCCGCUCGAACCGGGAGGCACAGGUUCUCCCAACAAAGGCGACUUCCCUGCGACUCGAACUGGGGAGCAAACCCAGUCAAGCCACUUAAGGGGACUCCAUUGCCAGUGGAGCCAACACUUUGUUGGUUGUUUAUAAUUAACUUUAAUAUGUAAUAAUAUAGCAUAUUCUGGGAAACCUGUUGGGAUAAUUGUUUUUAAUAUUAUUAUGAUAUUACGCAUGAUUGGCAGUCGCAACUCAUCAUCAUCAUCAUCUGAAACCAUAUUAACAAACAUUUAUUUAACAAUAUUCUUUAUGUAAACAGGAUUACCCUAAACCCAAUUAAUAUCUGCAGGGAUCAGAUGACUGUUAGAACAUAUGUUAAAUUUGUAUAAUAUAUGAUUUAAAAAUUUAAAAAAUAAAUUUUUCUUUUUUGGAGAUAACAGUUGGUAUAUUUAUGAUUAGUAAAACUAAAAGUUUUAUUUUUAUUCUAUGUGCUCCAUCAUGGCAGUAGUUAUUUUUUUUGCGAUUAAACAUACUAUUUUGAUUUAAAUGGAUUACAAAAUGGCACAUUUUUUUAACCCUUAACAGUUGGUAUUUUUUUUUAAUAAGAUUAUUAAUGCAUCAAGUAAUCUUGUUUUGAUGAUUGUAACUCGUGACUGCGGGACAAUUUCUAAUGGAAACAACUCAAUUUCGGAAGAAAACUUAAUUUUGCAAGUGAUGAAUUUGAACUCGUUGGAUUGGUUGAUUUAUGAUCGACUGAAUUUCACUUUUCCUCAUAAGAUCUUUAACCAAAGUUUAAUAGCUAUCAUGUACUCCUUAAAAGCAAUUUUUUUUUAGAUUUGACUGAAUUUGAACUUGUUGGAUUGGUUGCUUUUAGAUUAUUAAUAUGAGAUAUUACAACGUAAAUAUUUUCAUGUGGUUGAGCCCUAUUCUAAAAUCUGUAUAGUUAGCUUUAGAAAGAGGGCUUUUCCUGCUGAUCUGUAAUCUUGAAAUAAACUUAGAUAUAAAUAAUGAAAUAAAAGACAACAAACAAGCAAUACUGAUACAAAGCCAACAGAUCAGAGUUUUUGGUACAAAUCCAAUAAAAGACAAUAAACUUAGGACCUUUUUUUCUUGCUUUCUUUUGUUGAAGGAUUAGAGUUUUUGGUAUUAUCAGUAAAGGUUUCAAGGAGUAAAGCCUAUAAACUUUUUUUUUGGGGGGGGCGCCGCCGCGGGGAUUUUACACCAUACCAUCGUCAAAUUGAUAAGGGCCAUGUUAUUUUUUAUUUAAUUAAUUUAAAUUUCAACUAGAGAGCUAUUGGAAUCGAUCACUGUAAAAGUUAAGUUGUGAGGUAAUCACACAAUCUUGAGAUNNNNNNNNNNNNNNNNNNNNNNNNNNNNNNNNNNNNNNNNNNNNNNNNNNNNNNNNNNNNNNNNNNNNNNNNNNNNNNNNNNNNNNNNNNNNNNNNNNNNGAAAAAUUAAGUUUUCAUAGAAUAAAAUGGUACGAUUUUUAAUUGAACAAUUGAGUGCAAUCAGUAACAAAGGCUUUACAUAUGCAAGUAAAAUUUGUAGGUUGCUUCAGAAAAAAAGGGCAUUUCUCACUCAUCUUUAAUCUGCAAGUAAAAUUAGCUACAAAGCAAAUCUAAUAAAAUGACAAACAAAAGAACAAAACAAAGAAAAGACAGGAGGCAAACAACAUUGAUCUUAAGCCAACUGAUAAUUAAACAGAGAAUUCUUUUUUUUUUUUUUUUUAACCUGUUGCUCAAGGAUUAGAGUUUUUAUAUUAACAGAAAGGUUUAAGGGGUCUGAAUAAAAGCCCACAAUUUCUCUAUUUUAUUUUUAUUUUUAUUUUUUGAAAGGAGCUUCACUAUUGGCCUUGAAUAUAAAAGAAUGAGCAAAAGAUCAAUGUCAACUGCCGAGGAAUGUGAGUAAAGAUUUCAUCAGAGUAAGUAAUACAAAUGAAUUGUAAAAGAACAAGACUUAAGCGUGCACCCCGUGUUUUGUUUUAUUGUACGUAUAAACAUAACAUGUUCAUUUUUAACAAAGUGGUCAAUAACUCUUUUUUUUUGGUACAAAGACGUGCCUAGCAUAGACUAGGGCAAAACAAAACGGGGGUGUGAAACCCCAAUACAAUCAUGACGAAUCCAAAACCCAGCCCCUAAAGGAAGAGAAUUGAAAAGGUGCAAUUCAACAGGUAGUGAAAGAGCAGAGUUUGCAGGAAAGUCAGCUGCAAAAUUUGAUUCUCUGUAAACAUGCUUGACCUGCACUUGCCAGGUUCUGUUAAGCAAUUCCUUAAUACCCCUGACAAGAGAAGCAUGUGCAUUUGGCCUAAUCUCGUCAUCCGCCACCAAACGAGUAACACAAAGGCUGUCAACCUCCACCUGAAGCUGCCGAAUUCCAUUAUCCCAAGCCAUACAUAACCCUUGAUAAAGGCCCCAUAACUCAGCACCAAUGAUGGUAACCACACCAACAUUCAUUCCAAAACCAAUUAUCCACUCUCCAUAACAGUUUCUAAUCAAGCCACCCGUACUAGACAGACCAGAACUUUUACGAGCUCCAUCUGUGUUGAGUUUAAAACAAGGCCAAGUAGGUGCCACCCAUCCAAAAUAUUUCUAAAUCUUCAUGGCAGCAGGAACCAAACAACUCUGAUUAACCUUUUGAAUUUCUUCUGUACGGAUCUUAAUAUCCAUUACAACAGUACUCUUGCUGGUAAAAACACCAUUAUGCAGAUUUUGGUAACGCCAAAACCAAAGCCUCCAAACUGUGACCCCAAAAAGACACGGCCAGUCAAACAUACCAUCAUACUUCCACAAGUUCCUCAAAUUAUAUAACGCCCAAUCUCGGAGAUUCAAACUAAAAAAUUGAUGACUAAUCCCAUGGGGUAUCAAUGACGACCAUACAUGCUUAGCACUGGGGCAAUCCCGCAGCACAUUAAGAGUAUUUUCAACAACACAGCCACACCUUGCACAACUCAUAUCAUCAACAAUAUGUCUCCGGAAAAGUUCUGCUUUAGUUUUAAGUCUAUUUUGACCCACCACCCACAGAAAGGUUUUGAUAUGUUGGGGACCUCUCCACUGCCAAAGAAUGCGCCAAAAGGAUUCUUCAUUGUGAACCUCCAUUUUUGACAAAGCCCUAUAUGCUGAAUUAGUAGUGAAAUCUUCUGACUUAGAAUAUGCCCAGUACAUGUAAUCAUCCUCAUCAUUUACACUGGGAGGCUUGGUGGCUGCAAUUUUGAGAAGUAAAUGAUGGGGAAAUAAAUUCUCAAAAAGCCGCCAAUUCCAAGUACCCUCAACAGUGAUAAACCUCGCCACACACUCCUCAAGCUGCUGUAAACGUAUCGGCUGCAAAGCGAAAGUAUACAAAGGGUAUUCCUCUGUUACCCAAUUAUCCCACCAAAAUCUAACUCGGUUGCCAUUUCCAAUGUCCCAUUUGAUCCCUUUUAAAACCUCAUGCCAAAUGCCUCCCACAGCCUUCCACAUGUAAGAGCCAUAUUUCGUAGGUAAUGUGCCGGGGAGGGCUUUAGGAGCCAGCCCAUACUUAGACAAGAGAACCUUCACCCAUAAACUAUUUGGAGAAGCAAUUAAAACCCACCCAAUCUUCAUGAGCAGAGCAUCAUUCAUUAAAUUAAGCUGCUUAAGACCAAGGCCUCCGCUAGGUUUCAGUUGACAUAUUGUAUCCCAUUUCACCAAACUGAUUUUCUUCUUGUCUGCUGCCCCGCUCCAAAUAAACCUCCUACAAGCCUGAUCAAUUUUCUCCCGAAUACCAAACGGAAUCUUCGUGGUCUGCAUUGCAUAAAUAGGAAUUGCCUGGAUUACCGAUUGAGUGAGAGUGAUCCUACCCGCCAAGGACAAAUGUAUCGCAUUCCACCCCGACAAACGUUGGUUCACUUUGUCCAAAAUUCCCUGAUAAGUCAGCUUAUUAACCCGUGAAUGAAUAAUUGGCAUUCCUCAAUAUUUCCCUAGGUUUUUUGUGACAGAAAAACCCAAGGAAUCACCAAUUUCCUUAGCCUCAGCAGACUUUAUGUUGUGGGAGAAAAAAACUUGUGUCUUUGUUUUACUAACUUUCUCUCUAGAGCUCAUACAACAAACAUUCAACACUUCAUUAUAACCAUUGCUUGCCUACAGGAAGCCUCUGCAAGCAAGAUAAGAUCGUCAGCAAAAAAUAAGUGAGAUAAAGAGGUACCUCCACGAGACAGUUUAAUAGGUUUCCAGUGCCCUCUCUUCACAGCGUCAUUUAUUCCAUGGCUUAACCUUUCUAUACAUAACACAAAGAUAUAUGGGGAAAUGGGGUCUCCCUGUCUAAUACCCCUAGAAGGGGUAAAAAUCUCUGUAAUUUCUCCAUUCCAUAGAAGUUGCAUAGUCGCCGUUGUAAUACAUUCCAUAAUAAGCCGAACCAAAAUAGUAGGCAAUCCAAACUCCCUCAAGGUUUCAUAAAUAAAAUCCCAGCUUAAACGAUCAUACGCCUUUUCCAAAUCCACCUUAAUGGCCAUCUGCCCAAUCCUCCCUUUCUUACGUCUCAUCAAAUGAAUAACUUCCUGAGCAACCACUAUGUUUUCCGUUAUGUGUCUCCCCCGGAUAAAACUAGUCUGGGUAGGUCCAAUGAGGUCAGGCAAGAUAGAUUUCAGCCGGUUAGCUAAUAACUUAGUGAUAGUUUUAUAGAUAACCGGGCAAAGACUAAUCGGACGAAAAAGCUUAAGGCUAAUAGGAUUAUCCGACUUAGGAACCAACACAAUCAGAGUUUUGUUCAACUCCUUAGGGAUCUCGUUGCCAUUAAAAAUACCUUUUAUAAGACUACAGACAGAUUUUCCCACUACAUGCCACUGGGUCUGGUAAAAGAGAGCAUGCAACCCGCCUAUUCCAGGGGCUUUCAAAGCCUUCAUGCCGAAGAUCACAUUCUUAAUUUCCUCAUCCUCCACUGCUUGUCCCAAAGCUUGCAUUCGACUUUCCUCAAGGACUGGGAAGGCGUUAACAACAUGGUAUGGAUGAUAGAUUGCAUCCUCUUUGGAAUAGAGCUUUGAAAAGAAGGACACAGCAUAAUCUCUAAUCUCAUCAUUAUUCAACAACCAAUAACUCUAUUCGUUAUGAAAUUGAUAUUGUACCCAAUUUUAAGAGAGCAUAAUAAUAACCAUUCAAUGCAUAAAUUUAGAAUUAGGAUUUUUUUGUAAUUCUUUAUUUAAAUAUAAGCUUCAAUGGAAAAUUAUAAAAAUUUAGAUAUAAAAUUUUAAAUCACCAGACCAAAAAAAAAAAAAAAAAAAAAUAGGGGAACGGAAAUAGAGGAAUCUUGCUUUACCUUUUUUCCCUUUAACUCUUGUUCUUAUAUAAAUAAUUUUGUUUUGAUGAUUGUAACUCGUGACUGCGGGAAAAUUUCUAAUGGAAACAACUCAAAUUCGGAAGAUAAGCUUAAUUAUGCAAGUGAUGAAUUUGUUCAAUUGACUCUGUACUUGAACUAGUUGGAUUGAUUGAUUGAUGAUUGACUAAAUUUGAAUUAAGUUUAAUUGCUUAGCUAUCAUUUACUCCUUAAACGCAAACGUAAAUAUUUUCUUGUGGUUGAGCCCUAUUCUCAAAUCAGUAGGUUGCCUUUGAAAAAGGGCUUUUCUCACUGAUCUUUUUUUUUUUUCUUUAAUUCACACGCACUUGAUUAUUGAAUUCUUUCAUGAAGAAAUAAACUUGUAAUGACUUAAAGAUUUAAUUUCAAGUUAGAAUCAAUACCAAAAGACGGAGGUUUAACAAAGCCGUUUAGUGUGAUAAAAGUACUUUAAAAAAUGUUGUUCGACCCAAUUAAGUUGAAGAAAUAAUAAAGUUUUCAUGGAAUAAAUACCGGUUGUGCCUUAAUGAUUUUGGCAUAGACGUUGCUUGUGUACUGUGAAAUUGAAAUGAAUAUUAAGUGACUGCGCGAUGUAUAUGCCUAAUAAAAGAUCAGCAAAAGCUUGGAUGAAUGUUUGAGGACCAAAACUUUUAUAAAAGCAUUUUUGAGAGAAACUAAACACCAAAUUAUCAAAGUAAGAUCAACAGUAUAUGAUUUGAUUUAUACAUAUUCAAAAACAAAAUAAUGAUUAAUAAUAAAGUUUGAUUUUGUAUUGCCAACGAUGCUUUUUUGUUGUUUCAUUUGUUCGACGUGGCCUUAUUUACAAAUUGGUUUAUGUUAACAGAAACAUGAAAUUCACAUUACACAAAAUUGCAAGAACAAAUAUUAAGAGAACGUAAUAAUAAUUACUCAAUGCGUAAGGAUAAAUUUAGAAUUACAUAUUCUUUUUUAUUUAAUAAAGUCCCAACGGGAAAUCAUAAAAAUUUAUAUAUAAAAGCUUUCAACCACCAAACAAAAAACAGGGGGAAUGAAAACACAGGAACUUGUUUUAACUUUUUUUCAUCUAACUCUUGUUCUUAUAUAAUAUUUUCCCUAGUAUUUCAGGCAAAAAAAAAAAAAAAAAAAUCAAUAAAGAGCAAGUUGCUCAAAUUGAUUUAUCUUGUUUUUCAGGCAAUCUUGUGAUAUGAUGAUAAAGCUCAUGAAUGCUAGAAAACUUCUAAUGCAAACAACUCUAUUUGGGAUGAUAAGCUUAAUUUUACAAGCGAUAAAUAUAAAUAACUUUUUGUGGUUAAUUGAAUUUGUAAUUACUCUUAGCCCUAUUCUAAAAUUUGUAGGCUGCCUCAAAAAAGAAUAAAAAAAAAUUUCUUACUCAUCUUUAAUCUUCAAGUAAAAAAAAAAUCUAAUAAAAUGAAAAACAAACAAACAAGUAAAAGACAGCAAACAAACAACAUUUAACCAACUGAUAUUUAAACAGGGAAUUCUUUCUUCUUCUUCCCCCCCCCCCCCCCCCCCCCCGGGCUCAUGGAUUAGAGUUUUUGCUAUUAACUGAAAGGUUUCAAGGGUCUGAAUAAAAUCCCAGACUUUUUUUUUUUAAUUAACCAAAGCCAUAUAAUAAGAUCACAGACUUUUAACAAUGAACAAUAAUUUGAAACUCAAGCAAAACCAAUGACAAGAUUAAAACAAACCAGAGAAAUUUUUUCUUGGAAAGUAGAUGAAAACUAAGUAAGAACUGCUAUUAAAGGAUAUUAUUAAAGGAUUUAGAACAUGUAUACCUCUUUAUUUAUAUGGGAUCAGAGAGUCGAUGACCUCCUCUAUUCGCUUCGGAUAUUAAGUAAGAAUUGCUAUCAAAAGAAUGAAUUGAUGAGAGUAAUAACAAUGAAUUGCAAAAGAGGAAGACUUAAUCACGUACCCCUAUUAUACCCGAUUUUUAAGAUUUAAUUUUGAAGUCCAGAAUCAAGACAAAAGACGAAGCCUUAACAAAUAUGCAGUGAGAAUAAUUAAGUUGAAGAAAGCACUAGUUUAUGGCUCAGUGUUAAGUUGAAGUUUAUGAAAUAAUUAACUAGUUUAUUAUGCUCAAGUCAGUUUUUGGGCCUUUGCCAAAAAACUUGUGCCACCACUCAUAUGGCUUAAUAAACAUUGUCUUAAAAACCAAAAGCUUUUUGAGUAAUUUGCAGAAAAAUGAAAUAGAGUGUAAAAGAAAGGAUUUUCCAUGAGAAGAAGAGAGAAAAAGAUGCCUUGCAGACCCCGAAAAAAUAAAUAAAUCCUCCUUUUAAGGUCACGCCCCACUCUCCUCUUUUCCCCUUUGUUCUCCUCCACUUACGGGAGUUAAGGAUGAGAUAAAAGUAAUGCCUCCACUCUCCAUUUUUUUCUCCUUUUUCCGUUACCAAACAUCAGUCCCCCAGUUUCUAGUGUUGAGAGUUUUAACGAAUCAAGACUGGAAACUAUAUGAAUUUUAAAGUGACAUCGAUGUGGUUGGCAUAAAUCGGCUCGGGAUUGCUAAAAUUAACCUUACUAUUAGCAAAAAAUUUCAAGUUUUAAACUUUUACUUGCCUUUAAAUAUACCAUUUUCCUACUCGCAUAAUCAUGUAAAGCAGGUUUCAUAAGUUCACGUAUUUAUCUCACCUGAAGUAAGUUUUGAGACUUAGUCAUUUAUCUGCUUUAGAAUAUUUUUCACUCAUAUAACUCUUGCUCGCCUAAUCUUGGUCGGGCAAGAGCAGGCAAACUUUGACUUCGUCUCACUACGAGGAGGUUUAGAGACUGUAAGCCUUUCACUUGAAGUACCCUUUUUUUUUUUUUUUUACUUUCUGCUUGCCUUCACAUGGUUGAGCAGAUUCUGGCAAGCUUGACUUCUUGUCUCGCCAUCGAGCAAACUUUGAGACUUUGAAGUCUUUUAUGUGCCUUAGAAACUUUCUUGGGAUUUUUGUUCUCUGCUCGCCUUUACAUGGUCGAGUAGAUUCUGGCGAGCUUGGCUUCCUAUCUCGCCAUCAAGGAGGCUUUGAGACUUUGGAGCCUUUGCUUGCCUUAGAAACUUUUUUGGAACUUUUGUGGUUUGCUCGCCUUCGCUUGGUCCAGCAGAUCCUGGCAUACUUGGCUUUCUGUCUCGCCAUAAAUAGGCUUUGAGACUUUGGAGCCUUUGCUUGCCUUAGAAACUUUUUUGGAAUUCUCAUUGUUUGUUCGCCUUCACAUGGUCGAGCAGCUUCUAGAGAGCUUGGCUUCCUGUCUCGCCAUCGAGGAGGCUUUGAGACUUUGGAGCCUUUGCUUGCCUUAGAAACUUUUUUGGAACUUUUGUGGUCUGCUCGCCUUCGCUUGAUCCAGCAGAUCCUGGCAUGCUUGGCUUCCUGUCUUGCUAUAAAAUAAGCUUUGAGACUUUGGAGCCUUUGCUUGCCUUAGAAGCUUUUUUGGAACUUUUGUGGUCUGCUCGCCUUCGCUUGGUCGAGCAGAUCCUGGCUCCUGUCUCACCAUAAAAUAGGCUUUGAGACUUUGGAGCCUUUGCGUGCCUUAGAAGAUUUUUGAAACUUUUUUGGUCUGCUCGCCUUCGCUUGGUCGAGCAGAUCCUGGCAUGCUUGGCUUCCUGUCUCACCAUAAAACAGGCUUGGAGACUUUGGAGCCUUUGCGUGCCUUAGAAGAUUUUUGAAACUUUUUUUGUCUGCUUGCCUUCGCUUGGUCGAGCAGAUCCUGGCAUGUUUGGCUUCUUGUCUCGCCAUAAAACAGGCUUUGAGACUUUAGAGCCUUUGCGUGCCUUCAAUGUGCUCUUAUUUGAGGUUUUUGCUUUAAAUCCUAAAAUAUGGACAACCAUCAAAAAUUUAAUUUCGGACUUGUAACUUAUAACUUGUCCAGAAAAUAGCUCACAUUUACAACUUGCGCUUUAGCUAUUUAUAUAUGUUUGGGCCUUUGAUGGAUAAACAUCCUUGGUGUUUUUAUUACCAUCUAUAAUAUUUGGUUAGCAAUAUUAUUAAAGACCUUUGCUAAAGGUGCGGAGCACCAUUUCCCAACACUAAAGAUAUUAAAAUUUAUAUAUAAAAUAAAUCAUAUUAUAUAAAAUAUGUAAUCAACAAAUAAAUGGUACCAUAAAAGUUUAAGCAAAGUCAUAUCACUGUAUCAAGGAAAUACGAUCUCAUGCUAACCCAAGUUCCAUCAAUCCUUCGGUCAAGCAUGUUGUGUGCUAAUAUAUGACUAUGCUAUAUAUUCUAUAAUAUGUAAUCCUUCGGUCAAGCAUGUUGUGUGCUAAUAUAUGACUAUGCUAUAUAUUCUAUAAUAUGUAAUCUUAACUAUUUUCUAUUAACGACUUAAUAAGUCAAAACCUCAUCCAUCAGAUUUUUGAAGUCAGGUAGUGGAUUUAAAGGAUAAAUAUAAAACUGGGGUUUUAGAACAAGUGCACCUGAGAUUGUGCUCUGCAUUAUUUCAUUAGUACUUCAUCAAACAAAUCCCGAGCUUGACUCUGCUUUGCUCCCUUCUUAGAAUUAUUCUUGCAAUAUUUUAACACGGGCACAAAAUGAAUAAAAUAUGAAGGAAACAAAAAUCCAACUUCAUCAAUUCUUUGAAGCUUGAAGACAUGCCUAUCAAUUCUCAUCAUCAAUAAAAAUUUGUUUUGUUUUAAAACCAUUAUUAAGGUUAGCCAAAAUACCAAUACUCGGCCUCAUCCAGAUUAUGCUAAUUAUACUUCUUCCAACACUCAUUAACGAUUAUGAGAAUUUGUGCAAUGUGGAUGACAGGUACUAUCAAAAGACAGCGAAUAUAUGCAUAAUUUCUAAUGUUCUCUUUGCGAAAAUAUAAUAAAGCUAUGGUUAAGAAUAACUCAUGCUCUCAAUCAGUUUGAUACUUAUAUUAAAUAAACUGAAACAGAACCUGGGUUUAGAUCUUGGCUCCUGGGCAACAUUCUCUCAAGCAUAUAUGUAGUGUAUGUAGUGUAAUCAGCAACAAACUCACUUUUGAACUUUCAUAUCCCUUGAGGCGAUUUAACGAACAGCUCCUGAUUUGAAUUUUAACAAUUCUGCCUCAACUUGUAAUGAACCGAGUUUUAUACCAGAAUUGUCUAUAUACUUUCCCUGCAUAGUCUUCACAUGAAAACUAGCUGCAUGAUUGAUUGAUGGGGUGUAAAACCAGUAGGAAAUAUCUUGAAGAAACCAAAGAUCCGUGGAUUUUUAUGCUUACCACCAAAUGAAUUUAACAAUUUGUGUAAUCUUUAUUUUAAGAAAUUGAACAUUGAUAAUACCGCAAAUCGAUUGCUCUUUUGAACAGACUUUAUAUCUUGAGUUCGAUGAAAAGAGAACAAUCAAUCAAGAAAUAUAAAUACAUCAGCAAAAUAAUGAUGGUAGUAGCAUUACACAUCUAAUUAGCCAUAACGAAGCCGAAUAAUUAGCCAUAAUAAAUCUGAACUGUUAACAUUAUGUCAAGCAUGUUGUUGGAAAAUAUUAAAUUAAUUCAUUUGCAAGUAUAAUAGCAUGUAAUCUUGAAUUAUGAAUGAAGCCCAUUCUAACAAGCUAAUUUUGUAAAGGAACAUUAUCAACGAAUUCCAAGGGAUAAUAUUCAAUUUCAGCAAAUAUAUCAUGCACGGUAUUGAAACAUGCAUGUUAUUAAAGAAUUUCCAAGCAUCUCUCAUUUGAUAAAUCAAUAAUCAUAGCAAUUGGAAAUUGAAUUUUAAUGACAAUAUACUUAAAGCAAUAAAUAAGCCAAAACCUUUACAGGUAAGCAUUCCAUCCAGCCUUGAUUGGCUUCCGUGUUUGAGCCAGCUUAUCAAUUUGUGCAUGAUAAUAUUCUGCCUUUGGCUUGGCCGGAUGAAAAAUUGGUAGAGACAAGAAGUUGGCUUUUUGUACCGAUUCCCCACAGACAGUGCCAAAUGUUGAUGCCCAAAUCUGAUCUAGUCUAUUAGCGACUUAAUAUCAAACUUCUACACCAGCAUUAGAUUUAUUUGGUAGAGAAUCGAUUGGUCAAUCGUCAAGAUGUCCUGCAACCACUAGCGAUUAACUUGCGAAUACUUAAAAUCAUAGAAGACGGUCAGAGGCGCUGAAAGUUUUUCCGACGUGAACCCUCCGACACUCAAGUCAGUUUCUGGGCCUUUGCCAAAAAACUUGUGCCACCACUCAUAUGGCUUAAUAAACAUUGCCUUAAAAACCAAAAGCUUUUUGAGUAAUUUGCAGAAAACUGAAAGAGUAUAAAAGAAAGGAUUUUCCAUGAGUGGAAGAGAGAAAAAGAUGCCCUGCAGACCCCGAAAACAUAAAUAAAUCCUCCUUUUAAGGUCAUGCCCCACUCCCCUCUUUUCCCCUUUGUUCUCCUCCACUUACGGAAGUUAAGGAUGAGAUAAAAGUAAUGCCUCCACUCUCCAUUUUUUUUUCUCCUUUUUCCGUUACCAAACACCUACAAAUCUUAUCCCUACUAAUAUGCUCUAUAAGCCAUUAUUCUUCUAAAAUUAUUAAAUGCCAUUCUUCAUUCAAGCUUUCAUGGACAUUAUUUACAAAUUGUUCUUGUAUUUGACAGAAAAAUGAAAACUCCUCGUCAUACAAAACUGCAUGAACAAAUCUUCUGUUUAAUUAUGAUAAAAUAAUAAAUUCCAUUAACAGAUUCUGCUGUAUGUUAAUGUGAGGGAUUUGAUCAGAUGAUCAUAUAAUUUACUACACGCUUUAAGAAGAACAAAAAUUGAUGACUUAAAAAUUAAAAAAUAAACAUAUAAAGAGUAGAUACAAAGAAUGUUAUUUGCAAUCAACAAACUGAAGAACAGGGGAAUGAUAACAGAGGACGGUUGCUGCAACAUUAUGAAGUCAAAAUUAAGAAAGGCAUUUUUUUCUUUUUUUUUUACAUUAUUCUAUUUAAUCUUAAAUUUUUACAAUCACCAAAUGGAAAAACAGGGGACUGAAAACAAAGAAGCCCUGUUUGCAGAAACAGGGGAGUUUCCGGGUUUCUGGAAACAAACUCAGAAACGAAUGAACUGGCUGCCGGCGGUACUUUCUAGAUAAAUCUCUUGGUGUAUAUAAGCUUUCAUGAUCUGGUUUUAGUCUGGUUAGGUUCAGCCACUGUGACUGUUAGGGAUUCUCGUAAACUGAAUUUAAAGUUGCGGCUUAAAGUGUUUACCAACUUAAAACCAGAGCUAUAAAGUGUUUGAUGAAUUAUUUUUUAAUUUAAAAAAAUAAAAAACUGAUUUAGCGGGAUAAAAUAAUGCUCCAUUCUGUUUAGUAUGUGAAGUCCAGAGUAUUACAAAGAGAUAACUGAAUCUUCAAUGUAAUAAAAUAAUGAUCAGCCUCAGAGGAUACAUAAAAAGCUCAUUUAUCACAACCAUAUCCUAGUGCAUCAUAAACUUGAUUAUUUAAUUUUACUAUUAGGAAACCUACUUAUAUAAGGCGCACACCACAAAUUCUAAAUUAAAUUUCUAACUAAGAAUAAAAGGUAAAGCCUAGCAAUUUUCCACCAGGUGCCGUGUAGCCUGCAUCAUAAAUUUUGAUUUAAAUCUUUGUAAUCACCGAACAGAAAAACCGGGGAAUGAAAACAGAGGAGCCCUAUUUUUCCAUUUUUUUAACCCUUAACUCUUGUUCUUCUAAUUAUAUUUUUGCUUGGAAUUUCAAGCAAACGAAAAAAAAAAAAGUGACAACUAUUUAGAGAGAGCAGGUGGAUGAUAGCAAAAAUAUUUUUAAUUAAUAUGCAUGAUUAACUCUUGUUCUUCUAAUGUAGUGGCUUGAUUAAUAUUUUUAAUCAAGCCACUACAUUAUUGGUAGUCUCUGUGGGCUCAUUUCGUCUCCAGACCUGAUAUUGUAUAUCUCUUUUUGAAUAUGUUUAAUUAAUAUGCAUGCUGCUGAAUAAAGACGAUGAUUUCCAAAUUUUUGUUGCUUUUUUUUUUUCUUUUUCUGCUUUGGUACAUGAAGAAUGUGGAAAUAGAAAUAGCUUUCGAAGUUUAAUGGCUUGCUUCAUUAGUAAAGAAAGACUAGGAUAUCUGUCCCUUUUUGUUACUGAAUUAUUGAUCAAUUGACGGUUGAAGUGUCAAAUGUGUUCUUUCCUUACAAUUGUAUAUGCUAUUAUUAAUAGAAAUUAUUAAAGGAUUUAGAACAAGUUCGCCUUUUUAAUUAUCUGGGAUGAUGAGUUUCUUUAUUCACCUUGAAUAUGUAAUAACAAUUUUAGUGAGCAAAAGAUCACUGGUAACUGCAGAGGAAUGUGUGAGUUAAGAGCUUAUUAGAGUAAGCAAUACAAAUGAAUUUUCAAAUUAUGUACUUGGUCACUGUUGUCCUACUGUCGCACGUAUUUUUUCAUGAAUAAUUGCCAGAUCAGAAAAGAAUAAAUUCGGUUGGCUGAAGUAAGUAAAACAAUCUUCAUAUCGAACAUGAUUCCAAUUAAAUUAAGCUUUUUGUAAGAUGACUAAUAAAAGAUAAAAGUAGAAGCUUUGAUGAAUGAACGAGGACCAAAACUUUUGUAAAAGCGGAUGCCGAUAAAAUAAACAAAAGGCACUUUAAAAAGAAACUAAAGUGCGAUCAUCAAAGUAAGAUCACUAAUGAUGCUUCGCUAUUACAAGGUCCGCAUGGACAUUAUUGAGUUCUGCUAUUUGAACUACGCGAAGACAAAACAAAGACAGAAAAAUUGACACUGUUACUUCAACGGCUGUUUAUUACUUUUUGAAUUUAAAAAAUAAAAUAAUCAAAAGAAAAAGGAAAAGGAAAAGUAACGAAAAAAAAGAAAUAAAAUAAUCAAAAGAAAAAAAAAAGAUUACUUUUUGAGUUAAUCUUUCUCCAUCUCUCAUCUCUGCUAUCUGCGUUCACGCACAAAGAAAAAACUCUUCAUCUCACCAUUUUCAUCUCUUUGCAUCUCACCAGUUCCGCAUCUCAGUUACCAUAAGGAAGAAGUUAGAUCUAGAUCUAUAAACAGAGAUUUUGAUAAAAUUAGUACUGAUUAAUUAGUAAGUUAGUGACUCUCACUAUAUUCAAAUAAAAUUUUUAUUGUGUUCUAUAUAUUUAAAUGAUUAGAAUAUUUAAUUUAAAUUGUAAAAAUUCGUAAAUUUUUAUUUUUUAUAUAUUUAAAUUGUUAUGAAUUGUUAUGAUUUUUUUAAUUUAAAUGGUUGUUAAAUAAUGGAAUAGAUUAUAACAAUUUCUGAAUGUGUUUUAUGAACUUUAAAUUUUUAAAAUUAUGUUAGAUUUGACUUUAAAUCUUUGAAAUUGUAGUGAUGGAAUAAUAUUUUGUGUUAAAUUAAAUUUUUAAUUUUUGAAAUUAUGUUAGAUUUGUUUAAUUUUGUCCGCUUGCAAUUUAUUUGUUCACGCUAUCAUGAAGUGAUAUUAUAUAGGCAUCGAUGGUUUUUUAAUUAUUACAAAAUAUUAUUUUUUAAUUAUUUAACAAAAAUUGAUACAAAAUAUUAAUUUUGUAUGACUGAGAGAUACAUAGGGUUAAACAGGACGAGUAGAGAAAGGAACGAAUGAAAAAUAAGUGGAAUGAACAAAGUAAUUAACGAGAAUGAAUAGAGGGGACAAAGUGGAGAACGAGUAGUUGAGGAUGAGAAUAAGUGGAUCAGAUUUUAAAUAAUAAAGAUAUUUAAAAAAUUUUCAUUUUUUAUUAUAAUAUUUGUUGUUGGUCCCACCAAAAAAUUGGAUGAGAGCAGGCGUGAAAGAGCAUUUUUUUUCAUUUUUAUUCUUUAUUUUAAUAAUUGUUAUCGGUCCCACAAAAAAAGAAAAUUGAAUGAGGAAAGGCGUGAAACGGCAGCCAAUUUCUGUCGUCCCAUCGUCGUGCUUUCGUCUAUUUACCAUUUCUCGACAUUAUUUACAAAUUGUUCUUAUGUUUCACAGAAAAAUGAAACACUGUUCAUCAUACAAAAUUGCAUGACCGAAUCUUCAAUUUUUAUAAUUAUAAAAUAAUGGAUUAUGUGUAUGUUAAUGUUACGGAUAUGAUCAGAUCAUCAUAUAAGUUACUAGACGCAUUAACAAGAACAAGAUCUAAUGAGCUAAAAGUUUUUUUUUUAAAUUAAAUAAAUAAAGAGUAAAAGUAAAAAAAAAUGUUAUUUGCAAUCACUAAAAUGAAAACAGAGGAGCCCUGUUUUUCCUCUCGUUUCUCUUUCUCUCUUUUUCAAGUAGUAGAAAAUGAUAACAGAGUUUGAGAGCUCACUGCUUUCAUUAGUUGGAAAGUGUCGCCUAAAACACUUCCUCUGCUAGGUGGAAUUGUUGGCUUGAAGAGAAGAGUUCUUGUUACAAGCACAAAUUUUAGCUGUACAUUAUUUCCUUUUAAAUGCACCAUUGUUGCACAGAUUUGAACCCUAUGAUCAUUAGUUUUUUGUUUUGAUUUGGUUAGUUCGUGAUGACAAAUAAAUUAUUUUCAUCACAUUAUGGUAAAAAGUUGCCCUCUUUGUUACUUCCACAGCUAUUUAGUUUAAUAUUUUGUAAUAAGAUCACAAAGUGCAUGGGACCUAUUGUUCGGGUACUUAGCCUAAAAUGAAGAUCUAUUAAAAAUUUCCCUGAUGUCAUGAUAUAAAACAAUAAAAGGUACCAACUUCAGCUUAAAUUCAUAUAAAAUUAAACCUUACCACAUACUGUAUUGAAACAAAUUACUCAUCUUUAUUGGUAACAUCAUCACCUUCAUAAAAUAUAUGGUAUCGUACAAAGUUCUUGCGCUGGGUUCGGGCAUCUAACAACGAGGACACAGCAACCUAUUCGCUAGGUUAGAGACCAAAGAGCCAACAGCAAAUGUGCACGACGCAUGUCACUAUCAUGAAAACAACAUUCUUUUUCUUUUUUUUUUCUCCUCAAUAAUUUCAGAUAUAAUAUUUUAACUAAGUUUGUAACACUGUUGAUUGAAAUUAUCAAGUACGAAUGUGUGUAGAUUUUAACAUGUGCACUCAUAAUUAUUAUUGUGCAGUUUUAGACUUAGUUGGGUAUUGAGGUGCUAAAACUUUUGCCGUAAGAAAAAAAAGUUUUAAGUAUAAAAUAAAAUUUAAUAGUAUCUAAUAAAUUUAGUUUUUUAAUAAUAUGUUGAGUACAUAAAAGCCCCAGGUCGGCCAUGCUACUAUUUUCACCCCGGCAUGGAUCACCUUAGCCAAAUGGUAUGAGCAGAACGCAGGAUAAACACGAGCCAACCAGAGACGAGUACCGGCCAGGGUAAUGUACCGACCAGAAUCAUAUACCGAGCCGACACCAAUUCCCCAAAAAAGCGGGAACACGAUCCCACAGAAUCACGGUAGUUGCGCUUUUCCCAGAACCGUUGUGGGAGAUGCGAGAUCCCACGUUUGCCCACAAUGUAGCAGUUAAAAUCCCAUGAGAGGCUACCACUACCCGAGAAAGGGGGGGAUGAAGGGUGAGUGAAAACGUGGGACAGCGGCUAUAAAAGAAGAAGAAACCGAUUAAGAAGGGGAGAGAAAAAUUGAGAGAGGGAAAACGCUGCCAAAUUGCAAUCAUGCCAUUUUCUGACAAGACUCCGAAUAAUUUAGAAACCAUUUUUAGAUCUAAAUUGCACUGUUUUCCCGUAAACACCUUGAGCUAACUUAGGCAUUGGAGGGUUUUCGCCGGCAAAACCACCGGCGACUCUGAUCCGUUUUUGGUGAACGCAGGUCUAGUAAGAGAAAGGAGGGUGAUUCCAACCUCAGAGGUUCGAGCAACAGUCGAUAACGUAAACGUUGGUGAAAGAAUCUGGUCGGUCAAAAGGCGAGCAGAUUUAAGCAUCAACAUUUUGGCGCCGUCUGUGGGGAGCUGGAUAAAAAGCUACCACCGAAUUAGUAGUUACCGGAGAAACAACGAACGAUUAGACAUGGAUUUGCCAAGGAAGGACGCUUUGAGGGAGGAUAACGAAUCGGGGGAGACAAGCACCCUUCGGGAAAUUGCAAAUGAAGCCCGAGAGAGGGUGAUGCAAGAUCGAUUGGAAUAGAUGGAGAAGCAAAUGGAGACUCUCGCUACCAUACUGAAUGAGCUGAGAGAUGAGCGGAGAAGGGAUUGCGAAAUCCCCGUGGGGAGAGAUGAUGUGGGAGCAGAACCCAACCUCCGGAGGCGUAGAGUCGAGGAGAUCCCUCCGCCGGUGGACCAACCUUAUGGGGUGCAUCCCCACAGAAGCACUGGUUGAGUUCCUGGAGAACAAAUAGAUGAAGGGAGGAACUAACCUCGCCCCAGGCGAGCACUGGAAGCUGAUGGCCGAGGAGCCAGUGCUGAUGAAGGAGAGUUAAGACAGCGGUUGCAGAAUGUCGAGCAGGAGCGAGAUCAGAUAGCUGCACGUGAUCCUGACCGUGAUGUAGAAUUGGAGGGAGAGGUGCGCAGAUUAGCGCAAGUGAUAAAGGAGAUACAGGGUAAGAGGAAGCCCCCGAGCUGGAGGAUAAUGCUAGAUGAAGAAUCUCCACUAUCAACUGAGAUCGUGGGUACCAUAAUCCCAAGAGAUUUCCGCUUCCCCGACCUCAAAUACUCCGAGCGAAGUGACCCGCUGGUGCACAUUGAGCGUUUCAACGACAUGAUAGGUGUGCAGGGGCUGACACCAGCUCAGAGGUGCAGGGUGUUCCCGUUGACAUUAGAGGGACGAGCCCGAGAAUGGUACCGCAAGCUGCCCCGAGGAAGUAUAAAGGGGUAUGAGCAGAUGUGCCAGGAGUUGGCCGAGUAGUUCCGAGGGGCAGUGGCCCCAGAGGACGACAUGAUGGAACUGAUGAGGAUGAAACAGGAGGAGCAUGAAUCCCUUCGAGAUUUUGUAAAACGAUAUCACCGAGCCGUGCUAGAUCUGGGGGCUUUUAAUCACCCGCAGGCGUUGAGGGGAUUAAAAGAAGGUGUAAGAAUCGGCCGACUGUGGUAUAACUUAAGAAGCCCCCUUGUACAGAAUUACUCGUCGGGGUAUGAGCAGGCGAGGCGAGAUAUAGAAAUCGAAGAGGAGAAAUCAGCAAGAAUAAAAAGUGAACAGCUGGACGAGCUGAGGCGAAAGGAACGGAGAGCCCCAACAGGGAGCGGGUCGGGAAAACGAGCUGGAGAAUCUUCAGUGAUGGGCGGAAUAUCGGCUCGGUCCCGCCCUUACCCCAUAGCUCCGAGAUCGCAGCAGUUCCAGCACAACCGGGCUCAACCUCCGCGUCCCCCAUUUCCGGAUCGGCAACGAGAAUUCCGGCAGAUGGCUGCCCACCCCUAUCACAACACUCCCAGAGCAUUACAUGCAACCAAUUCCAGGGCUAGUCGACCAGAUCAGUUAGCAACUGGGCCAGCCUGAGGUGACAUUCAUGAUAGCCGAGCAGUUCAGCUGGUAGACCAGAGCUUGGCGUAUAGACAGUACACUCCAUUAAAGAUCUCCAUGGAGGAAUUGUAUGAGAGGAUCGAGGGACGAGGCUUGUUAUACCCUCCAGCCCCUAUAACAAAACCGGCUCACCGACGGGAUAAGAGCAAAUUCUGCAAAUUCCACGACACUCAUGGUCACACUAUCAGCCAAUGUCGUGACCUGAAAAUUCAGGUGGAAGAUUUGGUGAGAAACCGUUAUUUGGACGAAUAUGUAGAUGGAAUGUCCCCCGUCACUGAAUCACAGUACACGCGGGAUGAAGGAGCUGAGAUGGGCCUGGAACGUGAACAGCCGACUAUCCGUAUAAUAGCAGGGGGGCCAACAUUGGCUGGGGAUUCGAACAGGGCACGGGAGAACUAUGGGAGAUAUGCCCUGACUAGCAAAGAAGUGCUUUUCAAUUUUCCGGCAACCAAGAAGGCAAAAGUGCGGCAAGUUCCCAUUAUGUGGACAGAUGACGAUGAAGAGGGUAUCUUAUAUCCGCAUGAGGAUGCAUUGGUGAUCAAGGCAAUGGUGGCUGGUACAGAAUUGCGACGAAUACUAAUAGACACAGGCAGCUCGGUUGACAUCCUGUUUAAGUCGGCUCUAGAUGAUAUGGGGAUUGCAGACUUGAAAUUGGAGCGGACAAAUACAUCCUUAAAGGGAUUUGGAGGGGGAUGGUUAACUCCCAUGGGGAUCACCGAACUCCCAAUUACUAUGGGGACAAAGCCAUUUGAAAGAACAAUGAUGCUGGAUUUUGUCGUGGUAGAGAAAAGAAGCCCUUACCAGAUGAUACUGGAGAGACCGUUCAUGAGGAUAAGCCAAUGUGUUGUAUCCACGCAUUACUUGGCACUGAAAUACAGAGUAAAUGGGGUGGUUGGCGUAGUAAAAAGCGACCAGAGGAUGGCAAGGAGUUGUUAUGCUACAGCAGCCAAGGAGACACUGCAGGUUACUUCUCUAGAUAAUCGAGGAAAGUCUAAAAAGGGCCGCCAAGAGCCUGUUGAGAAGCUGGAGGAAGUUGCGGUAAGCAAAAGCAACCCGAGCAGAGUAGUGAAGAUCGGGUCAGGAUUGGUUGGGGCAGUAAAAGGCGAGCUGAUAAAUUACCUACAGUCUCAUGCGGAUAUAUUCGCCUGGUCUCAUGAAGAUAUGCCCGGAAUUGAUCGCGGGGUAGCUUGCCACAAGUUGGCAAUCAAGAAGGGGGUAAGGCCGGUGAGACAGAAGAGGAGAUGCUUCAACCAGGAAAGGUACGAGGCCAUAAACGCCGAGGUGGAGAAGCUGUUGAAAGCAGGAUUUAUAAGGGAAGCCAAGUACCCAGAAUGGAUUUCAAAUGUCGUCCUGGUAAAAAAGGCCAACGGGAAGUGGAGAAUGUGUGUGGACUUCACGGACCUCAAUAAGGCAUGCCCAAAGGACAACUUUCCCCUACCCAAAAUAGAUCAGCUGGUGGACUCAACAGCAGGUCACAGUCUGCUCAGUUUCAUUGAUGCCUUUUUCUGGAUACAACCAGAUACCCAUGGACGAGCAGGAUGAGGAGAGCACUGCCUUUAUAACUAACAUGGGUUUGUUUUGCUACAGGGUAAUGCCUUUCGGCCUAAAAAAUGCAGGAGCCACCUAUCAAAGGUUGGUAAACAAGAUCUUCAAACCGUUGAUUGGACACACUAUGGAGGUAUAUGUGGAUGAUAUGAUUACGAAGUCCAAAGAGCCGAGGGAUCAUGUGAAGCAUCUAGAAGAGACCUUUGAAUUGCUGAGGAAGUAUGAGAUGAAACUAAACCCGGAGAAAUGCGCAUUUGGGGUAAGCUCGGGCAAAUUUCUGGGAUUCCUGGUAAGCCACCAAGGGAUUAAGGCCAACCCCGAAAAAAUACGAGCGGUUACAGAUAUGAGAUCUCCGCGGACAGUUAAAGAGGUGCAGAGCCUUACAGAGAAGUUGGCAGCAUUGAACCGAUUCAUCUCGCGGGCCACAGAUAAAUGCCACCCUUUCUUCCAAAUCAUAAAGAAAGGGAGAAAGAUGGAAUGGACAUUAGAGUGCGAGGAAGCAUUUGGGCAACUGAAGGAAUAUCUGGCCCGUGCACCGUUACUGUCAACUCCGAGAGAGGGUGACCAGCUGUUUUUGUACUUGGCAAUCUCCAAGCAAGCUACCAGCUCAGUCUUAGUCAGGGAAGAAGAAGGGAAGCAACACCCGGUAUACUACACGAGCAAGGCCCUGGUGGACGCAGAAACCAGAUAUCCACUAAUGGAGAAGUGGGCGCUGGCUCUGAUAACGGCAGCACGCAAACUCCGACCAUAUUUCCAAGCCCACCAGAUCGUUGUGAUGACUGACCAGCCCCUUCGGCAAGUGCUUCAAAAACCAGAUGCGUCUGGUCGGUUAGUAAAAUGGUCAGUGGAGCUGAGCGAAUUUGACCUGACCUACAGGCCCCGAGGAGCAAUCAAGGCCCAAGCCCUGGUAGAAUUUAUGGUAGACCGAGCUGAGCCAGGGGAAGGAGAUCGGGAGUAGCAACCGUUAGAGCAGGAGAAAACAGAGGGGAUGUGGUUGGUAAUGGUUGACGGAUCAUGUAGUGAGCAAGGAUCCGGAGCAGGAGUUGUAAUACGGAGCCUAGAAGGAUCCGAAAUAACGUAUGCAGUAAAGUUUGAAUUUCAGCUCGCAAACAACCAAGCUGAAUAUGAAGCCUUUAUCACCGGGCUCGGACUCGCACAUGCCUUAAAAGCAAAAAGGGUAAAAAUUCGAGCAGAUUCCCAAUUGGUAUGUAAUCAGCUCAAUGAUCAGUUCCAAGCAAGGGGAGAGAAGAUGGGCCUUUAUUUGAAGAAGGCGAAGUAGAUGGUCGGGCUUUUCCAAGAGGUGGAGGUGAAGCAGAUAUCUCGGAAUGAGAAUUACCGAGCAGAUAUUUUGGCUAGGAUGGCUGCAGUUGCAGAUCCGAAAUUACCUAAGUCGGUUCCACUAGAGGUAAGGACCUCGCCAAGUAUAGGAGAGGAGGUAGAGGUGAUGAGAGUAUGCAUUGGAGAAUCAUGGAUGGACCCGAUUCGCGCAUAUAUCCGGGAUGGAAUCUUACCAGAGGACAAACAGCAAGCCAGGAGAUUAAAAUGCCGAGCAGCGAGGUACACUCUACUAGAUGGAGUGCUGUAUCGCCGAGGGUUCACCUUACCCCUUUUGAGAUGUGUGGAUGAUGAGGAGGCAGAUUAUGUACUGAGGGAGAUUCAUGAAGGAAUAUACGGCAAUCACUCGGGAGCAAGAACUUUAGCCUUCAAGGCACUCCGGCAAGGAUACUUUUGGCCAACUAUGCACCAGGAUGCGAAAAGGAUGGCAAAGAACUGUAAAACCUGCCAAAGCUUCUCUAAGGUUCCUGCACAACCCCCAGAGAAGCUGACCACUAUGACAUCCCCGUGGCCUUUCGCUCAAUGGGGAAUCGACUUGAUUGGUCCGUUACCUAAGGGCCGAGGAGCGGCGACACAUGCAAUUGUGGCAAUAGACUACUUCACCAAGUGGGUAGAAGCGGGAGUCCUCAGCCAAAUCACCGAGAGGAAGACAACAGAUUUUAUUUGGAGAAAUAUCAUUUGCAGAUACGGGAUCCCCUAUGCCAUCAUUACAGAUAAUGGGAGACAAUUUGACAACAGCAACUUCAGGGAAUUUUGCCGAAAUUUGGGGGUGGACCUGAAGUUCUGCACCCUCGCACACCCCCAGGCAAACGGACAAGUGGAAGCAGCCAACAAAGUAAUAAAAAAGCUUUUGAAAACUAGAUUGGGAGAGAAGAAGGGAGCCUGGGUUGACGAACUACCAGGAGUAUUAUGGGCCUACCGGACAACUCACAAAACCGCCACAGGGGAAACCCCGUUCGCUUUAGCCUUUGGUCAUGAGGCGGUAAUCCCAGCAGAAAUCGGAGUAGGAACACAUCGAACAGAAUAUUUCGCUGAGGAGAAAAACGACGAGCAGAUCUGCUUAAACCUGGACCUGCUGGAGGAGAAAAGGGAAGGGGCCUCGCAGAGAGUGGCCCAGUGUCAGCAACGGGUCAUGCGCUAUUACAACAAGAACGUACGCGUGAGGCAGUUCCGAGCAGGAGAUUGGGUACUUAGGAAGGUGAACCAAAACACCAGGAAUCCUAACCAUGGCGCUCUUGGCCCAAAGUGGGAAGGCCCGUAUAGGGUGGUACGAGCCACUGGACCAGGAGCUUAUAAGUUAGCGUACCUAGAUGGACGAGACGUGAGGAGGUCAUGGAACGCCGAGCACUUGAAGAAGUAUUUCCAGUAAGCAAAGUGCUCUACCAAAUCUUCAUUUUGACAAAUUGUUUGUGUUAACUGCAUGAUGGCUUGAUGCAUAUGUAUGUAUUCAGUAUUUUUGUAACACAUUCAUGUUUCAAAUAAAGAUGAAUUCAGCAUGAAAUCCCCCUACUAGCAAAGCCAAAUAAAAAUUCUACGAAGGCAAGCAAAUGCCUACUUCUGCUUGGUCAACGAAAGACCAGCAGCUAAUUUUACGAGAAAUUCACUAAGGAAAGUGAGUGCCUGUUUCUGCUCGGUCAACGAAAGACCAGCAGCUAAUUCCGCAAAAAUUCUAUUAAGGCAAAUAAGUGCCUAUUUCUGCUCGGACAACGAUAGACCAGCAGCUAAUCUACGAAAAUUCUACUAAGGCAAGUAAAUGUCUGAUUCUGCUCGAUCAAUGAAAGACCAGCAGCUAAUCUACGAAAAUUCUACUAAGGCAAGUAAAUGCCUGAUUCUGCUCGGUCAAUGAAAGACCAGCGGCUAAUCUACGAAAAUUCUACUAAGGCAAGAAAAUGCCUGCCUCUGCUCGGUCAACGAAAGACCAGCAGCUAAUCUACUAAGGCAAGUAAAUGCCUGCCUCUGCUCGGUCAAACGAAAGACCAGCAGCUAAUCUACUAAGGCAAGAAAGUGCCUGCCUCUGCUCGGUCAGCGAAAGACCAGCAGCUAAUCUACGAAGGCAAGUGAGUGCCUGCUUCUGCUCGGUCAACAAAAGACCAGCAACUAAUCCUACGAAAAUCCUACUAAGGCAUGAAAGUGUCUACUUCUGCUCGGUCAACGAAGGACCAGCAGCUAAAUUUAUGAGACUUUUACUAAGGCAAAUAUGUGUCUGCUCCUGCUCAGUCACCGAAGACCAGCAGGCGAUUUUGCGAAAAUUUUUACCAAGGCAAACGGAUGCCUAUUCCUGUUCGAUGCACUAAAGAACCAACAGGCGAAACCAGACAAAAAAGCCAAUAGAGAGCAUUUAAAAAAUUUUAUAAACGUUCAAAUGUUUACAAAGCAAAUGAAAAACUAGAGUCUUUACAAAAAUAGACCUAAGGAUUAGGAGGAUCAACGGCCUCAGCAGGUGAAGGGUCAGCUAUCUCGGGAGGUGGAAGGUCAGCAAUAUCGGGAGGAGGAGGCACGGACCCCUGCCCCACUUCAAAAACACGCUGCCCAGCUUCUCCCUCCUGCACCCCAUUCAAAGGAACCUCCACCUGCUCCUGCUCAUCCUGCUCCUUAUCUCCUUGGCCGGCCCCAGCCAUAUACCUCUCCACCCCAGAUUCCAGCUUGCUCAUGUCGAGCUCGGGGUAUUCUUCCUUGAGUACAGACAUGAUGCACUUAUAGCUGAAAGCAACCCCGGAGUUAUACUCAGCAUCCAACCGAUCAUCCACAUCAGCGGAUUUGCCUUUCUCUUCAGCCAGCUGGUCACUCAGGGAUUUGAUCUCUCCCUCAAGGGCGGUCCUCAGAGUAUCUCUUUCACUUUGAGUAGCCUGAAGAUCGGACUUCAGAUCACCCAGCUCACCCUCAAGCUUGGAGGAAGUAGACUCAGCAACCGCAACUUUCUCCUCAAGCUCCGUAAGCUGCUUGUUCAGCUCGGCCAGCUUCUCUUUGGACCGAUCAGCAGAUUCGGCUUUCUUUUUCAACUCCUGGUUAUCAGCUUGAAGCUUCCUCUCAUGACGCGCGGACCCGGUCUUGUAGCACGAGACCAUUGUGGCCAGCCUGAAAGAGACUCUUUGAACAGAAGCAGCUAACUCGGAGAGGUCCAUGCUCUCGAUGUCCUUCACCAUCUUGGGCCCAACCGAUUUUUUGUAAUCUUUCUGGUAUAGGCUCAGGUAGUCACCUUGAUCCCGAGAUGGAAGAGGAGCAGAUCGGUCCCCAGACUGCAAGCUGACCUCAGGACUCUUGUCGGAGGUUUUCUCCCCACCACUCUUACAGGGUGGGGGAGGGGGCAGAGCAGGGACAGGAGCCUUGGAGGGGCCGACACUAUUCUUCUUUGGAGGAGGAGGAAGGUUGCUGGAGCUGCUUGGAGCCCGACCACGCUUCCUGCUCAUUGCGCUGAGGAUCUUGUUAUCCAUUCCAGCGGCUAUGUCCACUAGGCCCGAACCGACCAGGUUUGUUGGUGACAGGAGGUCUUGGCAGGUAGACGCGUUCACCAGAGCAGUUUCCACCUGAAGCAAAGGCCGAUCUUCAAGCCCCUUUAUCAAACCCCACGACUCUGAAAGAACAAACAAGGUUAAAGAACCCAAUAAGUAACAAGUCGAGAAAGAGUAUAGGCAAAAAAUAAACGACCUGGGGUGACAAAAUGUGUUGGAAGGUAAAUAUCACCACCCAACGAAUGAGCUGCUGGACACUAAGCUCCUCCAGCAAAGAAGAAUUUGUUCUUCCAAUUUUUGCACGAGGAGGGGAAGCCGGUGAUUGGUUUCCUCUUCGCAGAGCUUGACAUGAAGUAAUACCAGCUUGCUUCCUUCGGGCUACUCCUCAGCUGGUAUAGAUGCUUCACUUCAACGAGGGAGGGCUCCUCUGAUCCACACCUCUUCCACAACACAUAUAUAGCCGAGAGAACCCUCCACCCAUUGGGAUAUAGCUGACCUAGGGCCAGAUGCAUACCACCCAAUAUCUUAGCGAAAUAACGUUAAAGGGGCAGCCGAGCUCCUAAUUUGAAGCUCUCCAGGUGCAUCGUCACAUACCCCCGCGGAGGCCGACUAGGGACGUCACCUUUUCCUGGAACUACCAGGAGAAUCUCCGCAGGAAUGUCGUAAAGGUUCCUCAGCUUGAACAGAUCAGUUUGGGUGGUGACACAAGCUGUGUAGUCAAUAGGGUAAAAAUCCGCCUCUACCCUAUGACCAAGGUGCCUUCUCUGAGGAGGUCCGCUCGGUCCAGAGCUGCUCCCCUCACCAUCACCAACUCCUUCAAGGAUCCCAACCCCAUCAAAGCUGUGCUUCUCACCAGAGCCCGACGCAGGUCCACCUCUAUUCCCUACAAGCUCUAGUUCGGGGGAGGGAGAGACAACCAAAGGGCGUGGGUACUCAAGGGUAUCCCUGCCAUGGGAAGGACCUACACUACUGGAGGGACCUAAGAAAUCGGUGGGUAUUGGCACGUUGAGGCCCGAAUCCCCUGAUUCUUCCUCGCCCUCAUCAACAAUUAACUUUCUUUUCCGGUUUGACAUAUCGGAAUCCCAAAAGAAAGCAAAGAAAACUCGAAUGUACGGAUACAAAAGGGGGCAACACGGAACCCAAUCAACAACAACAAGAGAAGAGAUUAAAAGCAGUACCUGAGAUUAACUGGCCCUGAUAGCGCUGCCGUGACAGAGAAAAAACCAGCAAGUAGAAACUCCGGACGCAGGAAGUGUGAGUAAAGUUCAGAGAGGGGGCUGGUUAACGGUGGAGAAACGGAUAAACAAAGCAAUGAGGAUUUCAACCUAGGGAUUUGAAGUGAAAAGGGGAAAGAUAGAAGCAUUUAAGUGAUGAGGAUGCCAGCUCACUCACCACAUAUCGAGGGUGGAUAGCCCGUCGUUUCAAAUUUCAAAUACGAAGAGUCUGGUGAUGCCACGUCACUAACCGUUACAAGAGGCCAGGAUAGAUGUAAGCCCAGAUAUGCAAUGGACAUGUUCACUUAGGCCCAUGCUCAGGUCGGAGUCUCCCCAGAAGAAAAAUGGUACAUCAGGUCAGGCCCAUCCCAAUAAACAGAGGACCAGAUGAGAAGCUCCCCGGGUUGGUGAGAUUUGACCAUCAGUUUCUACUCUUAACUCAUUUCACUCGCCAGACCAGAAACUGGGGGACUGGUGUUGAGUACAUAAAAGCCCCAGGUCGGCCAUGCUACUAUUUCCACCCCGGCAUGGAUCACCUCAGCCAAAUGGUAUAAGCAGAACGCGGGAUAAACACGAGCCAACCAGAGACGAGUACCGGCCAGGGUAAUGUACCGACCAGAAUCAUAUACCGAGCCGACACCAAUUCCCCAAAAAAGCGGGAACAUGAUCCCACAGAAUCACUGUAGUUGCGCUUUUCCCAGAACCGUUGUGGGAGAUGCGAGAUCCCACGUUUGCCCACAAUGUAGCAGUUAAAAUCCCAUGAGAGGCUACCACUACCCGAGAAAGGGGGGGAUGAAGGGUGAGUGAAAACGUGGGACAGCGGCUAUAAAAGAAGAAGAAACCGAUUAAGAAGGGGAGAGAAAAAUUGAGAGAGGGAAAACGCUGCCAAAUUGCAAUCAGGCCAUUUUCUGACAAGACUCCGAAUAAUUUAGAAACCAUUUUUAGAUCUAAAUUGCACUGUUUUCCCGUAAACACCUUGAGCUAACUUAGGCAUCGGAGGGUUUUCGCCGGAAAAACCACCGUCGACUCUGAUCCGUUUUUGGUGAACGCAGGUUUAGUAAGAGAAAGGAGGGUGAUUCCAACCUCAGAGGUUCGAGCAACAGUCGAUAACGUAAACGUUGGUGAAAGAAUCUGGUCGGUCAAAAGGCGAGCAGAUUUAAGCAUCAACAUAAUAAUUUUGAUAAAAUUAGAAAAGAUAUAAUAAUUUUUUUAUUAUAUAAGUGUAAAAUCAAAUCAUCUUAACUUCUAAACUACAACAACUAUAACAUUUGAACUAUUCAAUCUCAAUUCCUAAUAGACUCUUAAUUUAUAAUUAGAUUGUCACUAAAAGAUUUUAAGUAUGUAUUUUAGAAUUUAACGAAUACACUUUUAAACUACCUUUGCCGGAUGAAAUGUUGGGAAAUUUUUAUUAAGAUCCAAAAGUAUUUGAAAUAAAUUUAUGUUUUUAUGAUGCCAAAAAAAAUAAAAAAUUAUGAACAUUUUUGUGAAGCUUAGGCGAAAAUUUUUGUUAGGCUCUAUUGGGCUAGAUGAGCAGCUCGGGCAGUUAAUUGUCGCCCAAGAAGCCCAACCCAGAUUACAACAAGCUGGGAUUUAGUUAGCUCGUUGACGGCCAUUUGGGUAUGCAUGAAUUGGGUGGAUGAUUAAUAAAUACGUUUUAUUAAUUAUUUCGCCGAUUGGGAUAUUCUCCUAAUUUAAUCUUUUCUAAUAUUAUAAUAAAGAGAUUUUGACAUGUGUAAUACAUGUGUUAUUUUAAUAAUCCAAUAGAUAAUAUCUACUUUAUUUUUAUCUUUCGUUAUUAAAUACAAAAACACUAAUAAAAAAAAAAUGACUUAACUCUUUUUAUAUUUUUAAUUUUUAUUUAUUUCCUUUUAUUGCUUUCCUAGCAAUGUUCAUCUUUUUACUAUACAACAUCCAUAACCUUAACUUUGGAAAUAAAAGAGAAUAUGUGAAAGUAUAAGUAGGAGAAAGACUUCAUUGAAAUCAAACAAAUUGGGCAACGUUAGAUUUUUCUUUAAAAUUCUCAUGAGAUAUUAAUUAGUAGUAUUAUCACUGCUGCCUGCCUAUUUCUAACCUCAACCAAUAUAUGAUCAAUGCUUGAUUUGGUCAAUCUAAAUAAUUAUGAUCGAUGAUUGGAUAUUGUUGAAGGGCGGCCCUAAGGAUGAGAGAGGGGAAUGCGUGUGCAAGCCACAUGUGUGAAGAAAAAGAAAAAGGCAAGAGUGAAGAUGACGACGAUUAAAAUCUUGUUUGAUUUCUUUUUCUGAUAAUUUUGUUAAUCUGCUGUUGUUAGUUCCAAAAUUUUAGUUAGCAACAAAAUGACAUGUUUUUGUGUUUAAUAAGGAAAAAGUAAAUAAUAUAUUUUCUAUAGGAUUCUUAGAAUGGAUUAGAUUAGACUACGGAGAGAAAUAUAUUUGAGAAUAUUAGUGUUGAGUUAUUCUAAUGUCUUUAAUAGUAAAUUCAAUUAAGACUAUUUUAGUAAUAUAUUUUUUUUAUUGAAAUUAGAGUGUUCAAAGUUAUAAAUAAAAAAUUCAAUAAUUUUUUAUUGAAUUUAUAUAACUCUGGAUUCUUUUUUUUUUUUUCCAACACUGAUAUGGUUCUGUUCUGUGUAUUUAUAUACAAUUUAAUGUUUACAUACAAAUUAAAUAAGAUCAAUUUAAUGUUUAUAUACAAUCCUUCAAGUCGUAACUCAAUUUUAUGGAGGUUUAUACAUCUGCACGCAUUCCUUGAAUUUCUCCUAGAUUGGAACUUCUUAAUUGAUCCAAUGCAUUUUUCCAACAGUCAAGAUCCUUAGUUGUCAGAGCAUUUGCAAUCGUACUCAGUGCACCAGGCAAACCUCCGCAUCUUUCAACGAUCGAGGAGUAUUUUUGUUGAAUCACCGACUAUAUUCUCAAAUAACUGCAAUGCUUCUUUUUUUGAUAACGCAUCGAUCGAGGAAUUUUUCUGAGAUUUCAUAUCAUUGCACAAUAAUAAAUCUCGACUUCUAGACGUCAAUAUUAUUUUGCAUUGUCUCUGAUCGUCAACAUCCCCGGAAGUUAAUGAACGGAAUUCUUUUAUCCUUUCUAUCUUUCUCAUCAACAUCCCCGGAAGUAACCACAUCGAACAACUUAUCUUCCCUCACUUGCUUUGCAACAUCUUGGAAUACUUUCAUUCUGGAAUCAAAGGCUACGUAAUCUUUCACUUGCACGUACUCUGUACUCUCUGGAGCAGGACGGUAGGAAACAUGAUUACAGAUGUUAAAUUCGCCUUUUUUCACAAGUUUAUCAGCUUCGUUUGCGGCCUCUGCUGCUUGUUUACCAAGCUUGUAACGAGAAAUCAAAUUUGGGCACAACCCUUUGAAGCAGAACAUCUUAGCUCUAUCUUUAUCAUCAAUCAUGGAUUUUGCAACCCCUUCACUGAAUUCAGCAACUCUAUUUAGCCAGUCUCAGACACCCUUAUAAAUCUCAUCUCCUUGUAGAGUAGCCUCUCUAACCAGCGUUUUCACCCUUUCUCUUAUAUAUUCCAGCUCCUUCACUCAAUCUUUUAGCCCAUCUAUGUAGCUUUGGUAUUCGAACACAUAAGAUAUGUGCCGCAUAAUCGGUUCGAAUAAUGCUUUUGAACCUUGUGAUACAAUGCUGGAAAAAGCAGGGAGACACCCUUCAACAGCCAUUGCCUGUUGCUUAACAAUAUAUAUAUAUAAAUACAAGUGUCAAAGAAAGGAAUGCAAAUAAAUUAAAAUGAACUAGAGGGAAAGAUAGAGAAUGAAAAGAUCACAAACAAUAUGGCUAUAUUGAUCUUGAACCAACUAAUAACUAAAUAGAGAAUUUCUUUUUCUUUCUUAAGGAUAAGAGGUUUUACUAUUAACAAAAAGUUAUUUUGAGGGUCUGAAUAAAAAACCAACCAUAAAUUAUCAAAAGCUAGUAAAAACACAGACAUAAAUAAUGAACAAUUACUUAAGCAAAACAAACUAUGAAACAAAGAAAAUCUAAUAAAAUGACAAAGAAAGAAAGAAAGAAAAUACAACAAAAAGUAUUGAAGUAUUGAUCAUGAGCCAACUGAUAUUUAAACAGAUUUUUUUUUUAAUUUUUAGUCUUUUGCUAAAGGAUUAGAGUUUUUGCUAUUAACAGAAAUGUUUCAAAAAUCUAACACUACUAGAAAAGUAUUAAAUAAUGACAGAAAUUUGAUGACAUAUAUCGUUGUGUCACGAAUGUGUCAUAAAAAUAUGAUAGAUUCAUAAUAUAUAUUCAUAUGUCCAGAAUAUAUGACAUAUUCAUGACUUAUAAUUUAACCGUCCUAGAUAAAUGAUACAUAUAAGUCAUGCUUAGGUUUUGUGAACUUAUAAGAUUGUAAAACAGUGUUGUUUAAAUUAACGACACCGUUCUGUAUAACUUAAAACACAUCAACACUUACAGCCAAAUUUUGGCUAAGCGUUGAAUGAAUCCCUCUCUCUCCACUGGCCACUGCAACCUAAAAUGAAUGUUUAAAUUAACGACACCGUUGAAUUAAAGCCUAGCUCAAAUUCCUUUUUUCAAUCGAAAUAAAACGUAGCCACAAAACCCUAAUUCACCACACCAAAUUAUCUCUGCUCGGUAUUCAUUUAAACCCUACCUCGCGGUUCAAUGUCAUUCAAUACGAUUGCAGAUGCCGUUUCAACUUGUCAUUUAGUUAGCGCCAUCCAGUUCCCUAUGGUAAGCCUUAACCCUAACGCUAGUAAGAUUUGCUAAAAAUUUCAUAUUUUGUAUUGUUCCAGUUGAAUUUCAUGUUAAUUUAAUUCUUCUUUGCCUUCUUUUUUCUUCUUCUUUAUAGUCACGCUCUGGCUUUGGUGCUAUGCUUAGUGCAGUUUGUGGUUUCAAGAUUAAGUCAUGUUUAUUUGAUGGCAUCGAUUCCAUCGUUGAGGAUUGGAUUGUUGAUCAAAUGCACCUAGUAAGCUCUUCUUAUUUUAUCUCAGUUUCAAUUUUCUUUUAUUAUCUGCCUCUACCUAAAAAUGGACGUGUUUUACUAGUAAGCAUAGACUUUGUUUAUUUAAUUGAUAUUUUAAUUUUAUGUAUAAGAAUGGAGGUUUAUUUUGAAAAAAAAAAAAGGAAAUUAAAAAAUAGAUUCUGUUGAAGCUAAUUAGUACUGAAUUUUUUUGGUGGUGCGACCAGAGGUGGAAACAGGGUAUGAAAAUGUGUUACUGGUGAGGUUGCUGCUUAAGAUGAGAAUGCAUUCUUUUCAAAAAUCCUUGGUAGGUGUUAUCUAAUUAUCUUUGAUGGAAUAUCAAAUGGCUAAAAAUCUGUCAUACGUUCAAACUUUGUUUGUGUUUAGAAGAAUGGUGUUGACUGUAUAUUCGUUUGGAAGAAUGGUGUUGAUUGUAUAUUCAUUUGCUUAGCCUUUUGACAGAUGGAUUGUAUAAUUGUGUUUGCCUCACUGUUUUUUUUUUAUGAGAUCUAUAAUUGAUCUGGGGAUAUUACUUUCUAGUUCUCAUGCAAGCAAGUUACUACCUUCCCACUGCAUCUCGUCCUUUAUCUGCUAUUCAAGAGAUGCGUGCCAUAAUCUGGUGUUACCUCUGCAAGAUUGUGAAUGAAUAUAAUGCCUCUAAAUUUAUUUUAUACAUAAUGCUGAUGCUGAAUAAUAUAUUGUAGCUCCUGUCAUAUUCUACUUUGACUUUUUAUAUUCUGUUUCAUAUAAAAAUCUUAUUCAACUUUAGUUGUUCAUGAGCAAAUGUCGCAUGUAUAAGCCCAAAUGAUGUUUAAAGGUAGCGCGGCUACCUUUAGUUUGAGCUUACAAUGGAUGAAAAAGAAAUUGAAACUGUUUUUCUGAUUUUUCAAAGUAUUUUAGAUCCUGACUUUUGUUUGGACUUGAUGGUUAUAGAUUGUGUCUAGAUUUGUUAAGUUGUUUCCAACACCUCGUGCCAAAUGAAAGCACAAUCUUUCUGAUUCAGAUGUUUGGUUAAUUAUGCUUCAUUUUUUUGUUAAAGAUUGGAUGGUUGCAUGGAUUGAUGGAGUUGGAGUUCAACCAAUAAUUCUAAUUUUUUGGACUUAAAAUGCCUUUUUCUUCUGUAUAAAAACUUUAGUAAGUGCUAUUGAGUUGACAGAAGUUGAAUACUUACAGGUUGUUUCACACUUUUUAAUAGUUUUACAUAUAUGAAUUUCUGUUUUUUGAAUUGCAGAAAGGAGGUGGAACUAUUGAUUUGGAGCCUUAUCUUACUCACUCAUCGACAACGGAGCCUACCCUCGCUCCCAUGGCAGUGGAACGGACAACGACUACUAGGGCUGCAACAUCAGUUGGUUUGGGUCUGUUUUGAGUUUAUUUUCAUUUAUUUGGCUAUGUUUUGAUAGCGAAUUUUGAUAUGUCAAUAUAAUGUGUAAUUGUUUUGGGUUGAGCUGGUAUUUAUGCUGGAUUAGAUUGGUUUGGUUUUGGUGCUUCUCUGAUGGAACACUGCUUCUUUUAGAAAUUUUGAAUGUAAUAUGAGACUACAUUUAGUUUAAUUGAACACUGCAUCUAGUCUAAUUACUAGAAGUGUGGCAUUUGGUUUGGUUUAUCCGAUAUUCUCCAGAAUUUCACUUGCAUCUGGUUUUGUUGCAUAUGUUUGCUUGCAUUUGAUGGCAGUAGCAGACUGUUUGGUUUUGUGACAUUUGACGGCAGUUUGGUCUGUUCUUGGUGUUGAUUUAAGAUUGUUCCUGUUGUGCUGAUGUUAAUUGCAGGUGCUGGAAUCAGCUAGGGUUGCUGGUUUAUUCAGAUAGUUGACUCAGGCGUUGUUACUGGUUAAUUCAGGUGGCUGACUCAAGUUGUUCAUUUAAUGUUAGGAAGCAAAUUAAGAAUUAAUGAAGUAUUCAUUUAACUAUAAUUAUUGUAGUUAUUUUAUUUCAUAACUGAAUUAUAAUCUAUGGUACUUGUGAACAAAUUAGAGAAUUUUUAUAUAUGAAUUAUAUAUAUGUGUGUGUAUGUACAUUUUGCUAUUUAUGUAAUAAUUUAAAGAAUAUAUUUCAAUUCCCACAAAAAAAAUGGCUCCAAUUUCAAUAAUUCCCGCCAAAUAAUUAAUUUUUUUUUAAUUUACCACUAAAAUAUAUCUUAAAGAAAUUUUAGUUAUUCUUGCUAGAUUUAACAAAAAUAAUUUGUAGGAUUAACAUUUAAUUAAAAUAAUUAAAAAAUUUUAUUAUUCCAAUUAAAAAUGUCAUGUUUAUACGAUAGACAAUAUUCAUGAAUGGGAAGUAUUAGUUACAUAUUUUUCCUUGGGAUUUCAGGCAAAUGAAAAAAAGAUUGAGAAUGAUUUCAAGAGGACAGGUGGAUGAUAAGUAUUCAUUUUUGUAUAUUUGGCUAGUGGAUUUUUAUGGUAUUGAUCUUUUUUUAAAAAAAAAAAAAAAUUUCAAUUAGUUGCAGCCCUAGAGGAAGAGCAGGCUGAUCAAAUUGAUUUGUCUUGUUUUUCGGGCAAUCUACGACACGAUGACUGUGAUAAUGCUCGUGACUGCUGGAAACUUUCUGAUGGAAAUAACUUUAGAGUUCGUAGCAAGCAUUUUUGUUAUGACAAAACAAAGGUUCCCCCAUAUUUUGUUUGUUUGUUAUGGUAUUUAUAUAUCCUGCAUAGGCUAGGUAGACAGGUUAUGAUGUAGUUUGGUUGGCUCUUCUUGUGCUUGUGCAAUUUGUAACUGCAGAUACCUGCGGGAAAACAUUUAAUGGAUCUUGUUGCUGUUGAUUGGUUCAAAGACACAAAGAGAAUGGACCAUGUAGCUAGGCGUCAAGGCUGUGCUGCACAAGUAACUAUUCUUUUCUUUUUAUUUUUCCUUUUCCAUUGAUGCAUUAGGAGAAAAUACUGCCUGUGAGAUACUACAAUGUAAAUAACUUCUCAUGGUUCAUUGAAUCUAUAACACACUGACCCUCUUCUAAAAAAUGUAGGUUGCUUCUGAAAAAGGGCUUUUCUCACUGAUCUUUAAUCUUCAAGUAAGUUUGUUUCAUUUCAGAAGGUAUUAAGUUUCAAACUUAUUGUAUUGGGAGGUUGUAUAGUUGUAACCUAAGCAUCUGCAGGUUCCUGGAUCAACACAUUAUAGUAUGGUAUUUUAAUUAGUCGCAAGGCAAUUGGUUGUGGGAUCACUUUUGCAACGGUUUGUUGAUGGCGAUGAUGAGUUUCGCAAUAGUAGGUUGAAAUUUAUUCCAUCUGUUCCUAAGGUAUCCAUCUUGGCCUUCAUGUAUUAGGACUAUAUUAACGUAUACUAACCCUUUACUGCAUGGUACACUUCAAUUUGUCCAAAGAAGGCAUGCAUUUAGGUGUAAAUGUAUUGAUGGGUUGUACCUUCAAACUUCGUGUCCAUUUUUACCCUCUUGAAUUUGUUUUGCACUUGUUCUUGAUUUUAAGCACUGAAUCAUGCAGGGGUCAUGGAUGGUGCGCCAAGAGUGUUGGAAGCACCCCUUGUUCAUUAGUGAAAGUGGUUGAUUGUAACUACAGAUGAAUUGUUCCCCUUUCAAAUAGCGUCCGAUACCAUUAACAUGGUUUAACAUUGUUCAUCUUUCUGUAGAUUAAUGUUGACAUCGGUUCUUCUACUGUUGCUAAUGGAGUUUUGGGCCUUGUAAUUGGUGUAAUUGCGACAUUGGUGGUUGACAUGGCUUUCCUUGUACAGGUAUGUAUGAUUGUUUUUUUCCCCCACUUCUAAAUGGACACAAGGGAAAAGACAUGAUUUUGAGAUAUUGCACUGCAAUUUGCAUUUUUGCAUACUUGAAUGUUCUCAGAAUGGUAUAAUGCUUCGUGUGUGUCUUCUUUAUCUUGCUCUUCUGUAUGCAGGCAAAUACUACAGAUGAAUUACCGGAGCGGCUGAUUGGUGCUGUACGUGUUUCUCAUAUAGAACUCAAGUCUGCUGUUGUCCCAAAGUUGGAACCAGAGAUAUCAUGACUCUGGUUUCAUUUCACCUCAACUGUGUUUUUUUUUUAAUUAAAAAAAUCAUUUGUUUUAGGUAUACAUACAUGUAUUUUGAUUCUAUUUUCAUUGUAAUUUCUCAUUUACUUUGAAUGAAAGUCAUUGGUGUUUUCGAAUGGGAAUUUUGCAUUAAAAAAUGAAGAAUAGUGAUUUUUGGAGUGUAAUUAGUAGUAAAGUUGGUUUCUACUCGCAAACAAGUGAACUGCUCGAUUCCCGAGUGGUAUCAACCAGUUUCCAACUUUUUAAUAUACACUAAUUGUUAUUGUUUAAUAGCUACUACUAUUAAAACUCGACAGCUAACAAAAAUACUUAAAAAAAACGAUUUUUCUUAUGAUGCUGUGAAAAAAAUUACGGGUUUACUUCUUUCCACGAGAUCUAUAACAUGGUCUUGACUUCACGAAAUUCUUUUAAUUUAAAGCGUGCUGGUGUGAGAAGGUCAGUUUGACUGAUUAAUUCUUUUUAACAGUGGUCGAGAUAAUUUUACUAUACUCAAAAAUAUUCUUAUUCUGAUAAUGCCACAAAUGUUAUGUUGUUUUCUUAGGCUAAGGAUCUUCUAUCAGGAGAGGUUAGAAAUUAAAUGCUUAAAAGAGAAUAAUACAGAAAUUUAGACAGAAUCUAAUCGAAUAUUGCAUGAAACAUGAAACAUCAAUUCAAGUCCUUUCUUUAAACAGAGAAUGCAUCAAACAAAAUCCAAAGUGUCUUGCACGUCUGUAGCAUGAGCAAAAAAUUGUAAAUAUGUAGAACCAAAUUAUUCAAGUAUAGAAGAACGAGCAAGCUAAAUCAUGUAUAAGAGAUUGGCCUGGUUCGAGAUAGCUUCUUCACUGUACCUGAAGGGUUGGCUCAAUAUCUUCUUUAGAAUUCUGCACAUUUUGUAAUUACUCGUGUAAGCAAGCAUACAUUGCCACCAUAAGAAUAAUAAAGCUAGAGUAAUGAUAGGACCACCACCUCUUGUGCACAAACAAUAUUGUAUAAACUAAUGCGAGAUAAUAUGAUUGGUUAAAUAAAAACAUUAUAUGGUCCUCAUAAUUUAUUUAUUUAUUUAUUAUUAUUAUUAUUAUUAUUAUUAUUAUUAUUAUUAUUAUUAUUAUUAUUAUUAUUAUAUAUUUUCAGUCAACCAAUCAUAUUAUAUCACAUUAGUUUCUAUAAAAUAAUUUACUAAAUAGCACCAAAACUUAAUUGAUACUCACCAUUUCAUUGAACAAUUUUUUUAUGGUGUCAUUGAGGUUGCCUUCCCAACAUGCUUCAUCAUCAUCAUCUUCUUCAUCCUGAUCAUCCUUUUCUUCUUCGGUGACGUUCACUUUGUUUAGCAUUGGUGUGUCUAAGACUCCUUGAGAGAAGAUCUUCAUUUUUGGACACUGUCUCACAACUACUUGUUUCAAGGACGGGAAUUCAAGAGCGUAAUUACCCAAACUAAAGCUUGUUAGGCUUGGCAAACAAUCAAGUGUCAAGUACUCCAAUUCCCUGAAAACAAUGCAGUCUUUCGCUUCUUCUCCAACCUGCGAUUGUAUGAUUUCUUCUAUCAUUUUGCAAUCAGCUAUCUUCAUUCUUUGAAGAUUCACUAGACUUUCAGAUGUCGAGAAUGUCAACACAUUUAUCAACCCGUGACAUUUUGAUACUUUCAAAGCCUCAAGAUUUUCCAAAUGCCACGAAGGUGGUACUAAUUUUUGCAACUUACUACAUUCCGAUAUUUUUAGACUUUCCAAAUUUGCAAAUACUUUGUUGGAUUCGGCAUUUUCCUUCCAGAGAUGCUGCACUUUGUGUAAUCUAGACAGCCUUAACUUCCUCAAUUUAGGGAAUGCAACCUGAAAAUCAACAAAAUUAAGUUGUAAAUGAAAAUAUGUAUCCAAUCUCUGGAGUCUUCCCCUGCAUAUUUUAUGGACAAGAUUAAUCACGGCAUUUUAUAUUUUAUCUCCAAAUUAGUAUGCUUUGUAGUAGGAUCCCAAAUAUAAGUAUCAAAUCGAUUACCCUUUGAAACACAUAAAUGAAAUCUGAUGCUAAAUCCAAUAUGAAUUAGCUAGGAAAACAGAGAUGUUACACACAUAAUUAAUAUAGUUCAUCACCUCGUGUUACUAGGCAUCCAAUUAAUUUCAGACAUUUUUAUAAUUCAUACUAUAAAGAUAGUUAAUAACUGCGGUUAUAUUGUUAAAUCAGAUAUAAAUUAAGAUGACAUGCAAAAAGAUGAGUCAUUAAAUUUGACUUGAUUCUAAUGAAAUUACAUCUAUGCGAACGAAAGUGAAGGGAAAAAUAAUAAUAAUAAUAAUAAUAAUAAUAAUCACCUUUUCAUCAAAGAGGGGUUGUACUUGAUGAGCCAGCAAGAAGUUCUCUUCUGAUGUUAAUUUUUCAGGUUUCUUGUUAUCUGUUGUCACGUGCACUACAGAGUUGGAUAUGAAUGUUUCCAUAUCAGGGCAAUUCUCAAUAGUUAGAUUCUCCAACUUAGGCGGUUCAAUUAUAUUCCCAGUGAAGUUGCAGAAUCUUUUGAGUUUUGGAAGAUCAAUGAGCCUUAGCUCGGAAAGCUUAGGAAACGGGGGGCCUAUAUGUUCUUUGUCAGCAUUUAGCUCUUCGAAAUGAAACACCUCUUCUAUUGAAUCACAAUUCCUCACUUCCAGCCAUUCCAAAUUGUUCAAGCACCGUAGCAGAUUGGCAGGAAUAGCACUCGACAUAUUCGUGCAGUCAUCCACCACCAGCUGUGCUAAAUUGUUGAAGAAGCUGACAGGCAGUGCUUGGCCAUGCCAUAUUUCUUGCAAGCGUGGAAAAUGCGAGAGUUGCAAACGGUUUAUAUCAAGGAAUCCAAUCUGCACAAACCAAAACAAUUUUGUUUUUGAAAGGCAUUAUAUAUACACACAUUAAACUUACAUGUUUUGUGUUUUAACUUCUAAAAAUAUAUAUACAAGGGAGGUGUAUAUGCUUAAAUGUGCAAGUGCAGGGGAGAUGCAUGAACAAUUUGGUUGAAUCGAUUAACACAUACCAUUUCGUCAUAGCACUUUUGUAUAGUGGAACUAAGGUUAUUGCCUUCCCAAUGGUGCAGUUCACCCUCUUCCUUUUCAGUCACUUGUACUUUGCAUGGCUUUGGAAUGGAUAAGAUUCCGUGAGAAAAAUUCUUCAUGUUCGGACAAUGUGUCAUAGAAACUCGUUCCAGUGAUGGGAAUUCAAGAGUGUAAUUCUCCAAACAAAAGCUGGUAAGCCUUGGUAAAUCAUCAAGUAUCAAAACUUUUAAUUUGCUGAAAGCAAUACGAUUCUCCUUCACUUCUUGUCCAACAUGUCCUACGAUUUCUUCUAAUUUUGGGCAACCCGAUACUUUAAGAUUCACCAGGCUACUAGGAAUUCCAACCUAAAAAUAAGCAAAAGUGUGUGUACGUUAAAAAAGUAAAAAUGUAAGAAUAUCAUUCAACUAGGUUCAAAGUAUGUUUAAUCAUACAAUUAUACAUUUUAUGAACAUAACAAAUUAUGAAAUGUCUACUAGAUAUUUUUUGUUAAACAAAAAUAGAACAAGAUAAAUAAAUAAAUAAAAGCCAGAUAAAAAAAGAUAAUAAAAAUGCAUUUACACUAUUUAGUAUUAGAAACGUAGAAAGAAUUUAAGGCAAUUUCUAAAUAUUUUAGACUUCUUUUGCAUCUUGAUAUCAGUUUUUAAGCAUAAAUUUGCAAAUUUCAACUAUUCCUUUUUUUUUAAAAAAAAAAACUCAACCAUUUUUCCCUUUUCCUUGGUUCCUUUUUUUAAUGUAUAUUUAAAAAUGGAAAAAAAAUUGGAAAAGAUUUCCCAAUACUGUCAACAAGGGACUACUGUAAAGUGGAUCUUUAUUAAGUACUUCCAAACUCGAGGAAAUUUCUUUACAAUCAAGGGUCAGUUGUAAAUAAUCAUGAAUUUGUGGUUAAUUAAUGGCAUAAUCAAUUCGUAACUAAACUAGAGAUAUUAAUUAAAUUUGAAGACUUUUAUUUUUUUUUCCAAUCGAAACGUGAAGAAUUAAGGAAAAGAGAAAUAUAUAGAUGAAUUUGUGAACCUAUAAGAUGAGAGACGAUCCUUUAAUUUUUGAAAAUCGUACUUUUAAGAUAUGAGCAAAAACAAUUAAAUUGAAAACCGGACUUAAAACGUAGAUUUCAGAGUAGUGGUUAAUUUGAAGUACAAUACAAAAAUGGUUAAAAAAUGGUUGAAUUUUAUCUGGGAAAAAAGAUUCGAAAUGAAUACAGCAACCUUACCAAUGGAGGAAAAAUAUUUCUUAGGUUAUCACACCACCAUAUGUCCAAAUUCUUCAAUUUGCUGAAAGACUCCGAAGCAAGCUGGUGGUGCCAUAUUCUUCUCAAAUUAUCCAUCAUCUCCAUAAGUAAUACCUCCACCCUAGGAAGUCGUACCUGGCAGUUAAAGAUUAAAUAACUAAUUAAUCAAUUAAUGGCAUAAUCAAUUGAUAACUAAAUUAGAGGUGGAUAUUAACUAAAUUUGAAGACUCAAGGAAAAGAAAAAUUAAGUAUUGUGACUAAAAUUAAUUUUUUUAUUAAAAAAAAAAACCUUUUCGUCAAAAAGAGGAGGAGGUUGCAUUUCAGAAUGAAUGGUGUCUUCUGGUGAGCUCGUAGAGAUGAAUCUUAACAUAUUACUGCAACCACUAAUCCGGAGUUCUAGCAAAGAAGGGAAUUCAACAACUAAAUCUGAAUGAAUAUGUCCCGUAUUGGCGAAGCUUGUUAGUUCUGGAAGACAAUGGAGCUCGAGGGAGUGUAGUUUAGGGAAAUGAAUAUGUCCUUCAUCUCUUUCUGAC
RNAcentral lists this long non-coding RNA (274975 nucleotides) under Citrus x clementina. Its description in RNAcentral is "Citrus clementina (C. clementina) long non-coding RNA (CCLE_LNC002794)". The stretch from base 231712 to 231795 matches the Rfam family "tRNA". Lineage: Eukaryota; Viridiplantae; Streptophyta; Magnoliopsida; Sapindales; Rutaceae. The record is from RNAcentral.